UUAUGAGCUGAAUUUUUUUUUAGGUUGAACAUCAAACAUUGAUGUAUGUCUACAAAAGGUUUGAGAAUGUUUAAACAUGUAUCUUUUAAAAUCGAUCUCAUUGAUCUCAGCUAAAGUGAGAUCUCACAAGUCUUCCCCUGAAAAACUUUUCCAAAAAGAAAAAAAAUCAUUUGUCUUUCAUCUUUUCUUGUUCACUCGGUCUCAUCGGCGUCAGCAUUCAGGUCAAUCCUGGGCUUCUUCCCACUGCUGUGGGCAGCGGGCUUACUAGGCAGCGGCGGCACCUUCGAUGCGCACCGCGGGCACCAGGGGUCGGCCUCGGCGAUGAGCACGUACGUGAAGCAGGACGGGCACGCACACGCACGCAUGGUUGGGUUCGCGGCGGGCGACGCCAUGCUUGAAGGCGGCGAGCGGCUGCGCUUUCCCAGCGACGAGGACGAGGAUGAGGCGGACGCCAACGAGGAGGACGACGUGUCCGGCGAGGUGGCGGACCGCGCGGCGGAGGCGCGCUCUAGGGCGUAGCGGACCAUGUCGAGGGUGCAGAACGGAGAGGAGGUGGUGGUGACGGCGGCCGCGGUGGAUGCCGUGGGAGGGAGGUUGAGGUCCUGGCGGCCGUCUUGGGCGGUCUGGUGGCGAUGAGGAGUCAAGAACGUCUUGCCGGACUGCACAAAAACAAUAUUUUUUUUUUCACCUUGUUAAGUAAUCUGUAUGAUGAACAAGGAACUCUGUAAUCCCAGUGCAACAGAAACAAAAUUUUAUGGCUGCAUGCAUCGACUGAUGCAGAGGCCGGAGGUAAUCCUCCUUUUUUAAAAAAAAAGAAACAAAAUUUUGAUCAUCAUGCUGUUAGACCGAUCAAAGAACAUGAAUUUGAUCUGCGGAUAUAGUCUAACCUAAGUAGCAAAUUAUAUAGUUCUCCGGAAUUUCAUCUCGGACAGGAACCACACAAGAGCGAAUUAAUUAAACACCAAACAUGCACGCACGCAGGUGUAACUACCCACACGAAGAAACAAACAAACCAUCUAGUGGUCGGAAGAACAGAGGAGCAGAUCGAAACAGUAAUGCUAGGAGGGAGACUCACCAGUAGGUCGAGCCGUCUCUCCCGGCCGGCGGGCACCUUGACCUCCAGGUCGACGACCUCGUCCUCCCCGCCGGCGUGGCCGCCCCACCCGCCGAGCAGAUCCAUGGUCACCAUCUCCGGUGCCUUCCCCGCGCCGGCCCUACCCUUCCCCGCUGGCAUUCUCCUCUUCCCUUUCUCGGCUGUCCUCUGCUUCCUCUUUUCUGUGUUUGUUUGUCGUUCUGCCGAGAGAAGACGAGAUGACAGAUCGGUGGGGUGUUUGGCAGUGCGUGGUGGGGCGUCCCUAUAUAUACCGUGAAGCCGCCGGCGCUACCGACACGUAGGGCCCACGUGCCAGCGAGCGUGGCCAUUAAGGAUCAUAUAUUAAUUGCCAUCGUUGGGAAAUGGUUGGAAGAUUAUUAAUGCCAAUUAACUGCUGGAAACAAAUUUGGGGUCGCUGACGUGUUUAAUCCACUCGAAUCGAAGAGCCGGGAUUUGAAUUCGUUUCCAUUUAAAAAGUAGUCAUUUACUCACUCCUCCCAUUAGUACAUGAAUGGGCUGAAUUUAAAUCGUGGAAGAACCCUUGGGCUGCCGCUGCAAUAUCAUGCUGGAUUUUUUAUUUUAAUUUUGCAAAAUAUCAUGCUGGAUUUAUGUGCAUUGAUCCACAUUCCAUUUAUUUGUUUGCCAUUUUAUUGUUCAUCUAGAAAACAGAUGCAAAGUAUCCACCCAUCCAUAUUUUAGUUCGCAAUUGAACAUUGCCGUGUGAUAUAAUUCGUAUAUAAUUAAUAAAAGAGAUUUUUAUGGAGGAAAAUUGAUUGAUAUAUUUAUAUUGGAUUAUAUCGCAACGAUUAAUGUCUAAACGAUUCUGGAGUACUAUAUGACGCGGUGCAGAAAAGAGUACUAUAUAUUUAUAUUGGAUUAAAUCGUAACGAUUAAUGUCUAAUCGAUUCUAGGGUACUAUAUUACGUGGUGCAAAAAAAAGCCAAACUCGAGGAUACUGCAUCUGGAGUACUAUAUAUUUAUAUUGGAUUAAAUAGCAACGAUUAAUGUCUAAUUGAUUUUGGAGUACUAUAUGAUGCGGGGCAGAAAUAAAAACAAACUCGGGGAUACAAUCAUCCCCGAGUCGACAUUUAAAAUAGUUGAGAGACACUGCCGAGCCUCAUGCUUCGAACUCAGGCGGGCUAGGGGUAGACAGGCUCUGCUAGCCGCUCGAUCUUUGCUCUGUUCUCGUUGUGAUGCAAAAUAUCGAGAGUUUUUUGUCCCCCCCAGGAGAUGGUGAGAUGGUUCUCGCCAUGAAAAUUGUAAGCUGGAAUUGCCAUGGUCUUGGCACGGAUGUGGAAAUUCCUUUGCUCAUGGAUGUUCAAUAGCAAUUGAAGUCUGAACUAACCUUCAUGACUAAGAUGUGACUCGAUUAAGACUGGGCUUCUAUAAUCCAUCUGAAUUAGGAUUUAAUUUCAUUUUUCAAGGGUAGUGAUGGUUGUAGCGCCAAUCUUGUGUUAAUGUGGAACACGAAUGAUAGUUAUUUUGUAGUAUAUUGGCAAAAUUUAAGGAUGUUAUUAUUUUGAUGAUAAUGUUCAACUUGGCGAUUCACUAGGUUCUAGCAUGAGAAGGGAGGCAAUAUUGGGCUAGCAGUUAUAAUGCAAGCAUUCAGAGAUUGCUUGUGAUUGUGGUCUUGAUCACAUGGGUUACAUUGGGACUCAUUUAUGUGGAGAACAUGAGCGAUCCCAGAAAGGCUAGACAUUGAGCGUUUGGGCCUCAUCUAUUCUAGUCAAUUCUAGAAAGUGCGAGUGCCAUGUCGUUUCUUCUCUUGAUAUUCACCUCGGUAUGGAACUUAGUCGGACUUGACACAUAGGACUAACAACCUGUCCUCUACAUUUGUUCAUGGGCACCCUCUUCUCUGGCUCCUGCCAAAUCUGGAAUAUGUGAGAUGGUUCUCGCCAUAAAAACUAUAAGCUGAAGUGUCAUGGUUAUGGCAUGGAUGUGGAAAUUACUUGAUCUUGGAUGUUUGAUAUCAUUUGAGGCAUCAUAAAACAUAUGAAGGAUUAACCACUCCUCCAUUUCAUGAUUGGGGCAGUUUCUUUUAGCUCCUUUCAUUCUAUCCCAUGCAAGCGCUAGUUGCUCACGUUCCUCUUACUUGAAACCUGUAAGCCGAGAACAUAAUUGCAUAUUUUUUGCAGGUGGACAAUACUUCGAUAAAAAUUUACUACAAUAAGUAUCCCAAGAAGUAAUAAAGCCAUUCCUUAGCUUUUCCUCUCAAAGAGAAAAGAAAUAAGCGAAGUUUCAGAGCAUUUUGAUUAUAAUCCUUUAUGUGUGUCAUGUUGCACAAUUCAGUAAAAUUAUGUAAAUGCAUACCUGCAUCUUCAAAAGCAUAGCCUCCAAAUUGGUCCUCUUGAACCAUGGAAACUAGGUUCGGUUUAAUCUCGUAUUUCUGCAGUUGCAACAUCAGGUUGUGCUAUUGGUUCACGCAUGAAAUUGUUGAUAGGAGUAGCAAAACUUCCAAGAUUACGAACCAUAGUAACUUUUUGGAUUUUUCAACUAACAAGAUUUGCAACAAAAUAAAACUUAAAAUAAAACUGAAAAUGUAUAAAUAAAAACAGAAAAUUAACUUUAAAAAAACUCUAAACACAAAGACUAAGAAUACUAAACUCCUCCCCGGCAACGGCGCCAGAAAAAGGGCUUGAUAUCUCUUUUUUAUUGAUCCAGUAUUGGAACAAGAAAGGGUAUCACGCACCUAUUUUCCCAGAGGUGACCCUGGGUAUCGAACCCACGAGAGGAAGACUCCAUUGAAGCGAUGGUCUCUAGCAAGCUUUUGCUAAAGUGUUACAGUUUUUGACCAGAUUAGAAAGCAAAUAGUGAUUCAAACACUUAUAACAAAAAGAAGGUACGGGGAUGAGGUCUUAAUGCUUACAGCCAUGUAUUGGUGUUGGGCUAAAAAUGAUAUUAAUUUGUGCUCGGGAAGUCACCCAUCAAGAGGUGCUUGCUUCGUAUCGAAGUGGGGGAUGUGUCCAAAUUACAUCUUGACCAGCUCGAGUCCUGCAUCAAGAAUCAGUUGUCCUACUGAAGGCCCUAUCCGUCUCGCGGGGUUGCCCCAAUAAUUAAGAUAAUAACAUAAGACAAAAGCUUUGGGCGUUUAAUAACCACAUCUCAUGAAUCCCCAAGGAUAUGAUCCAUGUUACCCUACUAAACCUUGCUGUCACCAGUGUCCGGUAUAACACUUCAUGGUCCCCUUGCUCCUAGCUUCACCGGUGCUUGAUCUCCAUGAUCCUUGGUACCCGCAGGGAUGAAGAUCUCGGACAAGACAAGAGAUACUUCACGAAAAAAAUUUAUUUCGCACAUAAGAGAUGUUGUGUCAAAGACUUCCAUUGAUCCCUUCACCAAAACCCGAGGUUGGAAGGCUCAUGCCCCACCCCAUACCUUACCGAACUACUCACACAUGGAUAAUAGACCGCGAGAAGAAAUCAUUGAAAAACACAUCUUGAGAUUGAUUGAUUGCAAUAUGUCUUACAAUGGAUGCCUUGUGUGAUGCACGAUUAUAAGUAUGAACUAGAUAAGAGAGGGCUAUGCUGGUGGAGAUAGCAAUGAAGGUGAAAAUGGCGGCGGCUAGGGUUUGUGCAUGAAGAUGAUGAUGAACAUGUUGUGGUUGUGCUCGACGCUCCCUUUCUCCUCGUUCUGCUGACAUUUCGAUGGGGUCCCCUUAAUAAAAGUUGUUCAGGUGGACAACCUGCCUCGAUUUCCAUGCUAAACGACCGCUCAAGCGAGUGGGUGCAGUCGCAUGUAACGCCGUCUUUUGGUCUAGCGGCCUUCUAACGCCUCCUAGUGACUUAUUUCUUCUUCAUUUUCCUUCCUUUCCUUUCUCCCACAUGAUUUCUUCACCUUUUAGCCCAUUUCCCGUGGAAAAAUAUUAAAGAGAGGAGUUUUGAAAUCGUUUGCAUUCAUUAGUCAUUAGUGGCAAUAUCGGAGCAAAUAUCUCUCUUUCGAUGAAAUACCUUGGUUUAAACAAUGUUGAAAUGAGUGUAAAAAUAUCACUUAUCAUCCGGCUAUAGAUGCUCUAACAUGCUUCCACACCCCGUAAACAAUGAUGCACUCCCACCUUUCCAGUUCAUGUGCAAACUACUCCCCCACUCGGCAUGUGCCUUAGUUGUUGAGAUUAUUGAGAAACGCCAAACAAAUUGGAAAGGAGGGAGUAGAUGAUUAGGUUGUUCGGAAUAUAAUGUGAACUCGAGAACAAGAAUAAAUAAAUAAAUAAAUAAAUAUUUGGCCAGAUAGUUUUAGUGAGGAGCUUAUCUUGUUUUCACAAUGACACGUGGAUCAUACAAAAGAAGGAAACUGAAUGGCCAGUGAUAGGCGCCGGUCAGCCAGCCCAAACAUUCGGCUGGUCGCCUGCGGGCCAUUAAGUCUGGCCCACGCAGAACCCCCAGACCAUAGGAUCACCCUUGCAUGAAAAACGGAUUGUGGAUUUGGUCGUCCUUUUCCUCACGCCCGAGAACUCUCCACACCUUUCCGUGGUCAACUCACUUCCUGCACGCAUCUCUAGCGCAUCCCCACACCUCCUCACCUCUUCGCCCGCUGCCGUUGUCGCCACUGUCAUCGCUCGGCCCCUCGUCGUCGCUGUCACCGCCGCACCGGUCGCAUUGCGUCGUCUCCCCCUCCCCGGGUACGUAGCACCUGCAACCAUGGUUCCAGCAAAAGAUCGAUACGGCCCCAGCAAAUCUUAUGGAGGUUGUAGCAUUUGGAGCCUUCGGUUCCAUGGUUCCAUCUCAACGUGUGUUGCUUGUGUCAUCUGGCGCCUUUGGUUGCAACUAGUUGUUGUGGUCACCAUGGUCACAACAUCUAGCGGUUGUGGUCACCGUGAUUCCAACAUCUGCGAAACACGGUUCCAGCAUCUAGCAAGUGUGGCUGCAGCACACCGGCAGGCCAGUCGUCACGGUUCCAACGUCUGGAAAACAGCAUUCCAGCAUUUUGUAAAUACGGUUCCAGCAUCCCUGUCAUUAGGGGGUUGCGUUGCAGCUCCACCUGUCCACGGUUGCAGCUCCCCCAUCCAGGUUGCAGCAUGUCACGCCGGUGGCCAUGUCUCUCCUUGCCAUAGCUUUGCAGCACGGCCGCUCGUUCAUUGUAGAAGAAAUGGGUGGCAAUUGUAGCACGGUCCACCGGAGCACGCGACGAGCAUUGUGGUGCACAUAGGAGGACGUCGGUGGUGGGUGCCACACCGCCAUGGCAUCACCGUGUGGAGAUGGUUGUCCACUUGCCGGUGUUUGAAAACCCCAAUUUAAACAAUAACCUCCAAUGGUCGUCGUCGUACGAUACGUCCAUUUUGCAUCAUGAUUUCCUACUAUUAUUAAUAAUGUUUUUAUACAUAAUAAUGCUUUUGGGAGUGAUGCGGCUUGAAUUGCGUCGGCAUUUCCCCAAAGAGGAAGGGAUGAUGCAGCACAGCUACGGAGGUAUUACCCUCGAUGAUGAGACCAAGGUUAUUGAUCCAGUAGGAGAACCACGCAACACUACGUGAACGGUACCUGCACAGAAAGAACAAAUACUUGCAACCCGACGAAAAAGUGGGGUUGUCGAUCCCUCCCGGGUAAAAAGAUAGAUAAAAUUGUAGUAUAUUGGAUAAAUAGAUCUCGCGGGAACGCGAGAUAAAAUAAAUAACACAAAAAUUGCAGCAAGGUAUUUUUGGGUUUUUGGAUUAAUAGAUCUGAAAAUAAAUCAAAUAAAAAUAAAUCUCGAAGGCAAAUAUGAUAAAUAAGAGACCUGGGGGCCGUAGAUUUCACUAGUGGCUUCUCUCUAGAAAAAUAGCAUACGGCGGGUAAACAAAUUACUGUUGGGCAAUUGAUAGAACUUCAAAUAAUUAUGACAAUAUCCAGGCAAUGAUCAUUAUAUAGGCAUCACGUCCAAGAUUAGUAGACCGACUCCUAACUGCAUCUACUACUAUUAGUCCACACAUCGACUGCUAUCCAUCAUGCAUCUAGUGUAUUAAGUUCAUGGAGAAACGAAGUAAUGUAAUAAGAACGAUGACAUGAUGUAGACAACAUAUAUUCAUGUAGGAAUAGACCCCAUCUUGUUAUCCUUAAUAGCAACGAUACAUACGUGUCAUUUCCCCUUCUGUCACUGGGAUUGAGGACCGUAAGAUCGAACCCAUCACAAAGCACCUCUUCCCAUGGCAAGAAAAAUCGAUCUAGUUGGCCUAACUAAACCAAAGAUUCGAAGAAGAAAUACGAGGCUAUAAGUAAUCAUGCAUAUAAGAGAUCAAAACUCAAAUAACUUUCAUGGAUAAAAAUAGAUCUGAUCAUAAACUCAAAGUUCAUCGGAUCCCGACAAACACACCGCAAAAAGAGUUACAUCAAGUAGAUCUCCAAGAGACCAUUGUAUUGAGAAUCAAAAGAGAGAGAGAGAGAGAGAGAGAGAGAGAGAGAGAGAGAGAGAGAGAGAGAGGAAGCCAUCUAGCUACUAACUACGGACCCGUAGGUCUACAAUGAACUACUCACGCAUCAUCAGAGAGGCACCAAUGAGGAUGAUGAACCCCUCCAUGAUGGUGUCUAGAUUGGAUCUAUGGUUUCUGGAACUUGCGGCAGCUGGAACUGUGUUUCAUCGACUCCCCUAGGGUUUUUGGAAUAUUGGGGUAUUUAUAAAGCAAAGAGGCGGUGCGGGAGGUCACCGAGGUGCGCCCAGGUGGGUUGUGCCCACCUCGGGGCAACCCUCUGGUACUUCUUUGGCCCAUCAUGUGUCUUCUGGCCCAGAAAAAUUCUCCAAAAAGUUUUUGCUGCGUUUGGACUCCGUUUGGUAUUGAUUUUCUGCGAAGUAAAAAACAAGCAAAAAACAACAACUGGCACUGUUCACUAUGUCAAUAGGUUAGUCCCAAAAAAUAAUAUAAAGUUGCUAUAAAAUGAUUGUAAAGCAUCCAAGGUUGAUAAUAUAACAGCAUGGAACAAUAAAAACUAUAGAUACGUUGGGGACGUAUCAGCAUCCCCAUGCUUAAUUCUUGCUCGUCCUUGAGUAGGUAAAUGAUAAAAACAGAAUUUUUGAUGUGAAAUGCUACCUAACAUGUUUAUCACAUAUUCUUUUCUUUGUAGCAUGGACAUUUGGACUUUUAUAUGAUUCAAAGCAAUAGUCUAGUUUUGACAUGAAGAUUCCAAUACUCAAGCAUAUCAACAAGCAACCAUGUCCUUCAAAAUAUCAACACUAAAGCAAGUUAUCCCUAGCCCAUUAUGCUCACUCAUUGAUCCAUUCAUGAAACACACUCACAUAUUAGCUACACCCAAUGUUCAAGUACGAUCAUAGUGCCCCUUAGUUGGUGCUUUAUAAGAGAAUAUGAAGACUCAAGUAAUUUUUUUUCAUAAAGUAAAAUAGAAAGGCCCUUCGAAGAGGGAAGUAGGGAUUUGUAGAGGUGCCAGAGCUCAAAUCGAAUAAGAUAGACAUAAAAACAUUUUGGGUGACAUGCUUUUACUGUCAACGAAAACGAUCGAGUAGUUCCCAAUACUUUCCAUGCUAGAUAUAUUAUAGGCGGUUCCCAAAUAGAAAAUAAAGUUUAUUCCUUUUUCCACCAUACUUUCACAUUCCACGGCUAACCGAAUCCACGGGUGCCGUCCAUACCAACACUUACUAAGGAAUUUAUUAUUUGACAACAUAAAGUAAAUUCAUUUUUCAUUUCGGGACAGGGCAUCCCUAAUACCAUUGUCGUACUCUCGUGCAAUGACAAGUGAAUAAACACUCAUCUUGAAAAUAACGCAUCUAGCAUGGAAAAAUAUCAGCCAUCCCCUACCAUUUCAUCAGCGGUACGAGCACACAAAAAGGAAAUUUAUUUUAAAGAUUAGAUAUGGCACAUACAAAUUUUCUUAGAACGGCAAAAGAAUACUGCAUAUAGGUAGGUAUAGUGGACUCAUAUGGUAAAACUGGUUUAAGGAUUUUGGAUGCACGAGUAGUAAUCAUAAUUAGUGCAAGUGAAGGCUAGCAAAAGAUUGAGAAGCAUCCAAACAAGAAACAAAAAAUCUCAUAAGCGAGCAUUAAGCAUAACUAACACCGAAUAAUGCACCAUAAGUAGGAUGUAAUUUCAUUGCAUAACUACUGACUUUCGUACUUGCAUAGGGAAUCACAAACCUUAACAUCAAUAUUCAUACUAAAGCAUAACUACUCAUCAACAUGACUUACAUAUUAUAUCAUUAUAUCGCAAAACUAUUACAAAGAAUCAAGUUUAUUUUGUCCAAUGAUCUUCAUGAAAGUUUUUAUUAUAUCCUUCUUGAAUAUCUAUCACUUUGGGACUAAUUUCAUAUGUUGCUUUUGAUAGCUCAAACAAAUCUAAGUGAAGAACAUGAGCAUAAAAAAAUCUUCUCUCAAAAUAAUUUAAGUGAAGCAUGAGAGAAUUUCUUAAAAUAUUUACUAACUCUCAAAUAAAUCUAAGUGAAGCAUGAGAGAAUUUCUUCAAAAAUACUAAAGUACACCAUGCUCAAAAAGAUAUAAGUGAAGCACUAUAGCAAUUCCAUAGCUGAAAAGAUUUAAGUGAAGCACAGAGAGCAAUUCUAACAAAUCAUAGAAUAAUUUUGGCUCUCUCAAAUAGAUGUGUCCAGCAAGGGUAGAUGACACAAAAUAAAAAGCAAAACAAGCAAAGACUCAUAUCGUACAAGAUGCUCCAAGCAAAACUCAUGAUAUGUGAUGAAUAAAAAUAUAGCUCCAAGUGAAAUACCGGUGGUCGUUAGAAGAAAGAGCGGAUGCCACUCGGGCAUCCCCAAGCUUAGUUGCUUUCUUCUCUUAUAGAUAAUUGCUUGGCAUGACAUGUAAAUCCCCAAGCUUAGGCUCUUCUUACUCCUUAUUCGUUCAUCUAUCGCGAUCUCACCCAAAACUUGUAAACUUCAAUCACACAAAACUCAAUAAAACCUUUGUGAAAUCCGUUAGUAUAGCAAAGCAAAUCACUACUCUUAGUACUGUUACAAACCCAUUCAUAUUUUAUUUUUGCAUUAUAUCUACUGUAUUGCAACUUUACUAUAGCUUAUACCCUCCAAUACAAACCAUAGAUUCCUCGAAAUAAGCACACAACGCAAAGAAAACAGAAUCUGUCAGAAACAGAACAGUCUGUAGUAAUCUGAAAACUCCGAAUACUUCCGUAAUCCAAAAAUUCUAGGAAAUUAGCACAAUGUAAGCAAUUUGUAUACCAAUCUCAUGCAAGAAUUCAGAAUUUUAUAACUCUUCUGUGAAUUUCAAAAAUUGUUUUACUGGACAAAAAAGUUUCUGUUUUUCAACAAGAUCAAAUCAACUAUCACCCAACGUGAUCCCAAAGGCUUUACUUGGCACAAACACUAAUUAAAACAUAAAAAACACAAUCAUAACAGUGGCAUAAUUUUGCAAACACUCAAGAACAGAAAUAAAAAGAUAAAAAUAAAUUUAUUCAUUGGGUUGGCUCCCAACAAGCGCUAUCGUUUUACGCCCCUAGCUAGGCAUAAUGCAAAGAUCUAAGUAUUGUCAUCUUUAGUUCUAGUCCAUAAGAUGCCCUCAUGAUCGAUUAAUAUGAUGGCUUAAUUCUUAUUCUAGGGAAGUGUUCCAUACCCUUCCUUAAUGGAAAUUGAAAUUUAAUAUUACCUUCUUUCAUAUCAAUCACGGCACCAAUAGUACGUACACUACUAGGGAAAACCUUAUACACAGAAUCUUCGCGGCAGCGUGGUUUAAAAGCAAAUGCUACUGCUAAUUAGCAGUAGCGAGCUUCAGGAAACCGCGCUACUAAUAGCCCAGUAGCAGUAGCGCUCUAGAUGAAACAAGCGCUACUACUAUAAUUUCCACGGCAUUGCCUCCAGGCUAGAUAUAGUAGUAGCGUCCUUCUCCUGGACGCGCUACUGCUAAAGUACUUAGUAGCAGCGUUUUUCUUCAAAACUCACUGCUGCUAAGUAUCACCCCCUUGCAACUAAUUAAGUUUAGUCCCAUACUGUUAAGCGAACAAGGUGUUUACCACCUUAAAUAUGUUACUUCUCAAACUAUGUCGAGCACUUGGUCUUCAUUGAACUAUAUGUGUAGGAUUUGUGGCUGCAAUAUGAAUCUUCACCUGUGCCUAUACAGGUACGGUGAGGAUUCAUGUUGACUAUUUAGAUUCUACACAAAAAGAUCAAUGAUGACCAAUGUAUAUUUUUGAUGUUUUUACAUGCUUAGACUUAGCAGUAGUGUUUUUUCAGGACAAAGCGCUACUGAUAUUGGGCUUAGCAGUAGCGCGCUCCCUGUACCCGCGCUACUGCUAAAGCAAAACAAAACACGCGGCCCGGCCCCCCGCACGCUCAUCUCUCAAUCGUCCCCCUCCGCCCGACGCCGACAGCUGUGGUUAGGGUUUCGCCGCGCGCUACUGCUAAAGCAAAACAAAACACGCGGCCCGGCCCCCCGCACGCUCAUCUCUCAAUCGUCCCCCUCCGCCCGACGCCGACAACUGCGGUUAGGGUUUCUCCUCUGCCACCGCCGCCGCAGGUAAUGCUCCUCCCCCCUCUCGCCGCCCCUCCGCUGCUCCUCCACCCUCUCGCCACCCACUCUGUCGCUGCCCGCGAGCUCUGGCCGGGCGCCUUUGGCCGACCGCCCUCGAUCCCCUCGCCGGCCACUGUCGUCGCCCCUCUCGUAGGAAAGUCACCGGCCUUUCCCUCGUUAGCACCCCCGACCAAGGUCACCAUGCCAUCCCCCCUCCUCGACAACACCCCCGAGGGCUGCCCUACCUAGAUGCAGCGAGGGCUUACGAAUUUCAUAUGGAUAAUUAGAUGCUUUUGUUUUUCUGUAGUAAGUUAUUUUUUGCAAAAUGUAGGUGCCAAUUUAGUUGAAAUGCUUUGGUAGGUGGUACCGUGAUCUACUAGAUAUUGGUUUUGAUACAAGUACUUAGUUUGCAAGUGCUAAGUUAAUCCCAAUUAAAUUUGCCACUUGUUUUUUUAAUCAGUUAUCUUAGGCAAUAGGGGACAAAUUAGAUGAAAUGUGUCUUGGUAGGUGGUACCUUGAUUUGGUAGAUAACUUAUUACAAAUCUUAGGAUUAUACCUUUGGUAGGGGCCAAAUAGUUUUUUCAGCAAUAGGUGCCACUGAAAUGCUUUCGUAGGUGAUACCUUGUCAUCUUGUAUGUUACUAGAUCUUAGGAUUAUAAUUGUCCAUCAAAUUGCUUCUCGCGGAAGAAUCUCUUCUAGAGAUAUUCUAGAAGGUGUUAGUAAGCUAAUUGAGAACUUGUUGGCUGAUUUCGCAUUUGCCUGCUAGCUGUUGGUUCUAUUAUAGAAGGUGUUAGUAAGUUAAUUGAGAGCUUGUUGUUUACUUUUUGGGAUCGGGUUCCACUAUGAAAAUAUAGCUGAAGAAGAACCAAAAAUAUCACAUGCUACUGUUUUUCUUUCCUGUGAAGUGGAUCAUUAAUCCUUUGCUCAUAUUGCUUUAGGAAAAUGGCGCCACCACCACCACCACCAUGUUGACUGUGCAAGUCAAGGUGCGCCAGCAGCCUUGCAACUGGCAAGCUGUUCGGCAUCUACUUCCAGCCGAGUUUUCUUCAUGCGGCGGUAAGAAAUUAGAUGAAAUGUAACAACUAUUUUAUUUUUAGUGUUGGCAUUACUGCAUUGUGUCAUUUUGCUUUUUUUACACAGAUCGUCCCAUGCAAUGUGAGGUUGAAAUUCAACAAGCUGACAGGAGACACUGUGGCAUUUGAGGCUCCUGGGGGCCGUACACUAUGGAGGUCGAGAAAGGACGCAAUAUGUCACAUUUGAUUAUGAUAUAUAUAUAUAUAUAUAUAUAUAUAUAUAUAUAUAUAUAUAUAUAUAUGCUUUAUUGUUAUACUUACAAAUGCAAAUUAUCCAAUGAUAUGCUUAGUGAAUCCGAUGAUAUGCUCAGUAUAGAGUCCAAUGAUAUGUUGUGUGGAAUCUAGUCGAUGAUAUGCUUUAGUGUAGAGUCUGAUCACAUGCUUAUUAGUGUAGAAUCCAAGGAACUAUUAAUAGUGUAGAUAAUCCAUAUAUACUUAUUAGUAGAAUUAAUGCUUAAUUAGUACAAAUGUGUAGUACUGUGUCUUUUGAUAGUGUAGAAAUCUAUACUUAAUAGAAAUAUAUUUACAAGAGUAUGUGCAAGGCUAUUUAUUAAUUGAUAUGUUUUUCUUGUUCAGAAAUUGCCAAAAAACCUAUCUGUGAGUUGUGGUAUCGAGCCUGAUGAAGAAGGCUCAGCUGGACUACGCCUUACCGCAAGGGGCUCCGUCACCACCUGUACUUACCGCAUGGACACAGACAGUCACACACACUUAAACUCGGUUGGGUGGAAGAGAUUCCUCGUUGGCAAGAAUCUUCAUAUUGGACAGGUCAUCCUAAUUACUAUCAGGAACACCCACCGCCCAGGCUUGAGGACGAUGAUCGUCAUCGAUAUCAUCUAGAACUACAUAUAUAUGUGUGGCUAUAUCAUCUAGAACUACAUAUGAUGAUCGUCGUCGAUAUCAUGUAGAACUACAUAUGAUGAUUGUCUUCGAUAUCAUCUAGAACUACAUAUGAUGAUCGUCGUCGAUAUCACCUAGUACUGCUUGAGGCUGCAUGUUGAGUAUAUAUGAAAUUGUUAUCUAGUACUCCCUCCGUUCCAAAUUACUCAUCGUGGUUUUAGUUCAAAUUUGAAUUAAAACCACGACGAGUAAUUUGGAACCGAGGGAGUACUACCUAGUACCUAUAAUGCUUUAUGAAAUUGAUAUUUAGUAGUACCUAGUAUCUGGAAAUUGCAAUUUAUUGAAGCUGAAACGGGGUAGGAAGCCAGGGGGGAAUGAUGAAAGAUAUAGCAGUAAUGUGGGGCUAGGAAAUUGCUACAGCUAAUUAAUAGUAGCGCAUUCUGGAAAAGCGCUGCUGAUAUAGUCAAUAGUAGUCGCAGGUACGGACCGCGCUACUACUAACAGUUAGCUGUAGCGUCGUAGUAGUAGCGUAGCUGCCCGCACAUAAAAUCUAUGGGCACAUAAUUCCUAUUUUCAAGAAUAAUAACAUCAUUAAUUCUUUCCAUAGGCUUUUUAAUAGUAGAAUCCGCCAAAUGAAAAUUUAAAGAACAUUCUUCAAUAUCGGUAAGACCAAGCACAUCACGUAAAGAUUUCGGAAUUGUAGAAACGCUAGCACCCAAGUCACAUAAAGCAAAACACUCAUAAUUUUUAAUCUUGACUUUAAUGGUGGGUUCCCAUUCAUCAUGUAAUUUUGUAGGUAUGUAGUAGAGUUUCCUUAACUAAUAUAUUAUGCUAGUGUAAUGAGAUGGAUGCAAACUCAAAAUCUUUCUUAGCUUAAAUAAAAGAAGAUGAAAAACAAAGCAUAGUCGAAGCAGGGGUGGAUUGGAAGAAGUAUCGCUUUGUUGAAGCGAUGCGAGGCUUGGCUUGGGUGACUAGCAGGUCCAAUGCUGAAACGUUAUUGAACAUGAGGAGCGACAAAGACAGCCCCACUGAAGAAACCACAUAUAGUCCUUUGUUGCGGCAUCAGAAAACAUGUGAGUAGCAAGCGCAACAUCCUGUAAGUAUGAGGAAAACGAAAUUGUUACAAAAUUUAGUAAAUACGAAAGAGAUAUGCAUCCUUGAGAGGCCAGACGAACAGACACAGAAAUAGCUUGGCGUAUGUAUGCAUCUAUGUAAUGUAUAACAAGAAAAUAGCAGGGGCGGAUGUAUCUGUACUUGUGCAAUGCAGAUGCAGAUGUGUAGACUGAAUUUUGUUCAGAGUAAAUACAUACAGACUGAUAGACGGUAAAUAAUACUAGAUGGGAUGGGAUAGACCAUGAGAGUAGUUGAUUCAUUCUGUUGUAACAUAUUAGCUAGUGUAAUGAGAUGGAUGCAAGGGAUUUCAAGUACAUAAUUCCGUUCUACAAGUGAUGUCACUAUAAUAAUUAGAGGCAGAUAUCAAUUGAGUAGUGUAGAGGAAUUAUAAAAAGGGAUACACAUCCUAAGUUACUUUCUCAAACUAAAUUAUAUAGAUAUGGAAAUAUAAUGUAGAACAUACAGUGUACUAUCAAAGCAACCAGAACCUUGUAAUUUUUUUUGUUCAAAAGCUAAAUCACUUACACCACUCUGAAUAUGUUUCAAGGAAAGCCCUUGAUUUGGAGGUUUCAAAUCGAAGAAAGGUACCAUUCCAUUUGGAAACUAUUGAUUACAUCUUAUGGAAUGAUAUAUUGGUGGCUAAGAGAUCAAUGCAUUGUUUAAACCCAAGAAAAUAAACAGGUAACAACAAAGUUCAGGACCAUAAAAUAGAAAUUAUGGCCACUAACUACAAUGAUUCUUCCUACUGCUGGCAUCCUUAGAAGGGAAAGCUUCUGCUAGCCAUUCUAUUGCAUCAUAGUGUCAUGCCAUGUCAAUAUAUUCAGUACAAACAUAUGGUAGUAGGUAUGUAGGAGAACCUCAUGCUUGACAGGGAUUUCUCUGAAUUUAAUGGCUGAUAGCCCCUAGCUAACUGAACCUAAAUGAAUGAACGAAAAGGGUAGGGCAUACGCACAUGAGGAUGUUGAGUGGGAGGCCCCUGUGGGCGCGGCGAAGUUGCGGACGGAGGCCAGGGAGGUGGAGUCCAGGGAGGUCCAGCUCCAUCAGGUCGAGGUUGGCGGCGGGGUUCUCGGCAAGGACGGCAUGGCGCGCUGCCUCUGCCGCAGCGAGGUUGCGGACGGUCAUGACGACAUGGGCCCCGCGUGCCUCCAGCACGCAAGCCGUCUCAGAGGCGAUGAUGACGGCCGGGUCAGGCCUGACGAAGAGAGGGAGGAAGGAGCGCAUCCCGGAUCACGGCUCCAGAUCGAGGUCGCAUCCCGGAUCCAGAUCGGUGUGGGCAAGGCUGCGGCCGUCGCGGGUAUGGGAGCAUCGCCUCGCACUGCUCGACCUGGGGCCAGGGUGAGGGGAGGGCGCGGUGGUGUGCGGAGGGUGACCGCCGUCGUGGCUUUAGCGUCUGCGCCGUGAUGCGGACGGGAUCCCGAUGGGAUCUACACGAGGCCGUCGCCGCCCCUCCCCUGCUGCGGGGCCGGGUGCGGGUCACCUCCCAUGAAAGGAGACGGAGCCGGCGCAGACACGGAUGGGACUCGGACGCGCGACGGAGGUGGUUGUCGAGGCGGGCGUGGAGACAGGGGUGGGUCACCGGGAUUCAUGGCAUGGUGGAGAUGCACGUGAGGAGGGGAGGAGGAGAGGGCGAGGGAAGGAGGGCGCCGCCGCCGGCGACGGGAAGGUAGGGUUAGAGAGGGGUGGCGGCGUCGAUCUGGAUCGGGGAGAGAGAGAGGGAGGCGGCGGGAGGAAGGAAGGGAGGAGAGGUGAGUGAUCUGGGUAGGGUUUGGUGCGGUGGGUUUCUUCAGAUGGAUGGAUUGUUGGAUUGGUAGCAAUGGAUGGAUAGAUGUAUGCCAUGUCAUCGAUCCGUGUGACAGAUGGUUCCACCAAUCAGAAUCUAGCAUAUGUGAUUGUGUUUUUCUCUUUUGUUUCUUUUAUAUUUUUUACCCUCUUAUUUCGGGUAAACACACAACAUAUUAGCCUCAUGUUGUAUGUUUAAAUGACCCAAUAUUGCGCACAUAUGUGUAUCUUAGGAUUUCAAACAAUGAUGAUUUUGUGGUCUUCAUUUGCAUUGCACACAAAAAUCAUUUUCCAUUUUUGAGUGCUCAAAAUGGUUUUUUUAUGAAGGACCUACCAUAUAUUUGUUGAUAAAGUAGACCGCGACAUUUUUAGAAAAUACUAGGACAUAUUUAAUGCACAAUAGACAAAAUGGUUGGGUGUCCAAAACUUUUGUCCACCUCUCGUGAAAAAGACAAAUUUCUGCCGAUUCAGCUGGAACCGGGUCAUAUUUGAACUGCAGCUGCCCCAUAGUUUGCUCUUUAUUUUUUGCAAAAAUCAUUUUUAGGUACUUAAGUAUCUAUUUAAUCAGAGAAACACCAAAAAAAUUCCAAGAUUUAACAACUAGCUAGAAACGGUCAUUCCCGCCGUUUUGACCGUAGUUUGAAACAUGCAUAAAAAAUACAAAAAAAAUCAAAAAAUUGGAAAACCUUCGCAUUGUUUCAUUGUAUAUGACCAAGUUACCGGGAAAAAUAAUAAACUUGUAAUAUGACAAUUAUUUUAGAAAAGUGUUCUCAGAAAUGAGCUAUCAUGUGAGAAGAUUCAUGGCUAUCAGCCCAAAUGCUCAAUCUUAUGGCCACAUUCAUGGCAUAGUUUGUUUAAAUGAUCUAAUAUUGUGCACAAUGGUGCGUAUUGGAAUGGCAAACAAUGUUGCCUAAGGAAGUUUUCAUUUUCUUUGGACGAAAAAUACAUUUUCCAUUUUUCGAGUGUCCAAAAUGAUUUUUUUGUGUGAAGGACCUACCAUAUAUUUGUUGAAAAAUUGUCCCAUAUCAAUUUUCUAAAAUAUUAGGACAUAUUUAAUGCACAAUUGACCAAAUGGUUGGGUAUCAAAAGCUUUGAUCCACCUCUCGUGAAAAAGACAAAUUUCUGUCGAUUCAGGUGGAACCGGGUCAAAUUUGAACUGCAGCUACCUCAUAGUUUUCUCUUUAUUUUUUGCAAAAUUCAUUUUUAGGUACUUAAGUAUCUAUUUAAUCAGAGAAACACCAAAAAAAUUCCAACAUUUUACAACUAGCUAGGAACGGUCAUUCCCGCCGUUUUGACCGCAGUUUGAAACGUCCAUACAAAAUUAAAAAAAUUAAAAAAAUGGAAAACCUUCGCAUUGUGUCAUUAUAUGUGACCAAGUUACCAGGAAAAAAUAAUAAACUUUUAAUAUGACAAUUAUUUUGGAAAAGCUUUCUCAGAAAUGAGCUAUCAUGUGUGAAGAUUCAUGGCUUUCAACCCAAAUGCUCAAUCUUAUGGCCACAUUCAUGGCAUAGUUUGUUUAAAUGAUCUAAUAUUGUGCACAAGGGUGCAUAUUGGAAUGACAAACAAUGUUGCCUAAGGAAGUUUUCAUUUUCUUUAAAUGGAAAAUUUAUUUUCCAUUUUCCGAGUGCCCAAAAUGAGUUUUUUUUUGUGAAAGACCUACCAUAUAUUUGUUGUAAAAUUGUACCAAAUCAAUUUUCUAAAUUACUAGGACAUAUUCAAUGCACAAUUGACAAAGUGGUUGGGUAUCCAAAGCUUUUAUCCACCUCUCAUGAAAAAGACAAAUUUCCGUCGAUUAAGUUGGAAACGGGUAAAAUUUGAAUUGCAGGUGCGUUAUAUUUGCCCUUUAUUUUUUCCAAAAAUCAUUUAUAGUUACAUAAGUAUCUAUUUAAUCAGAGAAACACCAAAUUUUUUUCAAGAUUUAACCACUAGCUAGGAACGGUCAUUCCCGCCGUUUUGUCCGCAGUUUGAAACGUCCAUAAAAAAUUAAAAAAAUUAAAAAAUUGGAAAACCUUCGCAUUGUGUCAUUAUAUGUGACCAAGUUACCGGGAAAAUGAAUAAACUUGUAAUAUGACAAUUAUUUUAGAAAAGUGUUCUCAGAAAUGAGCUAUCAUGUGUGAAGAUUCAUGGCUUUCAACCCAAAUGCUCAAUCUUAUGGCCACAUUCAUGGUAUAGUUUGUUUCAAUGAUCUAAUAUUGUGCACAAGGGUGCAUAUUGGAAUGACAAACAAUGUUGCCUAAGGAAGUUUUCAUUUUCUUUGGAUGGAAAAUUCAUUUUCCAUUUUUCGAGUGCCCAAAAUGAGUUUUUUUGUGAAGGACCUACCAUAUAUUUGUUGCAAAAUUGUACCAAAUCAAUUUUCUAAAUUACUAGGACAUAUUUAAUGCAUAAUUGACAAAAUGGUUGGGUGUCCAAAGCUUUUAUCCACCUCUCAUGAAAAAGACAAAUUUCCGCCGAUUCAGUUAGAAACGGGUCAAAUUUGAACUGCAGGUGCCUUAUAGUUUGCCCUUUAUUUUUUCCAAAAAUAAUUUAUAGUUACAUAAGUAUCUAUUUAAGCAUAAAUACAUGGUUUGGUGGCGAUAUGUCGACGUUUGGACGGUGGCCCAGGGCCCCAACUCCAAAGCGCGUAAACUCGCAUGCCCACCGCGUGGUCACCGUGUGACCGUGGCGUUGCCAUGCUUUCUGGCGGCCUAGGCAUGUCUAGUGGGUUGGUCACUCCUCAGGUAGGUGCUAGGAAGAAAAAUACAACAUAAGAUUCUCAUGAGGAGACCAAACUAUGCUCAAACAUGAAUUAACAGCCAAGUGUUUGAUUAGCGGUACGGGAAAUGCACAUGGCCAAUGGGCGUGAGUUUUGGCUGAGGAUGAUCAUCUACUAGGGAGACUGGCUUGGCAAAAUUUCAGCUAAAAUGGAGGAGCGUAGAUGGCACUUGCUUUGCAAAGUACCACAUCGGGAAUAAAUAUGAAUGUUCAAGCUGGGCUCAAAAUAAGGAAUGGAUUGAGCUGAAAUUUGGCGGAGGAUGGUUAUUUGGGCAUAGGAAAGCAUUGUAGAAAAUUGAUACCAUUUGGACAUGCCAAAGUUGGUACUUCCUUCAAAAUGCUCUUCUCUGGACAAAAACUUGGGAAAAUUAGCGAGAGAAAUUGGAUAAAUGAAAUGAGCUCAAAUUUGGUGUAGGUAAGAUACAUAGGUAUGGUCAUGCCCUGGUAAAUUUUCAGAUCAUUUGUGUAAGCCUAGACAGUACUUACUUCACAAAGCUUCUCUCGAGAUAGAAACUUUGGAAAUUUUCUGAGAAAAAUUUACCAGGAAAAUGGAGCUGAAUAUCAUCAUGUGGCAAUGAUUUGGGUAUGGAAGAGUGCCCAAAAAGUUUGAGGGUAAUAGGAGGGGUCUAGGUAACACUUGCUUUGCAGUGUGCCAAUCUGGCCAUAAAAUAUAAAUUGAACCUGGGCUCACAUAGAUGAUUUGACUGAGCUGCAAUUUGGAGGAGGGUGAUAAUUUGGGCAUAUGAAGGAACUGUAUAAAUUUCAUGUCAUUUGGAUAUAUAAAAAUGGUACUUCCUUCACAAUGCUUCUAGGUGGACAAAAACUUUGGAAAUUUGCCGAGGAAAAUUUACUGGGCAAAUGCAGCUGAAUUUUGUCAUGAGGCAAUGAUUUGGAUAGGAAAGAGUGCCCAAAAAUGUUGAGGGCAAUCAAGAAUAUAUAAAUAGCACUUCCUUCACAAAGCGUUGUUGUGAACAGAAUAGGAAAAUGAAUAUUGUUGAAUUAUUUUUGAACUAGGCAAGGAAAGAUUUUUACAUAUUUGACGAAGAUAUGACCCAAAGAAUUUAUGAGAUUUUUUUGGGAAUUUUGGGUUGAUAGAAAUAUAGGUUGCUUCACAACCUAGGGCAAAAAUUGACACAUGGACAUGACACAUAGGCAAAACUGAUGAGGUGGUGCCUAGUCAUAGCAACCCACCACAAUUUACAAGGUUAUAACCAUCUAUAUUGGUCGUGAUCAGCUAGAAAUAAGGCAGCGGACCAGUGCUGUAUGCUUUAUGACCAUUUCGUGUAAGAAAAUUACGACCUUUCUGAACAAAAUGGUCGAUAUAGUUUAGGGUUUGGAGCCCCCCGAACAGCUUUUGACCAAUUAUUCUCAAAUGGUCGUAGAUUUAUGACCAAUUCUUCUAGGGUCACUGACAGAAGGUCACAAGUUGACAUAUUUCUUGUAGUGCCAAAAAAUACACAGGCGAACACUAUACUGGGCCGCGAAAGGGGUUCAUUUCUUCCUUGAUAUCUCUAUUUGCUUCUUCAUUAACUUGGGAUUGAAUUAGUUCCUGGUUUUCCCGCGAGUCGUGCUGAGCAACGUGAGGUUACCCAUGUAAUGGCCCGUGGGCCGCCUAUAUUCACAGGGAGGUAACUGCCAUUUUACUCACCCCACUAUCCCUGCCGUUGCCGCCACGUACACCGCAUGCAUUGUGCAGGGUUGGUGGAGGAUGAGUAGGGCGCAUGAAUGCGUGCCAUAGCAGAAAGCUCGGCACUAUGCAUAGGCGUAUGGGGGGACGGUGGGCAAUCCCGUAUGCUGCCAAUGACACAGACGGCCUAGAUUGGUGGAGCAUGGUGGUUGCCAUGGGGUAAUGGGGAGCUAGCCCCCAGCCACGAUCCACUAUAAAAGGGGAGUGCUGAGGUGGGCGAAAGGACUCACCCGCGCACAUCUCUCUUCUUCUUCUAGUGCUCCUCCUCCACUAUGGUGAGAGGAAGAGGGCGUGGUCGACCCCCAGCGGCGGCGACAAGGGUUUCCUCCAGGCACCAUGUCCCUUCCCCUGUUGGUGAUGCGGGGGCAGAGUCUAGUGCGCAGAGCGGAGCUGUAGGAUGCGGUCGUGGCCGACGGGUUGCUCGUGGCCGAGGGGGGCGUGGCGCUCGGGGCCGAGGGGGGCGCACCGGUGUUGUGGUUGCUCCACCUCUGGUUGCUUCUGCUUUGAAGGAUGGCCACAUAGGGGACACACCGCUGGAGUUCAUCAUUAGGCUGCGCGAGGCUCCGCGCAGCCAUCUUCGCUUUCCUACUCCUUUGCAAGGGUGAUGGAGGUUGAACAGCCGCAUGCGCUGAAGUUGCACAUGAGGGGUUGCUGUAAUAGCAGCAUGCGGGUGGACGUGGAGUUCCCCGCACCUCACGUCAUGCUUCUCCGGCAUGGCUGGAAUGUUGGGGAACGUAGUAAUUUCAAAAAAAUUCCUACGCACACGCAAGAUCAUCGUGAUGCAUAGCAACGAGAGGGGAGAGUGUUGUCUACGUACCCUCGUAAACCAUAAGCGGAAGCUUUAUGACAACGCGGUUGAUGUAGUCGUACGUCUUCACGAUCGACCGAUGUAACGCCCACGAUGCGGCUAUAUCUCCCACGUGUCGAGGCACGACUUGGAGGCAUAACCGCAUGGUGGUUUUGUCGCAAGAAGGGUCAUCUUCACACAAUCCCAUGUAAUGAACAAGAAUGGGAUAAAGAGUUGGCUUACAGUCGCCACUUCACACAAUACAUAAAUUAAACAUACAUCAUUCAGAGUACAAUCAAGGUCCGACUACGGAACCAAAAAAAAAGACAACCCCAAAUGCUAGAUCCCCGAUCGUCCCAACUAGGCUCCACUACUGAUCAUCAGGAAACGAAACAUAGUAAUGACCAAGGUCCUCGUCGAACUCCCACUUGAGCUCAGUUGCGUCACCGGCACUGGUAUCAACGGCACCUGCAACUGUUUUGGUAGAAUCUGUGAGUCACGAGGACUCAGCAAUCUCACACCCGCGAGAUCAAGACUAUUUAAGCUUAUAGGAAGGAUGGGGUAAUGAGGUGGAGCUGCAGCAAGCACUAAGCAAAUAUGGUGGCUAACAUACGCAAAUAAGAGCGAGAAGAGGAGCAACGCAACAGUCGCGAAGCUAGAAGUGAUCAAGAAGUGAUCCUGAAACUGCUUACGUUCAUACAUAACCCAAACCGUGUUCACUUCCCGGACCCCGCCGAAAAGAGACCAUCAGGGCUACACACGCGGUUGACGUAUUUUAAUUAAGUCAAGUGUCAAGUUCUCUACAACCGGAUAUUAACAAAUUCCCAUCUGCCACAUAACCGCGGGCACGGCUUUCGAAAGAUAAUACCCUGCAGGGGUGUCCCAACUUAGCCCAUCACAAGCUCUCACGGUCAACGAAGGAUAUUCCUUCUCCCGGGAAGACCCGAUCAGACUCGGAAUCCCGGUUACAAGACAUUUCGACAAUGGUAAAAUAAGACCAGCAAAGCCGCCCGGUGUGCCGACAAAUCCCGAUAGGAGUCGCACGUAGCUCGUUCUCAGGGCACACCGGAUGAGAUAGGCUACGAGUAAAACCAGACUUCGAGUUUCCCCGAGGUGGCCCCGUAGGCGGCUCGGUNNNNNNNNNNNNNNNNNNNNNNNNNNNNNNNNNNNNNNNNNNNNNNNNNNNNNNNNNNNNNNNNNNNNNNNNNNNNNNNNNNNNNNNNNNNNNNNNNNNNNNNNNNNNNNNNNNNNNNNNNNNNNNNNNNNNNNNNNNNNNNNNNNNNNNNNNNNNNNNNNNNNNNNNNNNNNNNNNNNNNNNNNNNNNNNNNNNNNNNNNNNNNNNNNNNNNNNNNNNNNNNNNNNNNNNNNNNNNNNNNNNNNNNNNNNNNNNNNNNNNNNNNNNNNNNNNNNNNNNNNNNNNNNNNNNNNNNNNNNNNNNNNNNNNNNNNNNNNCUAAAAUAAAGAUGACCCUCGGGCUCGCGAAAACCCAAGGGAAAGGUAUAGGAGGUAGCUAGUGAAAUGGUAAAACCAAGGUUGGGCCAUGCUGGAGGAGUUUUAUUCAAAGCGAACUGUCAAGGGGGUCCCAUAAAUCACCCAACCGCGUAAGGAACGCAAAAUCAAGGAACAUAACACCGGUAUGAUGGAAACUAGGGCGGCAAGAGUGGAACAAAACACCAGGCAUAAGGCCGAGCCUUCCACCCUUUACCAAGUAUAUAAAUGCAUUAAUUAAAUAAGAGAUAUUGUGAUAUGCCAAAAUAUCCAUGUUCCAACAUGGAACCAACUUCAACUAGCAACGCUAUAAGAAGGGCUGAGCAAAAGCGGUAACUUAGCCAAACAACGGUUUGCUAGGAAAGGUGGGGUUAGAGGCUUGACAUGGCAAUAUGGGAGGCAUGAUAUGGCAAGUGGUAGGUAGCGCGGCAUAGCAAUAGAGCGGAACAACUAGCAAGCAAAGAUAUAAGUGAUUUCGAGGGUAUGGUCAUCUUGCCUGAAAUUCCGCUAGGAAGAAGAUCAAGUCCAUGAACAUGACAAUCAGACGGAGUCGAACGAACCCUCACAACUCCGGAACGAAACCGAAGCUAACGAGAGAAGCAAACCGGAAAGAAGCAAACAACCUGGUAAACACACAAUCAUAAACAUGGCAUGAUGCACAAUCAAGUAUGAUGCAUGUCCGGUUUAAAUGAGGCAUGGCAUGGCAAAGUGCACAAACAAUACUACAAAUUAAGUGAAGCUCAAUAUGCAAUGAGUUGCAUAUUGACGAGACACCACAUCAAUUAUUUAGUUCUCUCUCGGUAAUGUACCCAAAAAUAUUAAAUGUUAUUAAACAUGGCAAUGGGUGAAGCAUAAGUAAACUAACUAUUUAGGCAAGUUUAAAUGAGGCAGGAACAACAAAUAAUAAUUCCGGAAAAUCCUCAUAUGCAUAUUUUGAAUUUGCUCCUGUUCUGUCCUAAAGCAUAUUUUAUUGUUGUUAAACAUGGAAGAUAGGUGCACCAUGUUAAACUAGGCAUUUUUCUACCCCAUUUACAUAUAAAGAACAUUUAAUUUGGAGCUACGGUUAAUUAGUUAUGAAAUAAUUCAUUUUAACAUGCUAUUUAUGCAAAUUAAUUCAAACAACACAUUUAAACAUCUUAAACAUGGAUGAAAGUGGUAUAUUAUGAAAAUAGAUGAAAUUCUAAGCAUUUUGCAUAUAUAAAACAUUUUAAACCGAUGCACAGUUGUGGAGUUAUUAAAUGCAUGAACAUGAGGGUGUAAUCUGUAAACAUGCAGUUCCCUGGUUACUUAUCAAGAUUGCAGAUCUGAAAAAAACCAUACGCGAGCCGAAUCUGGCUGGCCCUAUAGUGUAUAGGAAAGGGGCUGGAGGGGCUGCUCACCCAUGGGCUCGGCCCAGUCGGUGGAAGAGGCGCUGGGGCUUCGUGCUGGACGCGACCCAGGCGCGGGUCAACGCGCGGCGGCAGCGUGCGCUCGUUCUUUGCUCGAACGAGGACGAGGCAGAAGACAGGGGGCAAUGCAGGGGAAGCAGAGGCGCGGAACUUGGGGACGAGCGCUCCGGCAAGGGACUUGGCGAAGGCAGCGGAGAGGAGAAGGACUCCGGCGAGGACAGGCGCGAGCUCGGGCUACAAAUCGACGGGACUUGGGUCUCGGAGCAGCGGGGCGGCGGCCAUCCAUGGCGUCGGGCAGGGAGGCCCACGGACGGCGAAGACGGUGAGUGGACAAGGCGCUGCUGCGCUAGCGCGGCGCGCGAGGCUGAGGCCACAAGAAGGAACAGGUCUGGCGCUGCACGAAGCACCAAGGGGCGGCCAUGGCGUGGAGCUCCUGGUUCCUGCGGGGCAGAGAGAAAAACUGAGAGAAAGAGAGAGAUGCAGGGACGGAAAAGAGAAGAAAGGGAGGAGAGGCGACGAGGCCUGCUAGGAGUGGUUGCCGGCGGCGAGCUUCGCCGGGGGCAGCGGGGUCGCGAGGAGGUCAGAGGCGACAAGGGCGUGGAAGAAGGAGCUUGGGCUGCAGGAGAGUCCUGUUGGUGUUGCUGUUCGUCGCCGGCUGGGAGGGCCGGCUGGCUAUGCGAGAGCUCGAGGUCGGGGUUCGAACGAUGGUUGGCUGGGUUUGCAAAUCGAGGAGGUGGAUGGAGGGUGGAUCGACUAGAUGGAUGGAUCGAGGGGAUGGCUGGCUACGAGAUGGAUCUAGGAAGAUCCCGAGGUGGAAGAGGAGUGGGUAGUUGGCUGGCGGCGACGGGAUGGAUGGGAAAACUCUCCUCAAAUUUAGGGUUGGGUCAUUAUUUAUAGCAGAUGGAUUUAGGUUAGGGCUACCUCGUCCUUCCGAUCGCAAUCGGACGGUCGAGAAAUAAAUAGGUAGGGAGUCCAAAAAGAAAACGAAGAUAUUUUAUAGAUGUUUGGGGAUGAACUGAAUCCAACGGUGAUGACUGAGCAGGUCAGGUUCGGGGAAGUCUCGGACGCGCGCGAGGGGGUCAGUGCACUGUGCAGAAAGGGCCAAACGGUCGGACAACAAAAGAACGGUUGGUCUGAGAAACGUCAACGGAGGCGAGGGUGAAGCGGCAACUACGAACGGAUGCAAGUUUUAUGAAAACAUGUGAAUGCAAUGCACAUGGUGACAUGAUGAAAUGCAACAAGCAAAUAAAUCGCACGACGAAACUCGAAAUACAUGGAAGGCAUCAGAAGCGUCGGUCUUGGGGCGUUACAACACUCCACCACUACAAGAGGAUAUCGUCCCAAGAUCUAAGGAUGGCGCCGGAGAGAAACGGAAGAGGAAGAGGUAAAACAAAGUUGCUUCUUUGACAAACGAGUGAAACCCACAAACCUUGAGAGGUUGAACAAAUCGAAAGAAAGAAUACGAUGGAGGUGAACGAGAUUACAAACACUGUGUUAGCAGAGAAGAACAACGAACAUGAUGAGAACCAAGAGCUUAGGGGACAAGAUAGAUUUUGAAGCCACUCCGGUUAAAACAAGAUAGAGUUGGAUUAAGAAUGAUAUAAUUUGGACAGCACUCCGACUAAGAAUGGAAGGAAUUGAACAUGAUCUUGACAAGAUGAGAGGAUACUUGAUGAAGAAUGAGAGGAUACUUGAUGAAAUCAACAAACACUGCCUCCGGAACUAUUGGAAGAAUGGCACAAGGGGUAAGAAAGAUUUCAGACAGCGCUCCGGUUGAGAAGGGAGGCAAAACUUGAUAAGCUGAGAGAACUUAAAUGGAGGACGCGACACUCCGGUUGAAUGGAUAAGCAAAGGAAAGAACAUGAUCUUGAGAAAACGAGAUGAUUGGUCAAAGAGAGCAACAUCACAAUGCCUUCAGAACGAACGAAUAUAAGCUAGAUCGUCGGAAUAAGAGAACGGAGAAGGAAUGACAACUUCUACCACAAUUUAAUUUGGAAAGCAUCCUUGAAAGAAGGUUAGAGCGGAAUUGUUGGAAAACCAACAACGAAAGAAUAUGAUCCUCGUGGGCUUAUGGAGACAUCUCAAAACUUGAGGUGAAAUUCUGCCACUAACGAAAACAAUUGAUUGCUUGAGAGCGACACGGAGAUGAAAACUUGAUUCACCGCGAGAAUAGGAGAAAACCAUGGAUCAUUGAUAAGCACCACGAAUAGCAACAUUCCCAAUGGAAGGCUUUGGGUGAAAUAUAACCCAAGAUAACUCCAAUGAAGAAACGAUGGGUUUAAAUAUCUCAUUCUUGACAACAUGUGAAUCAUGAAACAUGAAUGAAACUGUCAAAAUGACAUAACACCACCUCAAAAGAUAUUGUAGAAAGAAUUGCACUUUGGAAUGCAAGAUGAAGAAUACUUGAACUCCUCAAAACAAAACAUGUGUUGAGCACCAUGUUUAUUUUGAAGUAUGGCUUGACGGAUCAUAACUUCGAGAGAAAUCUUGAAGAACAAUUGAAGAAUGAAAAGAAUCCUUGACGAACCACCAUGUGAACCUUCCAUGAAGAACUCCGGUAAAACAAGGAUGAUAGAAAGAGAGAAGUUGAAAACACAAGGCGAAGCCUUGCAAUGAUUUAGAUGGAGCUUCGCGACGAGAUAAUGCGGAAAAACUUGGAACUCCGGAAGAAGGAAUUAAUCACUUGGAUGAAACAAGAACAAGAAUUAUGUUAUACGUAUCCUUCACCAAUUUAGCUUGAUGACAAGCAACAGAUUUGGCAUACUACUUAUUCUCGUAGAAAGGAUUAAGACAGAUAUAGCGUAAACUUGAAGAAGGUAUUGAUGGAACCACCGGUGGGAUUUGGAAACAACGAAUGAAUUGAUACGAUGACAAAGGAAGAGAAAUCUUGAACGAACCACCAUAAGAAUUGAAAAUGAACGUAGCAAACGCACAAUUCACCGGGAAGAAUUAGAAAACGAAUGAGGAUACUUGACAGAAUUUAGAUACAUGAGAACGAAGAGAUCAUGAACUGAUUAGAGAAUACUUGAAUGAUGCACCGGUAAGAUUUGGAGAACAACAGCUACACGCUGAGAAUGAAUAAUUCUGAGAUGAUGGGCUCCGGAGAAUCAAACUGAAGAGACUCCCGAAAUGCUCCGGAUGGGUGAAAGAAUUCUCACAAUCGAAAACAAUUAUGAGAGGAUGGCAUCAAGCUUGAACUACGCAUCUUUAAGAGAACGGAGCAAGAUUUAAGAGAAAAUCUUCUUCAGUUUUCAAAUGCAGAGAAUGACGACAAGAGACACCACUAUGAAUUGUUGAGGCACUCCGGAAUGAAAAUUAGAAAGAUUGAACGAACGGUGAAAAGAAUUUGAAAGAUCUUGGAGAAAGACGUUUAACUGAUGAUAACUCAUUCUUACGUCAAACUUUGAACUGAAUUUGGGAAUAGCUCCGGGAAGAAUUAGAAGAGUCAGGUAAGAUCCUGGAAAAGACCUGUGGGUUAGGGCCCAGUCAAAAGAAACACCGUUGAACGAUUUAAAAGAGAGAUUACGCCGGUUGAUUUAAAUGGCUUGAAUGAGAUAACAACCUCGAGAUAGAUUGAACAGAUCUUGAAUGAAAAGACAAGCCUUCUGAGAUAUCUUCAGCGCUCCAGAACAAUUGAAUAGCGAGAAGUGGAUGAUUAAGAGGUGCACCGGCAUGAGAAAACAUUUGAAACAAGGAAAAGGAUAUGAUCGAUGAAGCUUGAAUUGAAUCCACCGGAGAAGAAAAGAGAGCGAAGAAUGAUAAACUUGAAGCUUCGUUAGUAUUUUCCUGAGAAUCACCGGAUAAGAACAUUGGCGGAAAAAAUGGAGAGACUUCACAUCCAUAAAAUAGAUACUUGAUUAAGAUAUCUGAGUCCUUGAAGAAAAGGGUGGGAGGGCGGGAAAAACAAAGACAACUUGGGACGGAUGAAGCAAACACCGUUGCAAAGAACUGAGAAUUGAUCUCGCGAAUGUUGAAAUGAUCGGAUCCACUUGAAAAAGAGCACGUCGGUUGGAAAAGAAUUGAAAAGACAACCUUGAUGAUCAAGAAGGAUUAUCAUCCACAUAGAAUUAUGAGAACACCGCUUAGAAUAAGGUAUGGAAUCAACACUUGGCAUUGAAGCAACUCAAAUACCACAAAACAAAACGAAAACAAAGGAUUUGGCUUGCAGAAUAAGCCGGAACAAACAUAUGAUAGAGAUUUCGUCCGAAGUUUUCGUGGUGGGACCCACACGGGCUCGAUCGUACAACACCAUCAUGUACAAGGCAGUGCACAUGACAUACGAAGCGUCCCCGAGUCAGCAUAGCCAAGGACUCUUUAAGACACAACGAGACCACUGUAAAACCAACCGUGGAUAGGCGGACCACUAGACGUCGAACCCCAAUCUCAUAUCAUGCAUCUGUCGGAAAAGAUAUCCUAGGAGCUACUUGAAUUCCCACUUAUAAACUCCCAAAACUUUCUGGUUAUGCAAUCAGGUGUUGGGGAUAUAGGGGACGCAAUAUAUCUCACCCAAAUUAACAAUACCUAGAUCCAGCUGUAUCCAUCCUUCAACACAUAACCAAGAAACCUUCGGAAAUCAUUUACCUCAACCUUCGAAAAGCAUCUGUUAUACAAGUUAUGGCAAUACUCCCGAAGUCCCGCCCCAGUACUGGGUGGCGUCGAGGUGAUCUCACCAACAACUGCAUAAAAGAGAUUUUCGAUGUCGGCGAAACUCAGGUAUUCCAGAACUGCAACGAUAAAAUUGUGACGACAACACCUCAGAGCUCAACUCCCCGGGACACUGCCACAACCCCUAAAUGUCAGGAGGCACCAAGAACAAUGUUCUCGUCACAAAACCAUCGAAACGAUUCCAAGAUACCCGCGUGAUCCUAAUUUUUUUUUCAUGAAAUUUGAGGAGAGGAGAGUCAAAACUUCUACGUUAGGGGGCCUCACCAGAAGGACGAAUGGACUGAGGAGUAAAAGAAUCCUACUCUCCGAUAUAUAUAAUCCUAAGACUCAAAACAUUUUUUUCUAGACUCAACAACGCUAGCGAUUCGAUCAAGCAGGGGGCUCCUAAGUCCGAGAUGGCUCUGAUUACCAACUUGUAAUGCCCACGAUGCGGCUAUAUCUCCCACGUGUCGAGGCACGACUUGGAGGCAUAACCGCAUGGUGGUUUUGUCGCAAGAAGGGUCAUCUUCACACAAUCCCAUGUAAUGAACAAGAAUGGGAUAAAGAGUUGGCUUACAGUCGCCACUUCACACAAUACAUAAAUUAAACGUACAUCAUUCAGAGUAUAAUCAAGGUCCGACUACGGAAUCAAAAUAAAAAAAACAACCCCAAAUGCUAGAUCCCCGAUCGUCCCAACUGGGCUCCACUACUGAUCAUCAGGAAACGAAACAUAGUAAUGACCAAGGUCCUCGUCGAACUCCCACUUGAGCUCAGUUGCGUCACCGGCACUGGUAUCAACGGCACCUGCAACUGUUUUGGUAGAAUCUAUGAGCCACGAGGACUCAGCAAUCUCACACCCGCGAGAUCAAGACUAUUUAAGCUUAUAGGAAGGAUGGGGUAAUGAGGUGGAGCUGCAGCAAGCACUAAGCAAAUAUGGUGGCUAACAUACGCAAAUAAGAGCGAGAAGAGGAGCAACGCAACGGUCGCGAAGCUAGAAGUGAUCAAGAAGUGAUCCUGAAACUGCUUACGUUCAUACAUAACCCAAACCGUGUUCACUUCCCGGACCCCGCCGAAAAGAGACCAUCACGACUACACACGCGGUUGACGUAUUUUAAUUAAGUCAAGUGUCAAGUUCUCUACAACCGGAUAUUAGCAAAUUCCCAUCUGCGACAUAACCGUGGGCACGGCUUUCAAAAGAUAAUACCCUGCAGGGGUGUCCCAACUUAGCCCAUCACAAGCUCUCACGGUCAACGAAGGAUAUUCCUUCUCCCGGGAAGACCCGAUCAGACUCAGAAUCCCGGUUACAAGACAUUUCGACAAUGGUAAAAAAAGACCAGCAAAGCCGCCCGAUGUGCCAACAAAUCCCGAUAGGAGUUGCACGUAUCUCGUUCUCCGGGCACACCGGAUCAGACAGGCUACGAGUAAAACCAGACUUCGAGUUUCCCCGAGGUGGCCCCGCAGGCGGCUAAGGAAUGCAAAAUCAAGGAACAUAACACCGGUAUGACGGAAACUAGGGCGGCAACAGUGGAACAGAACACCAGGCAUAAGGCCGAGCCUUCCACCCUUUACCAAGUAUAUAGAUGCAUUAAUUAAAUAAGAGAUAUUGUGAUAUGCCAAAAUAUCCAUGUUCCAACAUGGAACCAACUUCAACUUCACCUGCAACUAGCAACGCUAUAUGAAGGGCUGAGCAAAAGCGGUAACUUAGCCAAACAACGGUUUGCUAGGAAAGGUGGGUUAGAGACUUGACAUGGCAAUAUGGGAGGCAUGAUAUGGCAAGUGGUAGGUAGCGCGGCAUAGCAAUAGAGAGGAACAACCAGCAAGCAAAGAUAGAAGUGAUUUCGAGGGUAUGGUCAUCUUGCCUGAAAUUCUGCUAGCAAGAAGAACAAGUCCAUGAAGAUGACAAUCAGACGGAGUCAAACGAACCCUCACAACUCCGGAACGAAACCGAAGCUAACGAGAGAAGCAAACCGGAAAGAAGCAAACAACCUGGUAAACACACAAUCAUAAACAUGGCAUGAUGCACAAUCAAGUAUGAUGCAUGUCCGGUUUAAAUGAGGCAUGGCAUGGCAAAGUGCACAAACAAUACUACAAAUUAAGUGAAGCUCAAUAUGCAACGAGUUGCAUAUUGACGAGACACCACAUCAAUUAUUUAGUUCUCUCUCGGUAAUGUACCCAACAAUAUUAAAUGUUAUUAAACAUGGCAAGGGGUGAAGCAUAAGUAAACUAACUAUUUAGGCAAGUUUAAAUAAGGACGGAACAACAAAUAAUAAUUCCGGAAAAUCCUCAUAUGCAUAUUUUGAAUUUGCUACUGUUCUGUCCUAAAGCAUAUUUUAUUGUUGUUAAACAUGCAACAUAGGUGCACCAUGUUAAACUAGGCAUUUUCUACCCCAUUUACAUAUAAAGAACAUUUAAUUUGGAGCUAUGGUUAAUUAGUUAUGAAAUAAUUCAUUUUAACAUGCUAUUUAUGCAAAUUAAUUCAAACAACACAUUUAAACAUCUUAAACAUGGAUGAAAGUGGUAUAUUAUGAAACUAGAUGAAAUUCUAAGCAUUUUGCAUAUAUAAAACAUUUUAAACCGAUGCACAGUUGUGGAGUUAUUAAAUGCAUGAACAUGAGGGUGCAAUCUGUAAACAUGCAGUUCCCUGGUUACUUAGCAAAAUCACAGAUCUGAAAAAAACAUACGCGGGCCUAAUCUGGCUGGCCCGAUAGUGUACAGGAAAGGGGCUGGAGGGGCUGCUCACCCAUGGGCUCGGCCCAGUCGGUGUAAGAGGCACUGGGCCUUCGUGCUGGACGCGAUCCAGGCGUGGGUCAAUGCGCGGCGGUAGCGUGCGCUCGUUCUCUGCUCGAACGAGGACGAGGCAGAAGACAGGGGGCGAUGCAGGGGAAGCAGAGGUGCGGAACUUGGGGACGAGCGCUCCGGCGAGGGACUUGGCGAAGGCAGCGGCGAGGAGAAGGACUCCGGCGAGGACAGGCGCGAGCUCGGGCUACAGAUCGACGGGACUGGGGUCUCGGAGCACCGGGGCGGCGGCCAUCCAUGGCGUCGGGCUGGGAGGCCCACGGGCGGCAAAGACGACGAGUGGACAAGGCGCUGCUGCGUUGGCGUGGCGCGUGAGGCUGAGGCCACAGGAAGGAACAUGUCAGACGCUGCACGAAGCACCAAGGGGCGGCCAUGGCGUGGAGCUCCUGGUUCCUGCGGGGCAGAGAGAAAAACUGAGAGAAAGAGAGAGAUGCAGGGAUGGAAAAGAGAAGAAAGGGAGGAGAGGCGACGAGGCCUGCUGGGAGUGGUUGCCGGCGGCGAGCUUCGCCGGGGGCAGCGGGUUCGCGAGGAGGUCGGAGGCGAUAAGGGCGUGGAUGAAGGAGCUCGGGCUGCAGGAGAGUCCUGUUGGUGUUGCUGUUCGUCGCCGGCGAGGAGGGACGGCUGGCUAUGCGAGAGCUCGAGGUCAGGGUUUGAAUGAUGGUUGGCUGGGUUUGCAAAUCGAGAAGGUGGAUGGAGGGUGGAUCGACUAGAUGGAUGGAUCGAGGGGAUGGCUGGCUACGAGAUGGAUCUGGGAAGAUCCCGGGGUGGAAGAGGAGUGGGUAGUUGGCUGGCGGCGACGGGAGGGAUGGGACAACUCUCCUCAAAUUUGGGGUUGGGUCAUUAUUUAUAGCAGAUGGAUUUAGGUUAGGGCUACCUCAUCCCUCCGAUCGCAAUCUGACGGUCGAGAAAUAAAUAGGUAGGGAGUCCAAAAAGGAAACGGAGAUAUUUUAUAGAUGUUUGGGGAUGAACUGAAUCCAACGGUGAUGACUGAGCAGGUCAGGUUCGGGGAAGUCUCGGACGCGUGCGAGGGGGUCAGUGCACUAUGCAGAAAGGGCCAAACGGUCGGACAACAAAAGAACGGUUGGUCUGAGAAACGUCAACGGAGCCGAGGGUGAAGCGGCAACUACGAACGGAUGCAAGUUUUAUGUAAACAUGUGAAUGCAAUGCACAUGAUGAAAUGCAACAAGCAAAUAAAUCGCACGACGAAACUCGAAAUACAUGGAAGGCAUCAGAAGCGUCGGUCUUGGGGCGUUACAACCGAUCCUAGCACCGAAGGUAUGACACCUCCGCGAUCUGCACACGUUCGGCUCGGUGACGUCCCACGAACUGACGAUCCAGCAGAGUGUGAUGUCUACUACGCAACCUUCUUCCUGUAGAUGUUGUUGGGCCUCCAAGUGCAGAGGUUUGUAGGACAGUAGCAAAAUUCCCUCAAGUGGAUGACCUAAGGUUUAUCAAUCCAUGGGAGGUGUAGGAUGAAGAUGGUCUCUCUCAAACAACCCUGCAACCUAAUAACAAAGAGUCUCUUGUGACCCAACACACCCAAUACAAUGGUAAAUUGUAUAGGUGCACUAGUUUGGCGAAGAGAUGGUGAUACACGUGCAAUAUGGAUGGUAGAUAUAGGUUUUUGUAAUCUGAAAAAUAUAAAACAGCAAGGUAACUAAUGAUAAAAGUGAGCACAAACGGUAUUGCAAUGAGUAGAAACAAGGCCUAGGGUUCAUACUUUCACUAGUGCAAGUUCUCUCAACAAUAAUAACAUAAUUGGAUCAUAUAACUAUCCCUCAACAUGCAACAAAGAUUCACUCCAAAGUCACUAAUAGCAGAGAACAAACGAAGAGAUUAUUGUAGGGUACGAAACCACCUCAAAUUUAUCCUUUCUGAUUGAUCUAUUCAAGAGUCCGUAGUAAAAUAACGUGAAGCUAUUCUUUCCAUUCGAUCUAUCAUAGAGUUCAUACUAGAAUAACACCUUAAGACACAAAUCAACCAAAACCCUAAUGUCACCUAGAUACUCCAAUGUCACCACAAGUAUCCGUGGGUAUGAUUAUACGAUAUGCAUUACACAAUCUCAGAUUCAUCUAUUCAACCAACACAAAGAACUUCAAAGAGUGCCCCAAAGUUUGUACCGGAUAGUCAAGACGAAAACGUGUGCCAACCCCUAUGCAUAAGUUCACAAGGUCACUGAACCCGCAAGUUGAUCACCAAAACAUACAUCAAGUAGAUCACGUGAAUAUCCCAUUGUCACCACAGAUAAGCACAUGCAAGACAUACAUCAAGUGUUCUCAAAUCCUUAAAGACUCAAUCUGAUAAGAUAACUUCAAAGGGAAAACUCAAUCCAUUACAAGAGAGUAGAGGGGGGGAAACAUCAUAAGAUCCAAAUAUAAUAGCAAAGCUCGCGAUACAUCAAGAUCGUGCCAAAUCAAGAACACGAGAAAGAGAGAUCAAACACAUAGCUACUGGUACAUACCCUCAGCCCCGAGGGUGAACUACUCCCUCCUCAUCAUGGAGAGCGCCGGGAUGAUGAAGAUGGCCACCAGAGAUGGAUCCCCCCUCCGGCAGGGUGCCGGAACAGGGCCCCGAUUGGUUUUUGGUGGCUACAGAGGCUUGCGGCGGCGGAACUCUUGAUCUAGGUUAUGUUCUAGGGGUUUAUGUAUAUAUAAGAGGUUUUGGCGUAGGUCUCAUGUCAGGGGGGUCUCCGAGUCGUCCACGAGAUAGGGGCCCACGCCCAGGGGGGUGGGCGCGCCCUCCACCCUCGUGGACGGCUCGACUCUUCUGGCCCAACUCUUUCACUCCGGGGGCUUCUUUUGGUCCAUAAAAAAUCAUCAAAAAUUGGCACGUCAAUUGGACUCCGUUUGAUAUUCCUUUUCUGUAAAACUCAAAAACAAGGAAAAACAGAAACUUGCACUGGGCUCUAGGUUAAUAGGUUAGUCCCAAAAAUCAUAUAAAAUAGCAUAUAAAUGCAUAUAAAACAUCCUAGAUGGAUAAUAUAAUAGCAUGGAGCAAUAAAAAAUUAUAGAUAUGUUGGAGACGUAUCAAGCAUCCCCAAGCUUAAUUCCUGCUCGUCCUCGAGUAGGUAAAUGAUAAAAACAGAAUUUUUGAUGUGGAAUGCUACCUAACAUAUUUAUCAAUGUAAUUUUCUUUAUUGUGGCAAGAAUAUUCAGAUCCAUAAGAUUCAAGACAAAAGUUUAAUAUUGACAUAAAAACAAUAAUACUUCAAGCAUACUAACCAAGCAAUUAUGUCUUCUCAAAAUAAUAUAGCCAAAGAAAGCUCAUCCCUACAAAAUCAUAUAGUUUUUCCAUGCUUCAUCUUCGUCACACAAAAUACUCAAAUCAUGCACAACCCCGGUUUCAGCCAAGCAAUUGUUUCAUACUUUAGCAUUUUCAAACUUUUUUCAACUUUCACGCAAUACAUGAGCGUGAGCCAUGGACAUAGCACUAUGAGUGGAAUAGAAUAUAAUGAUGGGGGUUGUGUGGAGAAGACAAAAAAGGAGAAAGUCUCACAUUGACUCGCUAAUCAACGGGCUAUGGAGAUGCCCAUCAAUUGAUGCCAAUGCGAGGAGUAGGGAUUGCCAUGCAACGGAUGCACUAGAGCUAUAAAUGUAUGAAAGCUCAACAAUAGAAUCUAAGUGGGUGUGCAUCCAACUUGCUUGCUCACGAAGACCUAGGGCAUUUUGAGGAAGCCCAUUGUUGGAAUAUACAAGCCAAGUUCUAUAAUGAAAAUUCCCACUAGUAUAUGAAAGUGACAACAUAGGAGACUCUCUAUCAUGAAGAUCAUGGUGCUACUUUGAAGCACAAGUGUGGUAAAAGGAUAGUAGCAUUGUCCCUUCUCUCUUUUUCUCUCAUUUUUUUUGUUUUUUUGCCUUCUUUUUUUAUUUGGCCUUUCUCUUUUUUUAUUUUUAUUUUUUUCCCUUCGUCCGGAGUCUCAUCCUGACUUGUGGGGGAAUCAUAGUCUCCAUCAUCCUUUCCUCACAUGGGACAAUGCUCUAAUAAUGAAGAUCAUCACACUUUUAGUUACUUACAACUCGAUACUAGAACAAAAUAUGACUCUAUAUGAGUGCCUCCGGCGGUGUACCGGGAUGGGCAAGGAAUCAAGAGUGACAUGUAUGAAAAAUUAUGCAUGGUGGCCUUGCCACAAAUACGAUGUGAACUACAUGAUCAUGCAAGGCAAUAUGACAAUGAUGAAGCGUGUCAUAAUAAACGGAACGGUGGAAAGUUGCAUGGCAAUAUAUCUCAGAAUGGCUAUGGAAAUGCCAUAAUAGGUAGAUAUGGUGGCUGUUUUGAGGAAGAUAUAAGGAGGUUUAUGUGUGAUAGAGCAUAUCAUAUCACAGGGUUUGGAUGCACCGGCGAAGUUUGCACCAAAUCUCAAGGUGAGAAAGGGCAAUGCACGGUACCAAAGAGGCUAGCAACGAUGGAAAGGUGAGAGUGCGUAUAAUCCAUGGACUCAACAUUAGUCAUAAAGAACACACAUACUUAUUGCAAAAAUCUACAAGUCAUCAAAACAAAGUACUACAUGCAUGCUCCUAGGGGAAGGGUUGGUAGGAGUUAACCAUCGCGCGAUCCCGACCUCCACACAAAGGAUGACAAUCAAAGAAAUACCUCAUGCUUCAAAUUUGUUACACAACGGUUACCAUACGUGCAUGCUGCGGGACUUGCAAACCUCAACACAAGUAUUUCUCAAAUUCACAAUUACCAUACUAGCAUGACUCUAAUAUCACCAUCUUCAUAUCUCAAAACAAUCAUCAAGUAUCAAACUUCUCAUAGUAUUCAAUGCACUUUAUAUGAAAGUUUUUAUUAUAUCCCUCUUGGAUGCCCAUCAUAUUAGGACUAAAUUCAUAACCAAAGAAAAUUACCAUGUUGUUCUAAAGACUCUCAAAAUAAUAUAAGUGAAGCAUGAGAGUUCAUCUAUUUCUUCAAAAUAAAACUACCGUUGUGCUCAAAAAGAUAUAAGUGAAGCACUAGAGCAAACGACAAACUACUCCGAAAGAUAUAAGUGAAGAUCAAUGAGUAGUUGAAUAAUUAUGUAACUAUGUGAAGACUCUCUAACAUUUAAGAAUUUCGGAUCUUGAGAUAUUAUUCAAACAUCAAGCAAAACAAAAAAAAAUGGCAUUUCAAGGAUAGCACACAUCAUGUGAAGAAGCAAAAACUUAGGUUCAACCGAUACUAACCGAUAAUUGUUGAAGAAGAAAGGUGGGAUGCCUACCGGGGCAUCCCAAAGCUUAGAUGCUUAAUACUUCUUGAAAUAUUAUCUUGGGGUUCCUUGGGCAUCCCCAAGCUUGAGCUUUUCUGUCUCCUUAAUUCCUCUCAUACCACGGUUUGCUAAAUCUCGAAAGCUUCAUCCACACCAAACUCAACAAGAACUCGUGAGAUAAGUUAGUAUAAACCAAUGCAAAAACCUUAUCAUUUUCUACUGUAACAAAUCACUAAAAUUAUUAUUCAACAUUGCAUACUAAAUGCCUCUGCAUAUUUUAUACUCCUAUCCUCAAAUAGAAUCAUUAAACAAGCAAACAUAUGCAAACAAUGCAAACAUAACAGCAAUAUGCCAAAACAGUACAGUCUGUAAAGAAUGCAAGAUUCAUCAUACUUCCCUAACUCCAAACAUUAUGAAAUUCUACCACACUGUAGAAAAUUUAUCAGAGCUCAAUAUGAAAAAAGUUUCAACAUUUUAUCAUAUUCUGGCUUUUCUAGGGAAUUUUUGCAACAGCGAUAAACUUUCUGUUUUAAAACAGCAACAUGUAUACUUGCCAAAUAAGCAUGGUAAAGGCUAUCCUUGACAUUUUUAUUGAAAAUAAAGAUGCAAAACAUUAUUCUAAAUAACAGAAAGCAAAUACUAACAAAAUAAAAUGACGCACCAAGCAAAACACAUAUCAUGUGGUGAAUAAAAAUAUAGCUCCAAGUAAAGUUACCGACGAACGAAGACGAAAGAGGGGGUGCCAUCCGGGGCAUCCCCAAGCUUAGGCUCUUGGUUGUCCUUUAAUAUUACCUUGGGGUGCCUUGGGCAUCCCCAAGCUUAGGCUCUUGCCACUCCUUAUUCCAUGGUCCAUCGAAUCCUUACCCAAAACAUGAAAACUUCACAACACAAAACUCAACAGAAAACACAUAAGCUCCGUUAGUAUAAGAAAAUAAAUCACCACUUUUGGUACUGUUGUGAGCUCAUUCUAAAUUCAUAUCGGUGUAAUAUCUACUGUAUUCCAACUUCUCUAUGGUUCAUUCCCUCCAAUACUACUCACAGAUUCAUCAAAAUAAGCAAACAACACAUAGAAAACAGAAUCUGUCAAAAACAGAACAGUCUGUAGUAAUCUGUAACUCUCGAAUACUUCAGUAACUCCAAAAAUCCUACCAAAUUAGGAAAACCUGAGAAAUUUGUGUACCAAUCCAGAGCAAAAAGAAUCAGAUCAUAAGCACGUUUCUGUGAAAUAUCAAAACUAAUUUACUGGGCGCAAAAGUUUCUGGUUUUCAGCAGGAUCAACACAACUAUCACCGUAAGCUAUCCUAAAGGUCUUACUUGGCACUUUAUUGAAACAAAAGAUAUAAAACAUGAUUACUACAGUAGCAUAAUCAUGUGCAUUCACAAAAAUAGUAAGGUUAAAUAUUGGGUUGUCUCCCAACAAGCGCUUUUCUUUAAUGCCUUUUUAGCUAGGCAUGAUGAUUUCAAUGAUGCUCGUAUAAAAGAUAAGAAUUGAAACAUAACGGGAGCAUCAUGAAGAAUGUGACUAGCACAUUUAAGUCUACCCACUUCCUAUGCAUAGGGAUUUUGUGAGCAAACAACUUAUGGGAACAACAAUCAACUAGCAUAGGAAGGUAAAACAAGCAUAACUUUAAAACUUUAAGCACAUAGAGAGGAAACUUGAUAUUAUUGCAAUUCCUACAAGCAUAUAUUCCUCACUCAUAAUAAUUUUCAGUAGCAUCAUGAAUGAAUUCAACAAUAUAACCAUCAAAUAAAGCAUUAUUUUCAUGAUGCACAAGCAUAUAAAUUUUACUACUCUCCACAUAAGCAAACUUCUCCUCAUGAAUAGUAGUGGGAGCAAACUCACCAAAAUAAUUAUCAUGUGAAGCAUAAUCCAAUUGAAAAUUAAAAUCAUGAUGACAAGUUUCAUGGUUAUCUUUAUUCUUUAUAUCAUACGUGUCAUCACAAUAAUCAUCAUAAAUAGGAGGCAUGCUUUCAUCAUAAUAAAUUUGCUCUUCAAAACUUGGGGGACUAAACAUAUCAUCUUCAUCAAACAUAGCAUUCCCAAGCUUGUGGCUUUGCAUAUCAUUAGCAUCAUGGGUAUUCAAAGAAUUCAUACUAACAACAUUGAAAUCAUGCUCAUCAUUCAAAGAUUUAGUGCCAGACAUUUUAAUGCAUUCUUCCUCUAGCAAUUGAGCACAAUUAUCGGAAUCCUUAUUUUCAUGAAAGAUAUUAAAAAAGAUGAAGCAUAUGAGGCACCCUCAAUUCCAUUUUUUUGUAGUUUUCUUUUAUAAACUAAACUAGUGAUAAAACAAGAAACUAAAAGAUUCAAUUGCAAGAUCUAAAGAUAUACCUUCAAGCACUCACCUCCCUGGCAACGGCGCCAGAAAUUGCUUGAUGUCUACUAUGCAACCUUCUUCUUGUAGACGUUGUUGGGCCUCCAAGUGCAGAGGUUUGUAGGGCAAUAGAAAAUUUCCCUCAAGUGAUGACCUAAGGUUUAUCAAUCCGUGGGAGGUGUAGGAUGAAGAUGGUCUCUCUCAAACAACCCUGCAACCAAAUAACAAAGAGUCUCUUGUGUCCACAACACACCCAAUACAAUGGUAAAUUGUAUAGGUGCACUAGUUCGGCGAAGAGAUGGUGAUACAAGUGCAAUAUGGAUGGUAGAUAUAGGUUUUUGUAAUCUGAAAAUAUAAACACAGCAAGGUAACUAAUGAUAAAAGUGAGCACAAACGGUAUUGCAAUGCGUUGAAACAAGGCAUAGGGUUCAUACUUUCACUAGUGCAAGUUCUCUCAACAAUAAUAACAAAAUUGGAUCAUAUAACUAUCCCUCAACAUGCAACAAAGAGUCACUCCAAAGUCACUAAUAGCAGAGAACAAACGAAGAGAUUAUUGUAGGGUACGAAACCACCUCAAAGUUAUCCUUUUUGAUUGAUCUAUUCAAGAGUCUGUAGUAAAAUAACACGAAGCUAUUCUUUCCGUUCGAUCUAUCAUAGAGUUCGUACUAGAAUAACACCUUAAGACACAAAUCAACCAAAACCCUAAUGUCACCUAGAUACUCCAAUUUCACCUAAAGUAUCUGUGGGUAUGAUUAUACGAUAUGCAUCACACAAUCUCAGAUUCAUCUAUUCAACAAACACAAAGAAUUUCAAAGAGCGCCCCGAAGUUUCUACCGGAGAGUCAAGACAAAAACGUGUGCCAACCCCUAUGCAUAAGUUCACAAGGUCACUGAACCCGCAAGUUGAUCACCAAAACAUACAUCAAGUAGAUCACGUGAAUAUCCCAUUGUCACCAUAGAUAAGCACAUGCAAGACAUACAUCAAGUGUUCUCAAAUCCUUAAAGACUCAAUCUGAUAAUAUAACUUCAAACAGAAAACUCAAUCCAUUACAAGAGAGUAGAGGGGGGGGGCAUCAUAAGAUCCAACUAUAAUAACAAAGCUCGCGAUACAUCAAGAUCGUGCCAAAUCAAGAACACGAGAGAGAGAGAGAGAGAGAGAGAUCAAACACAUAGCUACUGGUACAUACCCUCAGCCCCGAGGGUGAACUACUCCCUCCUCGUCAUGGAGAGCGCCGGGAUGAUGAAGAUGGCCACCGGUGGUGGAUCCCCCUCCGGCAGGGUGCCGGAACAGGGCCCCGAUUGGUUUUUGGUGGCUACAGAGGCUUGCGGCGACGGAACUCCCGAUCUAGGUUAUGUUCUGGGGGUUUCUAUAUAUAUAAGAGGUUUUGGCGUAGGUCUCAUGUCAGGGGGGUCUCCGAGUCGUCCACGAGAUAGGGGCCCACGCCCAGGGGGGUGGGCGCGCCCUCCACCCUCGUGGACGGCUCGGGACUCUUCUGGCCCAACUCUUUCACUCCGGGGGCUUCUUUUGGUCCAUAAAAAAUCAUCAAAAAUUGGCACGUCAAUUGGACUCUGUUUGGUAUUCCUCUUCUAUAAAACUCAAAAACAAGGAAAAAACAGAAACUGGCACUGGGCUCUAGGUUAAUGGGUUAGUCCCAAAAAUCAUAUAAAAUAGCAUAUAAAUGCAUAUAAAACAUCUUAGAUGGAUAAUAUAAUAGCAUGGAACAAUAAAAAAUUAUAGAUACGCUGGAGACGUAUCAGAGUGUCGGGGAAGAGCUUCGUCAGCACAACGGCGUGAUGAUGAAGCUACCGGAGCAGGGCUUCGCCUAAGCACUACGACGAUAUGACCGAGGUGGAUUAUGGUGGAGGGGGGCACCGCACACGGCUAAGAGAUCAAUGAUCAACUUGUGUGUCUAUGGGGUGCCCCCCUCCCCCGUAUAUAAAGGAGUGGAGGAGGGGGAGGAGGCCGGCCUCCUAGGCGUGCCCCAAGGGGAGUCCUACUCCCACCGGGAGUAGGAUUCCCCCCUUCCCUAGUUGGAUUAGGAGAGAAGGAAGGAGGAGGAAGGAGGUAGGAAAGGGGGGGGCUGGCCCCCCUCCAAAUUCGGAUUGGGCUUGGGGGGGGGGGGCGCCCCCUCCUUUUCUCCCUUCUCCUCUCUCCCACUAUGGCCAAAUAAGGCCCAUAUACCUCCGGUGGUUCUGGUAACCUCCCGGUGCUCCGGUAUAUGCCCGAUCUCACCCGGAACUAUUCCGAUGUCCAAAUAUAGUCGUCCAAUAUAUCAAUCUUUAUGUCUCGAUCAUUUCGAGAAUCCUUGUCAUGACCGUGAUCAUAUCCGGGACUCCAAACUACCUUUGGUACAUCAAAACACAUAAACUCGUAAUACCGAUCGUCACCGAACGUUAAGCGUGCGGACCCUACGGGUUCGAGAACUAUGUAGACAUGACCGAGACUCAUCUCCGGUCAAUAACCAAUAGCGGAACCUGGAUGCUCAUAUUGGUUCCUACAUAUUCUAUGAAGAUCUUUAUCAGUCAUACCGUGUAACAACAUACGUUGUUCCCUUUGUCAUCGGUAUGUUACUUGCCCGAGAUUCGAUCGCCGGUAUCUCAAUACCUAGUUCAAUCUCAUUACCGGCAAGUCUCUUUACUCGUUCCGUAAUGCAUCAUCCCGCAACUAACUCAUUAGUUACAUUGCUUGCAAGGCUUAUAGUGAUGUGCAUUACCGAGAGGGCCCAGAGAUACCUCUCCGACAAUCGAAGUGACAAAUCCUAAUCUCGAUCUAUGCCAACUCAACAAGUACCAUCGGAGACACCUGUAGAGCACCUUUAUAAUCACCCAGUUACGUUGUGACGUUUGGUAGCACACAAAGUGUUCCUCCGGUAUUCAGGAGUUGCAUAAUCUCAUAGUCAUAGGAACAGGUAUAAGUCAUGAAGAAAGCAAUGUCAAUAUACUAAACGAUCAAGUGCUAAGCUAACAGAAUGGGUCAAGUCAAUCACAUCAUUCUCUAAUGAUGUGAUCCCGUAAUCAAAUGACCACUCAUGUCUAUGGUUAGGAAACAUAUCCAUCUUUGAUUCAAUGAGCUAGUCAAGUAGGCUAGUGACACUCUGUUUGUCUAUGUAUUCACACAUGUACUAAGUUUCCGGUUAAUACAAUUCUAGCAUGAAUGAUAAACAUUUAUCAUGAUAUAAGGAAAUAUAAAUAACAAAUUUAUUAUGGCCUCUAGGGCAUAUUUCCUUCAGUCUCCCACUUGCACUAGAGUCAAUAAUCUAGAUUACACAGUAAUGAUUCUAACACCCAUGGAGUCUUGGUGUUGAUCAUGUUUUGCUCGUGAGAGAGGCUUAGUCAAAGGGUCUGCAACAUUCAGAUCCGUAUGUAUCUCGCAAAUCUCUAUGUCUCCCUCCUUGACUUGAUCGCGGAUGGAAUUGAAGCGUCUCUUGAUGUGCUUGGUUCUCUUGUGAAAUCUGGAUUCCUUUGCCAAGGCAAUUACACCAGUAUUGUCACAAAAGAUUUUCAUUGGACCCGAUGUACUAGGUAUGACACCUAGAUCGGAUAUGAACUCCUUCAUCCAGACUCCUUCAUUUGCUGCUUCCGAGGCAGCUAUGUACUCCGCCUCACACGUAGAUCCCACCACGAUGCUUUUCUUAGAACUGCACCAACUGACAGCUCCACUGUUCAAUAUAAACACAUAUCCGGUUUGUGACUUAGAGUCAUCCGGAUCAGUGUCAAAGCUUGCAUCGACGUAACCAUUUAUGACGAGCACUUUGUCACCUCCAUAAAUGAGAAACAUAUCCUUAGUCCUUUUCAGGUAUUUGAGAUGUUCUUGACCGCUGUCCAGUGAUCCACUCCUGGAUUACUUUGGUACCUCCCUGCUAAACUAAUAGCAAGGCACACAUCAGGUCUGGCACACAACAUUUCAUACAUGAUAGAGCCUAUGGCUGAAGCAUAGGGAACACCUUUCAUUUUCUCUCUAUCUUCUGCAGUGGUCGGGCGUUGAGUCUGACUCAACUACACACCUUGUAACACAGGCAAGAACCCUUUCUUUGCUUGAUCCAUUUUGAACUUCUUCAAACCUCUAUCAAGGUAUGUGCUUUGUGAAGGUCCAAUUAAGCGUCUUGAUCUAUCUCUAUAGAUCUUGAUGCCCAAUAUAUAAGCAGCUUCACCGAGGUCUUUCAUUGAAAAACUCUUAUUCAAGUAUCCUUUUAUGCUAUCCAGAAAUUAUAUAUCAUUUCCAAUCAACAAUAUGUCAUCCACAUAUAAUAUUAGAAAUGCUACAGAGCUCCCACUCACUUUCUUGUAAAUAUAGGCUUCUCCAAAAGUUUGUAUAAAACCAUAUGCUUUGAUCACACUAUCAAAACAUUUAUUCCAACUCCGAGAUGCUUGCACCGAUCCUUAAAUGGAUUGCUGGAGCUUGCACACUUUUUUAGCAUCCUUUGGAUUGAUAAGACCUUCAGGUUGCAUCAUAUACAACUCUUCUUCCAGAAAUCCAUUCAGGAAUGCAGUCUUUACAUCCAUUUGCCAAAUUUCAUAAUCAUAAAAUGCGGCAAUUGCUAACAUGAUUCGGACGGACUUAAGCAUCGCUACGGGUGAGAAGGUCUCAUCAUAGUGAACUCCUUGAACUUGUCGAAAACCUUUCGCAACAAGUCGAGCUUUGUAGACAGUAACAUUACCAUCAACGUCAGUCUUCUUCUUGAAGAUCCAUUUAUUAUUGAUGGCUUGCCGAUCAUCGGGCAAGUCAACCAAAGUUUACACUUCUCUCAUACAUGGAUCCCAUCUCAGAUUUCAUGGCCUCGAGCCAUUUUGCAGAAUCUGGGCUCAUCAUCGGUUCCUCAUAGUUCGUAGGUUCGUCAUGGUCAAGUAACAUGACCUCCAGAACAGGAUUAUCGUACCACUCUGGUGCGGAUCUUACUCUGGUUGACCUACGAGGUUCAGUAGUAACUUGAUCUGAAGUUACAUGAUCAUCAUCAUUAGCUUCCUCACUAAUUGGAGUAGGAGUCACAGGAACAGAUUUCUGUGAUGAACUACUUUCCAAUAAGGGAGCAGGUACAGUUACCUCACCAAGUUCUACUUUCCUCCCACUCACUUCUUUCGAGAGAAACUCCUUCUCUAGAAAGGAUCCAUUCUUAGCAACGAAUGUCUUGCCUUCGGAUCUGUGAUAGAAGGUGUACCCAACAGUCUCCUUUGGGUAUCCUAUGAAGACACAUUUCUCUGAUUUGGGUUCGAGCUUAUCAGGUUCAAGCUUUUUCACAUAAGCAUCGCAACCCCAAACUUUAAGAAACGACAACUUUGGUUUCUUGCCAAACCACAGUUCAUAAGGUGUCGUGUCAAUGGAUUUAGAUGGUGCCCUAUUUAACGUGAAUGCAGCCGUCUCUAAAGAAUAACCCCAAAACGAUAGCGGUAAAUCAGUAAGAGACAUCAUAGAUCGUACCAUAUCUAGUAAAGUACGAUUACAACGUUCGGACACACCAUUACGCUGUGGUGUUCCGGGUGGCGUGAGCUGCGAAACUAUUCCGCAUUGUUUCAAAUGAAGACCAAACUCGUAACUCAAAUAUUCUCCUCCACGAUCAGAUCGUAGAAACUUUAUUUUCUUGUUACGAUGAUUUUCCACUUCACUCUGAAAUUCACUGAACUUUUCAAAUGUUUCAGACUUAUGUUUAAUUAAGUAGAUAUACCCAUAUCUGCUCAAAUCAUCUGUGAAGGUGAGAAAAUAACGAUACCCGCCGCGAGCCUCAACAUUCAUCGGACCACAUACAUCAGUAUGUAUGAUUUCCAACAAAUCUGUUGCUCGCUCCAUUGUUUCGGAGAACGGAGUUUUAGUCAUCUUGCCCAUGAGGCAUGGUCCGCAAGUACCAAGUGAUUCAUAAUCAAGUGAUUCCAAAAGUCCAUCGGAAUGGAGUUUCUUCAUGCGCUUUACACCAAUAUGACCCAAACGGCAGUGCCACAAAUAAGUUGCACUAUCAUUAUCAACUCUGCAUAUUUUGGCUUCAAUAUUAUGAAUAUGUUUGUCACUACUAUCGAGAUUCAAAAAGAAUAGACCACUCUUCAAGGGUGCAUGACCAUAAAAGAUAUUUCUCAUAUAAAUAGAACAACCAUUAUUCUCUGAUUUAAAUGAAUAACCGUCUCGCAUCAAACAAGAUCCAGAUAUAAUGUUCAUGCUCAACGCUGGCACCAAAUAACAAUUAUUCAGGUCUAAAACUAAUCCCGAAGGUAGAUGUAGAGGUAGCGUGCCGACCGCGAUCACAUCGACGUUGGAACCAUUUCCCACGCGCAUCGUCACCUCAUCCUUAGCCAAUCUUCGCUUAAUCCAUAGUCCCUGUUUCGAGUUGCAAAUAUUAGCAACAGAACCAGUAUCAAAUACCCAGGCACUACUGCGAGCAUUAGUAAGGUACACAUCAAUAACAUGUAUAUCACAUAUACCUUUGUUCACCUUGCCAUCCUUCUUAUCCGCCAAAUACUUGGGGAAGUUCCGCUUCUAGUGACCAGUCCCUUUGCAGUAGAAGCACUCAGUCUCAGGCUUAGGUCCAGACUUGGGCUUCUUCACUUGAGCAACAACUUGCUUGCCAUUCUUCUUGAAGUUCCCCUUCUUCCCUGUACCCUUUUUCUUGAAACUGGUGGUCUUGUUGACCAUCAACACUUGAUGCUCCUUCUUGAUUUCUACCUCCGUAGCUUUUAGCAUUGCGAAGAGCUCGGGAAUUGUCUUAUCCAUCCCUUGCAUGUUAUAGUUCAUCACGAAGCUCUUGUAGCUUGGUGGCAGUGAUUGAAGAAUUCUGUCAAUGACACUAUCAUCCGGAAGAUUAACUCCCAGUUGAAUCAAGUGAUUGUUAUACCUAGACAUUUUGAGUAUAUGCUCACUGACAGAACUAUUCUCCUCCAUUUUGCAGCUGUAGAACUUAUUGGAGAUUUCAUAUCUCUCAAUCCGUUCAUUUGCUUCAAAUAUUAACUUCAACUCCUGGAACAUCUCAUAUGCUCCAUGACGUUCAAAACGUCGUUGAAGUCUUGGUUCUAAGCCAUAAAGCAUGGCACACUGAACUAUUGAGUAGUUAUCAGCUUUGCUCUGCCAGACGUUCAUAACAUCUGGCUUUGCUCCUGCAGUGGGUUUGGCACCUAGCGGUGCUUCCAGUACGUAAUUCUUCUGUGCAGCAAUGAGGAUAAUCCUCAAGUUACGGACCCAGUCCGUGUAGUUGCUACCAUCAUCUUUCAACUUAGCUUUCUCUAGGAACGCAUUAAAAUUCAACGGAACAACAACACGGGCCAUCUAUCUACAACAACAUAGACAUGCAAAAUACUAUCAGGUACUAAGUUCAUGAUAAAUUAAAGUUCAAUUAAUCAAAUCACUUAAGAACUCCCACUUAGAUAGACAUCCCUCUAAUCAUCUAAGUGAUCACGUGAUCCAAAUCAACUAAACCAUGUCCGAUCGUCACGUGAGAUGGAGUAGUUUUCAAUGGUGAACAUCACUAUGUUGAUCAUAUCUACUAUAUGAUUCACGCUCGACCUUUCGGUCUCAGUGUUCCGAGGCCAUAUCUGCAUAUGCUAGGCUCAUCAAGUUUAACCCGAGUAUUCUGCACGUGCAAAACUAGCUUGCACCCGUUGUAUGUGAACGUAGAGCUUAUCACACCCGAUCAUCACGUGGUGUCUCGGCACGACGAACUUUCGCAACGGUGCAUACUCAGGGAGAACACUUGUACCUUGAAAUUUAGUGAGAUAUCAUCUUAUAAUGCUACCGCCGAAUUAAGCAAAAUAAGAUGCAUAAAGGAUAAACAUCACAUGCAAUCAAUAUAAGUGAUAUGAUAUGGCCAUCAUCAUCUUGUGCCUUUGAUCUCCAUCUCCAAAGCACCGUCAUGAUCACCAUCGUCACCGGCGCAACACCUUGAUCUCCAUCGUAGCAUCGUUGUCGUCUCGCCAACUAUUGCUUCUACGACUAUCGCUACCGCUUAGUGAUAAAGUAAAGCAAUUACAUGGCGAUUGCAUUUCAUACAAUAAAGCGACAACCAUAUGACUCCUGCCAGUUGCUGAUAACUUUGUUACAAAACAUGAUCAUCUCAUACAGUAAAAUUUAGCAUCAUGUCUUGACCAUAUCACUUCACAGCAUGCCCUGCAAAAACAAGUUAGACAUCCUCUACUUUGUUGUUGCAAGUUUUACGUGGCUGCUAAAGGCUGAGCAAGAACCGUUCUUACCGACGCAUCAAAACCAAAAUGAUUUUUCGUCAAGUAUGUGUUGUUUUUACCUUCAUAAGGACCGGGGGCGUAGCCACACUCGAUUCAACUAAAGUUGGAGAAACUGACACCUGCCAGCCACGUGUGUGCGAAGCACGUCGGUAGAACCAGUCUCGCGUAAGCGUACGCGUAAUGUCGGUCCGGGCCGCUUCAUCCAACAAUACCGCCGAAUCAAAGUAUGACAUGCUGGUAAGAAGUAUGACUAUUAUCGUGCACAACUCACUUGUGUUCUACUCGUGCAUAUAACAUCUACGCAUAAACCUGGCUCGGAUGCCACUGUUGGCGAACGCAGUAAUUUCAAAAACUUUCCUACACACACACAAGAUCAUGGUGAUGCAUAGCAACGAGAGGGGAGAGUGUUGUCUACAUACCCUCGUAGACCGUAAGCGGAAGCAUUAUGACAACGCGGUUGAUGUAGUCAUACGUCUUCACGAUCGACCGAUCCUAGCACCGAAGUUACGACACCUCCGCGAUCUGCACAUGUUCGGCUCGGUGACGUCCCACGAACUCAUGAUCCAGCAGAGUGUCGAGGAAGAGCUUCGUCAGCACGACGGCGUGAUGACGGCGACGAUGAAGCUACCGGUGCAGGGCUUCCCCUAAGCACUACGACGAUAUGACCGAGGUGGAUUAUGGUGGAGGGGGGCACCGCACACGGCUAAGAGAUCAAUGAUCAACUUGUGUGUCUAUGGGGUGGCCCCCUUCCCCGUAUAUAAAGGAGUGGAGGAGGGGGAGGCGGCCGGCCUCCUAGGCGUGCCCCAAGGGGAGUCCUACUCCCACCGGGAGUAGGAUUCCCCCCCUUCCCUAGUUGGAUUAGGAGAGAAGGAAGGGGGAGGAAGGAGGAAGGAAAGGGGGCCCGACCCCCCUCCCAAUUCGGAUUGGGCUUGGGGGGGGGGCGCCCCCUCCUUUGCUCCCUUCUCCUCUCUCCCACUAUGGCCCAAUAAGGCCCAUAUACCUCCCGGGGGGUUUCGGUAACCUCCCGGUGCUCCGGUAUAUGCCCGAUCUCACCCGGAACUAUUCCGAUGUCCAAAUAUAGUCGUCCAAUAUAUCGAUCUUUAUGUCUCGACCAUUUCAAGACUCCUCGUCAUGUCCGUGAUCAUAUCCGGGACUACGAACUACCUUCGGUACAUCAAAACACAUAAACUCAUAAUAUCGAUCGUCACCGAACGUUAAGCGUGUGGACCCUACGGGUUCGAGAACUAUGUAGACAUGACCGAGACUCAUCUCUGGUCAAUAACCAAUAGCGGAACCUGGAUGCUCAUAUUGGUUCCUACAUAUUCUACGAAGAUCUUUAUCGGUCAAACCGCAUAACAACAUACGUUGUUCCCUUUGUCAUCGGUAUGUUACUUGCCCGAGAUUCGAUCGGCGGUAUCUCAAUACCUAGUUCAAUCUCGUUACCGGCAAGUCUCUUUACUCGUUCCGUAAUGCAUCAUCCCGCAACUAACUCAUUAGUUACAUUGCUUGCAAGGCUUAUAGCGAUGUGCAUUACCGAGAGGGCCCAGAGAUACCUCUCCGACAAUCGGAGUGACAAAUCCUAAUCUCGAUCUAUGCCAACUCAACAAGUACCAUCGGAGACACCUGUAGAGCAACUUUAUAAUCACCCAGUUACGUUGUGACAUUUGGUAGCACACAAAGUGUUCCUCCGGUAUUCGGGAGUUGCAUAAUCUCAUAGUCAUAGGAACAUGUAUAUGUCAUGAAGAAAGCAAUAGCAAUAUACUAAACGAUCAAGUGCUAAGCUAACGGAAUGGGUCAAGUCAAUCACAUCAUUCUCUAAUGAUGUAAUCCCGUUAAUCAAAUGACAACUCAUGUCUAUGGUUAGGAAACAUAACCAUCUUUGAUUCAACGAGCUAGUUAAGUAGAUGCUAGUGACACUUUGUUUCUCUAUGUAUUCACACAUGUACUAAGUUUCCGGUUAAUACAAUUGUAGCAUGCAUAAUAAACAUUUAUCAUGAUAUAAGGAAAUAUAAAUAACAACUUUAUUAUUGCAUCUAGGGCAUAUUUCCUUCAUGGAAAACCUUUGCUCGCGUUCAUUGGUUGGCGGAGGGGCACGUCCUCCAUUUUAAAUUAAUGGAGGCUGAUCUGCUCUACAUUAAGGUCUUCGGGCGUUCGGGUGCUCGCUUAGGGUGUUGUGCGGAGAGCUCGACCGACAACGAAAGCUCCUCCUCGAGCGAUAGCGACGAAGAGCACACUGACGGCAAGGACGAUGGCAUCGAGCGAGGAGACGGUGGCUCAGACUCCAACUGAGCACCGGACGCACCGUCACCGUCAGCUAGGCGCUGCCAGCACCAUCAACCGCAGCUGGUCUUCUCCCUGGCAGAGCGAUUUGCCCUCCUCCAGCUGGACCCCGACAAGCUUCCUCAUGGACUCCAGCUUCAUCAUCCCUGCCGGUGUCCCUCCUGCCAUGUUCCGCUGGUCCUGGCGGUGGUGACUAGGGCAUCGCUUGGCCGCUCUCCCCGUCCAUCGUCUUCACCCCUUCCCUCCCAAUCUUGUCAGGCUGCGUCCCACGGGCCCUGGCGGGGUCAGGUUGGGUUUCUGCCUAGGCGCUCCUUUGCCCUCUUCACCUCCCACUGUGGCUCCCAGGAGUAGAGGGACAAGAAAGGCAUUACGUGGCACUUAUCUUUUUUCAAUCUAAAAAUUGUAGGCAUUCGCCAAACUUCAUCCUAAAUUAUGCAAUCGCUCACCCAUGUUUGUACUUUGUAUUAUUUGUACUUGUUUAUCCGCGUAUAAUGAAAAAAUAAUGCCUGCCGGGUACUUGUGCAUGUAUUGUUUCUAUGCAGAGGAACGAUUCCUCAAUACUCACAAGUAAACAAGGGUUCCCGUCAAGACACCUUGCCGGUCCCUUCCGUGGCGACUGCUGGACCCGGCCUGAUGGGUUAGGAGCAAGGAAGUGAACCAGCCCCUCGCCGCACCUACCUCAACUACUGCUGCGACCACCCUGACUGGGGCAAGUUCCCAAGUCGAAGGAGGGGAGCAUAGAUGUUAAGGGCAGCAAGGUUUUUCUACGCCAAGACAUUCAUACAGGGGCGUACUUGUGGAUGGGAAGAAAACUUAUCUGUGUUUCCUGCCCUUCUUAUUGCCUUGACAAUAAGGAGUUGCCGAGGAAUGACAUGCUAGGCUGCUUUUGCUUUUUCCCUUCGAGGAGUUUGUCCGUGGCAGGGGUGUGCUGAUAAUACAUGGGAAAGGCAGUAGCAUAUGACCGUACUUAUAGCAAAAUCAUACUUAAUAAAACAUUCAAGUGAUAACCCACAAGUAUAGGGGAUCGCAACAAUUUUUGAGGGUAAAGUAUUCAACCCAAAUUUAUUGAUUCAACACAAGGGGAGCCAAAGAAUAUUCUCAAGUAUUAGCAACUGAGUUGUCAAUUCAGCCACACCAGGAUAACUAAAGAUCUGCAGCAAAGUGUUUAGUAACAAAGUAGUAUGAUAGUAAUGGUAACGAUAGCAAAAGUAAUAUUUUUGGGUUUUGUAGUGAUUGUAACAGUAGCAACGGAAGAGUAAAUAAGCGGAGAACCAUAUGUGAAAAUCUCGUAGGCAUUGGAUCGGUGAUGGAGAAUUAUGCCGGAUGUGGUUCAUCAUGUAACAAUCAUAACAUAGGGUGACACAGAACUAGCUCCAAUUCGUCAAUGUAAUGUAGGCAUGUAUUCCGAAUAUAGUCAUAUGUGCUUAUGGAAAAGAACUUGCAUGGCAUCUUUUGUCCUACCCUCCCGUGGCAGCGGGGUCCUAGUGGAAACUAAGGGAUAUUAAGGCCUCCUUUUAAUAGAGUACCGGACCAAAGCAUUACCACAUAGUGAAUACAUGAACUCCUCAAACUACGGUCAUCACUGGGAGUGGUCCCGAUUAUUGUCACUUCGGGGUUGCCGGAUCAUAACACAUAGUAGGUGACCAUAGACUUGCAAGAUAGGAUCAAGAACUCACAUAUAUGCAUGAAAACAUAAUAACUUCAGAUCUGAAAUCAUGGCACUCGGGCCCUACUGACAAGCAUUAAGCAUAGCAAAGUCAUAGCAACAUCAAUCUCAGAACAUAGUGGAUACUAGGGAUCAAACCCUAACAAAACUAACUCGAUUACAUGAUAAAUCUCAUCCAACCCAUCACCGUCCAGCAAGCCUACGAUGGAAUUACUCACGCACGACGGUGAGCAUCAUGAAAUUGGUGAUGGAGGAUGGUCGAUGAUGACGACGGCGAUGGAUUCCCCUCUCCGGAGCCCCGAACGGACUCCAGAUCAGCCCUCCCGGGAGAGUUUAGGGCUUGGCGGCGGCUCCGUAUCGUAAAACGCGGUGAAUCUUUCUCUCUGAUUUUUUUCUCCCCGAACACGAAUAUAUGGAGUUGGAGUUGAGGUCGGUGGAGUUCCAGGGGGCCCACGAGGCAGGGGCGCGCCUACGGGGGCAGGCGCGCCCCCACCCUCUUGGCAAGGGUGUGGGCCCCUGGCCUUGAUUCUUUCGCCAGUAUUUUUUAUAUUUUCCAAAAAUAAUCUCCGUGAUGUUUCAGGUCAUUCCGAGGACUUUUGUUUCUGCACAUAAAUAACACCAUGGCAAUUCUGCUGAAAACAGCGUCAGUCCGGGUUAGUUCCAUUCAAAUCAUGCAAGUUAGAGUCCAAAACAAGGGCAAAAGUGUUUGGAAAAGUAGAUACGACGGAGACGUAUCAACUCCCCCAAGCUUAAACCUUUGCUUGUCCUCAAGCAAUUCAGUUGAUAAACUGAAAGUGAUAAAGAAAAACUUUUACAAACUCUGUUUGCUCUUGUUGUUGUAAAUAUGUAAAGCCAGCAUUGAAGUUUUCAGCAAAGAUUAUGAACUAACCAUAUUCACAAUAACAUUUAGGUCUCAUGUUUACUCAUAUCAAUGGCAUAAUCAACUAGCGAGCAAUAAUAAUAAAUCUCGGAUGAAAACACUUUCUCAAAACAAUCAUGAUAUGAUAUAACAAGAUGGUAUCUCGCUAGCCCUUUCUGAGACCGCAAAACAUAAAUGCAGAGCACCUUUAAAGAUCAAGGACUGACUAGACAUUGUAAUUCAUGGUAAAAGAGAUCCACUCAUAGUCAUACCCAAUAUAAACUAAUAGUAAUACAUGCAAAUGACAGCAGUGCUCUCCAGCUGGUGCUUUUUAAUAAGAGGCUGAUGACUCAACAUAAAAGUAAAUAGAUAGGCCCUUCGCAGAGGGAAGCAGGGAUUUGUAGAGGAGCGAGAGCUCGAUUUUGAAAUAGAGAUAAAUAAUAUUUUGAGAGGUAUACUUUCAUUGUCAACAUAACAACCAAGAGAUGGCGAUAUCUUCCAUGCUACACACAUUAUAGGUGGUUCCCAAACAGAAUGGUAAAGUUUAUACUCCCCCUCCACCAACAAGCAUCAAUCCAUGGCUUGCUCGAAACAACGAGUGCCUCCAACUAACAACAGUCCCGGGGGAGUUUUGUUUGCAAUUAUUUUGAUUUGAUUUGCAUAAAGCAUGGGACUGGGCAUCCCGGUGACCAGCCAUUUUCUCUUGAGUGAGGAGCGGAGUCCACUCCUCUUGAGAAUAACCCGCCUAACAUGGAAGAUACAGACAACCCUAGUUGAUACAUGAGCUAUUCGAGCAUACAAAAUAGAAUUUCAUUUGAAGGUUUAGAGUUUGGCACCUACAAAUAUACUUAGAACGGCAGGUUGAUACCGCAUAUAGGAAGGUAUGGUGGACUCAUAUGGAAUAACUUUGGGGUUUAAGGGAUUGGAUGCACAAGCAGUAUUCCCGCUUAGUACAAGUGAAGGCUAGCAAAAGACUGGGAAGCGACCAACUAGAGAGCGACAACAGUCAUGAAUAUGAAUUAAAAUUAAUAAACACCGAGUGCAAACAUGAGUAGGAUAUAAUCCACCAUGAACAUAAAUAUCAUGAAGGCUAUGCUGAUUUUGUUUCAACUACAUGUGUGAACAUGUGCCAAGUCAAGUCACUUGAAUCAUUUAAAGGAGGAUACCACCCCAUCAUACCACAUCACAACCAUUUUAAUAGCAUGUUGGCACGCAAGGUAAACCAUUAUAAACUCAUAGCUAAUCAAGCAUGGCACGAGCAACUAUGAUCUCUAAUUGUCAUUGCAAACAUGUUUAUUCAUAAUAAGCUGAAUCAGGAACGAUGAACUAAUCAUAUUUACAAAAACAAGAGAGGUCGAGUUCAUACCAGCUCCUCUUAUCUCAAUCAGUCCAUCACAUAUCGUCAUUAUUGCCUUUCACUUGCACGACCGAACGAUGUGAAUAAUAAUAAUAGUGCACGUGCAUUGGACUAAGCUGGAAUCUACAAGCAUUCAAUAAAAAGGAGAAGACAAGGCAAUAUGGGCUCUUGGUUAAAUCAACAAUAAUGCAUAUAAGAGCCACUUCAACAAUUUCAUUAUGGUCUUCUCCUAUCGACCCCGAAAGGAAAGAAAAGAAAUAACACUAUUUACACAGGAAAGCUCCCAACAAGCAAAAAAAGAACGGGAAAUAUUUUUGGGUUUUCUUUUUAAUUAUUACUACUACAGCAAGAAAAGUAAACUAGCUAAAGGGUACUACUAAUUUUUUUUGUUUUUCUUAAGGUUUAUCAAACACACAAGAAGAAAGCAUAAAAAUAAAAAUAAACUAGCAUGGAUAAUACAAUGAAAGAGUAUGAGCACCGACAUCUAGCAAUGAGUGUGUGAACAUAAAUGUAAUGUUGGUGAGAAAUACGUACUCCCCCAAGCUUAGGCUUUUGGGCUAAGUUGGUCUAUUGCCACGGAUGGCCUCGCGGAUAUCCAUAGUUAUAAUUGGGGUCGUACUGAGAAGAAGCCUCGAAUUGCCACUGGUUGGCAAUCGCCUCCGGAUCCCACUGGUAAUUAGACUGUUGUGGAGGAUCAAAUUGUGGUUCCGGCUCUGGCUCUCUAGCUGAUGUAGGGUUCCGGUAGGCAUGGAUGGCCGCCAGCGGAACGAGAUACUUGCCUGCAGACAAAUCGAACAAGGAAGGAGCAGGCAAGGUAAUAGUCUCAUGGUGAUUUUUAUCAAAUAAUAGUUUGUAUUUAAGCUCCAUUCCUCUAUUCUUAACAAUAAAAUCAUGCGCUACCAUACUCUUAUAGUCUAGAAAAACAGUAGGCAACAACUUUUCUUCUUUCUCAUAGUGCCUAAUAGGUAUGUUAUAGUAUGCAGCGAGGCGCGAGGCGAAGAUGCCUCCCAAGAUGGGGCCCUUAGUACGGUUAUGAUUUAACCGCCUUGCAACAAUAGCGCCCAUACUAAAUGUGUCAUCACGAAACAAUGCAUGGAACAAAAUAAUAAUAUCAAGGAGACUCAAGUUUCCACAGUUUCCGUGACCAAUUAAGCAUCUACUAGCAAAUAUAGCAAAGUAACGUAGAACAGGAAAAUGUAUGCUAGUGAUUCGUGCGUCGGAAACCUUCCUCGUUUCCCCUAUAGCAAUUGUAUCAAUAAACCCCUCCACACCUUUACUAUGUAGUUCCUCUAUGAUACCCGGAAAAGGUAACUUGCAAACCUCACAGAAUUCACGAAGGGCCAUCUUCUUAUACUCAUCAUAUAAAUAAAAAUCCACCAUAGGUGGUGACCUCCUAGAAUGGAAAUGAAAAUUUUGCACAAAGGUAUUGGUGAGUAAGAGAUACUGUUCGCGUUGGUCGCGGAGGAAGUCGGUGAGGCCUGCAUUCUCAGCCAACUCAUAAAAAUCAUCAUAAAUCCCGGUAGCUCUCAAGAAAUCAUCGCAACGCCAUUCACACGGCCGAACCUCCGCAGUGCGAGGCAGAUUAUAUUUGGGCCUCUCCGCUUCUUCACUUUGCUUUUCCUUCGAGCUUCGGCUCGAUGAGCCCCUCAAAAAUCUCCUCAUCAUUUUCUAAAAAUUUCUAAAUUUUUUAGUAACUUCAAAUAAAAGUGAACCAAGCUCAACAAAAUUGAUAGCAACUACUCCUACAAGUGCCUAGAGACUAUAUCAUUCAUUAGAACUACUUGGAACCAUAUAAAUUUGACAUGCAAGCUCAAGAACAUGGUCACCUAGGCAGCACAAAUUUGUAAUGAAUAAAGCACUAGAACAAAAACUAAUUGGACCAUUGGAGGAGUUACAUACCAAGGAACAAUCCCCCAAAGAAGUUUUGUGAGAGGUGCUUUGAGCAAGGAGAUCGAAAAUCGCAGCAAAAUGAGCUAGAACUCGUGCUUGAGCUGGAUGGUGAUUUUUUGGGAGGAAGAGGAAGUCUGUGUGUGCAGGAAUAAGUGGAGGGGAGCCACCGUGGGCCCAGGAGGCAGGGGGGCGCGCGCGCCCUGGACCCUCGUGCCCAAGUGCUUGCUCCCCCUGAUGUGUUCUCAGUGCCAAAUAUUCUCAAAUAUUCCAGAAAAAAAAAUCAUAUUUAAAUUUCAGGGCAUUUGGAGAACUUUUAUUUUUAGGGUAUUUUUAUAUUGCACGGAUAAUUCAGAUAACAGACAGAAAAAAUACUAUUUUUACUUUAUUUCAACUAAAUAACAGAAAAUAAAAGGAGGGUACAGAGAGUUGUGCUUUCUAACUUCAUCCAUCUCAUGCUUAUCAAAAGGAAUCCACUAACAAGGUUGAUCAGGUCUUGUUAACAAACUCAUUCCGAAUUGCACAAAACCGGAGAAUUUUCGAAUAGCACUAAGUUACCUCAACGGGGAUAUGCACAUCCCCAAUAAUAAGAAUAUCAUAUCUCUUUUUAACAGUAGGAAGGGGAAAUUUAAAACCUCCAAAAAUAAUCGAUGGAAUUUUUCCAAUAGAGUUUAUACUAUGAACUUGAGGUUGUUUCCUCAGAAAGUGUACCGUAUGCUCAUUUCCAUUAACAUGAAAAGUGACAUUGCCUUUGUUGCAAUCAAUAACAGCCCCUGCAGUAUUCAAAAAGGGUCUUCCAAGAAUAAUAGACAUACUAUCGUCCUCGGGAAUAUCAUGAAUAACAAAGUCUGUUAAAAUAGUAACAUUUGCAACCACAACAGGCACAUCCUCACAAAUACCGACAGGUAUAGCAGUUGAUUUAUCAGCCAUUUGCAAGGAUAUUUCAGUAGGUGUCAACUUAUUCAAAUCAAGUCUACGAUAUAAAGAGAGAGGCAUAACACUAACACCGGCUCCAAGAUCACAUAAAGCAGUUCUAACAUAAUUUCUUUUAAUGGAGCAUGGUAUAGUGGGUACUCCUGGAUCUCCUAGUUUCUUAGGUAUUCCACCCUUAAAAUUGUAGUUAGCAAGCAUGGUGGAAAUUUCAGCUUCCGGUAUCUUUCUUUUAUUAGUAACAAUUUCUUUCAUAUACUUAGCAUAAGGAUUCAUUUUGAGCAUAUCAGUUAAUCGCAUACGCAAGAAGAUAGGCCUAAUCAUUUCAGCAAAUCGCUCAAAAUCCUCAUCAUCCUUUUUCUUGGAUGGUUUAGGAGGAAAGGGCAUGGGUUUCUGAACCCAUGGUUCUCUUUCUUUACCGUGCUUCCUAGCAACAAAGUCUCUCUUAUCAUAACGUUGAUUCUUUGAUUGUGGGUUAUCAAGAUCAACAGCAGGUUCGAUUUCUACAUCAUUAUCAUUUCUAGGUGGAGCAUCAUCAUGAACAUUAUCAUUAACAUUAUCACUAGGUUCAUGUUCAUUACCGGAUUGUGUUUCAGCAUCAGAUAUAGAAAUAUCAUUUGGAUUCUCAGGUGUUUCAGCAAUAGGUUCACUAGAAGCAUGCAAAGUCCUAUCAUAUUUCUUCUUCUUCUUCUUAGAAGGACUAGGUGUAUCAACAUUAUUUCUCUGAGAAUCCUGCUCAAUUCUCUUAGGAUGGCCUUCAGGAUACAAAGGUUCCUGAGUCAUUUUACCAGUUCUAGUAGCCACUCUAACAGCAAAUCAUUAUUCUUACUAUUCAUUUCAUUGAGAAAAUCAUUAUGAGCUUUAAGUACUUGUUCUACUUGAGUGGUAACCAUAGAAGCAUGUUUACUAAUGAGUUUAGGUUCACCUUUAACUCUAGACAUAUAAUCACUCAACUGCUCAAUCAUGUAAGCAUUGCGUUUUAAUUCCCUACCAAAAUAUGCAUUGAAGUUUUCUUGCUUAACCAUAAAGUCAUCAAACUCAUCUAAGCAUUGGCUAGCAAAUUUGGUAGGAGGGAUUUCAGCUUUAUCAUAUCUAUAGAGAGAAUUUACCUUUACUACCUGUGUCGGGUUAUCAAGGCCAUGUAUCUCUUCAAUAGGUAAUGAAUUAAGACCAUGUAUUUCUUCAACAGGAGGUAAAUUCUUAACAUCUUCAGCUUUAAUACCCUUUUCUUUCAUAGAUUUCUUUGCCUCUUGAAUAUCUUCAGGACUGAGAAAUAGAACACCCCUCUUCUUCGGAGUUGGCUUAGGAGUUGGUUCAGGAAGCGUCCAAUUAUUUUCAUUGGUCAACAUAUUAUUCAAUAAAAUUUCAGCUUCAUCUGGUGUUCUUUCCCUGAAAACAGAACCAACACAACUAUCCAGGUGGUCUCUGGAAGCAUCGGUUAGUCCAUUAUAAAAGAUAUCAAGUAUUUCUUUUUUCUUAAGAGGAUGAUCAGGAAAAGCAUGAAGUAAUUGGAGAAGCCUCCCCCAAGCUUGUGGGAGACUCUCUUCUUCAAUUUGCACAAAAUUAUAUAUUUCCCUUAAAGCAGCUUGUUUCUUAUGAGCAGGGAAAUAUUUAGCAGAGAAGUAAUAAAUCAUAUCCUUGGGACUACGCACACAACCAGGAUCAAGAGAGUUAAACCAUAUCUUAGCAUCACCCUUUAAUGAGAACGGAAAUAUUUUAAGGAUAUAAAGUAGCGAGUUCUCUCAUCAUUAGUGAACAGGGUGGCUAUAUCAUUUAAUUUAGUAAGAUGUGCCACAACAGUUUCAGAUUCAUAGCCAUAGAAAGGAUCAGAUUCAAUCAAAGUAAUUAUAUCAGUAUCAAUAGAGAAUUCAUAAUCCUUAUCAGUAACAAAGAUAGGUGAAGUAGCAUACCAGGAUCAUAUUUCAUUCUAGCAUUCCGAGUUUUUUGUUUCAAGUUAGCUAAUAAUUUCUUAAGAUCACUCCUAUCAUUGCAAGCAAGAAAGUCUCUAGCAGUUUCUUCAUCCAUAACAUAGCCCUCAGGCACAACAGGUAAUUCAUAUUUAUUGGGAGAGUCUUCAUCAUCACUUUCAUCAAUAUUAUCAGUUUCAAUAAUUUCAUUCUCUCUAGCCCUAGCAAGUUGUUCAUCAAGAAAUUCACCAAGUGGCACAGUAGUAUCAAGCAUAGAAGUAGUUUCAUCAUGAGUAUCAUGCAUAGCAGAAGUGGCAUCAUCAAUAACAUGCGACGUAUCAGAAUUAAUAGCAGAAGCAGGUUUAGGCGUCGCAAGCUUACUGAAAACAGAAGGUGAAUCAACUGCAGAGCUAGAUGGCAGUUCCUUACCUCCCCUCGUAGUUGAGGGAUAAAUUUUUGUUUUCUCGUCUUUCAAGUUCUUCAUAGUGACCAGCAGAUAUAAAUCCCAAGUGACUCAAAGAAUAGAGCUAUGCUCCCCGGCAACGGUGCCAGAAAAUAGUCUUGAUAACCCACAAGUAUAGGGGAUCGCAACAAUUUUCGAGGGUAAAGUAUUCAACCCAAAUUUAUUGAUUCGACACAAGGGGAGCCAAAGAAUAUUCUCAAGUAUUAGCAACUGAGUUAUCAAUUCAGCCACACCUGGAUAACUUCAGGUCUGCAGCAAAGUGUUUAGUAACAAAGUAGUAUGAUAGUAAUGGUAACGAUAGCAAAAAGUAAUAUUUUUGGGUUUUGUAGUGAUUGUAACAGUAGCAACAGAAAAGUAAAUAAGCGGAGAACAAUAUGUGAAAACCUCGUAGGCAUUGGAUCGGUGAUGGAGAAUUAUGCCGGAUGCGGUUCAUCAUGUAACAAUCAUAACAUAGGGUGAAACAGAACUAGCUCCAAUUCAUCAAUGUAAUGUAGGCAUGUACUCCGAAUAUAGUCAUACGUGCUUAUGGAAAAGAACUUGCAUGACAUCUUUUGUCCUACCCUCCCGUGGCAGCGGGGUCCUAGUGGAAACUAAGGGAUAUUAAGGCCUCCUUUUAAUAGAGUACCAGACCAAAGCAUUAACACAUAGUGAAUACAUGAACUCCUCAAACUACGGUCAUCACCGGGAGUGGUCCCGAUUAUUGUCACUUCGGGGUUGCCAGAUCAUAACACAUAGUAGGUGACUAUAGACUUGCAAGAUAGGAUCAAGAACUCACAUAUAUUCUUGAAAACAUAAUAGGUUCAGAUCUGAAAUCAUGGCACUCGGGCCCUAGUGACAAGCAUUAAGCAUAGCAAAGUCAUAGCAACAUCAAUCUCAGAACAUAGUGGAUACUAGGGAUCAAACCCUAACAAAACUAACUCGAUUACAUGAUAAAUCUCAUCCAACCCAUCACCGUCCAGCAAGCCUACAAUGGAAUUACUCACGCAUGGCGGUGAGCAUCAUGAAAUUGGUGAUGGAGGAUGGUUGAUGAUGACGACGGCGACGGAUUCCCCUCUCCGGAGCCCCGAACUGACUCCAGAUCAGCCCUCCCGAGAGAGUUCAGGGCUUGGCGGCGGCUCAGUAUCGUAAAACGCGAUGAAUCUUUCUCUCUGAUUUUUUUCUCCCCGAACACGAAUUUAUGGAGUUGGAGUUGAGGUCGGUGGAGCUCCAGGGGUCCCACAAGGCAGGGGGGCGCGCCCCCCACCCUCGUGGCAAGGGUGUGGCCCCCUGGCCUUGAUUCUUUCGCCAGUAUUUUUUAUAUUUUCCAAAAAUAAUCUCCGUGAAGUUUCAGGUCAUUCUGAGAACUUUUGUUUCUGCACAUAAAUAACACCAUGGCAAUUCUGCUGAAAACAGCGUCAGUCCGGGUUAGUUCCAUUCAAAUCAUGCAAGUUAGAGUCCAAAACAAGGGCAAAAGUGUUUGGAAAAGUAGAUACGACGAAGACGUAUCAGCAAGGAAGUUUUAGAUGUUAGCGCUUUGUUUCAUUAUCUUUGCACAGGGUCUGCGCCUGGAUUUGUACAAAGGGUUACAUGCUCAGGGGCAAUGCUUGUACAAAAGGGGGUUGUCGGGGACUGAGACCGACAGCCGUGCCUUAUGGUUACAACUUACGAAGAUUCUCAAUAUUACACGAGUGUUGCACUUGGAUGGCAUCUUCGGUCUCCAGAAGGACUGUGCCAGGUCUGGUGACUCCUACUACCUAUUAAGGGCCUUCCCACUUUGGCAUCAAUUUGUUGGAACCCUUGGCAGACUGAACACGCCUAAGGACAAGGUCGCCUUCCUCAAGGCUCUGGGCAUGCACACUGCAGCUAUCAUAGCGGCCUAGGGCUUGCUCGUAGCGUGCAGGACGCACAGCGGCCCGGAGACGAUCUUCCUCAAGGAGCACAGCAUCGUCAUGCCAUAGCUGCUCUUGCUCCACUUCACGUAGGAAAGUACUCCAGGUGACCCGUAUAUGAGUUCCGUGGGGAGUACUGCUUCUGCCCCAUAUACUAGGGAGAAGGGAGCCUGCUCAGUAGCUCGAUUUGGUGUCGUCCGGAGGGACGAAAGAACCACCGACGGCUCAUCGAUCUAGCGCUUGCCUCAUUUUUGCAACUUAUCAAAAGUUCUUGUCUUGAGUCCUCGCAGCACUUCAGCAUUCAUCCUCCCGGCUUACCCGUUGCUUCGUGGAUGGGCAACAGAGGAGAAGGAGACCUUGCUUCCAAGGCUUUGGAUGUACUUCAUAAAGGUGCGGCUCGUGAACUGGGUGCCGUCAGUGAUCACUCUAUUGGGAACUCCAAAGCGGCACAACAAUCCUUUUAAGACUUACACCUGAUUGUGCGGUCACCUUCCUCACUGGCUCCACCUCAGGCCACUUUGUAAACUUGUCGAUUGCUACGUACAAGAAUUCAAAGCCCUCUGCAGCACGAGGGAAGGGGCCCAAGAUAUCGAGCCCCCAGACUGAGAAUGGCAAGGACAAAGGGAUCAUCUGGAGAGCUUGAGCUGGUUGGCGAAUGCUCUUGGAAUGGAACUGGCAGGCUUUACACUUGGUGACUAGCACAGUUGCAUCUUGGAGGGUAGUGGCCCAAUAGAAACCCUACCGAAAAGCUUUUCCGACCAGGGCCCUUGAUCCACUGUGAGAGCCGCACACACCCUUUGUGUAUCUCCACCAGUAGCUUCUGCCCAUCUUCCUGGCAAAUGCAUUUCAAUUUCACACCAUUUGGCCUUUUCCUAUACAGUGUGUCGUCGAUAAACUGAUACAUGCAUAUUUGACCGUCGGGCUACUUUUUAGCUUCUUCUUGCUCUUCGGGAAUUUCUCCUGUUUCAAGGAAGUGUACUAUGUGCUGCGCCCAAGUUGGGGCCCGCGCCUCGACAACAAGGACUAAAGGCACCUCCUCGUUCGUGGGAGCGCUUACCUCGACUGCAAGAACUUGUGGUUCCACGGGAGGGUGCUGCUCACCAACCGAAGUAGGUUCGUCCCAGGCAGCCUCUCUACCAGCGGCUUCGGGAAGCCCUGCCAGGAGAUACUUGCUGGAGUCCAACUUUCUCCUUUUUCUGGCCAUCAUUGAAGGGGACACUAAUGGUUGAGUUAGGUGGAAGAAAAAGUUCCUAGUUCCACAGGGAGCUUCUGUGCAACGCACUUUGGCAAGUGAUCAUCGAUACUAUUUUUGGCACGUGGCACAUGCUCGGUUUGUAACCCAUCAAAGUGGUCUUCCAGCUUUCCCACCUCCUCUACAUAUGCACCCUGAAAUGAAAAGCACCAUCAAAAUACAUGAUCCACUCCUCAGGCGCCUCCUUGCCGGGGAUAGCUGUCUCUAGUAUUUCUUCAUCUGCAGUGGGCGUCCAUUCUGCAAUGAACUCCGCUAGUGCCUUGCUCUGAAUAGUUGAGGUGCUUUCAUACAUUAGACCAAAGCUUGACAGUUCUAGCGCCCACUCAACUAUCCUGCCGGUGGCUUCGAGGUUCCUUAUUAUGCGCUGCAACGGGAAACGGGUGAGAACUGUGAUCUCGUGGGCUUGGAAGUAGUGGUGUAGCUUCCUCGAAGCCAUGAUGAGACCAAAGAUCGGCUUUUGCACUCCAGAGUACCUUGAUCUAGCACCUUGUAAUGAGCUGACAAAGUAAACUGGUCGCUCUACCACUUUCUUCCCUGCCGUAGUCUUGGGAUUGCUCUCAACUGCUUGCCUUGCCUCCCCUUUGUGUACGUCAUGUCUUGCCGCAGGUGUUUCGGUUCCUUCCCUGGAAGGGUCAGUUGCCGCGACUGCUUCCCCGUCCACUUCUCGCUGCGCCACCAGGGUUGCACUAACCACUUGAUUCGUUGCAGCUAAGUAUAGUAACAACGACUCUUUUGGUUUAGGCACAACCAAUUUGGGACCAGAGGAAAGGUAGGUUUUCAGGUCUUGCAGCGCUGCUUCUGCCUCCGGGGUCCACUUCACUGGGAUAGCAUUUUUCAAGAUUUUGAAAAAGGGCAAGGCAUGCUCAGCGGACUUGGAUAUGAACCUACUCAGUGCGGUAAUACAUCCAGUUAAACGCCUCAGGUCCUUGAUAGUCUUGGGUUCUUGUAUCUGCUCGAUCGCCCUGAUCUUGUCGGGAUUAGCUUCUAUCCCCCGGUGAGAUACAAAGAAACCAAGUAGCCUGCAGGAUGGGACACCAAAUACACAUUUCUCAGGGUUUAACUUCAAAUUUAUCUUGCACAAGUUUGCAAAGGUCGCUUUCAGUUCUUGAAUGAUUGUUGACCUAUCCUUGGUUUUGACCACUAUAUCAUCCAUAAAAGUUUCUACGUCUCUGUGCAACUAUGGCUCGAACCGAUCUGUACUGCUCUUGCAAAAAUGGAUCCUGGGCUCUUUAACCCGAAAGGCAUACGUACAAAGCAGUACGUGCCACAUGGAGUUAUGAAUGCAGUUUUCUCCUCAUCCUCCUUGGACAUAAAUAUCUAAUGGUACCCAGAGUACGCAUCCAAAAAGGAAAGCAGGUCACACCCGGAGGUGGAGUCUACAAUCUGAUCAAUGCGCUGUAGGGGGAAAGGGUCCUUUCGACAUGCCUUGUUCAAGUCUAUGAAGUCAAUGCAGAGCCUCCAUUUCCCAUUUGCCUUGCUACCACUGGGUUUGCUAACCAUGUUGGAUGCAACACUCCUCUGACUAAACCAGCUGCUUCAAGUUUCUUGACCUCCUCGGCAAUGAACCGAUGCCGUUUUAAAGCUUGCUUCCUAACCUUUUACUUGAUGGGCUAAGUGUGAGGGUAGAUAACAAGGUGGUGUUCAAUUACCUCCCUGGGAACACCGGCGAUGUCAGAUGGUUGCUAAGCAAACACAUCUAUAUUCGGCCGCAGGAAGGCAAUGAGCGCGCUUUCCUAUUUCUCAUCGAGGGCGGCGCUGAGGGUCAACAUACCAUCAGUGCCAUCCUGCUUUGCUGGGACCUUUUCACAGCAGGUGAAGAAAUCUUAGGCCUCUUUCUCGUGGAACUCCCCGGCAGGUCCUCAACAGGUGUUGCGCACUCCGAAGAGCCACGCUUUCCGGAGUCUUUGCCGGCAUCUCUGCUAGCUUUCUUCCCCUUCUUUGUUCCCUUGGCAGGAGCUACGGCUUCUGCAGCCUCGGCUGCUACCGCGUCUCGAUACAUUUGAUCCACACAUAUAAUUGCAUUUCUUUUAUCUGAUGGGGUGGAAAUUUUACCCAUCGGCCCUAGCAUCUUCAAGGUGUUGUAAGUAUAGUGGUAUGCUGCCAUGAAUUUUGCCAGAGCUGGACGACCAAGAAUCCCAUUGUAAGGCAAAGGAAGCUCAACCAUGUCACGACUCUUUCAGUCCGAUAGUUCAGCUCCCCCCAAAUUUACGGGUAAAGUGACCUUUCCCUUGGGCCGGCUCCUGCCGGGGUUGAUUCGUUGGAAAGUGCUUGUGGCCUUUAGCUCCUCAUCAGGGAUCUGCAGCUUGGCAACCACCUUAGGGGAAAUCAAGUUCAACUCAACCCCACUGUCAACUAGCAUCUUGGUGACUUUGAGGUUGCGGAUUGUUGGGCAAACCAACGAUGGCAAACAUCCAACCGCAGUGGUGCGACAUGAUGCACGAUCCUCUUCGUCAAAGAUAAUAGGCGUGCGGGACCACUUCAUUGGCCUCCAGGAGUCUGCAGCUGGCUCCACGGCAUUGACCUCACGUGCCCACUGCUUGAGCUGGAGGUGAGAGGAGUGCAAAGAUGUACCCCCGUCAAUACACAUGGCUUCGGUUACUUUCUGGAAUUCUUGCUCGCUGGUUUCUUUUUCAUCUGCAUCAUCACUCUCAUCACCCCCUUCUUUCUUCUCACGGCCCCUAGCAGAUUUUUCCUUUUGCUGCGGGGCCUUACCGCGGCGGCCUCCUCUACUACCACGACCUUUUCCGACAGCACCCUCUUGGUCUCUCUCCCUGUCGCGCUUCUCGUAUUCUGCCUUCUGCUUCUUAACAACCUGCUCAACUUGAUGGCAUUCUUGGAGAUCAUGACCUUUGGUGCGGUGGAUCUUAUAGUACGACCCGUCGGACUUUCCGGUUUUCUCUGCCGCCGCUGCCUCCUGGUAAACAGCGCACGUGGCAGCUUCCUUGUCGGGGGUCUCAGUUUAGCCUUCUUGCCGGCGCUGAGAUCACUAGAGCCCUCAAUGACCAGUACUGACUUUUCAUUUCAUUUCCUGUUACGCCUUCAGUUUCUCUUCUUUGGGUUAGUGGUCUUGUCGUCGUCCUCCAAAUCAACCUCAACGCCAUCCUCCUCCUCGGGGUGUCGCCUUCCUUCCUCAGCCCGAGCACACUUAUCCUGUAUCCUUCUGUUGCGCAUGUUUGAAUCGAACGCGGCAAUCACAGCUGCUGGGUGUAUCUCUGGAAUGUUAUGGUGUACUCGGCUGACCUCUGCAUAUAUUUCCGCAAACUCUCCCCUUCCUUCUAUGGAAGGACUUGCAAGUCACUGGGCCUCCCAGGUUCUUGGUGGCCACUCGUGAAGGCGCCAACAAAUUCGUUGCACAAGUCAGCCCAUGAUGAAAUGGAGUUCUCCGGCGGGUGCAUCAGCCACGACCUCAUAUUUGGCUUGAGUGCUAAAGGGACUUAGUUGGCGAACACUUUCUCAUCCCUGCCCCUGGCGGCUUGCACCACAAUUAUGUAAAUGCUCAAGAACUCUGCCUGGUUUAGCUUUCCAUCGUAUUUUCCUGGUAAUUCUGGCUUGAAUACUCGGGAAGAUGGCCAGCGGACCUGCCACAGCUCACGAGUGAAGACCGGGCACCAAACCUCGUAAGGUAAGUACCCUCCGUCAUUGGGUUCGGGCUCAUAAACGAUUGGGCCAUUGCUCCUGUCUGAUUCACGGCGUGGCUCCCGGCGUUGCUCCAUAGUGACGCGCGCAUCUUCCCUCCGCUGAUCUUCCAGAACUCGUCGCUGAUCUCGGUGGGGUCGCGGACCAGACGAGGACAUCGACAUUUCGUCGGGCUCCUUGACACGCUGCUCUUGCUGUGGCUGCCUCUAGGUCUGCUGCCAGGAGGGCACUGCACCGUUAGUGUAGCCCCCUCGACGCGGCCAUCAGCCCGGACUACUGUUGUCGUUCGCGGGUACCGCGAUGGCUCUGCCUACUGUGACUUCCCAGCUUCAGCGAAGCCGAUCAAACUUUGGAUGGUGGCCCUCCACUCGUCCAUCUUCCGUAGCUAUGCUCGGUAUAGCUGACAAGGCAGACCACGAUGUCGCUUGACUCCUGGUAGAACCAGCAGGAGCGUCGCCGUGUUCCUGCCGCCGUGAGCCAGUUGCCAUGGCAGUUUGACGAUGAGCGGGUUGCGUUUGGUGGUGGGUGACCCCGUUCUGCACCCCGUUUUCUCGUCGCGCUCUGGGCAAGGCGUCUGCCCAGUAGCCGCACCCAUGGUAGGCACGACUGGAGGGUCACGACUUGCACCAGAGCAGGUGUCAUCGCUGCAGCUGCGCCCGCUGGCACGGCGGGGAGGUGGAGACUGAAUGGUACCUCUACCUGUGGCCUGUGGGCCACGCUCGUGAGGCAGUUGUUGAUGCUCCCCGUCCCCGGCGUCUUCUGCUCCAACUUUGGCCACGGGGGACACAACGAUGGCACCGCCUGCACCAGUCGUGUCUCCCAUGGUGCCCACCUCUCCCAAUGCCGCCGCUGUGCCUACGGCGUCCGUGGCUACGUGCGAGGGAGCCUUCGAAGUGGAAGGGUGUGUGGUCGCGCCGGGUUUCUUCUUGGCCGCCAUGGACAAAGGAGGUGAUGGUGAUGAUCAACACGCUGAUCGCAACCUUGGGUUCGUGCAAGCGAUGCCCCCUACCUGGUGCACCAAAUAUGUCAUGGGGGAAUACGAUCACCUAUCAGGACACCGGCCCCUUUGUGGUUCGGCAAAGGGAAGAUCAUGUUGGACAAAGAGCGAAGGCCAUGAUGCAGCACGGCGAUGGGACUCUGGUGGUUGUUUACCCAGGUUCGGGCCGUUGGGAAGCGUAAAACCCUAGUCUUGCUUUGGUGGAUUGGACGGAGGAACACGAAGAACAAGCAGCGCUCAAGCCCGGCAAGGUGGCCUCGGGGAGAGCUGCUAUGCGCGUACAAGUGUGCAAGGGCCCGAAUCCCUUUCUAGGUAGCCUUGGAGCUCCUUUUAUAGUUCAAGGGGUAACCAUAGUGGCAAAACAGUCAUGAUCCAGAGAUUAGAUAGCUAACAUUGCUAUCAUACGUAACUAUGGUAGUUAGGCCAAAGUGCAUUAAAUGCACUGCUAGGUGUCGUGCUGAGGGCGAAACCAGGCAAGCCUUCCAUGCUGCUUAAUCAUCUUCUGCUUAUCAUCUUGACAGACCUCUGGAUGGGUGUCAAAUGGGUGUGAUCUGUCUUCCAACGAGUUGCCACGUUCUUAGUGGAAGCCACUUAAUCUCCUAGGGGCUUGACACCAUGUUGAUAAGUGACUUGCAUUGUGGUGCGGUGGAGCGGUGAUGCCUUAGCUGGCAUUCAGGUCUUGGCGACCCCGGCAGGCCUUCCGGGUUUUAUCCUGGAUUUGCUUCCGGGGCGGUCUCGACCUGGCCGUGCUCUCCUGCUCGGCAAGGGAGGCCUUCCCAAAGUGAUAUCUUGCUAUCUUGAUAUUCUUGAUGCACUCCUUGAUCUCACGAAGAAUGGUUUCUCUGGUCUUGGCCUUGCUUUGUAUGUUUGUGUUGGACAUACGAUCGCCAGCACGCCUGUGUAUAAGUUUGGUCAAUGAACAUUGGUGUUCGUUGUACCGACAAUAUCUAUAAUUUUUGAUUGUUCCAUGCUAAUAUAUUAUCCAUCUUGGAUGUUUUAUAUGCAUUAUUAUGCUAUUUUAUAUCAUUUUUGGGACUAACCUAUUAACCUAGUGCCAGUUGUUGUUUCUUUCCUUGUUUUUGCCUUUACAUAAAAUCAAUACCAAACGAUGUCCAAAUGGAACGAAACUUUUUGAUGAUUUUUCUUGGACCAUGCUACCUCUUAAGCACUGCAUUGGUUUUCCCUUGAAGAGGAAAGGGUGAUGCAGCAAAGUAGCAUAAGUAUUUCCCUCAGUUUUUGAGAACCAAGGUAUCAAUCCAGUAGAAGGCCACGCACGAGUCCCUCGCACCUACACAAACAAAUAAAUCCUCGCAACCAACGCAAUAAAGGGAUUGUCAAUCCCUUCAUGGUCACUUACGAGAGUGAGAUCUGAUAGAUAUGAUAAGAUAAUAUUUUUGGUAUUUUUAUGAUAAAGAUGCAAAGUAAAGAAAACAAAAUAAAGACGGCACCAGAAAUAGCUUGUUGACGGGAGAUUAAUAUGAUGGAAAAUAGACCCGGGGGCCAUAGGUUUCACUAGUGGCUUCUCUCAUGAGCAUAAGUAUUACUGUGGGUGAACAAAUUACUGUUGAGCAAAUGAUAGAAUUGAGCAUAGUUAUGAGAAUAUCUAGUAUGAUCAUGUAUAUAGGCAUCACGUCCGCGACAAGUAGACCGACUCCUGCCUGCAUCUACUACUAUUACUCCACACAUCGACCGCUAUCCAGCAUGCAUCUAGAGUAUUAAGUUCAUAAGAACAGAGAAACGCUUUAAGUAAAAUGACAUGAUGUAGAGGGAUAAACUCAUGCAAUAUGAUAUAAACCCCAUCUUGUUAUCCUCGAUGGCAACAAUACAAUACGUGCCUUGCUGCCCCUACUGUCACUGGGAAAGGACACCGCAAGAUUGAACCCAAAGCUAAGCACUUCUCCCAUUGCAAGAAAGAUCAAUCUAUUAGACCAAACCAAACUGAUAAUUCGAAGAGACUUGCAAAGAUAACCAAUCAUACAUAAAAUAAUUCAGAGAAGAUUCAAAUAUUGUUCAUAGAUAAACUUGAUCAUAAACCCACAAUUCAUCGGUCUCAACAAACACACCGCAAAAGAAGAUUACAUCGAAUAGAUCUCCACAAGAGAGGGGGAGAACAUUGUAUUGAGAUCCAAAAAGAGAGAAGAAGCCAUCUAGCUAAUAACUAUGGACCCGAAGGUCUGAGGUAAACUACUCACACAUCAUUGGAGAGGCUAUGGUGUUGAUGUAGAAGCCCUGCGUGAUCGAUGCCCCCUCCGGCGGAGCUCCGGAAAAGGCCCCAAGAUGGGAUCUCACGGGUACAGAAGGUUGCGGUGGUGGAAUUAGGUUUCUGGCUCCGUAUCUGGUAGUUUGGGGGUACGUAGGUAUAUAUAGGAGGAAGAAGUACGUCGGUGGAGCAACGAGGGGUCCACGAGGGUGGAGGGGGCGCCCAGGGGGGUAGGCGCACCCCCUACCUCGUGCCUUCCUGGUUGAUGUCAUGACAUAGGGUCCACGUGCUCUGGAUCACGUUCGUCCUGAAAAUCACGUUCCCGAAGGUUUCAUUCCGUUUGGACUCCGUUUGAUAUUCUUUUUCUGUGAAACUCUGAAAUAGGCAAAAAACAGCAAUUCUGGGCUGGGCCUUCGGUUAAUAGGUUAGUCCCAAAAAUAAUAUAAAAGUGUAUAAUAAAGCCCAUUAAUGUCCAGAACAGAAUAUGAUAUAACAUGGAACAAUCAAAAAUUAUAGAUACGUUGGAGACGUAUCAAGCAUCCCCAAGCUUAAUUCCUGCUCGUCCUCGAGUAGGUAGAUGAUGAAAACAGAAUUUAUGAUGUGGAAUGCUACUUGGCAUAAUUUUCAAUGUAAUUGUCUUAAUUGUGGUAUGAAUAUUCAGAUCCAAAAGAUUCAAGACAAAAGUUUAAUAUUGACAUAAAAAUAAUAAUACUUCAAGCAUACUAACUAAGCAAUUAUGUCUUCUCAAAAUAACAUGGCCAAAGAAAGUUAUCCCUACAAAAUCAUAUAGUCUGGCUAUGCUCUAUCUUCACCACACAAAGUAUUUAAAUCAUGCACAACCCCGAUGACAAGCCAAGCAAUUGUUUCAUACUUUUGAUGUUCUCAAACUUUUUCAAUCUUCACUCAAUACAUGAGCGUGAGCCAUGGACAUAGCACUAUAUGUGGAAUAGAAUGGUGGUUGUGGAGAAGACAAAAAAGGAGAAGAUCAUCUCACAUUAACUAGGCGUAUCAACGGGCUAUGGAGAUGCCCAUUAAUAGAUAUCAAUGUGAGUGAGUAGGGAUUGCCAUGCAACGGAUGCUCUAGAGCUAUAAGUAUAUGAAAGCUCAACAGAAGAAACUAAGUAGGUGUGCAUCCAACUCGCUUGCUCACGAAGACCUAGGGCAUUUUGAGGAAGCCCAUCAUUGGAAUAUACAAGCCAAGUUCUAUAAUGAAAAAUUUCCCACUAGUAUAUGAAAGUGAUAUCAUAGGAGACUCUCUAUCAUGAAGAUCAUGGUGCUACUUUGAAGCACAAGUGUGGUAAAAGGAUAGUAACAUUGUCCCUUCUCCCUUUUUCUCUCAUUUUUUUAUUUGGGCCUUUUCUAUUUUUUAUGGCCUCUAUUUUUUAUUUAGUCCGGAGUCUCAUCCCGACUUGUGGUGGAAUCAUAGUCUCCAUCAUCCUUUCCUCACUUGGGACAAUGCUCUAAAAAUGAUGAUCAUCACACUUUUAUUUACUUACAACUCAACUAUUACAACUCAAUACUUAGAACAAAAUAUGACUCUAUGUGAAUGCCUCCGGCGGUAUACCGGGAUAUGCAAUGGAUCAAGAGUGACAUGUAUGGAAGAAUUAUGAACGGUGGCUUUGCCACAAAUACAAUGUCAACUACAUGAUCAUGCAAAGCAAUAUGACAAUGAGGGAGCGUGUCAUAGUAAACGUAACGGUGGUAAGUUGCAUGGCAAUAUAUGUCGGAAUGGCUAUGGAAAUGCCAUGAUAGGUAGGUAUGGUGGCUGUUUUGAGGAAGGUAUAUGGUGGGUGUAUGAUACCGGCGAAAAGUGCGCGGUAUUAGAGAGGCUAGCAAUGGUGGAAGGAAGAAAGUGCGUAUAAUCCAUGGACUCAACAUUAGUCAUAAAGAACUCAUAUACUUGUUGCAAAAAUCUACAAGUUAUCAAAGCAAAGUAUUACGCGCAUGCUCCUAAGGGGAUAGAUUGGUAGGAAAAGACCAUCGCUCAUCCCCGACCGCCACUCGUAAGGAAGACAAUCAAUACAUAAAUCAUGCUCCGACUUCAUCACAUAAUGGUUCACCAUACGUGCAUGCUACGGGAAUCACAAACUUUAACAAAAGUAUUUCUCAAAUUCAAAAACUACUCAACUAGCAUGACUCUAAUAUCACCAUCUUCAUAUCUCAAAACAAUUAUCAAGUAUCAAACUUCUCAUAGUAUUCAACACACUCAUCAGAUUUUUUUUACAAAUCUUGAAUGCCUAUUAUAAUUAAAGCAAAUUACCAUGCUGUUUUGUAGGACUCUCAAAAUAAUCUAAGUGAAGCAUGAGAGAACAAUAGUUUCUAUAAAACAAAACCACCACCGUGCUCUAAAAGAUAUAAGUGAAGCACUAGAGCAAAAACUAUAUAACUCAAAAGAUAUAAGUGAAGCACAUAGAGUAUUCUAACAAUUUCCGAAUCAUGUGUGUCUCUCUAAAAAGGUGUGUACAGCAAAGAUGAUUGUGGUAAACUAAAAAGCAAAGACUCAAAUAAUACAAGACGCUCCAAGCAAAACACAUAUCAUGUGGUGAAUAAAAAUAUAGCUCCAAGUAAAGUUACCAAUGGAAGUAGACGAAAGAGGGGAUGCCUUCCGGGGCAUCCCCAAGGUUUGGCUUUUAGGUGUCCUUAGAUUAUCUUGGGGUGCCAUGGGCAUCCCCAAGCUUAGGCUCUUGCCACUCCUUGUUCCACAAUCCAUCAAAUCUUUUACCCAAAACUUGAAAACUUCACAACACAAAACUUAAUAGAAAAUCUCGCGAGCUCCGUUAGCGAAAGAAAAGAAAACAACACUUCAAGGUACUUGUAACACCCCAAAAAUUUGACAUUGUUUUAUUAAUUAAAAUUUGGCCAGGAAAAUUAAAUUUUUAUUUGUCUGGAUUUAGCUUUGAUUUCAGAACACCUCUUCUCUUUAACAUUGUGGGUUUUUACCUCUAGUGGAAACUUUUCAAAAGUAUUAUUGGACUUGUAUGCUCUCUCAAUAAAACAAUUCUUUAUCAGUGGAUUUAUUUGCAUAAUUUUUUUCCUAAGCUUUAUACUUUUAGAAUGAUCUUUCAUAAAUUUGGAGCCACUUUUGCACUGCAACCAUUUGAUAAAUGCUUUUAAAAUUUUCACCAAAAUUUGGGGAUGUCAUGUGAGGUUCCCACAUCACUUGUAUGCAAAAAUAUCUUUUGGUUAUUGGAGAUUUUGAUCUCUACAUCAAUUUUUCAAAUUUGGUCCAGUAGGUAUUUUUGCACUACAACCUAUUUAAAUUUUUUUCUGAAAAUUCUUCCAAGUGGUUGGAGAUGUCAGCAGAUGCUUAUAACUCAACUUCAUGCAAAAACCUAGUGUUGUUCUUUGAAAAAUUUCAAUGAAUCAUCCUCAUCUUCAUUCUGCUCCAGUUUGGUGAUUUGUACUACAACCCUAUUUUAUUUUGCCCUAGUGCCCUUGAGCUUUUUCCUACUUAUAGUCCUCCCUACCAAACCCUUAAGUCCAGGAGAUUGGACCCAUUGGAGUAUGUUUAGUGCAUGCAAUGAUAGCCUUUAGUUUCUGCCCAAAACUGGUUUUCUCAAAAACUUGCACUAGCAAGUUCCUGUUUUUGCCAAACUAACCUUACCACCUUCUUUAGCUCCUAAAGAGACUAGGAUCUGGAGAGUUUGGCCACCCCAAGAGUUGCCUAGAUGACCAUGGCAUUCUGUCGAACACCCUCUGUGCAGGAACAGUUUUGGCAGGUCUUCUAGUUUGCAUUGUGGACUUGAGCCCCUGACCCAGCAACCAUGUCCACUGAGCUCCUAGCUAUCCCUACCCUAGUCCUGUUAAUUGCUAGUCUCCCUUUCGCACUCUAAGCUGCCCUGGCAUUUCGUCGAGCAUGUCCCGUGCGUGCUCUGGGCGCGCCCAGAGCGCACGUUUUGCACGCGCGCGCACUGAGCCGCCGCGUCGCACUGCCGCCCUCGUCGCGUCCCUGUAACACCCUGGGAAUCAUGCUACAGUAACUCCCUGUGAUUAAGCUAAUCAUGUUGCUAAACAGGGCUUGAUCACAUUUGAAUCACCUUCCUUUUCAAACUCCUAGUUCAAACUUCAAAUAUAAUUAAAGUGGAAAAUAAAAGUUUUCAAAAAUUCAAACAAAAAUGUUCAGUGGGUGCCAAAUAUUACACUGGUAAUUAUGGUGGAGAAAACUCCUUUUUAUAAAAUGCCUCAAUGCUUUAAGUGAAAUAAAACAGAAAAGGAAAUAAGCAAAUAAAAAGAAAACAGAAAACAAACAGAACCCAGGCAAAAAAGAAAAGAAAAAGAAAAGAGCAAAAGCCCCCCCACUGGACCUGGCCCAACUGGGCCACCCCAGGCCCAGCCGGCCGGCCCAAACCCCCCUCACCUUAUCCCCUGCCCCCCCCACCGACAGCCUCACCACUCGUUNNNNNNNNNNNNNNNNNNNNNNNNNNNNNNNNNNNNNNNNNNNNNNNNNNNNNNNNNNNNNNNNNNNNNNNNNNNNNNNNNNNNNNNNNNNNNNNNNNNNNNNNNNNNNNNNNNNNNNNNNNNNNNNNNNNNNNNNNNNNNNNNNNNNNNNNNNNNNNNNNNNNNNNNNNNNNNNNNNNNNNNNNNNNNNNNNNNNNNNNNNNNNNNNNNNNNNNNNNNNNNNNNNNNNNNNNNNNNNNNNNNNNNNNNNNNNNNNNNNNNNNNNNNNNNNNNNNNNNNNNNNNNNNNNNNNNNNNNNNNNNNNNNNNNNNNNNNNNNNNNNNNNNNNNNNNNNNNNNNNNNNNNNNNNNNNNNNNNNNNNNNNNNNNNNNNNNNNNNNNNNNNNNNNNNNNNNNNNNNNNNNNNNNNNNNNNNNNNNNNNNNNNNNNNNNNNNNNNNNNNNNNNNNNNNNNNNNNNNNNNNNNNNNNNNNNNNNNNNNNNNNNNNNNNNNNNNNNNNNNNNNNNNNNNNNNNNNNNNNNNNNNNNNNNNNNNNNNNNNNNNNNNNNNNNNNNNNNNNNNNNNNNNNNNNNNNNNNNNNNNNNNNNNNNNNNNNNNNNNNNNNNNNNNNNNNNNNNNNNNNNNNNNNNNNNNNNNNNNNNNNNNNNNNNNNNNNNNNNNNNNNNNNNNNNNNNNNNNNNNNNNNNNNNNNNNNNNNNNNNNNNNNNNNNNNNNNNNNNNNNNNNNNNNNNNNNNNNNNNNNNNNNNNNNNNNNNNNNNNNNNNNNNNNNNNNNNNNNNNNGGCCACGCCCCGCCUGCCCCCCCUCGUCCUCGCGCACCCCGAGCUCCUCCGCCCGCACCGAUGGUCCCCGCGUGCUCCUGGCACUCCCAGGGCCCCGUAGAGCCCCACGUCUGGCCUUCCCGUGCCUCCCUUCGCCGUGCCCGUGCAACCCCGAACUCCGGCCGCCGCUAAGCUCACCGCCGAUGCCGUUUCCGGCCAUCUCCGGACUAACCACUACCACCAUCCGGCGCGGAUCGUCUUGGCCGUUCGAACGCGACCAAGCGCGCGUGAAACGGACCCCUGUGGCCGAAUUCCGGCCACGGCCGAGGCUCGCCGCCGUGUACGGGCUCGCCGGAGUGCCCUCCCGCCGCCGUCCGACGUGGCACACCUGGGGCCACCCCCUGGGUCACUGCCAGUGGGCCCCCUAGUCACCUGUUGACCAGUUGACCUGGUCAACUGGGCUGACUGGGCAGCCCCAGCCACUGACGUGCGGGCCCCACCACUUAAAAUAACUAAUUAAAAUGAUUUUAUAAUUAAAAGUAAUUAGUUUAACUAAUUAGUCACUGACAUGUGGGACCCAGCUGCUAAUUAACCACGUUUAAUUAAAAUAACCCACUGUUAGCCCUCUCUCUAUGACACGUAGGACCCACUGGUCAGUUUGACCUGGUCAGCGAGUCUGUUGACUGCUGACGUCAUCAGCACGUCAUGCUGACGUCAUUUUAUUUUUUCUGUUAUUUAAAUAAUUCCAGAAAUUCAAAUAAACUUUGAAAAUUCACAUCUUUUAAACCGUAACUCGGAUGAAAAUGAUUUCUAUAUGAAAGUUGCUCAGAACGACGAGAUGAAUCCGAAUACGCAGUCCGUUCAUCCACCACACCUCCCUAACCUAUCGAGCUAGCAACUUUCCCCCUCCGGUCCGUCAGUCCGAAAACGCGAAACAUCGGGAAUACCUCCCGGAUUCCCCCCCUUCACCGGUACCACUUACUGUCGCGUUAGGUCACCCCUAGCACCGCUCAUUGUCUUGUCACGCAUCGUCUUGCUUAUGUUUGCAUUGUAUUUACUGUUUCUUCCCCCUCUUCUCUCCGGUAGACUACGAGACCGACACUGCUGCUGCCCAGUUCGACUACGGAGUCGACGACCCCUCCUACUUGCCAGAGCAACCAGGCAAGCCCCCCCUUUGAUCACCAGAUAUCGCCUACUCUAAUCUCUACUGCUUGCAUUAGAGUAGUGUAGCAUGUUACUGCUUUUCGAUAUCCUAUUCUGAUGCAUAGCCUAUCCUUGCUACUACUGUUGACACCUUUACCUGCAAUCCUACAUGCUUAGUCUAGGAUGCUAGAUUUCCAUCAGUGGCCCUACAUUCUUGUCCGUCUGCUGUGCUAUACUAUCGGGCCGUGAUCACCUGGGCGGUGAUCACGGGCAUAUACUUAUAUACUAUAUACAUGACACAUGUGAUGACUAAAGUCGGGUCGGCUCGUAGGAGUACCCGCAAGUGGAUCUUUGUGGCGGAGCGACAGGGCAGGUUGAGACCGCCUAGGUAAGAGGUGGGCCUGGCCCUGGUCGGCGUUCGCGGAUACUUAACACGCUUAACGAGAUCUUGGUAUUUGAUCUGAGUUUGGCCAUUUGGUCUAUACGCACUAACCAUCUACGUGGGAGUAGUUAUGGGUAUCCCGGCGUCGUGGUAUCAGCCGAAGCUCUUUUGACGUCAGCGACUGAGUGGCGCGCGCCGUGUUGGACCACUUUGACGUAACCGCCGUGAUCGUGUGGGUUGCUAGGUCUGCUCGCGGCCGCGUUCGCAACGUGCAGGUGUGCAUAGGGCGAUGGGCCCAGACCCCUGCGCGCAUAGGAUUAGACCGGCGUGCUGACCUCUCUGUUGAGCCUAGGUGGGGCUGCGACGUGUUGAUCUUACGAGGCCGGGCAUGACCCAGAAAAGUGUGUCCGGCCAAUUGGGAUCGAGCGUGUUGGGUUAUGUGGUGCACCCCUGCAGGGAAGUUUAUCUAUUCGAAUAGCCGUGUCCCUCGGUAAAAGGACGACCCGGAGUUGUACCUUGAGCUUAUGACAACUAGAACUGGAUACUGAAUAAAAUACACCCUUCCAAGUGCCAGAUACAACCCGGUGAUCGCUCUCUAACAGGGUGACGAGGAGGGGAUCGCCGGGUAGGAUUAUGCUAUGCGAUGCUACUUGGAGGACUUCAAUCUACUCUCUUCUACAUGCUGCAAGAUGGAGAUGUCCAGAAGCGUAGUCUUCGACAGGACUAGCUAUCCCCCUCUUAUUCCGGCAUUCUGCAGUUCAGUCCACUGAUAUGCCUCUUUACACAUAUACCCAUGCAUAUGUAGUGUAGCUCCUUGCUUGCGAGUACUUUGGAUGAGUACUCACGGUUGCUUUUCUCCCUCUUUUCCCCUUUCUAUACCGGAUUGUCGCAAUCAGAUGUCGGAGUUCAGGAGCCAGACGCCACCGUCGACGACGACACCUACGACACUGGAGGUGCCUACUACUACGUGCAGGCCGCUGACGACGACCAGGAGUAGUUAGGAGGUCCCAGGCAGGAGGCCUUGCCUUUUCGAUCGUUGCUACUUUUGUGCUAGCCUUCUUAAGGCAAACUUGUUUAACUUAUGUCUGUACUCAGAUAUUGUUGCUUCCGCUGACUCGUCUAUGAUCGAGCACUUGUAUUCGAGCCCUCGAGGCCCCUGGCUUGUAUUAUAAUGCUUGUAUGACUUAUUUAUGUUGUAGAGUUGUGUUGUGAUAUCUUCCCGUGAGUCCCUGAUCGUGAUCGUACACAUUUGCGUGCAUGAUUAGUGUACGGUCAAAUCGGGGGCGUCACAAGUUGGUAUCAGAGCCGACUGCCUGUAGGAACCCCCCUUCCACACUCCUUGGCCGAAGUCGAGUCUAGUCAUUGCAAAACUUUUACUAACAUGGCUGUGCGGCUUACGGGCCCACGUCGCCAUUGGGUGGUACUAGGAUCUUUUACUCCUCGACCUUUAUUCUAGGACUCUGAACUCUCUCCUACUCGGGUUAAACGAAUUUACUAACUCAAACACUAGGAUCCCGUGACCGCGUUCACCCCUAAGAUGGAUAAGCCAUAGUUGUUUCUUAGAAUAGUAUUUUGAACAAUUCACACACUGUCAUUUGACUCCUUUGAAACGUCUUUGCUUUCAGAUGGAACCCACGAGGCAGGUUGUUCGCCACACGAUGGCCAUUGGUGCCUCGGGAUCACCUGCGGUGCUAGCUGAGAUGAUGACCUAUCUGGGUUAUCGCUGGCACCCUGAGUUCACCGUCUACGAGGAGUACCAGGACUUUAACCAGGAGCAGUACCGUGCCAUCGUCCACCUCUACUCUCGGGAGUACGACUCCACUACUGUGCUGCACACCGCACAUGGUGUUGGUGUGACCAUCGAUAUGGCUGUCCACGAUGCAGCCUAUGCUGCUCUGACACGUCUUCGUGGAGAGUAUCGGGAGUUGGACACCUCCCCCUUCAGGCACAUUGCUAUCGCCUCUGAUGUUGGUGCGGAGGGAUACUACACUGCUGCCUACUCCACUGUCACCCGAGAGCCCUUCUACCAUCAGCACCUGGUUCUGCAUGCUGAUGGGCUGGAUCGAGCUAACCGAGCUCUUCGCCACGAGAUGUACACCACCCGUCAGCACCUUUACCGUGCUCUGACGCUGCUGCACCCUUUUGUCCGGUCUGGACAGGUACCGCGUGUUGCGAUCUACCCAGCCAGGACCGUGAUGCCCCACGGUGUCGGUUGGCCAGAGGUGGGAGGCUACUCUCCCGCACUUGGUUCUCUUCUGCCACCUGAGCGUCGGACUCUACACCUGAGUAUCCGCGGCCCCCAGUCUGCUGACGUGGAGGACUAUCCGUUGCCUCACUACCAGCUGUCGGGCUACGAUUACCUCCACAGUACCUCUUGGGACUGAUGUAGGCUUGAUUGUAGUAUUAGUUUCAGUCGCCGCGAGCCUGUGUGCCGCCUAUGAUGUUUUAGUCUAUGUACUGAACUCUAUGCAUGACCCCUUUUGUAAGUUAUGCCGACUACUAUGUAGUAGCUAUCGUGCUCCUUUCAUUGUGCAUGUUUCAUCAUGAAUGAUUCUUGUCAUUGCAAAUUUUCUCAAUGCUGAACUACCCCUGUUAUAUAUUAGCAGGAUGGUUAGACCAGGUGGUCGUGGUCGUGGUGGCGAUGCCCCACCACCACCUGAGUACAUGGCUGGUAUGAUCCAACAGUUUGAACUGAACCGCCAAUUCAUGGAAAAUAUGAUGGCUCAGUUUCCUCGCCCCAAUAUGAACCAACAGCCAGCUCAAGUGACUCUUCAAGAUUUCAUACGCCUCAACCCAACCAUCUACCGCAGCUCAACUCAGCCUCUGGAUGCUGAUGACUGGCUCCGUGACAUCACCUAUGAGAUGGAGUCUGCUGAUGUAGCCCCUGCCAGCUAUGUCAAUUUUGCUUCCUUCUUCUUGAAGGGACCCGCAGCUCAAUGGUGGGACAGCCACAGGCGCACUCUGCCAGCUGGAACAAUCAUCACCUGGCCAGACUUCCAAGCUGCUUUCCGUGCCCGCUUCAUUCCUCAGGGAGUCAUGGACCGGAAGAAGCGUGAGUUCCGCAACCUCACCCAAGGCAACAAAUCUGUCGAAGCUUAUCAGCGGGAGUUUCUGGACUUGUCCCGCUAUGCUGAAGAAGACAUUGCAACUGAUGCACGCAGACAGGAGAAGUUCCGUGAUGGACUACAAGCUGACAUCAAGCUCGCACUUCUAGUGCAUGACUUCGCCGAUUUCGCCACCUUGGUGAAUAAGGCCAUCAAUGUCGAGACUGGUCUGCAGGAAUACCAGAGCUCUCAGAGGCGCAACCGUGACACGGGCUCAUCUUCGGGCUCGCCCUCACAGAAGCGUAAGAUAUGGAUCCCGAACAGCAUGUAUCGACCAAAUGCACCUGCUCCCAGGAAAUCUUAUGCUGCACCGCGUCUGCCUCCUCCACCAUCUAGGCAGUCAAAGCUACCAGCUCCCCCACCUGGGGCUCCUGUUCCCACUCCCGAUAAUGGUCUGUGCUUCAAGUGUGGUCAACCGGGUCACUUUGCCAGGAACUGCUAUCAGAAUCAGAAUCAACUGGCCCUUCCAGCAGCUGGCCGUGGUAACAACCAGCCCCGCAACAACAAUGCUAAGUCUCAUGGUCGUGCUCAUGCCAACCACGUUGAUCUCAGCGAAGCUCAAGACCAGCCUGCUACUGUGAUGGGUACACUCCUCGUAAAUUCAGUACCAGCAUCCGUUUUAUUUGAUACAGGAGCAUCCCACUCAUUCAUUUCAGCAGAAUUUGCAUUCCUGCAUGGCAUUAAUCACGAAGAGAUAAACACUCCGCUAGUGGUACACACCCCUGCGGGCCAAUGUCAAACCUCUAUGGUUAGUCGCGAUGUUACUGUUGAAAUUGAAGGACUGGAAUUUCUUGUCUCUCCCAUCGUACUGAAGUCCUGUAGCAUUGAUCUCAUUCUGGGAAUGAAUUGGUUAAAAGCGCAUACUGCUUCAAUCGUUUGCACCACUAAGACCGUCCAUCUGCUACACCCUUCAGAUGAGAUAGUUACUUACCAAGCCCAUCUGGUGCAAAAUGCGGAGGCAAGGCUCUAUGCAUUGAAUGCAUUGAACGCUGCACCACUCGAGGGCAUUGAAAACAUUCCCGUCGUGCGUGAAUUCCUCGACGUCUUUCCUGAAGAACUUCCGGGGAUUCCCCCUGCUAGAGCUGUCGAAUUCAUCAUCGACUUGAAACCAGGCACCACUCCUAUAGCCAAGCGACCCUACAAAAUGCCGCCGCAUGAACUCCUUGAGCUUAAGGAGGAAAUCGACAAGUCUCUUCGCAAAGGAUUCAUUCGCCCAAGUUGCUCUCCUUGGGGAGCACCUUCUCUCUUUGUCAAGAAGAAGGAUGGGACAAACCGGUUAGUUCAAGACUACCGUCCUAUAAACCAAGCUACCAUUCAGAAUAAAUACCCUCUUCCUCGGAUCAAUGAUCUGUAUGAUCAACUGGCGGGUUCGUCAGUGUUCUCUAAGCUCGACUUGAGGUCGGGCUACCACCAGAUCCGUGUUCGCGAAGAGGAUAUCCCAAAGACCGCCUUCGUGACUCGCUAUGGUUCAUACGAGUACACCGUCAUGUCUUUCGGUUUAACCAAUGCUCCAGCCACCUUCUCUCGUCUGAUGAACUACAUAUUCAUGGAUUACCUCGACAAGUUUGUCGUGGUUUAUCUGGAUGAUAUCCUGAUAUUUUCCAAGAACGAAGAAGAACAUGCUGAACAUCUUCGUCUUGUGCUGGAAAAGCUACGAGAACAUCAACUAUAUGCCAAGUUCUCCAAAUGUGAAUUCUGGCUACCGGAAGUAACCUAUCUUGGGCAUGUCAUCUCUAAGGAUGGUAUUGCCGUCAACCCUGAACGAGUUCAGGCUAUUCUUGAUUGGACUCCUCCCAAGAACGUUAAGCAAGUCAGAAGUUUUCUCGGUCUCGCCAGCUAUUGCCGUCGAUUCGUCGAGAACUUCUCUAAGAUCGCCAGGCCUCUGACUAACCUGUUGCAUAAGGGUGUCAAGUUCCAAUGGACAGACAAAUGUCAGGAAAGUUUCCAGGCACUCAAAGACAAGUUGACUUCUGCCCCAGUUCUAGCUCCACCUGAUACUAAGAAGGACUUCGUCAUUUACUGCGACGCUUCCCGUCAAGGGUUAGGCUGUGUCCUAAUGCAAGACCGCAAAGUGAUUGCUUAUGCCUCUCGACAAUUGCGCCCUCACGAAGAGAACUACCCAGUUCACGACCUCGAACUUGCUGCCGUCAUUCAUGCGCUGAAGCAGUGGCGACAUUACCUUCUCGGUAAUCGUUGCGAGAUCUUCACUGACCACCAAAGUCUGAAGUAUCUGUUUACUCAGCCAGACCUGAACCUCCGUCAACAGAGAUGGAUGGAGCUUGUUGCAGACUUUGACUUGGGUAUCUCCUAUACGCCAGGCAAGGCUAAUGUAAUGGCUGAUGCCUUGAGCCGCAAGUCUUACUGCAACCACCUCCAGGUUCAUAAAGUUCAGCCCUCGCUUGUUGAAGAAUUCAGGAAGCUGAACCUCCAUAUUGUUCCUCCGGGUGCACUCGCUCCCCCUCCUAAACAAUUUGGCAAGGUGAACCUCCACGUUGUUACCCAGGGUUCCCUUAAUACCCUAGUUGCUAAACCAGAUCUCGAGGACAGCAUCAAAAGGCUACAGAAGUAUGACUCUGAAGCCUACAAGAUUAAGCGCUACCUCGCAGAAGGAAAGCCCUCAUUCUUCACCAUUUCUGAAGAUGGCGCCCUAUACUUCAAGGGCCGCCUAGUGGUGCCAUGUGCAGAGAAAAACCUGGAUAUGACACAGGAAGUUAUGAAAGAAGCUCAUGAUACGCCUCUGUGUAUCCAUCCUGGUAGUACAAAGAUGUAUCAAGAUAUCCGUCAGAGAUUCUGGUGGACUAAUAUGAAGCAAGACAUUGCUCGUUAUGUUGCUGAGUGUGACGUUUGCCGUCGUAUCAAAGCAGAACAUCAAAGGCCUGCUGGAACUCUGCAACCUAUCUCUAUUCCUGAAUGGAAAUGGGACCAUGUUGAGAUGGACUUCGUCACUGGAUUUCCCAAAUCGCAGAAAGGUAAUGAUGCUAUUCUUGUCGUCAUUGACCGGCUUUCCAAAGUUGCACAUUUUCUGGCGGUCAAAGAAACGAUCACUGCUAGCCAGUUGGCAACGCUCUAUAUGUCCAGGAUUGUUUCACUCCACGGUAUUCCAUUGGUUAUCAGCUCAGACCGUGGCAGCUUAUUCACUUCAAGAUUCUGGGCAAGUUUCCAAGAAGCAAUGGGAACUCAUCUGUCAUUCAGUACUGCGUUUCAUCCUCAAUCGCAAGGACAAGUUGAACGCGUCAACCAAGUUCGCGAAGACAUGCUUCGAGCUUGCGUUAUUUCCUUCGGCAAGAAAUGGGAGGAAUCUCUCCCGUAUGCUGAGUUCUCUUAUAAUAAUAGCUAUCAAGCUAGUCUGAAGAUGGCCCCCUUCGAAGUGUUAUAUGGACGAAAGUGCCGAACCCCUCUGAACUGGUCAGAAACUGGGGAACGUCCACUCUUCGGUCCGGAUAUUAUCCAAGAUGCCGAAGAACAAGUCCGCAUUAUUCGCGAGAAUCUCAAGACUGCUCAGUCACGUCAGAAGAGUCAGUAUGACCGUCAUCAUAAAGACAUGGUCUAUCAACCUGGCGAAAAGGCUUAUCUUCGAGUCACACCUAUGAAGGGUGCUCACCGCUUCGGGAUCAAGGGCAAACUAGCUCCUCGCUAUAUUGGCCCAUUCACUAUUCUCGAAAGGCGUGGAAAAGUGGCAUACCAACUGGAACUACCGCCGAACCUUUCUCAGGUUCACGAUGUGUUCCAUGUGUCACAGCUCCGCCGAUGCUUCAAGGAUCCAAUCCGAGCUGUGGAUCAUGAAGUGCUCGAAUUGCAGCAAGACCUCUCCUAUAAGGAGCAUCUGGUCCGCAUUCUCGACCAAGCUGAACGCCGCACACGUCAGAAGGCGAUCAAGUUUCUCAAAGUCCAGUGGUCGCACCAUUCUGAAGAUGAGGCCACUUGGGAACGAGAGGAUCGUCUGCGCGAAGAAUACCCCGCACUGUUUCCUUCUACCUCCUAAAUCUCGGGACGAGAUUUCUUGUAGUGGAGGAGAUUUGUAACACCCUGGGAAUCAUGCUACAGUAACUCCCUGUGAUUAAGCUAAUCAUGUUGCUAAACAGGGCUUGAUCACAUUUGAAUCACCUUCCUUUUCAAACUCCUAGUUCAAACUUCAAAUAUAAUUAAAGUGGAAAAUAAAAGUUUUCAAAAAUUCAAACAAAAAUGUUCAGUGGGUGCCAAAUAUUACACUGGUAAUUAUGGUGGAGAAAACUCCUUUUUAUAAAAUGCCUCAAUGCUUUAAGUGAAAUAAAACAGAAAAGGAAAUAAGCAAAUAAAAAGAAAACAGAAAACAAACAGAACCCAGGCAAAAAAGAAAAAGAAAAAAAAAGAGCAAAAGCCCCCCCCACUGGACCUGGCCCAACUGGGCCACCCCAGGCCCAGCCGGCCGGCCCAAACCCCCCUCACCUUAUCCCCUGCCCCCCCCACCGACAGCCUCACCACUCGUUCCCCCCCGAAAUAUCUCACCCCCCGAUCUGGAUCGAGGAGGAGACCGACGCCGUCGCGCUCGACCCCGCGCNNNNNNNNNNNNNNNNNNNNNNNNNNNNNNNNNNNNNNNNNNNNNNNNNNNNNNNNNNNNNNNNNNNNNNNNNNNNNNNNNNNNNNNNNNNNNNNNNNNNNNNNNNNNNNNNNNNNNNNNNNNNNNNNNNNNNNNNNNNNNNNNNNNNNNNNNNNNNNNNNNNNNNNNNNNNNNNNNNNNNNNNNNNNNNNNNNNNNNNNNNNNNNNNNNNNNNNNNNNNNNNNNNNNNNNNNNNNNNNNNNNNNNNNNNNNNNNNNNNNNNNNNNNNNNNNNNNNNNNNNNNNNNNNNNNNNNNNNNNNNNNNNNNNNNNNNNNNNNNNNNNNNNNNNNNNNNNNNNNNNNNNNNNNNNNNNNNNNNNNNNNNNNNNNNNNNNNNNNNNNNNNNNNNNNNNNNNNNNNNNNNNNNNNNNNNNNNNNNNNNNNNNNNNNNNNNNNNNNNNNNNNNNNNNNNNNNNNNNNNNNNNNNNNNNNNNNNNNNNNNNNNNNNNNNNNNNNNNNNNNNNNNNNNNNNNNNNNNNNNNNNNNNNNNNNNNNNNNNNNNNNNNNNNNNNNNNNNNNNNNNNNNNNNNNNNNNNNNNNNNNNNNNNNNNNNNNNNNNNNNNNNNNNNNNNNNNNNNNNNNNNNNNNNNNNNNNNNNNNNNNNNNNNNNNNNNNNNNNNNNNNNNNNNNNNNNNNNNNNNNNNNNNNNNNNNNNNNNNNNNNNNNNNNNNNNNNNNNNNNNNNNNNNNNNNNNNNNNNNNNNNNNNNNNNNNNNNNNNNNNNNNNNNNNNNNNNNNNNNNNNNNNNNNNNNNNNNNNNNNNNNNNNNNNNNNNNNNNNNNNNNNNNNNNNNNNNNNNNNNNNNNNNNNNNNNNNNNNNNNNNNNNNNNNNNNNNNNNNNNNNNNNNNNNNNNNNNNNNNNNNNNNNNNNNNNNNNNNNNNNNNNNNNNNNNNNNNNNNNNNNNNNNNNNNNNNNNNNNNNNNNNNNNNNNNNNNNNNNNNNNNNNNNNNNNNNNNNNNNNNNNNNNNNNNNNNNNNNNNNNNNNNNNNNNNNNNNNNNNNNNNNNNNNNNNNNNNNNNNNNNNNNNNNNNNNNNNNNNNNNNNNNNNNNNNNNNNNNNNNNNNNNNNNNNNNNNNNNNNNNNNNNNNNNNNNNNNNNNNNNNNNNNNNNNNNNNNNNNNNNNNNNNNNNNNNNNNNNNNNNNNNNNNNNNNNNNNNNNNNNNNNNNNNNNNNNNNNNNNNNNNNNNNNNNNNNNNNNNNNNNNNNNNNNNNNNNNNNNNNNNNNNNNNNNNNNNNNNNNNNNNNNNNNNNNNNNNNNNNNNNNNNNNNNNNNNNNNNNNNNNNNNNNNNNNNNNNNNNNNNNNNNNNNNNNNNNNNNNNNNNNNNNNNNNNNNNNNNNNNNNNNNNNNNNNNNNNNNNNNNNNNNNNNNNNNNNNNNNNNNNNNNNNNNNNNNNNNNNNNNNNNNNNNNNNNNNNNNNNNNNNNNNNNNNNNNNNNNNNNNNNNNNNNNNNNNNNNNNNNNNNNNNNNNNNNNNNNNNNNNNNNNNNNNNNNNNNNNNNNNNNNNNNNNNNNNNNNNNNNNNNNNNNNNNNNNNNNNNNNNNNNNNNNNNNNNNNNNNNNNNNNNNNNNNNNNNNNNNNNNNNNNNNNNNNNNNNNNNNNNNNNNNNNNNNNNNNNNNNNNNNNNNNNNNNNNNNNNNNNNNNNNNNNNNNNNNNNNNNNNNNNNNNNNNNNNNNNNNNNNNNNNNNNNNNNNNNNNNNNNNNNNNNNNNNNNNNNNNNNNNNNNNNNNNNNNNNNNNNNNNNNNNNNNNNNNNNNNNNNNNNNNNNNNNNNNNNNNNNNNNNNNNNNNNNNNNNNNNNNNNNNNNNNNNNNNNNNNNNNNNNNNNNNNNNNNNNNNNNNNNNNNNNNNNNNNNNNNNNNNNNNNNNNNNNNNNNNNNNNNNNNNNNNNNNNNNNNNNNNNNNNNNNNNNNNNNNNNNNNNNNNNNNNNNNNNNNNNNNNNNNNNNNNNNNNNNNNNNNNNNNNNNNNNNNNNNNNNNNNNNNNNNNNNNNNNNNNNNNNNNNNNNNNNNNNNNNNNNNNNNNNNNNNNNNNNNNNNNNNNNNNNNNNNNNNNNNNNNNNNNNNNNNNNNNNNNNNNNNNNNNNNNNNNNNNNNNNNNNNNNNNNNNNNNNNNNNNNNNNNNNNNNNNNNNNNNNNNNNNNNNNNNNNNNNNNNNNNNNNNNNNNNNNNNNNNNNNNNNNNNNNNNNNNNNNNNNNNNNNNNNNNNNNNNNNNNNNNNNNNNNNNNNNNNNNNNNNNNNNNNNNNNNNNNNNNNNNNNNNNNNNNNNNNNNNNNNNNNNNNNNNNNNNNNNNNNNNNNNNNNNNNNNNNNNNNNNNNNNNNNNNNNNNNNNNNNNNNNNNNNNNNNNNNNNNNNNNNNNNNNNNNNNNNNNNNNNNNNNNNNNNNNNNNNNNNNNNNNNNNNNNNNNNNNNNNNNNNNNNNNNNNNNNNNNNNNNNNNNNNNNNNNNNNNNNNNNNNNNNNNNNNNNNNNNNNNNNNNNNNNNNNNNNNNNNNNNNNNNNNNNNNNNNNNNNNNNNNNNNNNNNNNNNNNNNNNNNNNNNNNNNNNNNNNNNNNNNNNNNNNNNNNNNNNNNNNNNNNNNNNNNNNNNNNNNNNNNNNNNNNNNNNNNNNNNNNNNNNNNNNNNNNNNNNNNNNNNNNNNNNNNNNNNNNNNNNNNNNNNNNNNNNNNNNNNNNNNNNNNNNNNNNNNNNNNNNNNNNNNNNNNNNNNNNNNNNNNNNNNNNNNNNNNNNNNNNNNNNNNNNNNNNNNNNNNNNNNNNNNNNNNNNNNNNNNNNNNNNNNNNNNNNNNNNNNNNNNNNNNNNNNNNNNNNNNNNNNNNNNNNNNNNNNNNNNNNNNNNNNNNNNNNNNNNNNNNNNNNNNNNNNNNNNNNNNNNNNNNNNNNNNNNNNNNNNNNNNNNNNNNNNNNNNNNNNNNNNNNNNNNNNNNNNNNNNNNNNNNNNNNNNNNNNNNNNNNNNNNNNNNNNNNNNNNNNNNNNNNNNNNNNNNNNNNNNNNNNNNNNNNNNNNNNNNNNNNNNNNNNNNNNNNNNNNNNNNNNNNNNNNNNNNNNNNNNNNNNNNNNNNNNNNNNNNNNNNNNNNNNNNNNNNNNNNNNNNNNNNNNNNNNNNNNNNNNNNNNNNNNNNNNNNNNNNNNNNNNNNNNNNNNNNNNNNNNNNNNNNNNNNNNNNNNNNNNNNNNNNNNNNNNNNNNNNNNNNNNNNNNNNNNNNNNNNNNNNNNNNNNNNNNNNNNNNNNNNNNNNNNNNNNNNNNNNNNNNNNNNNNNNNNNNNNNNNNNNNNNNNNNNNNNNNNNNNNNNNNNNNNNNNNNNNNNNNNNNNNNNNNNNNNNNNNNNNNNNNNNNNNNNNNNNNNNNNNNNNNNNNNNNNNNNNNNNNNNNNNNNNNNNNNNNNNNNNNNNNNNNNNNNNNNNNNNNNNNNNNNNNNNNNNNNNNNNNNNNNNNNNNNNNNNNNNNNNNNNNNNNNNNNNNNNNNNNNNNNNNNNNNNNNNNNNNNNNNNNNNNNNNNNNNNNNNNNNNNNNNNNNNNNNNNNNNNNNNNNNNNNNNNNNNNNNNNNNNNNNNNNNNNNNNNNNNNNNNNNNNNNNNNNNNNNNNNNNNNNNNNNNNNNNNNNNNNNNNNNNNNNNNNNNNNNNNNNNNNNNNNNNNNNNNNNNNNNNNNNNNNNNNNNNNNNNNNNNNNNNNNNNNNNNNNNNNNNNNNNNNNNNNNNNNNNNNNNNNNNNNNNNNNNNNNNNNNNNNNNNNNNNNNNNNNNNNNNNNNNNNNNNNNNNNNNNNNNNNNNNNNNNNNNNNNNNNNNNNNNNNNNNNNNNNNNNNNNNNNNNNNNNNNNNNNNNNNNNNNNNNNNNNNNNNNNNNNNNNNNNNNNNNNNNNNNNNNNNNNNNNNNNNNNNNNNNNNNNNNNNNNNNNNNNNNNNNNNNNNNNNNNNNNNNNNNNNNNNNNNNNNNNNNNNNNNNNNNNNNNNNNNNNNNNNNNNNNNNNNNNNNNNNNNNNNNNNNNNNNNNNNNNNNNNNNNNNNNNNNNNNNNNNNNNNNNNNNNNNNNNNNNNNNNNNNNNNNNNNNNNNNNNNNNNNNNNNNNNNNNNNNNNNNNNNNNNNNNNNNNNNNNNNNNNNNNNNNNNNNNNNNNNNNNNNNNNNNNNNNNNNNNNNNNNNNNNNNNNNNNNNNNNNNNNNNNNNNNNNNNNNNNNNNNNNNNNNNNNNNNNNNNNNNNNNNNNNNNNNNNNNNNNNNNNNNNNNNNNNNNNNNNNNNNNNNNNNNNNNNNNNNNNNNNNNNNNNNNNNNNNNNNNNNNNNNNNNNNNNNNNNNNNNNNNNNNNNNNNNNNNNNNNNNNNNNNNNNNNNNNNNNNNNNNNNNNNNNNNNNNNNNNNNNNNNNNNNNNNNNNNNNNNNNNNNNNNNNNNNNNNNNNNNNNNNNNNNNNNNNNNNNNNNNNNNNNNNNNNNNNNNNNNNNNNNNNNNNNNNNNNNNNNNNNNNNNNNNNNNNNNNNNNNNNNNNNNNNNNNNNNNNNNNNNNNNNNNNNNNNNNNNNNNNNNNNNNNNNNNNNNNNNNNNNNNNNNNNNNNNNNNNNNNNNNNNNNNNNNNNNNNNNNNNNNNNNNNNNNNNNNNNNNNNNNNNNNNNNNNNNNNNNNNNNNNNNNNNNNNNNNNNNNNNNNNNNNNNNNNNNNNNNNNNNNNNNNNNNNNNNNNNNNNNNNNNNNNNNNNNNNNNNNNNNNNNNNNNNNNNNNNNNNNNNNNNNNNNNNNNNNNNNNNNNNNNNNNNNNNNNNNNNNNNNNNNNNNNNNNNNNNNNNNNNNNNNNNNNNNNNNNNNNNNNNNNNNNNNNNNNNNNNNNNNNNNNNNNNNNNNNNNNNNNNNNNNNNNNNNNNNNNNNNNNNNNNNNNNNNNNNNNNNNNNNNNNNNNNNNNNNNNNNNNNNNNNNNNNNNNNNNNNNNNNNNNNNNNNNNNNNNNNNNNNNNNNNNNNNNNNNNNNNNNNNNNNNNNNNNNNNNNNNNNNNNNNNNNNNNNNNNNNNNNNNNNNNNNNNNNNNNNNNNNNNNNNNUACUCCACUGUCACCCGAGAGCCCUUCUACCAUCAGCACCUGGUUCUGCAUGCUGAUGGGCUGGAUCGAGCUAACCGAGCUCUUCGCCACGAGAUGUACACCACCCGUCAGCACCUUUACCGUGCUCUGACGCUGCUGCACCCCUUUGUCCGGUCUGGACAGGUACCGCGUUCUGCGAUCUACCCAGCCAGGACCGUGAUGCCCCACGGUGUCGGUUGGCCAGAGGUGGGAGGCUACUCUCCCGCACUUGGUCCUCUUCUGCCACCUGAGCGUCGGGCUCUACACCUGAGUAUCCGCGGCCCCCAGUCUGCUGACGUGGAGAGCUAUCCGUUGCCUCACUACCAGCUGUCGGGCUACGAUUACCUCCACAGUACCUCUUGGGACUGAUGUAGGCUUGUUUGUAGUGUUAAAGGCAUUCGCCGCGAGCCUGUGUGCCGCCUAUGAUGUUUUAGUCUAUGUACUGAACUCUGUGUACUGAACUCUAUGCAUGACCCCUUUUGUAAACUAUGCCGACUACUAUGUAGUAGCUAUCGUGCUCCUUUCAAUUAUGCAUGUUUCAUCAUGAAUGAUUCUUGUCAUUGCAAAUUUUCUCAAUGCUGAACUACCCCUGUUAUAUAUUAGCAGGAUGGUUAGACCAGGUGGUCGUGGUAGUGGUGGCGAUGCCCCACCACCACCUGAGUACAUGGCUGGUAUGAUCCAACAGUUCGAACUGAACCGCCAAUUCAUGGAAAAUAUGAUGGCUCAGUUUCCUCGCCCCAAUAUGAACCAGCAGCCAGCCCAAGUGACUCUUCAAGAUUUCAUACGCCUCAACCCAACCAUCUACCGCAGCUCAACUCAGCCUUUGGAUGCUGAUGACUGGCUCCGUGACAUCACCUAUGAGAUGGAGUCUGCUGAUGUAGCCCCUGCCAGCUAUGUCAAUUUUGCUUCCUUCUUCUUGAAGGGACCCGCAGCUCAAUGGUGGGACAGCCACAGGCGUACUCUGCCAGCUGGAACAAUCAUCACAUGGCCAGACUUCCAAGCUGCUUUCCGUGCCCGCUUCAUUCCUCAGGGAGUCAUGGACCGGAAGAAGCGUGAGUUCCGCAACCUCACCCAAGGCAACAAAACUGUUGAAGCUUAUCAGCGGGAGUUUCUGGACUUGUCCCGCUAUGCUGAAGAAGACAUUGCAACUGAUGCACGCAGACAGGAGAAGUUCCGUGAUGGCCUUCAAGCUGACAUCAAGCUCGCACUUCUAGUGCAUGACUUUGCCGAUUUCGCCACCUUGGUGAAUAAGGCCAUCAAUGUCGAGACUGGUCUGCAGGAAUACCAGAGCUCUCAUAGGCGCAACCGUGACACGGGCUCAUCUUCAGGCUCGCCCUCACAGAAGCGUAAGAUAUGGAUCCCGAACAGCAUGUAUCGUCCAAAUGCACCUGCUCCCAGGAAAUCUUAUGCUGCACCGCGUCUGCCUCCUCCACCAUCUAAGCAGUCAAAGCUACCAGCUCCCCCACCUGGGGCUCCUGUUCCCACUCCCGAUAAUGGUCUGUGCUUCAAGUGUGGUCAACCGGGUCACUUUGCCAGGAACUGCUAUCAGAACCAGAAUCAACUGGCCCUUCCAGCAGCUGGCCGUGGUAACAACCAGCCCCGCAACAACAAUGCUAAGUCUUAUGGUCGUGCUCAUGCCAACCACGUUGAUCUCAGCGAAGCUCAAGACCAGCCUGCUACUGUGAUGGGUACACUCCUCGUAAAUUCAGUACCAGCAUCCGUUUUAUUUGAUACAGGAGCAUCCCACUCAUUCAUUUCAGCAGAAUUUGCAUUCCUGCAUGGCAUUAAUCACGAAGAGAUAAACACUCCGCUAGUGGUACACACCCCUGCGGGCCAAUGUCAAACCUCUAUGGUUAGUCGCGAUGUUACUGUUGAAAUUGAAGGACUGGAAUUUCUUGUCUCUCCCAUCGUACUGAAGUCCUGUAGCAUUGAUCUCAUUCUGGGAAUGAAUUGGUUAAAAGCGCAUACUGCUUCAAUCGUUUGCACCACUAAGACCGUCCAUCUGCUACACCCUUCAGAUGAGAUAGUUACUUACCAAGCCCAUCUGGUGCAAAAUGCCGAGGCAAGGCUCUAUGCAUUGAAUGCAUUGAACGCUGCACCACUCGAGGGCAUUGAAAACAUUCGCGUCGUGCGUGAAUUCCUCGACGUCUUUCCUGAAGAACUUCCGGGGAUUCCCCCUGCUAGAGCUGUCGAAUUCAUCAUCGACUUGAAACCAGGCACCACUCCUAUAGCCAAGCGACCCUACAAAAUGCCGCCGCAUGAACUCCUUGAGCUUAAGGAGGAAAUCGAAUAGUCUCUUCGCAAAGGAUUCAUUCGCCCAAGUUGCUCUCCUUGGGGAGCACCUUCUCUCUUUGUCAAGAAGAAGGAUGGGACAAACCGGUUAGUUCAAGACUACCGUCCUAUAAACCAAGCUACCAUUCAGAAUAAAUACCCUCUUCCUCGGAUCAAUGAUCUGUAUGAUCAACUGGCGGGUUCGUCAGUGUUCUCUAAGCUUGACUUGAGGUUGGGCUACCACCAGAUCCGUGUUCGCGAAGAGGAUAUCCCAAAGACCGCCUUCGUGACUCGCUAUGGUUCAUACGAGUACACCGUCAUGUCUUUCGGUUUAACCAAUGCUCCAGCCACCUUCUCUCGUCUGAUGAACUACAUAUUCAUGGAUUACCUCGACAAGUUCGUCGUGGUUUAUCUGGAUGAUAUCCUGAUAUUUUCCAAGAACGAAGAAGAACAUGCUGAACAUCUUCGUCUUGUGCUGGAAAAGCUACGAGAACAUCAACUAUAUGCCAAGUUCUCCAAAUGUGAAUUCUGGCUACCGGAAGUAACCUAUCUUGGGCAUGUCAUCUCUAAGGAUGGUAUUGCCGUCAACCCUGAACGAGUUCAGGCUAUUCUUGAUUGGACUCCUCCCAAGAACGUUAAGCAAGUCAGAAGUUUUCUCGGUCUCGCCAGCUAUUGCCGUCGAUUCGUCGAGAACUUCUCUAAGAUCGCCAGGCCUCUGACUAACCUGUUGCAUAAGGGUGUCAAGUUCCAAUGGACAGACAAAUGUCAGGAAAGUUUCCAGGCACUCAAAGACAAGUUGACUUCUGCCCCAGUUCUAGCUCCACCUGAUACUAAGAAGGACUUCGUCAUUUACUGCGACGCUUCCCGUCAAGGGUUAGGCUGUGUCCUAAUGCAAGACCGCAAAGUGAUUGCUUAUGCCUCUCGACAAUUGCGCCCUCACGAAGAGAACUACCCAGUUCACGACCUCGAACUUGCUGCCGUCAUUCAUGCGCUGAAGCAGUGGCGACAUUACCUUCUCGGUAAUCGUUGCGAGAUCUUCACUGACCACCAAAGUCUGAAGUAUCUGUUUACUCAGCCAGAUCUGAACCUCCGUCAACAGAGAUGGAUGGAGCUUGUUGCAGACUUUGACUUGGGUAUCUCCUAUACGCCAGGCAAGGCUAAUGUAAUGGCUGAUGCCUUGAGCCACAAGUCUUACUGCAACCACCUCCAGGUUCAUAAAGUUCAGCCCUCGCUUGUUGAAGAAUUCAGGAAGCUGAACCUCCAUAUUGUUCCUCCGGGUGCACUCGCUCCCCCUCCUAAACAAUUUGGCAAGGUGAACCUCCACGUUGUUACCCAGGGUUCCCUCAAUACCCUAGUUGCUAAACCAGAUCUCGAGGACAGCAUCAAAAGGCUACAGAAGUAUGACUCUGAAGCCUACAAGAUUAAGCGCUACCUCGCAGAAGGAAAGCCCUCAUUCUUCACCAUUUCUGAAGAUGGCACCCUAUACUUCAAGGGCCGCCUAGUGGUGCCAUGUGCAGAGAAAAACCUGGAUAUGACACAGGAAGUUAUGAAAGAAGCUCAUGAUACGCCUCUAAGUAUCCAUCCGGGUAGUACAAAGAUGUACCAAGAUAUCCGUCAGAGAUUCUGGUGGACUAAUAUGAAGCAGGACAUUGCUCGUUAUGUUGCUGAGUGUGACGUUUGCCAUCGUAUCAAAGCAGAACAUCAAAGGCCUGCUGGAACUCUGCAACCUAUCUCUAUUCCUGAAUGGAAAUGGGACCAUGUUGAGAUGGACUUCGUCACUGGAUUUCCCAAAUCGCAGAAAGGUAAUGAUGCUAUUCUUGUCGUCAUUGACCGGCUUUCCAAAGUUGCACAUUUCCUGGCAGUCAAAGAAACGAUCACUGCUAGCCAGUUGGCAACGCUCUAUAUGUCCAGGAUUGUUUCACUCCACGGUAUUCCAUUGGUUAUCAGUUCAGACCGUGGCAGCUUAUUCACUUCAAGAUUCUGGGCAAGUUUCCAAGAAGCUAUGGGCACUCAUCUGUCAUUUAGUACUGCGUUUCAUCCUCAAUCGCAAGGACAAGUUGAACGCGUCAAUCAAGUUCUCGAAGACAUGCUUCGAGCUUGCGUUAUUUCCUUCGGCAAGAAAUGGGAGGAAUCUCUCCCGUAUGCUGAGUUCUCUUAUAAUAAUAGCUAUCAAGCUAGUCUAAAGAUGGCCCCCUUCGAAGUGUUAUAUGGACGAAAGUGCCGAACCCCCCUAAACUGGUCAGAAACUGGGGAACGUCCACUCUUCGGUCCGGAUAUUAUCCAAGAUGCCGAAGAACAAGUCCGCAUUAUUCGCGAGAAUCUCAAGACUGCUCAGUCACGUCAGAAGAGUCAGUAUGACCGUCAUCAUAAAGACAUGGUCUAUCAACCUGGCGAAAAGGCUUAUCUUCGAGUCACACCUAUGAAGGGUGCUCACCGCUUCGGGAUCAAGGGCAAACUAGCUCCUCGCUAUAUUGGCCCAUUCGCUAUUCUCGAAAGGCGUGUAAAAGUGGCAUACCAACUGGAACUACCACCGAACCUUUCUCAGGUUCACGAUGUGUUCCAUGUGUCACAGCUCCGCCGUUGCUUCAAGGAUCCAAUCCGAGCGGUGGAUCAUGAAGUGCUCGAAUUGCAGCAAGACCUCUCCUAUAAGGAGCAUCCGGUCCGCAUUCUCGACCAAGCUGAACGCCGUACACGUCAGAAGGCGAUCAAGUUUCUCAAAGUCCAGUGGUCGCACCAUUCUAAAGAUGAGGCCACUUGGGAACGAGAGGAUCGUCUGCGCGAAGAAUACCCCGCACUGUUUCCUUCUACCUCCUAAAUCUCGGGACGAGAUUUCUUGUAGUGGAGGAGAUUUGUAACACCCUGGGAAUCAUGCUACAGUAACUCCCUGUGAUUAAGCUAAUCAUGUUGCUAAACAGGGCUUGAUCACAUUUGAAUCACCUUCCUUUUCAAACUCCUAGUUCAAACUUCAAAUAUAAUUAAAGUGGAAAAUAAAAGUUUUCAAAAAUUCAAACAAAAAUGUUCAGUGGGUGCCAAAUAUUACACUGGUAAUUAUGGUGGAGAAAACUCCUUUUUAUAAAAUGCCUCAAUGCUUUAAGUGAAAUAAAACAGAAAAGGAAAUAAGCAAAUAAAAAGAAAACAGAAAACAAACAGAACCCAGGCAAAAAAGAAAANNNNNNNNNNNNNNNNNNNNNNNNNNNNNNNNNNNNNNNNNNNNNNNNNNNNNNNNNNNNNNNNNNNNNNNNNNNNNNNNNNNNNNNNNNNNNNNNNNNNNNNNNNNNNNNNNNNNNNNNNNNNNNNNNNNNNNNNNNNNNNNNNNNNNNNNNNNNNNNNNNNNNNNNNNNNNNNNNNNNNNNNNNNNNNNNNNNNNNNNNNNNNNNNNNNNNNNNNNNNNNNNNNNNNNNNNNNNNNNNNNNNNNNNNNNNNNNNNNNNNNNNNNNNNNNNNNNNNNNNNNNNNNNNNNNNNNNNNNNNNNNNNNNNNNNNNNNNNNNNNNNNNNNNNNNNNNNNNNNNNNNNNNNNNNNNNNNNNNNNNNNNNNNNNNNNNNNNNNNNNNNNNNNNNNNNNNNNNNNNNNNNNNNNNNNNNNNNNNNNNNNNNNNNNNNNNNNNNNNNNNNNNNNNNNNNNNNNNNNNNNNNNNNNNNNNNNNNNNNNNNNNNNNNNNNNNNNNNNNNNNNNNNNNNNNNNNNNNNNNNNNNNNNNNNNNNNNNNNNNNNNNNNNNNNNNNNNNNNNNNNNNNNNNNNNNNNNNNNNNNNNNNNNNNNNNNNNNNNNNNNNNNNNNNNNNNNNNNNNNNNNNNNNNNNNNNNNNNNNNNNNNNNNNNNNNNNNNNNNNNNNNNNNNNNNNNNNNNNNNNNNNNNNNNNNNNNNNNNNNNNNNNNNNNNNNNNNNNNNNNNNNNNNNNNNNNNNNNNNNNNNNNNNNNNNNNNNNNNNNNNNNNNNNNNNNNNNNNNNNNNNNNNNNNNNNNNNNNNNNNNNNNNNNNNNNNNNNNNNNNNNNNNNNNNNNNNNNNNNNNNNNNNNNNNNNNNNNNNNNNNNNNNNNNNNNNNNNNNNNNNNNNNNNNNNNNNNNNNNNNNNNNNNNNNNNNNNNNNNNNNNNNNNNNNNNNNNNNNNNNNNNNNNNNNNNNNNNNNNNNNNNNNNNNNNNNNNNNNNNNNNNNNNNNNNNNNNNNNNNNNNNNNNNNNNNNNNNNNNNNNNNNNNNNNNNNNNNNNNNNNNNNNNNNNNNNNNNNNNNNNNNNNNNNNNNNNNNNNNNNNNNNNNNNNNNNNNNNNNNNNNNNNNNNNNNNNNNNNNNNNNNNNNNNNNNNNNNNNNNNNNNNNNNNNNNNNNNNNNNNNNNNNNNNNNNNNNNNNNNNNNNNNNNNNNNNNNNNNNNNNNNNNNNNNNNNNNNNNNNNNNNNNNNNNNNNNNNNNNNNNNNNNNNNNNNNNNNNNNNNNNNNNNNNNNNNNNNNNNNNNNNNNNNNNNNNNNNNNNNNNNNNNNNNNNNNNNNNNNNNNNNNNNNNNNNNNNNNNNNNNNNNNNNNNNNNNNNNNNNNNNNNNNNNNNNNNNNNNNNNNNNNNNCGUCCGACGUGGCACACCUGGGGCCACCCCCUGGGUCACUGCCAGUGGGCCCCCUAGUCACCUGUUGACCAGUUGACCUGGUCAACUGGGCUGACUGGGCAGCCCCAGCCACUGACGUGCGGGCCCCACCACUUAAAAUAACUAAUUAAAAUGAUUUUAUAAUUAAAAGUAAUUAGUUUAACUAAUUAGUCACUGACAUGUGGGACCCAGCUGCUAAUUAACCACGUUUAAUUAAAAUAACCCACUGUUAGCCCUCUCUCUAUGACACGUAGGACCCACUGGUCAGUUUGACCUGGUCAGCGAGUCUGUUGACUGCUGACGUCAUCAGCACGUCAUGCUGACGUCAUUUUAUUUUUUCUGUUAUUUAAAUAAUUCCAGAAAUUCAAAUAAACUUUGAAAAUUCACAUCUUUUAAACCGUAACUCGGAUGAAAAUGAUUUCUAUAUGAAAGUUGCUCAGAACGACGAGAUGAAUCCGAAUACGCAGUCCGUUCAUCCACCACACCUCCCUAACCUAUCGAGCUAGCAACUUUCCCCCUCCGGUCCGUCAGUCCGAAAACGCGAAACAUCGGGAAUACCUCCCGGAUUCCCCCCCNNNNNNNNNNNNNNNNNNNNNNNNNNNNNNNNNNNNNNNNNNNNNNNNNNNNNNNNNNNNNNNNNNNNNNNNNNNNNNNNNNNNNNNNNNNNNNNNNNNNNNNNNNNNNNNNNNNNNNNNNNNNNNNNNNNNNNNNNNNNNNNNNNNNNNNNNNNNNNNNNNNNNNNNNNNNNNNNNNNNNNNNNNNNNNNNNNNNNNNNNNNNNNNNNNNNNNNNNNNNNNNNNNNNNNNNNNNNNNNNNNNNNNNNNNNNNNNNNNNNNNNNNNNNNNNNNNNNNNNNNNNNNNNNNNNNNNNNNNNNNNNNNNNNNNNNNNNNNNNNNNNNNNNNNNNNNNNNNNNNNNNNNNNNNNNNNNNNNNNNNNNNNNNNNNNNNNNNNNNNNNNNNNNNNNNNNNNNNNNNNNNNNNNNNNNNNNNNNNNNNNNNNNNNNNNNNNNNNNNNNNNNNNNNNNNNNNNNNNNNNNNNNNNNNNNNNNNNNNNNNNNNNNNNNNNNNNNNNNNNNNNNNNNNNNNNNNNNNNNNNNNNNNNNNNNNNNNNNNNNNNNNNNNNNNNNNNNNNNNNNNNNNNNNNNNNNNNNNNNNNNNNNNNNNNNNNNNNNNNNNNNNNNNNNNNNNNNNNNNNNNNNNNNNNNNNNNNNNNNNNNNNNNNNNNNNNNNNNNNNNNNNNNNNNNNNNNNNNNNNNNNNNNNNNNNNNNNNNNNNNNNNNNNNNNNNNNNNNNNNNNNNNNNNNNNNNNNNNNNNNNNNNNNNNNNNNNNNNNNNNNNNNNNNNNNNNNNNNNNNNNNNNNNNNNNNNNNNNNNNNNNNNNNNNNNNNNNNNNNNNNNNNNNNNNNNNNNNNNNNNNNNNNNNNNNNNNNNNNNNNNNNNNNNNNNNNNNNNNNNNNNNNNNNNNNNNNNNNNNNNNNNNNNNNNNNNNNNNNNNNNNNNNNNNNNNNNNNNNNNNNNNNNNNNNNNNNNNNNNNNNNNNNNNNNNNNNNNNNNNNNNNNNNNNNNNNNNNNNNNNNNNNNNNNNNNNNNNNNNNNNNNNNNNNNNNNNNNNNNNNNNNNNNNNNNNNNNNNNNNNNNNNNNNNNNNNNNNNNNNNNNNNNNNNNNNNNNNNNNNNNNNNNNNNNNNNNNNNNNNNNNNNNNNNNNNNNNNNNNNNNNNNNNNNNNNNNNNNNNNNNNNNNNNNNNNNNNNNNNNNNNNNNNNNNNNNNNNNNNNNNNNNNNNNNNNNNNNNNNNNNNNNNNNNNNNNNNNNNNNNNNNNNNNNNNNNNNNNNNNNNNNNNNNNNNNNNNNNNNNNNNNNNNNNNNNNNNNNNNNNNNNNNNNNNNNNNNNNNNNNNNNNNNNNNNNNNNNNNNNNNNNNNNNNNNNNNNNNNNNNNNNNNNNNNNNNNNNNNNNNNNNNNNNNNNNNNNNNNNNNNNNNNNNNNNNNNNNNNNNNNNNNNNNNNNNNNNNNNNNNNNNNNNNNNNNNNNNNNNNNNNNGAUGAGUACUCACGGUUGCUUCUCUCCCUCUUUUUCCCCCUUUCCUUUCUAUCUGGUUGUCGCAACCAGAUGUUGGAGUCCAGGAGCCAGACGCCACCGUCGACGACGACUCCCACGGCACUGGAGGUGCCUACUACUACGUGCAGGCCGCUGACGACGACCAGGAGUAGUUAGGAGGUCCCAGGCAGGAGGCCUUGCCUUUUCGAUCGUUGCUACUUUUGUGCUAGCCUUCUUAAGGCAAAACUUGUUUAACUUAUGUCUGUACUCAGAUAUUGUUGCUUCCGCUGACUCGUCUAUGAUCGAGCACUUGUAUUCGAGCCCUCGAGGCCCCUGGCUUGUAUUAUGAUGCUUGUAUGACUUAUUUAUGUUUUAGAGUUGUGUUGUGAUAUCUUCCCGUGAGUCCCUGAUCUUGGUCGUACACAUUUGCGUGCAUGAUUAGUGUACGGUCAAAUCGGGGGCGUCACAGUCCCGUCCCUGGCCCUUGCUCGCCUGCUGAACCACGCACUACACUCUCCACGCCACCCCUGGCGCACUACAGCGCCGCCGUCAGAGCUUUUGGUGGCACGCCGGUGUCGGCAGCGAGCCCCUGCCGUGGACGGCGCCGCCCAAGCCACCCGCGCGCGCCAGCUGCCCCCUGGGAACAGCCCGAGCUUAUCCGCAAGCCGUCGGCACGCGCUCGUCGCCGCCACGUAGCCCUGCAACCACAGUACAGCGGUCGCCGGCGAUCUUAUCCUCGGCCGCCGCGGGACCAACCUCGAGCGCCUAUAUAAGGGGACUCCAAGCUCAACCUAGCACUCAAGCAACCUCAGACCUUCCCCCUAGAGCUCCCCUAGCCGCGGAUUGACCGGAAGAAGCUUUCUUCCCCGCCUCCGGCUAGUUCGGUCGCCGCCGCAAUCCGGUGCAGCACGUCGCAGCCAGACCCUCCCCCGCCCAUCCAACGCCACCAAGAGUCCCCCCAUAGUCAUGCGGAGCUGCCUAGCGACUCAGCCUCGACCAAGGACCACCAUAGCCCGAAGCUCACUUUGCUCCCGAACCUCCGUCCGCCGCGGAGCUCGCCGCCGGUGACUUCCUCCAUCCCCACCUGCCUAGCGCCCACCGGGAGGACCGCCCCGGUCUGGCGGAUCCAUCCCUGCCCUCGGGGCCCCGUGGGGAGCUGCCGUUCGCCGACGGCGAUCGCCGGAGCCCCGCACCGUUCGGACAGGGAGAGAGGAGGGAGGGAAGACCAGUCAAACCUGACCAGUGGGCCCCCUGGACCCACUGUCAGUGACCCGCGCGCCCGUCCACUCUGGUUAAGUGAUAGCGCAAAUUCCCGAGUACGUCUUCUCUACUUCGAAAGCGUAUUCUCCCCCGAAGCGUUUUCUUUUCUGGUUUUAUUUAAAAACAGAACUUUGACUAAUCCUUGACUGGCUAUAUCUUUUAAAAUAAAACUCCAAAUGAGCUGAUUCUUUUUCCUACCUCUCUCAAAUUUCAUCUAGUUUAUUUUAAGAUUUAUUCCAAAAAUAUUUGGGACAACUUUUUGUACUGUUUUUGAAAUGUGUGUUAUUUGAUUAUUUCUCUAAAUAGGAUUUUGGGGAAAAGGCAUCCUUCAAAAAGUGCACCCCACAUGCAUACACUUGAAGGCAAGCAUUCUGAACCCUGGCAUAAUAUUUUUGGAUGUUGUUGAUACGGUAACAACACCACCUUGACUUGGAGCAUACAUUAUUAUUAUGUGCCGAUAAAAUCAUAUGCAUGAGUGCAUAGUGGAGAUUUCUUUGCUGUUAUAAAUGGAUGUGCUGGUGAUAGUGAUCAUCCUCGUAAGCUUCUCAUGCAUGCCGGAAGGAAGUUGGGAAAGUCGCGGUCUUGGGUAGACCAAGCUUGUCCCUAGUUCCUUGUUGAGACGAGUAUGUCCGGUAAGGCAUGGUGGGGCUUGAUGAGUGUUAAGCUUAUCUGUUAUCGGUAAUAUUUUUUGUUAUGCUAAUCAUGCAGGGAAUACUUGAACCUCCUGAGUCGGCCUUAGAUCGAGUCUUGUCCAGUAACCCCCACACUUGCUUCGUACUACCACUUGUCCCUGCCAUAGGUAGGGUACGGUUCAGUAAGUUGUCAACCCCUUUCUAGCACACACCGUACAGAGAGGCCGUGAUGAGGGUCCCAUGGCCAUGGAUUAAAGCCAGUCAUCCGGUCCGGGGGCAUGGGUGUUUCGGUUGUAGCCGAAGGGGUAGCUCCCCUAGUUUGCGCGCGGUAUAAAUUUUGUGAUCCCAUGCUACGUCAAGGUUGUAGCCUCCCCACUUAGAGUUUCGCUUGACAGGUGUCGUGGGUGAUUCCAGACACCGGUAAGUCAAGCUGGUGUGUGCAGGUCAGGCGUGUUUUCAAUUAAAAGACCGUAGACGGAAUUAGUCCCGAUGGACUAAAGAAAUCCGUUACCCGUGGGUAAAGAGUACACCCUCUGCAGAGAUUAUACAUCUAUUCGAAUAGCCGUGUCCAUGGUUAAGGACUAUAGUCUGGGAUAGGUCAAGUGUCGGUCUUAGUGUUGGUCUUCGGAGGAAAAACUGUUAAACCAGAAUUUGGAUCAUGACUUGUGACUUGUGACGAUUAUGAUUACUAUUAUUGUGGACUAACCAUUUACUUUAUUUGUAUUAUUGAGUAUCCCUGGGAUGGUUCUACCUCCUGGACAUUCACUGUGUUUAUCCUUUAUAAGCCCUUUAUGUGGUGUCGCUUAGACGCCCGACUGUGGCAUGCUUGUUAUUUCUUUUAUUUAUAAGCCCUUUAUGUGGUGUCGCUUAGACGCCCGACUGUGUCAUGCUUGUUAUUUCUUUUAUUUAUAAGCCCUUUAUGUGGUGUCGCUUAGACGCCCGACUGUGGCAUGCUUGUUAUUUCUUUUAUUUAUAAGCCCUUUAUGUGGUGUCGCAUAGACGCCCGACUGUGGCAUGUUUGUUAUUUCUUUUAUUUAUAAGCCCUUUAUGUGGUGUCGCUCAGACGCCCGACUGAGGCAUGAUUUAUUUUAUCUCCCUUUUCGAGGAGUCUUUUCAGACACUCGAUCACUACACUCUAUUUUUCUAUGUUGCAUAUCCAUAUUUUACCCGCAUGCGCGCAUCAUGGAUUUCGUAUAUUUCGUGACAGACGUUAUGAUCAUAGAAUAUUUUGGGGCAUGUUUUGAUAUAUUAUACCCGUGUUCUUGAUGUUUGCGAGUACAUUCAAGCGUACUCACUGGCUUGUCCCUGGCUAUUGUCUUGGCCAGAUUUCUUGCAUGGAGAGGGCAUUGCGACGACAGCCCCGCAACCCAUGUAAAGGUGAUAGCAGCCUCGCGAAGAUAGGAGUUAUCCUGGUCAGCUGUUCUUGUGGGAAAUGGAGUCCCAUAGACGCAGAUGAACCACAAACCGCUUCCGCCAUCAACCACUAGAAACCAAGUGUUGUACUCAUAGGCCACUAAGGUCUUGUACUGCAUAUUUUGUACUUUGCUUGGAAUUCUUGUAUCAAGUUGGUGCCUCAUCAGCUAACAGUAAUCCUGGGGCUGGUGAGCACAAGGGCCAUUUUCUGGAGAAUUUAUAUCCCGAAAAACCGGUCCUGACAGUACUGCAAUGAACUCAUUCUUUAUUUAUAUUGGUGUUAAACCUACUGUAUUCCAACUUAUCUAUGGUUUAUAAACUAUUUUACUAGCAAUAGAUUCAUCAAAAUAAGCAAACAACACACGAAAAACAGAAUCUGUCAAAAACAGAACAGUCUGUAGUAAUCUGUAACUAACGCAAACUUCUGGAACUCCAAAAUUUCAGACAAAAUAGGACGGCCUAGACAAUUUGUUUAUUGAUCAGCAUCAAUUGGAAUCAAUAUUUUAUCACGUUCUAGUGAUUUUUAACAAUUGUUUUCGUGAACAGAAAGUUUGUGGAAUUUUCAGCAAGAUCAAAUUACUAUCAUCCAAGAAGAUCCUAUAGGUUUAACUUGGCACAAACACUAAUUAAAACAUAAAAACACAUCUAACCAGAGGCUAGAUCAAAUAUUUGUUCCUAAACAAAAGCAAAAAGUAAAAAAACUAAAAAUAAAAUUGGGUUGCCUCCCAACAAGCGCUAUCGUUUAACGCCCCUAGCUAGCCAUAAAAGCAAGGAUAGAUCUAGGUAUUGACAUCUUUGGUUUUAGGGAAGAAAAGAGCAAACCUGUUAUCUAUGGAAUUAAUCUUUCUAUUUUGAUAAAGCACGUGGCUAUUAAUGGUAGAAGAAAGAUUAAGUAUGUUGCGGAAAUUGGCAUCUACGCUAGCUUUUAUUUCUUUGAUAGAUUCGUUUUGGUAAGAGAGCAAAAGAGAUGCGGUUUCAUCUUUCUCAUUAAUGGGGUGCCCAAAUAUAGUUUUCAUCUUUUCAUAGGUAUCUAUGGGGUCGCCUUCAAGAAAACCCUCUUCAAAAAUAGAAUCUAAAACUUGUUUGAACGAAGCGGGCAACCCAACAUAAAAGCUUUUUAGGUAAACCUCUAUUUGAUAUUGGGGUACAUAGCUAGCCCGGAUCUUUAACAACCUAUCCCAAGCAUCUUUCAAAGAUUCCUCGAGUAAAUAAUGAAAAAUUCCGGAAUCAUCUUCAUCAAAAUUAUUAAGACUCUCAUUGACAACUCCGACAGGUUUUUCCAUAGCUUUAUUUAUGAGUUUAGAUAGAAUAGAAGGAUCGUCCAAGCUCGGGAGAGAACCCCCAACUCUUUUUUGUUCCGGCAUGGCGGGGGAAAAGCAAACGAAAAGAGGCAAACGGAAAGGAGAGGGCGAAUAAAACGGCAAGGGUGAAGUGGGGGAGAGGAAAACGAGAGGCAAAUGGCAAAUAAUGUAAUGCGGGAGAUAAGGGUUUGUGAUGGGUACUUGGUAUGUUGACUUUUGUACUCCCUGGCAACGGCGCCAGAAAUACUUCUUGCUACCUCUUGAGCACUGCGUUGGUUUUCCCUUGAAGAGGAAAGGGUGAUGCAGCAAACUAGCGUAAAUAUUUCCCUCAGUUUUUGAGAACCAAGGUAUCAAUCCAGUAGGAGGCCACGCACGAGUCCCUCGCACCUACACAAACACAUAAAUCCUCGCAACCAACGCAAUAAAGGGGUUGUCAAUCCCUUCACGGUCACUUACGAGAGUGAGAUCUGAUAGAUAUGAUAAGAUAAUAUUUUUGGUAUUUUUAUGAUAAAGAUGCAGAGUAAAGAAAACAAAAUAAAGACGGCGCUAGAAAUAUCUUGUUGACGGGAGAUUAAUAUGAUGGAAAAUAGACCCGGUGGGCAUAGGUUUCACUAGUGGCUUCUCUCAUGAGCAUAAGUAUUACGGUGGGUGAACAAAUUACUGUUGAGCAAUUGAGAGAAUUGAGCAUAGUUAUGAGAAUAUCUAGGUAUGAUCAUGUAUAUAGGCAUCACGUCCGCGACAAAUAGACCGACUCCUGCCUGCAUCUACUACUAUUACUCCACACAUCGACCGCUAUCCAGCAUGCAUCUAGAGUAUUAAGUUCAUAAGAACAGAGUAACGCUUUAAGUAAAAUGACAUGAUGUAGAGGGAUAAACUCAUGCAAUAUGAUAUAAACCCCAUCUUGUUAUCCUCGAUGGCAACAAUACAAUACGUGCCUUGCUGCCCCUACUGUCACUAGGAAAGGACACCGCAAGAUUGAACCCAAAGCUAAGCACUUCUCCCAUUGCAAGAAAGAUCAAUCUAGUAGGCCAAACCAAACUGAUAAUUCGAAGAGACUUGCAAAGAUAACCAAUCAUACAUAAAAGAAUUCAGAGAAGAUUCAAAUAUUGUUCAUAGAUAAACUUGAUCAUAAACCCACAAUUCAUCGGUCUCAACAAACACACCGCAAAAGAAGAUUACAUCGAAUAGAUCUCCACAAGAGAGGGGGAGAACAUUGUAUUGAGAUCCAAAAAGAGAGAAGAAGCCAUCUAGCUAAUAACUAUGGACCCGAAGGUCUGAGGUAAACUACUCACACAUCAUCGGAGAGGCUAUGGUGUUGAUGUAGAAGCCCUCCUUGAUUGAUGCCCCCUCCGGCGGAGCUCCGAAAAAGGCCCCAAGAUGGGAUCUCACGGGUACAGAAGGUUGCGGUGGUGGAAUUAGGUUUUUGGCUCUGUAUCUGGUAGUUUGGUGGUACGUAGGUAUAUAUAGGAGGAAGAAGUACGUCGGUGGAGCAACGAGGGGCCCACGAGGGUGGAGGGCGUGCCCGGGGGGGUAGGCACGCCCCCUACCUCGUGCCUUCUUGGUUGAUGUCCUGACGUAGGGUCCAAGUCCUCUGGAUCACAUUCGUUCCGAAAAUCACGUUCCCGAAGGUUUCAUUCCGUUUGGACUCCGUUUGAUAUUCUUUUUCUGUGAAACUCUGAAAUAGGCAAAAAAACAGCAAUUCUAGGCUGGGCCUCCGGUUAAUAGGUUAGUCCCAAAAAUAAUAUAAAAGUGUAUAAUAAAGCCCAUUAAUGUCCAAAACAGAAUAUGAUAUCGCAUGGAAUAAUUAAAAAUUAUAGAUACGUUGGAGACGUAUCAGACCACAAGACACCCUGGAAGCUUCGGGAGGAGGCCAGAAGGGCCAUGAGUUGGCGCCAGCUCAGGGGGCGUGCCCUCCAAGCUUAUGGGCCCCCUGUGGCUCCUCUAACCCUAAUUCUUCUAUAAAUACCCAAAUAUUCCCCAUAGACAAGAGGGCACGCCAAAAAUACUUUUCAGCCGCCGCAAGUUCGUGUCCUCAUGAGAUCCCAUCUGGAGGCCUUUUCCGGUACUUCGCCAGAGGGGGAUUCGAUCACAGAGUGCUUCUACAUCAACCUUGCUGCCCUUCCGAUGAUGUGUGAGUAGUUUACCAAGGACCUAUGGGUCCAUAGCUAGUAGCUAGAUGGUUUCUUCUCCCUCUUUGAUCUUCAAUACAGUGUUCUCCUUGUUGUUCUUGGAGAUCUAUUUGAUGUAAUGUUCAUUUGCGGUGCGUUUGUUGAGAUCCGAUGAAUUGUGGGUUUAUGUUCAGAUUCUCUAUGAAUAUUAUUUGAGUCUUCUCUGAACUCUUUUAUGCAUGAUAUUUAUAUCUUUGUAUUUCUGUCCGAUCUAUUGAUUUGGUUUGGCCAACUAGAUUGAUUUUUCUUGCAAUGGGAAAGGUGCUUUGUAAUAGAUUCAAUCUUGCGGUGCUCAAUCCCAGUGACAAAAAGGUACAUGACAUGUAUUUGUAUUGUUUCCAUUAAGGAUAAAAAGAUGGGGUUUGUUCAUAUUGAUUGGAUCUAUCCCACUACAUCAUGUCAUCUUGCUUAAGGCGUUACUCCAUUCAUGUUAACUUAAUACACAAGAUGCAUGAUAAAUAGCGGUCGAUGUGUGGAGUAAUAGUAGUUGAUGCAGGCAGGAGUCGGUCUACUUGUCUCAGACGUGAUGUCUAUAUACAUGAUCAUUGCCUUUCAUAUCUUCAUAACUAUGCGCUUUUCUAUCAAUAGCUCAACAGUAAUUUGUUUACCCAUCGUAUGUUUUCUUUCAAGAGAGAAGCCUCUAGUGAGAACUAUGGCCCCCGGGUCUAUCUUUUAUCUUAUUAUUUUCAGGUCUAUGAAAUCAAAAACCCAAAAGUACCUUGCUGCAAUUUAUUUACUUUUAUUUUGUUUUGCACUUUUACUUAUCUUUUAUAUCUAUCACUAUAAGAUCUCAUCCUUGCAAGUAACCGUGAAGGCAUUGACAUCCCCUUUAUCGCGUUGGGUGCAAGUAUUUGUUUGUUUGUGUAGGUGCAAUUAUUGGAGACUUGUGUGUUACUCCUACUAGAUUGAUACCUUGGUUAUUAACUGAAGGAAAUACUUAUCUCGACUUUGCUACAUCACCCUUUCCUCUUCAAGGGAAAAAACAAUGCAAGCUCAAGAAGUAGCACGGACUAGCACAACCAAUAUGGACAUAAAAUAUCAGGAGAAAAUAUAGUCCUGCCAAUAUGGGGGACAAUCUGGAGCUUAAGUUGUCCUGCCAAGGUUGAAAUUUUCCUCUAGCGAACUUUGUUAGGAUCACUAACAUGUCCGUUGACUUCGUCUAACAGACAUAUAAAAGUCAGUGGGCAAUGUCCUACAUGCAGUAUAGGAGCGGCGGAUACCAAGAACUUGUUAUUCUCUUGUGCAAAAGCUAAAGAGGUAUGGCGGUUAUUGGGUUUGGACUUUUCUAUUGAUAAAACAUACGAUGUGAAUCAUGCAUGGGAACACUACAAAAAAAAGACACAUCCGUGACAUUUUGGGCCGAACGAAUUUUUUUUCUGUCAUACUUAUUACACUUCUAUGAAAAUAAUUGUGACAAAACCCGGUAUCCUCAUAGAUGUGGUGGGGUCCAACUUCUAUGACAAAAAAUCAUGACAGAAAAUGGGCUUUUCGUCCUGGGUGGGCCGGAGACGCGGCUGCAUGACAUUCUUUGGGCCGUCCAUGACGAAAAAACCGUGGUAGAAGCGAGGGCGAGGAAAAUAUCGGGGAGUUCCCGGUUACGGUGGGUGGUCAGGGGCCGAGCGAUGCGCGUUUCUCUCGUACGUACGCGCAUGUGGGCGAGGCGUUGCGCUCUAACUGAACCCGAGCGAGGCGUUGGGUUCUAACUGAACCCGAGCGGUUGCGCUGCAGGCUACGCAUUACACUGAACCCGAGCGAUCGAUCGAUCCCUUGCUGUUAACUGAAGCCGAGCGAUUCCUUCGCUACUGCUGCUAACUGAAGCCGAUCGAUGCUGCCUCUGGAUGAACAGUGAGCAUUGUUGGGGGGCUUGGAUGAACAGUUCCCGGUGGGGGUAGGAUGAACAGGAACCCGUGGUAGUAGAGGCCGUUGCCGCUGGAUGAACAGUACCCCGAUCGAUCGAGCCGGUGGAUGAACAGGACCCCGUGGAGGGCUGGUUGAACAGUAGCCGGUGGAGGGUUGGAUGAACAGGACCCCGUGGAGGGCUGGUUGAACACCCCUCCCGAUGAACAGGACCCCCGUUUUGACCAUAGCGCUCCAACACAAGUCUGUUUCCUCCGUUUUGUGGUACGCCACACCCCUCCCGAUCAACAGGACCCCGUUUCGACUGUAGGAGGUCCAAGAGAAGUCUGUUUCCUCCGUUUUGCAGUACACCAGACCCCUCCCGAUGAACAGGAUCCCGUUUCGACCGUGGCCGGUCGAACACAAGGCCCUUUCCUCCGUUCUGUGGUACGCCGGGCCUCGUUUCGAUCGGCUAUUUCGUCCAAGCCGGUUGGCUCCCGAUGAACACGAUGUAUUCUGUUGACUCUCGAUGAACACGACGCAUUCCGUUGCCUCCCCAUGAACACGACGACGACGCAGUUUCUCCGUUCCAACCCAGCCACAACUAUGUACACGAGCCCUGGCCGUACGUAUGCGCGAGUAGGUGUUCGAGACCCCGCCCGUAUGUACGUACGUGGCCAUAUUUACUUUCUUGCACCCUGGCCGCUGUAUGUACGUGUACAUGCUACGUGCACGCCUCUACUACCACACGUGCGCGCCUCCACAUCGACCAGUAUGUACGUACACAUUCGCGACCAGAAUGAAAACUCUACGUACGCUUCGACCGGGUGGGUCCCGACUGUCAGGAACUUCCUUGCGUGCGAAGAUGUAGCUGCUGGGUCCCAACAGUCAGGGGGGCGAAUAAUUUUUUUCUCGUAAUAUGGACGCACUUCCUUGCGUGCGAAGAUGUAGCUGGUCGGUCCCAGCAGUCAGGGGGGAAAUGUUUUUUUCGUGAAAUAUGGUGGCCCGUCCGGUGGGUCCCUACUGUCAGGUGGAGGAAUCAUUAUUUUUCGCAUAAUAAGGAGGCACUUCCUUGCUGCGGCCGUGGACCCAGCUGUCAGCCUCUCCACGUACAGUACUCUUCCGAUGGAAGUCGUUCCUUGACCAUGUUGACCACGCCGCGCCGAGAGCACCAGGGUGGUGGACGACGGUGAGGCCUAGGAAGGGGACGACGCGGAGCCGGGGAAGACACGACAAUGGAAGCCCACGCGGAGAGGAUUACGAGGGUUCACUGGUUCGGCUGCGGUGUGAGGCUGCCGUCGCCGCAGUGCCUGGCCAGCGAUGGGAGUAGUAGCGGGCGGUGAGGCCUCCGCGGCAUCACAGCCGGCCAUGACAGGCAGGAGCACGCGGCACGACGGCGCUGGUUUGGGCGGCUGGACCAAGAAGACCAGAGGUUGAAGAAGCACUACGGCCGUUGGAUGGACAUCGUACGGUCACUAGAGCUAGAAUCGUUCGUAUUGACUAAGUUGACAAAGCCCUCCGUCCCCAUCAACUUAGUAGGCCCACAAGUCAGCCUCCCACGCAGGGGGGUAUUCAUUUUUUUGUGCGUAAUAAGGAGGCACUUCCUUGCGUGCGAAGAUAUAGCUGGUGGGUCCGAGCUGUCAGCGGGGGGAACGUUUUUUUCGUGAAAUACAGAGGCCCUUCCGAUGGGUCCCAGAUGUCAGGUGGAGGAAUCAUUAUUUUGCACAUAAUAAGGAGGCAUUUCCUUAUGUGCGGCCGUGGACCCAGCUGUCAGCCUCUCCACAUACAGUCCACUUCCGAUGGAUGUCGUUCAUUGACCACGUUGACCACGCCGCGCCGGGAGCACGAGGGCGGUGGAUGACGGCGAGGCCUACGAAGGGAACGACACCGAGCUAGGGAAGACACAGCAGUGGCUGCACACGCAGUGGGGAGUACGAGGGUUGACUGGUUCGGCUGCCGUCGCCGGAAAAUAACAGGAGGUGUGGGUGAGUAGAGGGAUAGACAGGCUAGGGAUGCGAGUAUGGUGGGGCCGUGAGGCCUGCCCGGUAGCAUAGCCGGCCACGGGAGGCGAGAGAAUGCGGUUCCGCCGGCGCUGGUUUGGGCGGCUGGAGCAGGAAGAUCAGAGACUGAAGAAGCACGAUUGCCGUUAGAUUGUCAUCUAACGGUGUGACGCUGGUAGAGUCGAUUGUUGACUAAGUUUCUUUUUUGAGAAACCUUGUGUAUGCAUGAACUUAGUAGGCCCACAAGUCAGCCUCCAAAUCCGUGGCAGACAACAUAGAGCCCAUUUGCUAAAAAAUAUAAUUUGCAGCCUAUUUGCUAAUUCUUAAUUAAUUCAUUACAGCCCAUUUUCUGCCCAGGACCACGGUCAAAAAGUUCAACCUUAUUUUGCAUAUUUCUGUGGAGUCCAAACUGUUGUAAUCCCAAAAUGAUAAACAUUUUCUUAAGAACUUAUUGAUUUGCCAAAAAAAAUCGUUUUGUUUUUGUAAGCAAAUAAGACGUGGGACAAUUGAGUUGGUUUAAGGGAAAACCAGUGGUAAAAAAAUCAGCGCUGGGAGGGAAAACAACAACAAAAAUAAGGAUGUGAAUAUGAAAAGGGAACUUUAUGUAUUUUCAAUAUAAUGAUACGUGUAUUUGAACUAGUAAAACUAUAGGUAGAGAUUAGAGAGCGGAUGUAGGACAUGGCGUUUCAAGAGGAAAAUAGAAUUGGGUUGUGUGUUUGAUUCAGUAAAAAAACUGCCCCUGGAUGUUGUAAGACAAAAUAUAACUAAUGCUGGCGGGCCAGAGGCCAGUAGAUACCUGCUGGAUCUUUGUGCCCUGUUGUCGUUAUGGGCCGGGUCUGUUAAAAAGAAAACCAAGCCUGGGCAGUCUACAGCCCAGUUGAAACUUGCUCGACCUGAAAAAACAAUAUACCUGCUCAACAAACGAGAGAAUUCUACAACUACAGACUGAUAACUGGGAUGCAGGAGGCAUACUGUUUUUUCAUCGUGAUAAUAAGUGCAUGCACUUGUUUCCAAAAAUUUGGAGAACUGGGAAUUCGAACGGUAGGUGCUUAUGCUACCCAUCAAAUAAAAAUCAGGUGCCUAAAAAUUCGUUUCGAAACAAAUGAUUAAGCUUUAUAUCCACGUCGACCCUCGGCAUGAUGGUUGGAAGCAAAGGCCAAGUUCAUACCAAAAGGUAGUUAACAACAGUACCAACUUGCGGACGACAAGGUAGUACAAGUACCAAUACCAAUUAAACUUAUAAUCUUUUUACUCCUGGCCCUAGUGUUGGUCUGGUAGAAAAUCUUGCAGAGGACCAGCUGUCGGUGUCAAAACCGGCGGAUCUCAGGCAGGGGGUCCCGAAUUGUGCGUCUGAGGAUGAUGGUAACAGGAGACGGGGGACACAAUGUUUACCCAGGUUCGGGCCCUCUCUAUGGAGGUAAUACCCUACUUCCUGCUUGAUUGAUCUUGAUGAAUAUGAGUAUUACAAGAGUUGAUCUACCACAAGAUCGUAAUGGCUAAAGCCUAGAAGUCUAGCCUAUGUGAUUAUGGUAAUGAGUAUCUCUUCUCCUCCGGACUAAGCCCUCCGGUUUAUAUAGACUCCGGGGGGGAUCUAGGGUUACACAAGGUCAGUUACAGAGAAUGGAAUCUACAUAUUUGAUUGCCAAGCUUGCCCCCAAGGAGAGUCCCAUCCGGACACGGGUAGACUCUUCGGUCUUUGUAUCUUCACGGCCCAUCAGUCCGCCCAUGGCUAACAGGCCGGACGCCCGAGGACCCCUUAGUCCAGGACGCCCUCAGUAGCCCCUGAACCUGGCUUCAAUGACGAGGUGUUUGGCGUGCAGAUUUGUCUUCGGCAUUGCAAGGCAGUUUCCUCCUUCCGAACUCCAAAAAAGUCUUCAGACGCAAUGAUCGUGUCCGGACCUGUAACACACAUACCACACACAACCGCAUAGAGUAUAAUCUUCCACGAUUCCAAUCCGCUGACAACUUUUUGCAACAUGACAUCACGUCCACCUGGUCAUUAUUUUGAACCGUUUUUCAUCUGCGCUCCAUGUUUCGAGACGCGGUUGCCAUUGGCACGUCUUGUCGAAGCAGAGACCGUGUCCCCUCAUUGCGGGAUCCUCAUCAAUACGAGCGUGGGUAACCCAACCAUGCCGUUUACACAGCCCUUGGGAACAGGCGAGUUUUAAGGCGAGUGGGGAGGUGUUCGAUAUUCACUGCCUUUAUAAAGAGAUAAGGAUUCCCUUUCUUCACCCACGCCUUCUCUCUCUCUGCAAUUGCAUUCUUAAUCUCCAGCAACCCAAUUUCUCAUCCCCUCCAUCUCAUGGAAGUACUCAACCAUGUCCGGAUCUGGGGGUCAAGGCAAGUGGAUGGUCUCCUCCGCUAAGGAGAAGGACAUCACCCAGCUUCGGGCGGCCAGGUAUCUGGCGAAAGGAAUCGCCCACCGUCUGCCAAGCAAGGGGCAAAUCAUCCCCACCCCGAAGCCUACUGAGAGGGUGGUUUUCCUCCCUCACUUCGUCCGUGGAUUGGGGUUUCCACUUCACCCUUUUGUCCGCGGACUGAUGUUCUAUUACGGGCUAGAUUUCCAUGAUUUGGCCCCGAACUCCUUCCUCAACAUCUCGGCAUUCAUUGUCGUCUGCGGGGAUUUCCUCCCCAUCCAGCCCCACUUCGGCCUAUGGCUCAAGAUCUUCAACGUGAAGCCGAAGGUGGUGGAUGGUCAGAACACCGAGUGCGAAGGCGCAAUGGUGAGCAAGAUGCCCAACGUCACAUGGCCUAAGGGCACUUUUGUGGAGACUGUCAAAGAGUGGCAGAAGUAGUGGUUCUACAUCACAGAGCCACGUGGCGCCACUUGGGCGGCGGCUCCCUAAUUCAAGGCCGGCGCAACAAUGCGGUUCACCUCCUGGAUGGAGAAGGGCCCCAACUGGUCUUCGUCAGACGAGCUGAUAGCGCUGCAAACGCGCAUUCAGAGCAUGGUGGAUAAGAACAUCAAGCUCGUCGACGUGAUCCAGGUGAUGCUGGUUCGCCGGAUUCUCCCCUGCCAAUGCCGAAGCUUCCCUUUAUGGGAAUUCGAUCCGGAGAAGCACCAGACCCUGGAGAGGCUCUUCAGAACUACUCACGAAGAUGCCUAGAAGUUGCUCUUUAGGGGGAACGAGAAGCCACCGGUCAUAGAUUUGGACCGCGGGCACGAUCAUACCCAUCCCGCCAAUGCGGUAAGUCCUUCUCUUCUCAAGGCGUACCUUCAACUUGUUUGUUCAAGGAGGAUGCCUAAUCUUUACUAUAUUUUUUCAGGUGUGGACGGAGAGAGCGGAGCGGAUCCAGUGUCCGGCUCCGCUGCCCGAAGAGCCAGCCAUCCCGCUCCUGGCGAAGAUGCUGGUUCCGGCGCCCUAUCAGCCGCCGGAGAAGAAGGCCAAGGGGCCAAAGGUGGCCCCCGUCGCAAGGGUGAUUCGGACGUGACGUCCGAAGACAAAGAGACCCCUUCCUCCGCUACUGAGGACGACGACAAUGAUGACGAGGAGGAGGAGGAGAUCAACCCUCCCCCUGAUGGGGGAAAGAGGAAGAGGGCGGCCUCCACAAAUCUGGAGGCGGAGACGUCCAAGAAGGGGAAGGCCUCCCUUGCGGAUAACUCCGCAUGGGAUGUCGAUAGUAGUCCGGAGCGAUGCCCCCGAACCAAGCCCCUGGUCGCAUCGUAAGUUCUAAAACUCAUACUUGUCCAUAUAUCCGGCCUCUCCUCUUCAUUGUAUUGACAUGGUUAAUUGUGCUAUUGCAGUCCGGCCCACAAUAGCUCCCAGCGAUCCUCAUCAAGAGGUUCGUUGGAUUCAAAGGCGAUGGCCAGUGAGUCGCCACCGACUGCUCACUCUCCCCCGGCCAAGGGCGACACCGAGGUGUCGUCCCGAAGGACCCUCCUUGGCCAGGGAGAGGUUCAGGAGAACGCCAGGGCAGCGCCAGAGGGUGAGACCUCGGCCGCCGGACACAUGGGGGAAUAGAUCCCCAUGGGGACUGAUGAUGGGGGCCAGGUUCACUGUACCCACAAGGCUCCGAAAUCCGGGAAGCAGCCUCCCUCGAAAGAAGGAGGCGUGCCCAUCCCGCCGGUGACCUCUGUCUAGCUAGAGGCACCGGAAUAUCUGCUGGAAGCGCUACGAGGUGCUUCCAUUGUGGAUGAACACCGUAUCCUUAUGGGUACGGUGAUUGAGCAGGUUCAAUCUGUCAAGAGCGGACUGACCGAAGCCUGGAGCAAUCUGCUGACCGGCUUUGAGAUAAGCGACACAAAAGAAAUAGUCCCGAUAUAGACAGUAGCCCCUGAGACACUGUCCGGUGUUCGGAAAGAAAAAGCCGGACAAGGGAUCAAUUAAACCUUGCAGGAAGCUAACUAAAUAUGUCUUAUGUGACUAAGCAGGCGUCGUUGCUGGCCGUGACCUCGCACACUGCCGAAGUCCCCGGACUAAAGCAGAAACUAGAGCGGGCCGAGGAGGAGCUCGGCCAAGCGAGGAAGUAGCUGGAAGACCAGCAAGGUAUGUAAUGACGUGCUAUAUAUUCAGAAAGAAUAAAUGAUGUUUAUUGACCGUAGUGUCAUGAUAUGUGUAGGAGCGACGACCGAGGUCGAGGCCCUUAAGAAGGCCCUGGCCGAAGCCGAGGAUAAAGCUGCCAAAGAGCAAACCGCUCGUAAGAAGCUCAAGGCCAGGGUUAACAAGGUCCAGCAAGAGCUGAAGGACGCUGUGAAGAAAUGCGAGACCUUGGAGCAUGAUGCGUCGGCUCAAGAGGCCGAACUCGCCAAGGCUCGCCAAAGCAUAGAGGCGGCCCGGAAUGAAGCCCAAGGCGCCCUCCAGGAGAUUCAGGAGGCCAAGAAGAUCGCGGCGGGUAAGGCGUUUAGUAUGCAAAGCAAGUAUGUAAAGAAGAAUUAUUUAUUACUAACCCAGAUUCGGAGUUCUCCAGGGGCGUUUGCGGAUUUGCCACGCAGCGCGUCCGACGCCGCGGAGUUCUUCCGAGCCGAAGAAGGGAGCACAACGGACAAGCUGUUAUGGUCGCAAUACCUUGCGCCAGAACAUCCAGUGCCCUUUAGAGAUCAGCUGAAACAACUGGUCGAGCAGCAUAGGAUGGCCGAACUGGCCAUGAAGUAUUUGAUAAUCCAGCUGUGGCCUGCCGAAGCUAUACCCAGUAGCUACUUCGGCCUCGUGAAGCGGCUGGUGAAUGCCUGUCCUCGGCUGGACGUCGUCAAGCGGUCGGUCUGCAUCGAGGGCGCGCGCAUGGCCUUCGCCCGCGUCAAGGUCUGGUAGGCGAAGAUGGACACCGUCAAGCUUGUGACCGAGGGGCCCCCUGAGGGCAAGGAGCACCGCAAGCCCGAGCUGUAUUUUAAUAAUGUCCUGGAGGGAUCCCGCAUUAUUGCGGAGCAGUGUGCGAAAUACGUGAUCUUUGAAUGAGUACAUUCAUAUUUGUCUCGCCCUGUAUUAUGAAACAAAGACAAUUUAUGUAAUAUAAUUUUUGGUAUUAAAAGUUUCCCCUCCUGUGCGGCCGUAUGUUAUAAAAUCUGAGAGUUGGCCAGUCGUCGGCUUCUGCCCCCACGUAGGUAGUACGGGGGUGUUCGGGAUGUAAUCUAAACACUCUGGAUCCAAUUAUUUGGUCCUUGAAGGAGGUAUUUAGCACAACGAACCAGGCAAUCGGACUAUGCGGCUUUAGCACCCUCACUUAGCCAUAGGAGUGUGACGAUAGAAAGGGUAGGCGCAGCCCCUAGUAUCCGAACUAGGAUGUUGUAAGCGCCUGAUCUGGUAAGUACCGAUCCUUCGCAUAAUGCGGAAAAAAAUCUCUAACGAUUUGGAACCUCUGAAGAGCUGACCGGCUCUCGCCGCAACAGUCAGUUUUCGGCUUUCUCUACUGAGGUGCUCAUCCGGAUAAACCAGGGCACAAUCGCAGUAGUUAUCCCUUUACUACCUUAGCCGAUAUAGCGGAACAUAAGGUAGCAAGCACAGGAGCCGGGCAACCCAACUAUUGACCAAAGACAUGAUUCGGGGCCAAUGCAUAUAACGCUAAAUUCGGGGUGCCAAACUAUACUGUAAAAAAGUGUUCGGACUUUGUUGCCGUAGUGCGAGGCGCUAUAAAGCCCCUGGCAAAUGGAAACGUACCAAAGUGUACGGGUGCUACUUGAUAAGGUUAUCAACAUAAAAAAGGAAAACAGAAAAGAAGCAAAGGUAAUAUCUGGGGCCCUGAAACUUGGGCCACAAACUGUUUCCAUUAUAAACUGAUUAAUGCGUCAAAGCAUAUUGAUACACAUAGUGCGAUAAGCAACCGACUAUUUAACAUGCCACAACCAAGGGAGAGCUGCGUGUGGGUCCUGGCAACAGGUAGAGUGAUCGUUAAAGAAAGCUCUGAAAAUUCCCCUGUACGUCUGUGCUUCUUGCCGUCUUGGUAUAUUUAUCCUUUGACAGGACCAGUGAUCAGGCCAUCAGGGAAAGCCUGUGGAAAAGAAACCUGAAAAGGGAAAAGAGAAGCAGUGAAAGUAUGUGUGUCCGAGAACGGUCGAGCCGUAUUGCGGAUCACAAGCUAGUUAUGCCUCCGUCUAUGCCCAUGGUAUUUUGAGUGUGUAGUUAUGUAUGCGCAGUACAAAUACCGCCACUUGAGUGGGACUGGGGCGGAGGCAAAAUUGCUAGUCGAGCUCUUGGCGAGACGAGCUAUUCUGCUGCAGAAUAGUCUGGACCCUCUUGACAGUGUCCGGGAGCUUGGCCGCCGAAUUAAGGUUCUGCUUGAAAAGGCCGCUUUGUACUUCUGCUGCUAAGGCAACAGUGUGUUCCUCGGUACGGAAGGAACGUUCCAUGUUUCCAUUAACUGUUAUGAUGCCGCGUGGCCCGGGCAUCUUGAGCUUGAGGUAAGCAUAAUGAGGCACCGCAUUGAAUCGAGCAAAUGCGGUUCGUCCGAGCAGUGCGUGAUAGCCGCUGCGAAAAGGGACGAUAUCAAAGAUUAACUCUUUUCUUCGGAAGUUGUCUGGAGAUCUGAAGACAACCUCUAGCGUAAUUGAGCCCAUACAGUGAGCCUCUACACCUGGUAUGACUCCUUUAAAGGUAGUCUUUGUGGGCUUGAUCCUUGAUGGGUCAAUGCCCAUUUUGCACACUGUAUCCUGAUAGAGUAGUUUGAGGCUGCUGCCACCGUCCAUAUGGACUCACGUCAGGUGGAAUCCAUCAAUGAUUGGGUCAAGGACCAGUGCGGCUGAACCGCCAUGAUGGAUACUGGUCGGGUGAUCCCGGCGAUCAAAGGUGAUCGGGAUGACGACCAUGGAUUUGAUUUUGGGGCGACUAGCUCUAUCGCAUAGACGUCCCGGAGCGCGCGCUUGCGCUCCCUCUUAGGGAUGUGUGUGGCAUAUAUCAUGUUCACCGUUUUGACCUGAGGGGGAAACUUCUUUUGUCCCCCUGUGUUCGGUUGUCGGGGCUCCUCGUCAUCGUCCUCGCUUUGCGAUCCCUUUUCCUUGUUCUCUGCAUUUAACUUGCCGGCCUGUUUAAAAACCCAACAAUCUCUGUUGGUAUGGUUGGUGGUUUUUUCGGGGUGUCGUGGAUUUGGCACGGACGAUCAAGUAUGCGGUCCAAGCUGGAUGGUCCCUGAUUGUUUCUUUUAUAUGGCUUCUUCCACUGACCGGACUUGGAGCCACUAAAUCCGGCAUUGACUCUCGUGUCAUCAAUGUUGUAGCCAUUGUUUCAGCGUUUGUUGCGUCGGAGCUUGCCGUUGCUAUUUUUGCCCUCGGAACCGCCUAUUUCGUUUAUUGUGUUUUUGCUACGGGCCAGCCAACUAUCCUCACCCGCACAGAAGCGGUUCAUGAGUGCCGUGAGGACUUCCAUGGACUUAGGCUUUUCCUGGCCGAGGUGGCGAGCGAGCCAUUCGUCACGGAUGCUAUGUUUAAAGGCCGCUAGGGCUUCGGCAUCCAGAUAGUCGACGAUCUGGUUCUUUUUAGUUAGGAACCUAGUCCAGAAUUUCCUGGCUGACUCUCGAGGCUGUUGGACUAUGUGACUUAAGUCAUCGGUAUCUGGUGGCCGGACAUAUGUACGUUGGAAGUUGUCAAGGAAAGCUUCUUCCAAGUCCUCCCAGCUGCCAAUAGAAUUUUCAGGCAGACUGUUUAGCUAGUGCCGAGCUGGCCCUUUGAGUUUUAGUAGGAGGUAUUUGAUGGCGUGAAGGUCAUCCCCGCGGGCCAUGUGGAUGUGGAGAAUAAAAUCCUCGAUCCAUACCGCGGGAUCGGUUGUUCCAUCGUAUGAUUCGAUAUUUACGGGUUUAAACCCUUCUGGAAAUUCAUGAUCCAUUACUUCGUCAGUGAAGCAAAGAGGGUGUGCGGCGCCUCUAUAUCGGGCCACGUCGCGACGUAGCUCCGACGGAGUCCGUCUGUGGUUUUCGGCCCGGGCGUGACUAGGUUUGUCACGUCCGAAUAGAUGGUUAUCGCCGCGUGUCGAGGCACGUCCUCGCGAUCCGUAUAUCGGUCUUGUAUGCCCUGCUCUACUAUCCAGGUCCUGCCGAAGGUCGUAUGUAUAACCCCGAGCUGUUUUAUCCCUGCCUUUACAGCGAGGUGGGGCAGGCUGGUGUUCGGCUUGAGUUGCCGCUUUAUCCCGACCCCAUGGUGGUCGGUCAGCCGCAUUGCGCGAUGGUGGUACGGCCUCCAGCACCUCGUCAUCGAACUGCGGUAGCAAUUUGCGCUUUGGGUAACUUUUGGCUGGGCGCUUAAGGAUGUAUUCUUCGGCUGCUAGGACAUCACUCCAUCUAUCGUUGAGCAGAUCUUGGUCAGCUUGAAGCUGCUGCUGCUUAUUUUUCAGGCUCCUUGCAGUGGCUAUUAGCUGGCGCUUGAAGCGCUCCUGCUGGAGAGGUUUCUCAGGAACGAUAAAAUCCUCGUUGCCGAGGCUCACCUCCUCCUCGGAGAGCGGAUGAUAACUACCGUCCUCCGAGUCUUCAUCUAUGGCCUGUUCAUCACGGCUGCCUUGCCCAUCUUCCCGAUCAUCUUGUUCGGAGGUUGCCUCAACAGGGUCUUCAUUGUCUUCGGCAUCGUCCAGAGUGUUAUUUUCUCCGAUGCCAGUAUUGCUGUCUUUUGAACGACGUGACUUAGAGCGGCGCCGAGGACGCCGACGUUUGAGCUAUGUCUCAGGAGGUUUAUCCUCAACUGGAUCUUUUUUAUCAUCGUCGUUAGUUUCUUUAGGUGUAUCCACAAUGUACACAUCGUACGAAGAAGUGGCCGUCAAGCGUCCAGUGAAUGGCGGGUUUUGGCCCUGCUCCUCAUCGGCAUCGUCGUCCGUACCGUCGAUGUCUUCGGAGCCGUAAUCAAGCAUGUCGGUUAAGUCCUCGACAGUGGCUAUGAAGUGGGUGGCGGGUGGGAAGCAAAAUUCUCCAUCGUCAGCCCCUAGUUCAAACCGGACAUAGUUUGGCCGUGAGUCCCCCACCAAGGACAGGUUCUUUAAUGAGUUUAGCACAUCGCCAAAAGGCGAGUGUUGGAAGAUGUCUGCGGCGCUGAAUUCGAAGAUCGAUAAUUGAUCAAGUUCGGCGUCCGCGGACGCACACGGUUCAGAACUUACAUCCGGAAACGAGUCCGGAGUUCCGGUGAUACAGAUAUCGCGUGAGGUUAAGCCUAUGUGCGGCUCCAACACCGCGGAAUCUGUGGCCUUAGUGGCAGGGUUGAGCUUCCCAUCCUUGGAUGGCACGAUCUACUCCGGAUCUAAGGCUGGAGCAGUUACAGGAGCUAUCUCCUGGAUGUGGUCCGAUGACAGAUUUAGGUCAUGUUCAUCGAGGUGACAAGGAGCGGCCUCCGCGGUCUCGAAUCCGUCGAAGAUCAAAUCUCCACAGAUGUCCGCGACGUAGUUUAACUUUCCAAAUCUGACCUGAUGGCCAGGGGCGUAGCUAUCGAUCUGCUCCAUAUGGACAAGCGAGUUGGCCUGCAGUGCCAAGCCACCGAAUACGAAGAUCUGUCUGGGGAGAAAGGUCUCCCCUUGGACAGCGUCGUUGUAGACGAUUUAAGAAGCCAUCGAACCUUUUGGGGAUGGCACAGUGGAACUCUCAAUGAAAGCACCAAUGUCGGUGUCAAAACCGGCGGCUCUCGGGUAGGGGGUCCCGAACUGUGCGUCUGAGGAUGAUGGUAAUAGGAGACGGGGAACACAAUGUUUACCCAGGUUUGGGCCCUCUCUAUGGAGGUAAUACCCUACUUCUUGCUUGGUUGAUCUUGAUGAAUAUGAGUAUUACAAGACUUGAUCUACCACGAGAUCAUAAUGGCUAAACCCUAGAAGUCUAGCCUAUGUGAUUAUGGUAAUGAGUAUCUCUUCUCCUCUGGACUAAGCCCUCCGGUUUAUAUAGACACCGGGGGGAUCUAGGGUUACACAAGGUCGGUUACAGAGAAAGGAAUCUACAUAUUUGAUCGCCAAGCUUGCCUUCCACGCCAAGGAGAGUCCCAUCCGGACAUGGGUAGAGUCGUCGGUCUUCGUAUCUUCACGGCCCAUCAGUCCGACCCAUGGCUAACAUGCCGGACGCCCGAGGACCCCUUAGUCCAGGACUCCCUCACCAGCUCCCGCUACUUCUCUUGCUCCAGGUCCCCGAGGUGGUACUGCUGCAUCACCCAGUUGGUCCUCUGCUGGUCGAAGUUCUUGUUGGUGUGCAGCACCAGAACCUUUUUGCUGCCCGUCUGCCGGCCGUUGACCAUCACUGGCAAGGUAUUGCCGGUCUUGUGCCACAUCGCGUGCAUGCCGCACUCCGACUGUAUCUUGCGACGUGUCCACGUGCCCCUUUUGAACGCCCCGUAAUUGCGCAGGAAGAAAUUCUUGCUUAGGCCACUCAGGGUGAUACCUGCAGUAUUGUCGAAUUCAGGUUUUAGUGUACGUAGUUGGUAUUUUCAUAACAUCUUUGGCAUGUUGCAGUCACUUGUUUCACUUUUAUUAACUGUCAAAUUGUAAUUGCUUCACUAGGUCUGCGUCUAAAAAGAAAAAUAGAGCUAUAAACAAAGGAAUAUGUUUGAGCAAGUAGACGGCCGAUCGGUGUCUUACCUUGAAGUUUCUCAGGAUAGGUGUAGCAUAUGCUGUGCUCGCUGUUGAUGGUUGGUAUGAACAAAUCGAUGAGAGGGUGAGAUCUCGCGCUGUUAGCACUCACUUUGGCCUCAAGGUGCUCGAUCAGCUCCUGAUCCGUGGGAUCGAACUUGAUGACAGCCGGCAGCACCGGCCAAUCCUUCUUGGACUUGCAUCGGUUAAUUCUAGUUAUAUGGUACUCAAUGUAUGAUGACUGUUUUAAGUGAAUGAUGAAAGAUUUCGACAGAUAAGUGGUAGUACUCCACAUCUGAAGUCCACAAUACCCGAACACGCCGCCGGGAUUCUUGUGUCACCACACGCGCAGCGUGUUGUCAUGUUAAUUCAAUGUGAGGACAUGAUGAAUAAUUUGACCGACGUAUACUAGUACUGCUACUGUACUACUUACUAGUGGUCUUUAGUGUCACAUUUUAACCAUAGGUUUAACUAAUAAAUGUCAAUGCAUGUCACCGAAAAUUAUUCCAUUGGAAACUAUGUUCAAAUACGAAUAAAAUGAUAUAAUUUUUUGUGACAUGCAUUAACAUUUAGUUAGUGAAAUUUAUGGUCAAAAUUUGACACAAAUUACCAAGGGGACCAGUAAACCAGGAGGGAGGUAGUUGUACGAGUAGCACAAUAUACGGUAUAGAGGACUAGUACAAAUUUAGAAAUGGUGUAAGAAGUUACAAGGCUGUGCGACAGACUUUGUAGGCUACAUGAGUAACACAAAAUAUAAUUCCCAUUGGACAACACUUUCACCAACAAGUACACACUUGAAGCCUAAUUGAUAUAUAUAUAUAUAUGGCUUCUGCACAACAUCUCCAUCAUCAUUAUCAGUACAUCCUACGCAGGUGAGUUAGGAUGUACUUGAUCCCAGAAAGGUAUCUAUCCUUCAAACCGGAGGAGUGCUUCAAACUAACAACAGUACAUAAUAGCCAACAAAAGAGAGUCAUGCUACAACAGCAGGAUACAUGGCUCAGUCUAGAUAUCAGUAUGAAUCAAGUUGUGCAUAUUUGCUGUUGGCAUGAACCACAUCGCCGCAUGUCGGGUUUGCAAAAGCCAUCCAUCGCAUGGAAGCUUGAUGCCUUUCGCACACUGAAGAUUAUCUGGCAAAAAGAUGUGUCGACGAAUCUCUGGAUAUGGUGAUUCAUGAAACCCAUGGUAUGAUGUGUAAACACAGUUCCCCCUGGCGAAUGGAAGUUGCAUAGCACGGUAAUCAUCACCGGUGAUAUGAUCAAUGAUUGGUUGGAUGAUCGCAUAAUUGAGCCCGAGGAACAUGGAGUGGUUGCCGAGGCUGUAAACCCACCUCCAGUUGAAUACGCCUGGCCCAACAGAGCUGGGAUCUUUCUUGAACACAAAGCAGCCAUAGCCAUCAAUGUCACGAACGCCCCAGGCAUUGUACUGCAUGUGGUUUGAUGAAAUGGUUUGGUCAAUUUGGUACGUGCAAAUGAGCAUCAAAUGACCGCCGUCAGUUGAACGAGGGAGAAACCACCACCCAUCAGCUGGUAUGAUUCCAGGUCCUGGAAUUUUGAAGGCCGGCGCAUUUGCGUCUGCUGCAACAAUUAAAAUUGGAGACCAAAAGGAUAAAAAUAACCAAUCAUGUUCAGAGUAUGUGUGGAAUUAAGAUUAUUAUAACAGUGACACAUAUCAGAGACAGAGAAUUGCAAUGCCGUGGUCAUAAUCAUACCCCAUGUUAAAAAAAUAAGCCAAUGGCUUUCAUAUUCUAGCAAUAUAUCAUGGUUCAAACAUCAUGUAAGAAUGAGAGGAAAACAGAUAUGACAGGGCCUACUCAUAUUCUACCAUAGCACUUACUAUAGUUACCAUAUCAACUCUAAGCAAUAACAUGCGUUGUUAUAAAAAUCCUGGAAAUGAGGUUAUACUCAUAAUAUCUAUUCUAACAAUCAUUAGAUGACAAUUGUUCUCAUAUCAACUCUAACAAUAACAUGUGUGGUCAUAAAAAUCUAGGAAAUGAGAGGAACAUAUAACAAUGAUGUGGUUAUAGACAUACUAUAUAUUCUAAAUUUGUAACAAUGAACAGGCAGUCAUAUUCUUAAGGUAAAGAUGAGAUGAGAUAGAACAAUUACACGACCAUAGAUUCCACUAGUAUAGGCAGCCAAUCUGUGCGUCGACCGCAUAAACGAUGCCAUCAUGCACUAUAACAUCAGACAGAAGUGUUGGGUGAAUAGGAUUGACGAUGAGCCAUAACCAUGUAUGACGACCGGAUUCCAGAUAGACUAAUCCCAUGUUGAACACGGCAAUGAGCUUGUAAACCAUAUAGUCUUCUGAUGAUGUGGGCACUUCGCAGAUUACAACCUUCAGCAAACAGAGGUCGAGCCAAAAGCUCGACGCGUCUCGUGCGUAGUAGGUAGGAGUGUCCGGCGGGCCGCGAGGCUCAAUGGCGGCGGUAUCCAACGAUGGAAGGGUGAUCUCUUGCUGGGUGUAGAUAUCCAGGAGACGCCACGGACUACCGGAUUGGUGGAUGAGGAUGAUCCAGUUGGCCUUCAUGCCCGCCCAGUAGUGGCCGCGCAUGAAGGACAGGUGGACGGGUAGUGGUAGCAUGUCGAGGGGCACCACGGCAACCUCCGUAGGAUCGUCAAGUCGGUGUCCGGGCCACCUGCGAGGAUCGGGCAUCAGCAAGCAGGGUGUCUUGAAAACAGCUGGCCGGUUGCAGAUGCAUAGACGGUACAAAGACACCGAGCAUGCGGCCAGACGGACGGUGCUGAGCAGGUCCAUACGAUCAUAGAUCUGCUCCAAGAGAACAUCGGGGAGGGAAUUCCAAUCAAGGUUGUGCGUGUCAGUCGGUUUUGCCAUAGGGUUUUUAGGGCGCUGAGUGACUGGGGUUUUCGAUGCCUGCGAGGCAGCGGGGAAGUGGAUUCGGGCGGGCGAGUGAAGAAGAUGGCGUGUGUGGCCGAGCAGUGAGCGGGGGAAUAUGGUACGCGCGAGCUACCAAGCAAGAUGGCGCAGGCGGGCGAGCAGUGAGCAGGGGGAAAUGGUGUGCGUCCGACGAUGGGGAAGAGAGGAGGAAGAAGAAGAGAGGAGGAAGAAGAGUGAAAGGCGGGGAAGAAAGUGCAUUAAAUCUCAAUUCUACUAGUACUACUACCAGGAUAUACCGUCGUUCGGAGUGUAAAUAGUUACACAGAUGACAUGUGGGUCUACCUCAAGAGGGCCCAUAAGUCAGUUAAUGGAGGAAAGAGGUGCGUAGUCGUAUUUGCGGAAGCGUGCUACAUUGGCAAACAUGAUGGCAGUACUGGGUAAGGCUGAUUUAGUAACACCAACACACUGGUUCAGCUUAUUAAUCAAGUGUCCCAUCUGCUGCAGCGUGUAUUGUCACUUCACUGUGAAGACUAGUUGAAUAGUACUCUCUGACCGAGAUGGGGAAUAAUAGAUCGCGAAGACUUCCUAUCUAUAGUAUCCAUAUGCAUGUGCACUCGGGCCCCUCCCAAUGCUCCGCCUUGUAAGGCUGCCAUGUAGGCAAAAAGUCUGAUGUGGCGAGGUCAUUAAGAGGAGAGAUAAGUGUGGUGACCCCAGUACUAAGCGCGAGAACCUAGACAAAAGACAUAAAUGGAAGAAUCCCACCAAUGCAUGAAGAACUUUAGUUACAAAAUCAUUAAAUAAAGGAUGCUUAGCACCAACAAGUUAAGCACCUGUACAUGUAAGCAUUGGGAGCUUUAGUUGCUAAAGUUUUUAAUGUGCUUAGCACCACAUGUAAGCACCGAUGCAUUGGAAGUAGCCUCAUCUUGUCCAACAAGAUGAAACAUUGGCCAAGGCACCCGACGCCAAUAAUGUAGGAGUACUAGUACUACCUCCUUUCCGGUUUAUAGGGCUCAAUUCAAAAAUCUUAUCAACCAAGGUAGAUGAUGAGUCGUGGAAUAAUUUUUUUAGUUUGCAAAACACUCAAUCAAUGCACUCGUUUUCUCAAAAAAAUUAUGUUUGCCAAUGCAUUAAUUUUGUGUCAAACUUUGACCAUCUACUCCCUCCAUCCAGGUGAAUAAGUCAUCUUUGGUUGUGCACCGUGACCCAGGAGGGAAAAACAAGAGAACUUAAUGUUUAUUUGCUACUCCCUCCGUUCCUAAAUAUUGUGUUUUUCGACAUUCAAAUGGAAUACAACAUAUGGAUGUAUAUAGACAUAUUUUAGAGUGUAGAUUCACUCAUUUUGCUCCGUACGUAGUCACUUGUUGAAAUCUCUAGAAAGUCAAAUACUCCAUGGGAAAAGAGGGAGGCUUUUACUCCGUAUUUGGGAACAGAGGGAGUAUCACAAUAUGGAUGGAACAGAGGAAGCUUGAAAUAUGAACAUGUCAAUGGGAGGGAGUAAAAGCCUCAUGCAUGCAUGCAUGCAACAUGCAACACCCACACGUACACAUGGACGCACGCAACACUCACGCACCCAUGCGGCACACAGCACGCGAUGCAACACACACGCUCAUGCUCAAGUGCUCAACCUACUCCCUAUGUCCGUGAAAGACUGCACAUUUAGAGACUUACACAUUGACCAGGGCAUAAUUAACGCCCAAAAGUAGCAGAUUUAUGUGUGCAUGCGACUAUUGAGAGAAGAAGAUUAAAUGAAGGUUGUUGCAUGCUGUAAUUAAGGAUAGACAUGUAGCCUAUAGCUAGAGCACAAGUUGGUGCAUUAGUCAAUCAAUAUCGAUUUUAGAUUAAAGGCUAAAUGCAUUGUAAGUGUGGAUGUACACUCUUUGUUUUUUAGCCGAUGUACACUCUUUGUUGGAAGACCCAGGGAGCACGCGUGCAUGCACUUACAUACACAGCCAGGGUGGUUCGCACGCAAGGGUCGGACUCCUGUCGCGCCCGCGUAAAGUUUUGUUCAACUGAUUUCUUUGCUCUGCCAACUGACAGGGGGGACCCAAAAACCAGGUGACAAUUUAACCAGUCAACAAAGUGCCACGUCGACUAUGUGGCCGGUCAGUAGGGUGCAAUAUGGUGCUCUACGAUGAGCUAGAGAUCGUAUAAUCACCGCAAAAUUAUAUAUAGUGACCGUAAAGAGCAUACUGUUACAUACGUUGACCACCAAUGUAUUUUUCUCGUUUCAAAUUAAGCCAUAUUAACCGGAAAGGACUAGUCCUUGUACUGCUUUGAUGUGUCCCGUCAACUCGCCGAACGUGGAGAAGCUUGCUUACUACGCCUCUACCUCGCCCACGCGUGCGGUGGCUCACGGGACGAGGAGAGGGUUUUGACUAUAGUGCCCUCUCCCUCUCCCUCUCGCUCGCCCUCGCCCUCGCGGUGGACGUGCAGCUGUUCAAUCGGUGUCAGAUUGCCAAAAGCAUAUUAUACUGUAGUAUCAUCAUUGUUGGACCUUCGGAAGAGGAGAAGAGCCAAGUGCAAGGUUCACACGAGUACGAACUGUUGAACCUCCCGGAGAGGCAAAGAGCCAAGCGGAAGGUUUUAUAGGAGUUGUCGUCCUAGUAGGAGUAUACUACAACUAUAGCGAAUGAUGCUACUGUAUGAUGCCGCCACGUCACCUAUAUCCAAAGUUGUGCCACCUUUUUUUCUCAAAGAGCGUGUUGGUGCCCGUGCAGGAACCACACAAGUUGCACGUACACAUAACACAUUUACUAGUAAUAAAUUCUAAAGGACAAAUUCCAAUAUGCCACACAAGUUCAUCUCCAAUUCAUGUGAUAAAUUUGUGCACGACUAGUCUACAUAUAUUCACAGCGCUACCGUUCACAAUUUACCAUACCCCACUUACACGUUAUAGAUGGGCUACAUGUCCUCCUCCAGGUUCCAGUCCCAGGUGUUCUUCAUCGAUGGCACGAUCCAUAGUGGUGGGCAACGGGAAUCAUUGUCGCAGCUUUCUAGUCCGGUCCACACGAUGGAGACUCAUCCAAGCUGAAGUGGCAUAAAUCAGGGAUAGCGUGUCCCAGCAUGUCAUUCAUCCGGCGGUGCGCACUAAAGACACAACCAUGCUUCAUGAAGGCAGGCCUUCGGUGUCAUGCACGGAAGGUGGCAUCCGCUUCACAAUGGGGUAGCUGUCCCCAAUGAAAAGCGAGUACUCUCCAAGAGUGUUCCUCGGCACCCACGUGGCAUCAUGGGGGUCGAACUUGGCGCCGUUCAUCUGGUACACGCGGCAACUCAGAUCUGGACACAUGGUGACGUACACAGUCAAGGUCCAUGCAUAAUAAUGUUCUGCUCAAAUAUGGCGUUCAGUAAUACUAUGCAGCAAAUAGUACUACUCAGGUAUAGAGGAAGUAAAAUAACCAGCUUAUUAUAUAUAGCCACUCUUGGCUACAUGGAUGAGAUAGUAAGACAUGGAAAAACAAAAAUGGUGGCAGCUAGUGGGUUCAAGUCUUCAAGGGCCUAGCUAGCUAUACGCGUCCUCCAAGAUAAAAAGUACUCCUACUAGUAGUAGUAAGUAGUACAACAACGAAAGAGAAGGCGAGAGGGUUACAAAAUAUAAUACUAAAUGGAAUACCUGGGUAGAUGGUGACGGUCCGAUCGUGGUAGAUUGUGUGACCAUGUUGCACAUCAGUGGUACCAUGGGUAAUGACUGCUAAGAUAGUUGAUCCCAAUAUGCCAAAGUCAGCUACAAGGUUCCAGGUUCGACAGAAUCGCGGAUGCAAAUGCACAUCCAGGAUCGACGAUCUUAUUUCGAUCGGGGGAUGACUGGUCCCUGCAAAAUAAUGGAGUACCAUUAGAGAUGCAAAUGAUGGUUUGUGCAUUCCGUUUGUAAUCUCCUGUACCGUAGGAUGGCAACCAUAUGAAACAAGUCCCCUGGCUUGUCACGGCGAAGAUGCGGCCUAGAUGGAACAUGGCAUCUUCGAACGUGUAGGGGUGCAAAUCUGCCGCGGCCAACAUGCGCCAGCCUCUGCCCUGUCUGCAGUUACUGCCUCUAGUAUUGAUGGCAAUCCUUAUGUCGAACACCGCGAGGAGAUAGUAAUCGUCGUUGGCGCAUCGCUUUGUCGGCGGGUCCGCAAUUGCUAUCUUCUUCAAUCUCAUGUUGGCAUCAUCAUAUGUAUUCAAGCCCCGCCAGUCUGGAAGGCCGAUCCCAAUGGUGGAGAAGGGGUCUACGGGAACGGCCGCACUGCUGUGGAUGUUGUGCAAAAUGAUGGUGGUAUCCGGCCGGAGGUAUGCAAGCCAAUCUUUGUUGGCACCGACCCAAACCUAUAUAUAAGACGGUGGGCAGCUUAGAAAUUAUGGUAUGGAAAAGGAAUAACUAAGUACUACAUGAUCAAACUCCAUGACUGACCUGCUCAUCAGACAAUAUCCGACUACCUCUCAACGUCGGCAACUCUAGCGGAGUCAACGUGCAACCAUGGCCAGGGAGUAGUGUACUGUUCGAAGGAUUUGACGGAAAUAUGCCGUAGAGGCAAUAAUAAAGUUAUUAUUUAUUUCCUUAUUUCAUGAUAAAUAUUUAUUAUUCAUGCUAGAAUUGCAUUAAUCGGAAACAUAAUACAUGUGUGAAUACAUAGACAAACUGAGUGUCACUAGUAUGCCUCUACUUGACUAGCUCGUUGGAUCAAAAAUGGUUAAGUUUCCUAGCCAUAGAUAUGAGUUGUCAUUUGAUCAACGGGAUCACAUCAUUAGAGAAUGAUUUGAUUAACAUGACCCAUUCCGUUAGCUUAGCAGUUGAUCAUUUAGUAUGUUGCUAUUGCUUUCUUCAUGACUUAUACAUGUUCCUAUGACUAUGAGAUUAUGCAACUCCCGAAUACCAGAGGAACACUUUGUGUGCUACCAAACGUCACAACGUAACUGUUUGCUUAUAAAGGUGCUCUACAGGUGUCUCCGAAGGUACUUGUUGAGUUGGCAUAGAUCGUGAUUAGGAUUUGUCACUCUGAUUGUCGGAGAGGUAUCUCUGGGCCCUCUCGGUAAAGCACAUCACUAUAAGCCUUGCAAGCAUUGUAACUAAUGAGUUAGUUGCGGGAUGAUGCGUUACGGAACGAGUAAAGAGACUUUCCGGUAACAAUAUGAACUAGGUAUUGAUAUGCCGACGAUCGAAUCUCGGGCAAGUAACAUACCGAUGACAAAGGGAACAACGUAUGUUGUUAUGCGGUUUGACCGAUAAAGAUCUUCGUAGAAUAUGUGGGAUCCAAUAUGAGCAUCCAGGUUCCGCUAUUGGUUAUUGACCGGAGACGUGUCUCGGUCAUGUCUACAUAGUUCUCGAACCCGUAGGGUCCGCACGCUUAAAGUUCGGUGACGACCGGUAUUAUGAGUUUUUGUAUUUUGAUGUACUGAAGGUAGUUCGGAGUCCCGGAUAUGAUCACGGCCAUGACGACGAGUCUUGAAAUGGUCGAGAGGUAAAGAUCGAUAUAUUGGACGACUAUGUUUGGACACCGGAAGGGUUCCGGAAGGUUUCGGGCAUAUACCGGAGUAUCGGUGGGUUACCGGAACCCCCCGGGGAGUUUAUUGGGCCUCAUGGGCCCUAGUGGGAGAAGAGGAGGGGCGGCCAGGGCAGCCGCGCCCCCCCUCCCCCUCUAGUCCAAAUUGGACAAGGAGGGGGGGGGGGGCGGUGCCCCCCUUUUUUCCUUCUCUUCCUCUCUCCCUUCCUUCCCUUUUCCUACUCCUACUUGGAAGGGGGAAUCCUACUCCCUGUGGGAGUAGGGCUCCUCAUGGGGCGCGCUUAGGGAGGCCGGCCUCCUCCCCCUCCUCCACUCCUUUAUAUACGGGGAGGGGGGCACCCCUUGGAGACACAAAUAUUGAUCUGUUGAUCUCUUAGCCGUGUGCGGUGACCCCUCCACCAUAAUCCACCUCAAUAAUAUCAUAGUGGUGCUUAGGCGAAGCCCUGCAUCGGUAGCAUCAUCAUCACCGUCAUCACACCGUCGUGCUGACAAAACUCUCCGGCGAAGCUCUACUGGAUCGUGAGCUCGUGGGACGUCAUCGAGUUGAACGUGUGCUGAACUCGGAGGUGCCAUACGUUCGGUACUUGGAUCGGUCGGAUCGUGAAGACGUUCGACUACAUCAACCGCAUUGUGCUAACGCUUCCGCUUUCGGUCUACGAGGGUACGUGGACACACUCUCCCGUCUCGUUGCUAUGCAUCACCAUGAUCUUGCACGUGCGUAGGAAUUUUUUUGAAAUUACUACGUUCCCCAACAGUGGCAUCCGAGCCAGGUUUAUGCGUAGAUGUUAUAUGCACGAGUAGAACAAAAGUGAGUUGUGGGCGAUACAAGUCAUACUGCUUACCAGCAUGUCACACUUUGGUUCGGCGGUAUUGUUGGAUGAAGCGGCCCGGACCGACAUUACGCGUACGCUUACGCGAGACUGGUUCUACCGACGUGCUUUGCACACAGGUGGCUGGCGGGUGUCAGUUUCUCCAACUUUAGUUGAAUCGAGUGUGGCUACGCCCGGUCCUUGUGAAGGUUAAAACAACACUAACUUGACGAACUAUCGUUGUGGUUUUGAUGCAUAGGAAAGAACGGUUCUUGCUCAGCCCGUAGCAGCCACGUAAAACUUGCAACAACAAAGUAGAGGACGUCUAACUUGUUUUUGCAGGGAAUGUUGUGAUGUGAUAUGGUCAAGACAUGAUGCUAAAUUUUAUUGUAUGAGAUGAUCAUGUUUUGUAACCAUGUUAUCGGCAACUGGCAGGAGCCAUAUGGUUGUCGCUUUAUUGUAUGCAAUGCAAUCGCCAUGUAAUUGCUUUACUUUAUCACUAAGAGGUAGCGAUAGUCGUAGAAGAAACAGUUGGGGAGACGACAACGAGGCUACGAUGGAGAUCAAGGUGUCGCGCCGGUGACGAUGGUGAUCAUGACGGUGCUUUGGAGAUGGAGAUCACAGGCACAAGAUGAUGAUGGCCAUAUCAUAUCACUUAUAUUGAUUGCAUGUGAUGUUUAUCCUUUAUGCAUCUUAUUUUGCUUAGAUCGACAGUAGCAUUAUAAGAUGAUCUCCCACUAAAUUUCAAGGUACAAGUGUUCUCCCUGAGUAUGCACCGUUGCGAAAGUUCGUCGUGCCGAGACACCACGUGAUGAUCGGGUGUGAUAAGCUCUACGUUCACAUACAACGGGUGCAAGCCAGUUUUGCACAUACAGAAUACUCGGGUUAAACUUGACGAGCCUAGCAUAUGUAGAUAUGGCCUCGGAACACUGAGACCGAAAGGUCGAGCGUGAGUCAUAUAGUAGAUAUGAUCAACAUAGUGAUGUUCACCAUUGAAAACUGCUCCAUCUCACGUGAAUAUCGGACAUGGUUUAGUGGAUAUGGGUCACGUGAUCACUUAGAUGAUUAGAGGGAUGUCUAUCUAAGUGGGAGUUCUUUAAUAAUUUGAUUAACUGAACUUUAAUUUAUCAUGAACUUAGUACCUGAUAGUAUUUUGCAUGUCUAUGUUGUUGUAGAUAGAUAGCCCGUGCUGCUGUUCCGUUGAAUUUUAAUGCGUUCCUUGAGAAAGCAAAGUUGAAAGAUGAUGGUAGCAAUUACACGGACUGGGUUCAUAACUUGAGGAUUAUCCUCAUUGCUGCACACAAGAAUUACGUCCUGGAAGCACCGCUAGGUGCCAAACCUGCUGUAGGAGCUGAAGCAGAUGUUAUGAAUGUCCGGCAAAGCAAAGCUGAUGACUACUCGAUAGUUCAGUGUGCCAUGCUUUACGGCUUAGAACCGGGACUUCAACGACGUUUUGAACGUCAUGGAGCAUCUGAGAUGUUCCAGGAGUUGAAGUUAAUAUUUGAAGCAAACGCCCGGAUUGAGAGAUAUGAAGUCUCCAAUAAGUUGUAUAGCUGCAAGAUGGAGGAGAAUAGUUCUGUCAGUGAGCAUAUACUCAGAAUGUCUGGGUAUAACAAUCACUUGAUUCAACUAGGAGUUAAUCUUCUGGAUGAUAGUGUUAUUGACAGAAUUCUUCAAUCACUGCCACCAAGCUACAAGAGCUUUGUGAUGAACUAUAACAUGCAAGGGAUGGAUAAGACGAUUCCCGAGCUCUUCACAAUGCUAAAUGCUGCGGAGGUAGAAAUCAAGAAGGAGCAUCAAGUGUUGAUGGUCAACAAGACCACAAGUUUCAAGAAAAAGGGCAAAGGGAAGAAGAAGGGGAACUUCAAGAAGAACGGCAAACAAGUUGUUGUUCAAGAGAAGAAACCCAAGUCUGGACCUAAGCCUGAGACUGGGUGCUUCUACUGCAAAGAGACUGGUCACUGGAAGCGGAAUUGCCCCAAGUAUAUGGCGGAUAAGAAGGAUGGCAAGGUGAACAAAGGUAUAUGUGAUAUACAUGUUAUUGAUGUGUACCUUACAAUUCUCGCAGUAGUGCCUGAGUAUUUGAUACUGGUUCUGUUGCUAAUAUUUGCAACUCGAAACAGGGACUACGGAUUAAGCGAGGAUUGGCUAAGGACGAGGUGACGAUGCGCCGGGGAAACGGUUCCAAAGUCGAUGUGAUCGCGGUCGGCACGCUACCUCUACAUCUACCUUCGGGAUUAGUUUUAGAACUGAAUAAUUGUUAUUUGGUGCCAGCGUUGAGCAUGAACAUUAUAUCUGGAUCUUGUUUGAUGCGAGACGGUUAUUCAUUGAAAUCAGAGAAUAAUGGUUGUUCUAUUUAUAUGAGUAAUAUUUUUAUGGUCAUGCACCCUUAAGAGUGGUCUAUUAUUUUUGAAUCUCGAUAGUGGAGAUACACAUAAUCGUAGUAUUGAAGCUAAAAGAUGCAGAGUUGAUAAUGAUAGUGCAACUUAUUUAUGGCACUGCCGUUUAGGUCAUAUUUGCGUAAAACGCAUGAAGAAACACCAUUCUGAUGGACUUUUGAAAUCACUUGAUUAUGAAUCACUUGGUACUUGCGAAGCAUGCCUCAUGGGCAAGAUGACUAAAACACUGUUCUCCGGAAGAGUGGAGCGAGCAACAGAUUUGUUGGAGAUCAUACAUACUGGUGUAUGUGGUCCGAUGAAUGUUGAGGCUCGCGGCGAGCAUCGUUAUUUUGUCACCUUCACAUAUGAUUUGAGCAGAUAUGGGUAUAUCUACUUGAUGAAACAUAAGUCUGAAACAUUUGAAAAGUUCAAAGAAUUUCAGAGUGAAGUGGAAAAUCAUCGUAACAAGAAAAUAAAGUUUCUACGAUCUGAUCGUGGAGGAGAAUUUUUGAGUUACGAGUUUAGUCUUCAUUUGAAACAAUGCAGAAUAGUUUCGCAACUCACGCCACCCGGAACACCACAGCGUAAUGGUGUGUCUGAACGUCGUAAUCGUACUUUACUAGAUAUGGUGCGAUCUAUGAUGUUUCUUACUGAUUUACCGCUAUCGUUUUGGGGUUAUGCUUUUGAGACGACUGCAUUCACGUUAAAUAGGGCACCAUCUAAAUCCGUUGAGACGACUCCUUAUGAACUGUGGUUUGGCAAGAAACCAAAGUUGUCGUUUCUUAAAGUUUGGGGCUGCGAUGCUUAUGUGAAAAAGCUUCAACGUGAUAAGCUCGAACCCAAAUCGGAGAAAUGUGUCUUCAUAGGAUACCCAUAAGAGACAGUUGGGUACACCUUCUAUCAGAGAUCCGAAAAGGCAAGCCUUUUGUUGCUAAGAAUGGAUCCUUUCUAGAGAAGGAGUUUCUCUCGAAAGAAGUGAGUGGGAGGAAAAUAGAACUUGAUGAGGUAACUGUACCUACUCCCUUAUUGGAAAGUAGUUCAUCACAGAAACCUGUUCCUGUGACACCUACACCAAUUAAUGAGGAAGCUAAUGAUGAUGAUCAUGAAACUUCAGAUCAAGUUGCUACUGAACCUCGUAGGUCAACCAGAGUAAGAUCCGCACCAGAGUGGUACGGUAAUCCUGUUCUGGAGGUCAUGUUACUAGACCAUGGUGAACCUACAAACUAUGAUGAAGCGAUGAUGAGCCCAGAUUCCGCAAAAUGGCUUGAGGCCAUGAAAUCUGAGAUGGGAUCCAUAUAUGAGAACAAAGUGUGGACUUUGGUUGAAUUGCCCAAUGAUCGGCAAGCCAUCGAGAAUAAAUGGAUCUUCAAGAAGAAGACAAACGCUGAUGGUAAUGUAACUGUCUACAAAGCUCGACUUGUUGUGAAAGGUUUUUGACAAGUUCAAGGAGUUGACUACGAUGAGACCUUCUCACCCAUAGCUAUGCUUAAGUCCGUCCGAAUCAUGUUAGCAAUUGCCGCAUUUUAUGAUUAUGAAAUUUGGCAAAUGGAUGUAAAGACUGCAUUCCUGAAUGGAUUUCUGGAAGAAGAGUUGUAUAUGAUGCAACCUGAAGGUCUUAUCGAUCCAAAUGGUGCUAAAAAAGUGUGUAAGCUCCAGCGAUCCAUUUAUGGACUGGUGCAAGCCUCUCGGAGUUGGAAUAAACGUUUUGAUAGUGUGAUCAAAGCAUAUGGUUUUAUACAGACUUUUGGAGAAGCCUGUAUUUACAAGAAAGUGAGUGGGAGCUCUGUAGCAUUUCUAAUAUUAUAUGUGGAUGACAUAUUGUUGAUUGGACAUGAUAUAGAAUUUCUGGAUAGCAUUAAACGAUACAUGAAUAAGAGUUUUUCAAUGAAAGACCUCGGUGAAGCUGCUUACAUAUUGGGCAUCAAGAUCUAUAGAGAUAGAUCAAGACGGUUAAUUGGACUUUCACAAAGCACAUACCUUGAAAAACUUUUGAAGAAGUUCAAACUGGAUCAGGCUAAGAAAGGGUUCUUGCCUGUGUUACAAGGUGUGAAGUUGAGUAAGACUCGAUGCCCGACCACUUCAGAAGAUAGAGAGAAAAUCAAAAGUGUUCCCUAUGCUUCAGCCAUAGGCUCUAUCAUGUAUGCAAUGCUGUGUACCAGACCUGAUGUGUGCCUUGCUAUUAGUUUAGCAGGGAGGUACCAAAGUAAUCCAGGAGUGGAUCACUGGACAGCGGUCAAGAACAUCCUGAAAUACCUGAAAAGGACUAAGGAUAUGUUUCUUGUUUAUGGAGGUGACAAAGAGCUCGUCAUAAAUGGUUACGUCGAUGCAAGCUUUGACACUGAUCCAGACGAUUCUAAAUCGCAAACAUGAUACGUGUUUAUAUUGAACGGUGGAGCUGUCAGUUGGAGCAGUUCGAAACAAAGCGUCGUGGCGGGAUCUACGUGUGAAGCGGAGUACAUAGCUGCUUCGGAAGCAGCAAAUGAAGGAGUCUGGAUGAAGGAGUUCAUAUCCGAUCUAGGUGUAAUACCUAGUGCAUCGGGUCCAAUGAAAAUCUUUUGUGACAAUACUGGUGCAAUUGCCUUGGCAAAGGAAUCCAGAUUUCACAAGAGAACCAAGCACAUCAAGAGACGCUUCAAUUCCAUCCGCGAUCAAGUCCAGGGUGGGGACAUAGAGAUUUGCAAGAUACAUACGAAUCUGAAUGUUGCAGAUCCGUUGACUAAGCCUCUCUUACGAGCAAAACAUGAUCAGCACCAAGACUCCAUGGGUGUUCGAAUCAUUACUGUGUAAUCUAGAUUAUUGACUCUAGUGCAAGUGGGAGACUGAAGGAAAUAUGCCCUAGAGGCAAUAAUAGAGUUAUUAAUUAUUAUUCAUGCUAGAAUUGCAUUACCUGGAAACAUAAUACAUGUGUGAAUACAUAGACAAACUGAGUGUCACUAGUAUGCCUCUACUUGACUAGCUCGUUGGAUCAAAGAUGGUUAAGUUUCCUAGCCAUAGCCAUGAGUUGUCAUUUGAUCAACGGGAUCACAUCAUUAGAGAAUGAUGUGAUUGAUAUGACCCUUUCCGUUAGCUUAGCACUUGAUCGUUUAGUAUGUUGAUAUUGCUUUCUUCAUGACUUAUACAUGUUCCUAUGACUAUGAGAUUAUGCAACUCCCGAAUACCAGAGGAACACUUUGUGUGCUACCAAACGUCACAACAUAACUGGGUGAUUAUAAAGGUGCUCUACAGGUGUCUCCAAAGGUACUUGUUGAGUUGGCAUAGAUCGAGAUUAGGAUUUGUCACUCCGAUUGUCGGAGAGGUAUCCCUGGCCCCUCUCGGUAAAGCACAUCCCUAUAAGCCUUGCAAGCAUGGUAAGUAAUGAGUUAGUUGCGGGAUGAUGUGUUAUGGAACGAGUAAAGAGACUUGCCGGUAACGAGAUUGAACUAGGUAUUGAGAUACCGACGAUCGAAUCUCGGGCAAGUAACAUACCGAUGACAAAGGGAACAACGUAUGUUGUUAUGCGGUUUGACCGAUAAAGAUCUUCGUAGAAUAUGUGGGAGCCAAUAUGAGCAUCCAGGUUCCGCUAUUGGUUAUUGGCCGGAGACGUGUCUCGGUCAUGUCUACAUAGUUCUCGAACCCGUAGGGUUCGCCUGCUUAAAGUUCGGUGACGAUCUGUAUUAUGAGUUUUUGUGUUUUGAUGUACCGAAGGUAGUUUGGAGUCCCGGAUAUGAUCACGGACAUGACGAGGAGUCUCGAAAUGGUCGAGACAUAAAGAUCGAUAUAUUGGAUGACUAUGUUUGGACACCGGAAGGGUUCCGGGAGGUUUCGGGCAUAUAGCGGAGUACCGGGGGGUUACCGGAACCCCCCGGGGAGUUUAUUGAUCCUCAUAGGCCCUAGUGGGAGAAGAGGAGGGGCGGCCAGGGCAGCCGCACCCCCCUCCCCCUCUAGUCCGAAUUGGACAAGGAGGGGGGCGACGCCCCCCCCUUUUCCUUCUCUUCCUCUCUCCCUUCCUUCCCUUCUUCUACUCCUACUUGGAAGGGGGGAGUCCUACUCCCGGUGGGAGCAGGACUCCUCAUGGGGCGCGCCUAGGGAGGUUGGCCUCCUCCCCCUCAUCCACUCCUUUAUAUACGGGGAGGGGGGCAACCCUUGGAGACACAACAAUUGAUCUGUUGAUCUCUUAGCUGUGUGUGGUGCCACCUCCACCGUAAUCCACCUCGAUAAUUAAUAUCGUAGCGGUGCUUAGGCGAAGCUCUGCGUCGGUAGCAUCAUCAUCACCGUCAUCACACCGUCGUGCUGACGAAACUCUCUGGCGAAGCACUACUUGGAUCAGUCGGAUCGUGAAGACGUUCGACUACAUCAACCGCAUUGUUCUAACGCUUCCGCUUUCGGUCUACGAGGGUACGUGGACACACUCUCCCCUCUCGUUGCUAUGCAUCACCAUGAUCUUGCGUGUGCGCAGGAAUUUUUUUGAAAUUACUUCGUUCCCCAACAGGAUUGUCCCAUAUAAGAACCUUCUCCUCGAGGACGCAUGGAAGACCAACAAGCAUGGCCUUUUCCCAAGCCCGUUUAUGCACUGUCUUGAAAAAGUUGGUGCAGGAAGCAUCGAGUCUUGCGGCGGUGAGGACGUCGGAGCGGCGUGCGAUUUCUCCCAGAGGAUCGUCGUCCAAGGUCUCCCAGCCCCGACGAGGAGGAGAACCGCCUGGCGAAUCCAUGGGAGCAGCAACGAACUGCCUUCUCUUCNNNNNNNNNNNNNNNNNNNNNNNNNNNNNNNNNNNNNNNNNNNNNNNNNNNNNNNNNNNNNNNNNNNNNNNNNNNNNNNNNNNNNNNNNNNNNNNNNNNNNNNNNNNNNNNNNNNNNNNNNNNNNNNNNNNNNNNNNNNNNNNNNNNNNNNNNNNNNNNNNNNNNNNNNNNNNNNNNNNNNNNNNNNNNNNNNNNNNNNNNNNNNNNNNNNNNNNNNNNNNNNNNNNNNNNNNNNNNNNNNNNNNNNNNNNNNNNNNNNNNNNNNNNNNNNNNNNNNNNNNNNNNNNNNNNNNNNNNNNNNNNNNNNNNNNNNNNNNNNNNNNNNGAGGAGGAGAUAAGAGCGUAGUAACCGCUGGGCUCGUCCCUUCCAACUAUACCUCCUCAAUCAUUCCUUAGUGAAGGCGUGAGGCUAUUAUUUACUACGUACUCGUACUGUAGCAGUACUAGUACUACUUUAUGAACUAGUAGUCUAUGUAGUAGUGUACUUCUAGUAUAGUGCACCUGUUUUGAACUCUUGAAUCUCAGGCCCAAGGAGCUACAGUUGGAAGUGGAGGGUAGUACUGUUCUCUAGAACCAUCGCUGUACUAUCAAUGCAGGGAAAGUACACCGCGUAGUGGGUACUCUCGAUGCUCUAUUCGAGCGCGUAGCUGGCCUACUCAGCCGCUCCUAUCACGCAGACACUAGCAGCCUGUUUAUCAGCGACAGUUACUGCGGGGGCAGAACAUUUGAGUUAUUUGAUACAACGAGACUAGGCUUUUCACUUCCAUUUGUGGAGGUGUAAUGGAUGCCGUCCAACUUUGUUAGUAGUUCCUUCUUUAUGAAUGAGAUGAGGCAAAGCUUUUGCCUCCGUUUCAAAAAAAACACGUCAAGAGGAAUUUCUUUUAUAGAGCCAAUAAUGGAGUGAAGUCCAUGCGUGCAACGCCACAAGCUACAGAGUAGUACAGUACUAGUAGCACUUUACGUACAGAGCCAUAUUGCACAGUUCCCAAUGCCGCACCAGGCUUUUCCGGCUCCUCGGGCUUAAUUGGGAUGCGCUAGUUUAAAUAUGCUACUAGCUGACGAGGAAGCUGCAAGCGAGGUGCGGCUAGGGCGAGCACGCGAGCCACGAGAUGAUGGGAAGGAAAACCCGUUCACGUGGCUAGGCUAUCUAGUGCACCCAGAUUGUGGUGCGGCACGUCUGUUCGACUUCAAAACUCAAACUACCCGUGUACAAUAUUGGCUCGCAUCGAAGUUACUAUUUAAAAAAAGGACGCCGUGCGUUCGGCCGGGAUCGAACCCACAAAACGAGGUGUACACUACCGCGACCACUAGUAGUACUUGUUGGAGUACAACGCAACCGAGAAUCGCCUUUUGUCUCUAGUAGUACAUUGUUCCAUACAAGAAACCACUAAUAAUGCCAAGAAACCACUAAUAAUGCCAAGAAACUACUACCACUUGCAUACGUGGCAGACUUAAGAUAAGACUACCUUAUCAACCAUUGUACAUGCCCUUACCAACCAGCCCUACCAAGAAACGACUACUCUAAAAGUGCCGUUAUAGGCAUGUCUCAACCCAUGUCGCCCCUGAAGUCAACGCCUUCUAUUCGACCGGAAAGUUUGGCGUUAUGACUUGUGGGACCUACAUGUCAGUCUGCACAAAAAUCCCCGAGUGACCUCCUACCUCCGGCCCGUCCACCUAGUCAUUCUCGGCCAUGGGAAGCAGCUACCGCCGCCGGCAGAAGGCAAGGUCAAAACCGCCGGCGGUGCGAGCCCAUCUUGCGGCAGCCCGGAUGCCAGCUCCGUCCGGCGCUCGCGGCCGCUAGCUAGCCAAGAUAGCUCCGUCCAGCUGCUUGUCUGCAAGGUUUGCUAGCUAGAUUGGCACGGUGGCUUGCUCGCGCACGCCGCACUAAGGCCAGCCAUCUGGCUCGAGAGAAGGCCAGCGCGGCGGCUUGCUCGCUCGUGAGUCACGCUCGGGCCAGCCUGCCAACCCGUGCGGAGGCCAGCGCGGCGUCCGGCCCGUCCAGCGGAGCGGUGGCCAACUCGCUCAUCACCGGCGCCACCGACGAACACGCAUCAGUACUGUAUGAAGUAAUGUUCAGGAAAAAUAAUGAUUUGAGGGGGAAUAAAAGGAUAGAAGGUUAGAUGUGGGUCCCUCGUGUCACCGGUCAAACAAAAUGUGUUGGUUUAAGCUGCCUCGUCAGCAUGGACGUGUGGGCCAACCCUGUCAUAAACGGGUUUAAACGAGCCUAAUCGGCACUACGUAGUAGUUUUCGGCGCGGAUUAAGAAAUUUUGGGUUUGUUUUUGCUAUUUUUUGUACAAUAGUUUCUUCCUAGGGCUGGUUGAAAGUGGUAGUUUUUUGUUAAAUAAUCUACAUAUUGUAAGUAGGAGUGAAAAUUAAGCUUUGGAAGCCAAUAAUUAAGGCUAGUUACACAGUGCAUAUGUGUACAUGAUUGAAAGUAAAUAUCAACCAUGAGUGACUAAUAUCUUCAUGGAACACUCGAAACUAUGGAAAUACUAGCUUUUUUGCAUGGUUGGAAAUACUAGCAAUGUUCACGUGCGUUGCAAUGGAUCAUAAUUAGAAUAAUACUUAUUCACAAACUUGAUACAAAACACUCUAAUUUUGAUAUACAUAUAUCACUAGAGAUAUAUUAUGUUUCAAUCAGAAUAUAUUCCUUGGGCUAUUUUGGUGAGGUGAGGGAGGGAUGUGGUUGGUUUUAAGAUACUAAUUAUGGGUUUUUUCUGCAAAUUGGUAGAGAAGUGGGAUGUUGGUGAGAAAAGGCAACAACUUACCUCAGAGUCGUUAGAUGUAGAUCUAAUGGUCAGAAAUGACGGAUGGCAGACACACCAUCAUCACCAACUUAGUCUUCUGUAGGAGUACCAACAAGAUGUCCGUGCAUUGCACGGAACAUCAAGAUGCAUUUUUUACUAUAAAACACGUGUUGUGAUUGACCCAUGCGGGAGUAAUCCCAUGUGUAAAAACUAAUGAUAUGUCGAGAAAUAGGAGAUAAGGUGAAGAGGAAUGGGGCGUGGUGGUGAUUGGUGGUGAGACUGAGCAGAGGCAUGGGGAUAGACGACGCCGGCAGCGGCCACCAGGCCAGUUUGUUCCAAAGGCUUCCUUUUUUAAUUGAUCAACAAUGAGGUUGUUGGAAAUAAGGAUGAACGAGGGAAGGCCUUGUCUGCAAGUGUGGAGAGAGGUGCAGGUAUGUUUUAGUUUAAUUUCCAUCCGUUAGAUAUAGAUCGGACGGUCUAUAUUGUAAGAUGGCACGCGUACCAUCAUCACCAACUCGGUUUUUUAUAAGAGAAGAAAUAUAAGUAUGGAGAUACAAACGUAUUAUCGAUACUUGUUUCCGUAAACUAGGAUCUACAUUCUAUUCAACGCCUCAGCAUGUGGGGCCUUAGCACAAUGACUUCUCGACUGUGUAAAACAAAGGUUUUCCCGUCGCCGAUAAGGAGGGGGUGACGGCGGUGCAUUUUCGGCUUGCUCUAGUCCUAGUAGUCAUACUAGGUGGUCUACGCACGUGUAUAUUUAUUCUUCUUCACGUCUCGUGUUUGCCGUACUGCCACGACUGUUGACGAAUAGACGGUAAGUUAUUCACGGGGAAACCCUUGUUGGGCGUGUUUGUGUGAGAGAGAGAGAGACAGUGUGUGUGUGUGAUAUGUCUAGAGACCGAGGCAAUGAUAAGAGAUUCUUUGUGUCUAUGUGUGUGGAGGAUAGAGCAAGACAUGUACAUGUGGCUUUGUGUUGUGUAACGUGGAGACACAUAGACAUAAUCAGAGAGUGAGUGUGUGAGAUACACAUGCGGACAUGGGGAGAGAUGAGGAUCCAGAUAAAUGGGUGUUUGUGCGUGUCUGGUUGUGUUUGUGUGCGCGUUUGUGUGUGAGAGGGAGUGUGUGUAUGUGGAGUAGAGAGACCACUAAUUAAUGAUGUAAACCUAGUAUAAGGGAAUGGGAAUGGUGUGACAUGUGUGUUAGAGAGAGACAAAGGCAUGUGUAGUAGUGGGAUAGCAUGGGUGGGCGGGGAGCAGACUAUUUGGAAGAGGCAUCGAGUGUGUGUGGGAGAGGGGUGUGAGAGCGAGAGAGAGAGAGCGACGGAGAGAGAUAGGAAGAGAGGGGGGAGAGGGGUCGUUUGUGUCCAUAAAUGGCAUAUAGAUAGGGAGACAAUGUUGAUGUUGUUCGAAAUUGGCCUAUGUACGGAGACGUAAGGGAAGCGAGUCAUCGUGUGUGUGAUAGGGACUUCAUGUGAGAUCUAGAAUAGAUGGUGUAGAGAAAAACGUGCGAGAUUGAGAAUGAUGAUACUAGGGAGCUAUGGAAAUAGUCAUGACAUAUAUGUAUACAGCGAAGGAGCUGGGGCGGGUCCGCAUGUGGGCGAGAUAGAAAGGGGAGAGUGGUGCACAAGGAGACAAAGUGUGCUUGUUUGCAGUGGGGGUGGUGUGUGAGGUGAGUGUGCGAGAACCACAUAACUAGGGGGAUAGACAUUUGGGGGCAACAUUUUGUGUGUAUGGGAAAGAUACACUCUACAUAGUGCUUGUGCUUGGGAAGAGAGAUGCCGGGAGACCUAGAGAGUGGGGGAAGAGAUGUGUGCAUGCUCGAGAGAUAAAGUGAUAGAGACCUAUAUUGGGGUCCCGACUUUAGAAGAGAGGGGGGUGUUAAUGUCCUCGUGUGUUCGUUNNNNNNNNNNNNNNNNNNNNNNNNNNNNNNNNNNNNNNNNNNNNNNNNNNNNNNNNNNNNNNNNNNNNNNNNNNNNNNNNNNNNNNNNNNNNNNNNNNNNNNNNNNNNNNNNNNNNNNNNNNNNNNNNNNNNNNNNNNNNNNNNNNNNNNNNNNNNNNNNNNNNNNNNNNNNNNNNNNNNNNNNNNNNNNNNNNNNNNNNNNNNNNNNNNNNNNNNNUUGAGCGACUUUUGCGUAAUUGAGAUAUAUAUGGUCAAUAGUGUGUGCACUCGUGGUUGAUCAAUUUGUUUUACAGUUUGGACUAUGAGAUAACGAUACUCAUGCGUGAUAUACCUUGAUGUACAAGAAUUACAAACCUAAGAUUGGAAUUUUGGAAUUCGACUCCAUCAUUAGCUUUUGUAAUUCAUUUAAACGGAGGUACAUUUUUUAAGCCGGGAUUUCGUGAUUUCAAAUUCAUAUAUCAAACCUUGAGAUAUACACAUACGGGCAUGUUCAAACUUUAUAAUCAUGCACUUUAUUCAUACACAUGCACAUUUUUGCUUUUGUCAUCAUAUUUAGGAUAAACACAUUUGGAAUUUUAUUUGAAUUGGACCGUAUGAUGGUAUUUGCUUGUACUAGCUCAGUGAUCCAUAUUUGAAUUGAAUGGACAAUCUAUGUUUCGAGUUGGAGACACUGAUUUACAAAACUUGCACUUUUUUGCGUGCAAAACAAAUAAAUUAUCGGCCAUGAUAUCAUAGUCGGCUGUACAAGACCAUAACACUUAUAAUUUCAGGCACCAAAAGCUUUCAAACUUCCCGCUCACAUCGAAAUACCUCGCGCCCGAAAGUUUAGCCUUGCGAAAUUCCUGUUUUACCCCUGCCACAUGAAUGGAAAAGGCCUGCUUUGGUAACUCCAUUGUUUUCCCCUCUUUGCCCCCAACAUUCUUCCCCAGAGCCCCUCCCCUUCCCCUCCCAGACCCCCCCAACCACGACAAGCCGCCGAAUCUAGUCCUCCGCCGCAGCGGUGGACCUCACACCCCGUCGGAUCUACCUUCCGCACCUUGGAACCCCCAACUGCCAACUCACCACUUCACCGGAGCCGCUUCAGCGACUGGAUUGUCCACCGCUCCAGAUCUCCUUGACCGCCAUCAUGGUCCACCGCACCGGAUCUACUUAACCGGCGCCCUCGUUCACCAUAGUGUAGGCCCUUCACUGACUCCCUCGUCCGCCCCAUCGCUGGCCCUUCAUACAAGCCCUCGUCCGCCGCUACAGAUCCGCCUCACCGAAAGCACUGUACACCGCGCCCGCCGAAGCCUUCGUCCACUGCACCGGACCCGCUCCACGGACACCAUAUUCAACUCCACCGGCCUUGCUUUACUGACGCCGCAGCCUCAUCAGGUUAUUUUGAUUUGUACUCCUUAGGUUUUUCUCUUCUUGGUCGUGCAACUGUUCACUUACCACAGAUGAGCUUUCUUGCAUGUCAACGGGCGCCGCAACCAAAGCACCGGAGCCUCUUGAGCGACGGCGACAGCCAGCCCAAACUCAACCGCAACACGAGCACCAUCGACGAUCCUUAGCUAUCAAGUAUGACAACGAUACCCAUACGCCGCCGAGAAUCAGGUACUAUUAUCCAACGGCCGGCGCCUACGUUCACUUUCUUAGCAUAACCAUGGCACCUUUGAAUUUCUGUAGGACAUCAUUCAAUUUUUCAUGAGACACGUUAUUCUGCUUGCACCUGUAGGGCCAUACUUCUAGCAGUGAACAUGUUACAUGUGCUAAAUUACAUACCAGUGCACAUAUAGUUAAUAUGCUUUAGUUUUGUCCUAAGUGUUACUUUACUUCCUAGAUAUCACUCCCUACUAUUUUACUUCUUGGAUGCUAUAUUUAUGUUAAUGGUGUUGUUCUAAUGCCACCUGUUGGUUCCAUCAGACUGCUUCAUGUCCUCUAUGCUUAAUUACACAUCAGCAAACUAGCAUGUGGUUCCGCUGCUUUUUGUUCGUUUUACCCUACAUUUUCUGAUGCUAGCUAUUACAUCACUGCUCCGAGCCUCUGUUCAUUACUUUUUUCUGUGUUCUUGAUCUUCCCAAGUUGCUUGACUAAUUUGAUGCUUCUAUUAAUUAUGGAGCUGCCAACCCCAUCAAGCAAAAUAUUGUUCUUUUGGGGCUGGCACCUCGAACAAGCAUAAAAAUAGAGGGAAGUAGAUAUAUUGUCGUGUAUGCACACCCCCUUCUUCCAUUAGUUUAGAUGAACCAUUGAUGAUUAAUUUGAACCAGUGCAUGCGAUUAAAAUUAAUUUUACCUAAAUAGAGGGUGCAGAUAAACUACAACAACUAGAUUUGCAACCACGGGAUGCUAACGAUAUCUUCAAAGAACAUUGCAACAGCAGCGAGGCUUCACAGCAACAUAUGGUAAGCCAGUGUGUUUUAGUACAUGUGAAAUGUAAUGCGUGUGGGCUGCUUUCUUGGCUUGUGCCCUCAGCCUGUAAUCCUAUAGAAUUACAAAUAGUUCAGUUGUCUGCUUUGCUGUAUUGCUUGAUUAGAAUGCUUGUUUGUUACUUGUUACGCUAUACCUGAGUUGGCCAAUAUGUCAACAGUGCCUGCUGUACUAUCGUAAAGAAAUGCAUGCCUAGUUCAUUUGAGUCCGUAACUUUUCCUCUGAACUUCAUCACAAGACUGUCUUCGUAGUUUAUAUGAUGCCACACUGUUAAGUGCUUUCUCAGAUUAUUUCAACUGCUUAGAUGCCUUGGCAACUUAAAUAUAGUGGUGGUACACUCCCUUUCAACUAGGGAUGUCAACUGGGUCCCAUUUAAUCCCGCUUAAAGUCCACUAGUGGUAUGAUAGUUCAAAAGAGUUUUUGUUUUUUGAGGAAAAUGAACUAGGGAGCUAGCAAAAACUAACUAGAUGGGACUGGCGCGUGUCGUUUAUUUUCCACUUACAUCCCUAGUUUCAUCUUACCAUUUUAAUAUCUUUUCGGCUGAUGCUGCUUCGAACCAUUUAAAUAUAGCUUGCCAUGCUUGGCAAUAAUUCGUAUGUCGUUUACCAUGUAAGCUUACUGCCUGGAUCAUGCGAUAACUAUCUCUUACUUAUGUCCAGCGGAAACCUUUCAGGAUGCCGUUCACACUAGGACAAAAUGUACAACCCCAGAAUCUAUUUGUGGAAGCAGUGGGCCAUCCAUGUUACCACAUGGUAGCAGUUCAGAUGCAACACCGCCCGAGAGCAGUCUAAGCACAGAUAUUAUAGAUCUUGAGGCUCUACUAGAGGCAGAAAGAGAUGGUGUGGCUUCCAUGAAUGAGGUAAUCUCGAUCUUGAAGCUGGAAAUUAUGCAAUUAGCUGCACACAUUAUGCAAGCAACCCAAGAAUUGGAGGAAGUAAGAAUGUUGCAUUUGAAGACGAGGAGGUCCUGCUGCUUCUUCUAUCUGAAGCCCAGGGUAACCCCAGUUCUUCUUUAGAUACCAGUUGAAAUUGUCAUUAGAUCAUUGUACUUGCAUCUUGUGUCAUGUCUCUGAAUGGAUUAUGUUGUAAGACCCCCUAUGUUGUCCAUGAGUUGUAAUGAUCCGAAUUUUUUAGGCGAGGUAAUCCUCAGUACUUGUAUGAUUGACAUAAGGUGAACUGUUUUUCGUGUGAGCAUAUUGUAUUGGAUGAAAUAACUAUUUGACUCAAAGUGUAUCCAACCUACUGAAUUCGAAGAUCACGGCAUUUCUAAAUCAUGAUCAUAUAUAAAGGUGGAAUAAAUCUUUGUUGUGGUUUUCAAGAAAUAAAUAACAAAACAUAGAAUUGUCUGUGGAUAUUCGUAAUCGAAUAAAAAUUGGAUUUCGAUUUAGUUGCCAGGGCCCAGGGCAAAUGUGAAUGCUAAUUCUCCCAAGUUUUGAACGAAGCAGCUAAACACGCACUAUCAUUUGUGGGCUGCCCGAAGCAAGUGUUUGCGAGAUGGAAAUUAUUGUCUACCCCUGACACUUGACAUCCUUAUCGACCGGAUUUACACUGCUGUCGAUAGGGGUAGACUAGUAACUUCAAUCAGACGUGACACGACGGGGGCAUCAAACGUGGGCGGCAAAACACAUUUGAUUCAAGCUCGUCCGAAAGAUACGUGUCUCUCCCUCCAUUUCCCCAUUCAUCCACGGUGGGCGGCAAAACAAACUCUCCUCGUCCGAAAUUGAUGUAGGCUAAUAUUUUAAAUAGGGGCAGAUGUGUAACUUCCCUCAGAUGUGACACAACCGCCCUACCUGUCAGCCCCGUUCAUACACCGUGGGCGCCAACCGUGGGCGGAAAAACACCCUCUCCUCGCCUGAAAUCUUUACCGGCAAAUAUUUGGGAGAUGCGAGAUUACCGCCCUAUCCCCAACCGACGUGAUGUCCGGAAUUUUAAAUGGGGGAUAAAUUUGUAACUUUCCCACAUUUCAGACAAGCGCAUCCCAAAGUUUGACAUCCCCCCUCCCCCUCAAUUUCCCCAUUCAUACACUGUUGGCGCCAUGACAACCUCCCCACUGCGGCCAGCCUCCUCCGUCCGCCACCCCAUCCUCCACCUUGCCGGAGCCGCUACCCCUACCCCGUCGCCCACAGCAAGAGAUGGACGUCUCUCAUCCACGGCCUCGGACCAGGAUCCUUUCAUCACGUUGUCUCGCUUCAUCGGCGUCGUCGUCCACCUUGCCGUUGCUGCUCGUACGACCGCCUCGUCCACGGCAACAGGAUUUAUCCACCGACUCGGCCGUCUGCCGUCUAAAGUCUUCUUCCCCGCCGACGACAGCCAUCGCACCCGCAGCACCCUCAACGUAUCAGCAGGGGCCUACACGGUGUCGCAAGAGAGGUGGUACUCUUCCAUAUGUGCUUAAGUUAUUGUUCUCACCCAGAAAAUAGAUCGUAAAUUGUUUACUGCACUUUUCUUGUCCGUACCAAAUCGUGGUGGCUAGUUGAAAGCAAACAUUGGUUGCGAAGUAGCUUUGUCCGGUUUGCACCUUCAGAUCCGCCAUGGCACGGUCACUAUACUCAUAAUGCUUAUGGUUCCCCCCCUUUAUAUUCACUACCAUCAUCGUAGGUGCUUCACUGCUUCGUGUCGUGCUAGCACUGCUCCUCAAGACCUCAACCCAUCAAGCGAAGCAACAUGCCACUCAUAAUUCCAAAGCUUACGUGUUGAAAUACGAAUCUGAUAUGAUGCUCAUAUUCCUAAAAUAGAGAACGUUUAAUUGUUCAACUAAUGUUCCUAUAUUCGUUCGCAAAGCAUGUGCGCCACCCACUGGUCCACCUAGUUCCACUUUCCUGAUUUUACUCUUGAUGCUUAGGGUUUUCCCCUUUUAUCUACUCUACUAUGAUGUACGUAGGUGCUUUUUGUCGUACUAGCAUUACUCCACCCUUCAAGCUAAACAACACAACACUCAAAAUUCCAAAGCUUAGUUGUUCAAAUAUGAUUGUGACACGAUACUGAUAUUAGUUAACAGACAUAUUUAAUUGGUUAGCUAAAGGUCCCACUUGAGUUUCCAAAUGCAUGUCGCACCAUAUAGAGAGACAGCAGGAUUGCAUUUCUUUGUCACUUCUUGACUGUACUUGCUUGUCCAUACCAAAUCUUAGUUGUUAUUUCAAAGCAAACAUCGGUUGCUAACUACCCUUUGCGCGGUUUGCAGCUUCAGAUCUGCCAUCCCACUGCCAUGGUGAACACUAUACUCAUCAUGCUUAGGUUUCCCCAUUUUAUGAUGACCACGAUCAGCUUACGUGGUUCGUGUCGUAAUAGCACUGCUCCACCCAUCGAGCUAAACAAUCUUAGUUGUACAAAUUCAAAUAUGAUAUUAUGCUAAUAUUAGUAAAACUGACAGAUGUUUAAUUGGCCAGCUAAAUGUUCCUACUUUAGUUUCGAAAUGCAUGUGAGCCACAUAUGGAGAGACCGGAAGGAAUAGUAUUUCUCUGUGAUCUCUGGUUCAUCAUGGGUGGCCAACCGACAUUGUAUAGAAAGACUUGUAAUAUCUUCAAUCUGCUUGCUCUUCUGCUCUUCUUUAAAUGAUCCUCUUCUCUUGCGGUGGACUGGUCAGGUCGAGUUAGUAUAUUUUGAAUCUUUCAGGUCUGGUCGACUUGUUCUUCUUUACUAUAUGUUGAAGCUUUCAUCUGUGAAGUAUCAUCACUUCUUGAGCUCUCAUAUUUUGAAUAGUAUGCCACAUUAGAUUAAUGCACACACCAAAUUACAGCAUGCAUGUCACCUCUUAAAAGAAUUGCAGAGAUAGCACAAAGGGGUUUACAGGGAGGAAGUAUUGGAUUAGAAUCACUUCUGCAUUAGAAAGAUAAUCUCACUUGUUUUUAUGUUUUCAUGCAUGUCAGGUAUUGAACAUUAUCAAAAUGAAUAUGAGAAUAGGCGCACGAGAGGAAUAUUGCGGAAUAAUCCACUGGCUAACAAACUUGGCAUGGUGGAGGAUGGCCUAUCUUAUUCACCCAUCAAGGUGCUUGCUCUAACUUGGCAAGGUUGUAUUGGUCGCACAUAUUUUGCAUCUGACCUCUUGCAUUACUUCUACUUUGUUACACCAUCUGCUUAGUUUAAGCAUGAUAUAUUAGUAUAUGCCAUACCUAUCCAUUUUCUGUACCUAUUCCAUGUGUCGUCAUACUAUGUUUUCUAGUCAAAUGUUGUUCUUUCGGAAUAGAUGUCCAAAAGGAAGAGGGUGAGUGCAGAUCCUCAAGGAGUACAAACUAAGUAUUUGGAAAAGGUAGUGAUACCUGUUAAAUCAAAUAGAUCAGCAGCCACAGAAAACACAGGCCCAACUGUACCACACUUUACCCCUACUCCAGUGGCCAAACCCCUAUUAGAACAGCUGAGAGCCCAGGGUCAGGUACUGUCUAUGAUAUCAGUUCAAAAUUUGAACUCCUAAAUUUCUGCAUUUGCCUUACCUUCUCUCUUGUAUGAUAACUAAUUUCAGAUGAAUCUCCUUGCUCAAAGGAUCAUAGGAUCUCACGACAAUACUGGGUUCUGCAUUACUCUUGUCAGUACCUCUUGCCCUUUGUCAACAUACUUACACUCACUGCUGUUUGAUUAUGUAGCAUCACUGUAAAUGUUCGCUUCUUUAUCCUCCCUUUGCUCAAAAUUACAAGAUCUAUAUUUACUCUUAGAUAAAUGUAGAAUUAACACAAUGGUUAUGAAGUUUUGGAUUGCUCAUGUAAGUAAAUAUUAUCAUGUACUCCCACUUGUAGAAAACGGAGCUUUAUUACCGGUUCGUAAGGGCCUUUAGUACCGGUUCUGCAACCGGCACUAAAGGGUGGAGACUAAAGCCCCCCCUUUAGUACCGGUUUGGCACGAACUGCUAGUAAAGUCCCACCACGUGGCGUGAGCUCGCGCCGUGGUAUGGGGGACCUUUAGUACCGGUUGGUAACACCAACCGGUACUAAAGGUUUUUUUUUUUGAAUUUUUUUAUGAAAAUUUUGGAAAAAAAAUUGAUUUUUUUUUCCAGUUUCUGAAUUAUUUGAUGAUUUAGUCUCCAAUCACCCCUCUUAACUGCUCAAGUAUGGAUCACUGAUUCCAAAUCGUCUAACUUCCCCGCCGGUCACCCAUCCUCUCACUACCCCAGCCUGAGCAUGCUUAACUUCAGAGUUCUAUUCCCCCUACUUUCCAAGUCUGCACUUGUUGUUUUCCUGACAAAUAUAAGCCGUCAAUCCUAUUAACCCUCAGGAGUUUAGCUUGAGCAUUAGGUCACACAUUUCACCGUUUGAGUUUGAAACUAUUAUUCUAAAAACAGUAAUUAUUUAGUAACACUAAUAUUUCUUGAAUAAGUAGUUUGACCAUAGUUUGACCAGAUUUGACCAAAAUUCAAAAAACUGAAGUAAUUAUUUGGUAACACUAAUAUUCUUGAAUAAUUAUUUAGUAACACUAAUAUUUCUUGAAUAAGUAGUUUGACCACAGUUUGACCAAAAUUAAAAAAAACUGUAAUUUGAGCAUAUCUUUUUUUCCUUUUAGAAUUUGAGGAUUCUAAAAAUUUGCAAACUGGUCGUAGGCCGUCAAAGUCGGAUGCGGAUUUUCAUGCUGAACAUUUGAUAUAUUAUAUGUUUUUUUCCGACAUCGUAUGCAAAAGUUAUAGCCGUUUUACAUUUUCCCUACACUUUUUGCAAAACAUGUCCAAAUUUAAGUUUUUAAAUUUUCCUAACUAGUAGAUGUACUAAUAUAAUUACCUCUCGAAGGAUUUUAUACUUUGAAGUUUUUAUGAUUUUCUUUUUUUUCAAAACUAAAAUGGCGAUACAUGGGGGGGGGGUAGAGUUUGAAAAUUUCCCUAUAGUGCCGGUUUGUGUCUCCAACCGGGACUAUAGGUUAAGACUCUGUAGUGCCGGUUGGUGACACAAACCGGUACUAUAGGUUAGACCUUUAGUACCGGUUUGUGUCACAAACCGGCACUAAAGGGGCUCGUGGGGCCCUGGCCUGACGCCAGCCUGCCACCACCCCUUUAGUACCGGUUCGUGGCACCAACCGGUACUAAAGGUUCAACACGAACCGGCACUAAUGCAUAGCCGUUCGAACCGGCACUAAUGGUCACAUUAAUUAGUGCCGGCUCAAAUAGAAACCGGGACUAAUGAGUUGAACAUUUGACCCUUUUUCUACUAGUGUCCCUAUGUAUCGUAUUAAUUGUUGAUCAAUUGGAUGUAUUUAGAACUUAAUAGUGCUAGAUACAUCCAUUUGAGCGACAAGUAAUAACGGACGGUGGUGGUAUUAUUGUACUUGCAUCGCGAGAUAGUUGAUUUUCUAGCAUUACUCUGCAUCUUAUCUGCCCUGCCCUCCACUUUCUCCAAAUUAUCAUAUCUACAUUUACUCUUACCAAAAUGUUGAAUAAAGCCAAUGCCACUGCACACGUUGAUGUCUGCAUUCCUCUUGUUAGUACCUUUUGCCUUGUAAUGCUGUACUUAAUUAAUUGCUAUUUGAUUAUGUAUCAUCAGUCUACACCUGAGCUUCAUUAUCCUCUGUUUCUUCCAAUAUUAUUUGAUCUAUAUUUAAUCUUUGCAAAAUGUAGAAUAAUGGCAACGCUUAUAAAGAAUUUUCUUUGGGGAAUUUAUUGAAUUAUCCUUCCAUCAACAUGGAGAAGGGCUUUGUCCAGCCCGUGUUAACAUGUAAUGUAAGUUCAUCCUUCUCAAGCCUUCAAACUUUGUUCUAGUAUAGAUUUCGAUAGGCAUCAUUUCCUCCACUGCUGUUUAUUUUGCUGUUUACAUCUAAUUGGAUGUUUGCAACAACUACCAGUUUUAAAUUGUAGUUGUAAAAACAUGUUCCUUAUGCAGAACAUAUCCAUUUAUUUGCUUAUAUAAUUUUGAAACCUGUUACGUGUCUCCUUGUUUCUCUUUCAGAGUCGUAUCUCUUAUGCCUGGCAGAACUUUAGGGAAGAUAGUGAGCCAAACCAUCUUGAGGACAACAAGAUGACCCCAAGGUCCUGUCUUGAUGAAGACAGUGAGUUGAAGCUACUCACCAGCAGGUGUGAGACAACCUCUGUGCAGUCGCUGCCUCAAUCAGUUCGACUUCUUCAGUCUCAACUUAAACCGGAAAGGCUUGCUUUAGCUCAGCUCCGACUUGAAGUCAAAGAUCUAAUGAGGAUGUCAGGGGACUGCCGUGCACACUAUGGUGCUGUACAGCUAGGGAUGAAGCAUCUAUCGUUGACACAACUGAGGUCUCAUCAGCUUGUCCGGCUGCUUGUGGGGCCCGACCUUGCUAGGCCUAGUGCCUUCUGAAGUGCUCUCAGUUUUGUAUAUUUUUUGUCGGCGCGUUUAUAUGCACUGGUGGCGACCUUUGAUGCCCAGUGUAUGUAAUCCGCAGUCAAGUUGCGCUUUAUUAUCAUCAGUAGCGAACUUUGAUUCCAAGUGGAUGUAAUACGCUGUAAUUUCUUUAUUGUAUAGUCUAGGUUCAUUCUUUGGUCGGUAUGCUGUAAUUUAGGCCGGAAGGUUCAGUGGAUUUCAGCGUUGUCGGUCUUCAGGCCGGCCCGUUACUCAUAUGGGCCAAAACUUGCGCCUAUAAUCAUCUUGGGUCAUUAGCAGGUCUAAACCUAUAGUAGUUUCCCGCCUUUAACAGGCCGAGUAAAGUCCUGGCCAGGUGGGUCAGAGAAUACCAUGGGCUUUUAACAUGCUAAAACCUAGAUUGGGCUAGUGUUGAGCCAAAAAAUUCAUGGGCCAAUACAGGCCGAAACUUCCUAAGGCCCAUGUUGGGCCCAAAUAGGACGAGCAGUUAACAGGCCAAAAUAUAUCUCGUGCCUCUUUGGCCCAAUAAAAUUAUGGGCUUUAAGCAGGCUGGUAUCCACGCGGGCCAUAGGCCCAAAAGUGUCAUGAGCCAUUAUCAGAUGGGCUGUAAGCAGGCCGGAUUCAACGCGGGCUGUAAUUAGGCCAAACUGUUACACGGGCCACUAACAGGCCGAUAGGCCAGUUGGGCUGAAAUUUAUCCACGAAUACUACGGGCCAUUAAGAGGCCUAAAGUUACUUCGGACAAGAAAUAGCCCAGUUUCUGCGUGGGCCGUUAAAUAGCCUAAAGUUAAACCGGGCUGACAACAUCCUAGAUACUCCAUGGGCCGCUAACAGGCCGAAAUUAUUAUCGGGCCAAACUGGUAAACGGGAAUUUAACAGGCUGAAAUACAAACCUGUCUUAGAAUGGGCCCAAAGGUACAGUGGCCUAUUAACGGGCUUGAUCCGAUAUGGGCCGUAAUUUGGCCCAAAACACGGCAGGCUGUGAACGGGCCUGAUCUGCUAUGGGCCUCUAUUUGACCCAAAACAUGGCAGGCUGUUAACGGACCAGCCCACUACUGUCUGAAAAAACAUGGUGGGCCUUUAGCUAGGCCGGCCUUUUUACUAGAAUGGGCCUCUAUUGGGCCGUGCCACGUGUCGACGUAUCAUAGGCGCCUCCUGUCCAAUGAGUGGAUGACAUCUGUCCCAACGCGGAGCCAACACGUGGUUCCGUCGGCCAAUGAGAAUUUUACACAUGGAAAAUCCCCAUUGGUCCGUGCUGUUAACGGGUUAUCGGAUCCAAAACCGGACCCGAUAGCUUAACGGCGAGCCGUUACGGUCGAUGCCAUGUGUCGGUCACCCUUGACGAAAGCACUUCUAUGACACGUGAUUUAUCGUCAUGGAAGUGGACACUUCCGUGAUGAUAAUUUUGGUAAUGUCAUGGAACACUUCUACGACAGCACAUGUAUGACUAUCUUGAUUUUGUCAUAAAUUUGUCAUGGAUGUACAUGCAUGACAUAAAACGUGACCUACUAUGACAAACACAUAUCAUCACGGAAGUAUAUUUUUUUGUAGUGGAAGCUGUGCUAGGAUAUUUAUUGCUACAACCAGCUAAAGAAUGUGUGGUCCUCGGUCUAGGAAAUUUAACGGAAGCAAUUGCUAUUGGUUUUUUGUAUUUAUGGUGGGAGGGGAGAAAGUUAGUGCACAGUGAAACCAAAGUUCAUAGCAAUGGCAAUCAGAUAUUCGGUUGCUAACUAUAACAUGGCGAGUGAUGCAAAGGCGACCAUCAAGCGACAUGGCUGGGAAAGACCAAGGAGCAACUAUGUGCAGCUAAACGUGGAUGGGGCUUUUGGCCCAAACUUACUCAAGGGGUCGUAUGAAACUAUCAUCAGAUACUCGAAUGGCAGAUUCGUUGUGGCACGAAACAGGGAACUCGAUUGGUGUGGAGAUGCUCUUAUGACCGAGGCACUUACCUUACAGUUUGGUCUCAAUUUGACAACUACAGUCAGGUGUAACUGCAUAGAGGUGAACUCUAACAACAUCGAGGAGAUAGAAAUAAUGAAGAAUGGAGGUCGUCCCACUUUUGGUUUGUCAGCGGCAGUUUUUGAUGAUAUAUAUCACCUUGUGUGUGAUUUCCUGCAUAUUAUUUUUGGGCAUGCUCCUAGAAAGACUAAAUGUGCUGCCCAUGAUUUAGCUAAACUAGCUAGAAAUAAGGUGUGUGGGGGUGGAUGGAAGAUCCACCCAUAGAAAUUGUUGAUACUCUUGUAAAAGAUAAUACAGUCAUCAUCUUGCAAUAAAGAGUAUUUUGAUGUCAAAAAAAGUUUCAAUUGAGAUUCCCAGGUGUGUGCGAAGUUUCUUAAACAACAGGGUAUUGCAACUGCAAAGGAGCACGGGGGAGGGCUAGCCUAAUUUGGGGUGGCAUCGCCACCGGUGCAAUGGAGGUGGAGGUGCUGAUUCAAAUGAUGAUUCAUCAAAGCAGAUAUGCAAGGACAGAUAACUCACGACCGAGCCGACUUGGAUCUCCACCAUGGUGGCGAUGAAGAAGAACAUUGUAGUGUCUUCAAAUAGUGGGGCUCCUUCCUAGUGGCGGAUCUAGGACCUAGGCCCCCAGGGCUUGGCCCGGGGCAUGAGACCCAAAUCCUUUGUAUUCUAUUGCAACCCCUACUCCUGCUACCCCAACCAAUUGACUACAUGAAAAAGUUUUCCAAAAAUUAAAAAAACAUUUGUCGUUCAUCUUUUCUUAUUCAUUCGGUCUCAUCGGCUUCAGCAUUUAGGUCAAUCCUGGGCUUCUUCCCGCCGUUGUGGGCGGCGGGCGUACUGGGGAGUGGCGGCACCUUUGGUCCGCACCGCGGGCACCAGGGUUCAACCUCGGCGAUGAGCUCAUGCGUGAAGCAGAACGGGCACACGCACGUGCGGAUGGUCGGGUUUGCAGCCGAUGGCGUUGUGCUUGAAGGCAGCGAGCGGCUACGCUUUCCCAGGGAGGAGGGCGAGGAUGAGGUGGACGCCAACAAGGAGGACGACAUAUCCGGUGAGGUGGUGGAACGCGCGGUGGCGGCGCGCUCUAGUGCUUCGCGGACCAUGUUGAGUGUGUAGAACGCGGAGGUGGUGGUGACGACAUCGGCGGUGGAUGCCGUGGGAGGCAGGUUGAGGUCCUGGUGGCCGUCUCGGGUGGCCUGCUGGCGAUGAGGAGUCAAGAACGUCUUGUCAGACCGCACAAAAACAAGAAAUUUUCACCUGGUUAAGAAUUUGUAUGGUGAACAUGAAGAACAAACAACUCUGUAAUUAGAGCUCAGCAGAACCAAAUUUUGAUUAUCAUGCCGUCAAAUCAAUCAAAGGAGAUGGGUUUGAUCUCUGGACAUAGUUACCUGCAAAUUAUAUAAUUCUUUGGAAUUUCAUCUCGGACCGAAACCACAUGAGCGUGAAUUUAUUAAGAACCAAACAUGUGUGCAUGUGGGUGUAACAAAGCACAUGAAGAUACAAAACUAAAGGUUGGAAGAACAGAGGAGCAAAUCUAAAUAGUAAUAGGAGGGAGACUCACUGGCAAGUCGAGCCGUCUCUCCCAGCCGGUAGGCAGCUUUACCUCUAGCUCGACGACCUCUUCCUCCGAUGGCUUCUCGGCGCCGCCCCUACCCAUUCCUGCCUUCCCUCGGAGCAUCCCAACGGUGGAACUUACCUCGUCUGCCGUUCUCCUCUUCCCUUUUCCGGCGGUCCUCUGCUCUGCUUCCCCCUUUUUGUGUUUGUCUUUCUGCUGAGAGAGAGAGAGAGAGGGAGAGAAGAAAUCGGUGGGGUGUUUGGCAAUUGUGUGGUGGGGCGCCCCUAUAUAUACCAGGAGGUCGCCGACAUGAUGGACAUGCGGAGCCAAUGCGCCAGGGAGUGGAGGGGCAGCGAGAGCUAUGAAAGAUCAUCUUUUGGUGGACAUUAAAGAUCAUAUUAAUCUACAUCAUUGGGAAAGAGUUGGGCCAUUAUUCAAUGCCAAUUAAAUGCUCCAAACAAAUUCAGAAAUAUGAAAAAUAUGACCUUAGAUUUGUAAGCAUGACCAAAUGAAAUUUUUGUGAUACAUUAUAUUUUGGAAAUUGUCUUCCUCGUGACAACAUAAUUUUUCUGAUUUUUCAUUUUCUUUCUAAAGAAAAUUUCCAUCUUCACAAGAACAUAGUUUUCCAUUAAAAAACCUUCGUUUUGCCAUGCUUAGAAAUCUAAAAUUUGCUAGUUUGAAUUCAUUACAUUUAAAGUAGUCAUUUCCUCAUCCGCAUUACAUGAAUGACCUGGAUUUAAACCAGAGAAGAAGAACCAUUAAGCCGCCGCUGAAAUAUCAUGCUCGAUUUGAGUGCAUUGAUCGAUUCCAUUUACUUCGUCCAUCCAUAUUUUAGUAGAAAAAGAUACAACCACUAAAUUCAUUACCAUAUUCGGUUGUAUCCGUCGAUCUAUAUUUUAGUUCACAAUUGAGCAUUGGCGCAUGGUAUAAUUCGUAUAGAAUUAGUGAAAAGAUUUUUUGGAGGAAAUUAAUAGAAAUAUUUAUUUUGGCUUAAAUCGCAACGAUUAAUGCCUAAUUGAUUCUGGAUUACUAUAUGAUCUGGUGCAAAAUAAACUUUGGCUUUUUUGUGGUUGAAAAAAAGUUGAAUUAUUUGACCCUUACGGACAUCAUCAUUUUAUUGAAUACUAGAGAUAAAACCUCAUGUGUUGUUGCAGGAAUGGAUGCAGUUUUUUCAAGCACAUUUGGUAGUAUAAAAAUUUAGUAUUUGUAUUUACUAGUGUAGAGACCUGCUAUAUGUGGCACACCAGCUCAGAGAAACUGGAACACGCCGUAUUCCAGCGCAGAGAUCGAGGUGAAGUCUUCUGAAAUACGACACUGCUUAGCAUAGAACAAACCAGCUCUCUAUUACAACACGAAUACGAAUACAAGGUCUCCGAUAUUACAAUGAAUAACAUCGGCACGGCGACACUACGCCAACCACAGUUGCUCUAUGCAAGCAGCAUAACAACUCGAGGCAGCGGAACCUCUACUGGCAGCGGAACAAUGAACGACGACGAUGGAAUCCAAUCCGCAGGGACUCUGGCUAGAACAUUUAUCCUAGCUCGCGAGCACAGGAACCACACCAAACAAGCAAGCAAUCCAGGAAGGACCUGCAAACUGGCAUGACACGCCAGGUCAGUACAUUGAAUGUACUUGCAAGCUCACAAUAACCAAAAGUAGUCAAGACAAACAACAGCAUGGCAUUUACAGGUUAACAAGGAUUAACAUGGUACUAUCAGACCAAUCAUAGGAUGCACAUGAUACAGCUACAACCAUACGAGCAUGGCAUGAACAUGUGAACAUGAUGAUACUAGCAUGCAAUCUGAUGACACUAUCAUGCACCAACUUACUCUGCUCGGGUUACCUCGUGACCAUCACAUGCACCAGCUUACCAUCACGGACAUCACACGAUCAUCUCAGGAUCCAAUCAAGCUUGGUAUUACAAUACCGUAGUAAUCAUUACAUGACCACAAGGAUCUUGUGACACCCCCGAUUCAAUCGUACACUAAUCAUACACACGUACGAUCAAGAUCAGGGACUCACGGGAAGAUAUCACAACACAACUCUAGACACAAAUUAAAAUAAUACAAGCUUUAUAUUACAAGCCAGGGGCCUCGAGGGCUCGAAUACAUAAGCUCGAAAACACAAGAGUCAGUGGAAGCAACAAUAUCUGAGUACAGACAAAAGUUAGACAAGUUUGCCUUAAGAAGGCAAGCACAAAAGAAUCUAUGAUCAAAAAGGCAAGGCCUACUGCCUGGGAGCCUCCUAACUACUCCUGGUCAUCGGCGGUCUCCACGUACUAGUAGGCAUCGACGGUGGCAUCUGGCUCCUGGGCUCCGACAUCUCGUUGCAUCAACCGGAAAGAAGAAGAAAGGGGGAAAAGGGCGAGCAAAACAACCGUGAGUACUCAACCAAAGUACUCGCAAGCAAGGAUCUACACUACAUAUGCAUCGGUAUCAAUGAAAUAUGCUGUAUCUGUGGACUGGGCUGCAGACUGCCAGAAGAGAAGGGGAAACCCUAGCCUAUCGAAGACUAGCAUCUUCAAGCAGCUCCAAGCAUCUUGCAGUAUUCAGAAGAGUACAGAAUAGCAUAAAGUAAAGUAAUAGUAGUGUUAUCAACCUCGGCCAGAGAUCCUUUCUCGACUCCAUGCGAGAAAGCAAUCCCAGAGCCAUACUAUCCAGUUAUCACCUCAAGUAUACAGUUCUAGUUGUAUCAAUCGGGAUACAACCCCAAGUGUCCGUUACCAUAGGACAGGCUAUCGAUAGAUGUUUUCUCCCCUGCAGGGGUGCACCAACUUACCCAUCACGCUUGAUUAACUCUGGCCGGACACACUUUCCAGGGUCAUGCCCGGCCUCGGCCAAACAGUACGCCGCAACCCGACCUAGGCUUAAUAGAGAGGUCAGCACGCCGGACUAAACCUAUGCCCCCAGGGGUCAUGGGCCAUCGCCCCGGGAACUCCUGCACGUUGUGAGGGCGGCCGGUGAGCAGACCUAGCUACCUCUUUAAAAAGGCAGGUGCUUACCAGUCCAACCCAGCGCGCACCGCUCAGUCGCUGACGUCUAUUAAGCUUCGGCUGAUGCAUACGACGUAGAACACCCAUACUAUGCCCACGUGAUGGCUAGUGCUAUCAGGCCAGAGGCCCCUCGGAUCAAAUAUCCAAACCGUUAGUGUGUUAGUAGUGCGGUCACGAGCAGAGACUCAAGAAAGAUGUGACCCCGUCACCCCGUCUCGAGGACUUGCGGCAAGGGCUAAGAAUGCCCGACCACGCCUCAUAUUCAACUCUCGGGUACCCUCCAGGUUAACCCGUCUCCACAUCACUCGCGGGUACCCCUCAGGGUCGACCCGCCUUUCCAAGUAACAGUUGUAAAGUCCAACUAUCCGUGUGUCCAAACAUCAAGGGGAAAUCCCGAGGAAUCACCCCCGGUGAAUUCCACUCGAUGUAAUCAUCAAGGUGAACGUAAGAGGAACCACCCUCGAGGUUCACACUUGAGGGGUUGCAUGACAGAGUCGUAUCGGAAGUGGUUAAGGAGGAAAUCACCCUCGAUGACCACGACCGAAUAGCUACACUUCAGAGAUCUCGUCAGGAGUGAUGUAUGAGGUUCCACCCUCGGCACUCGAUGGUCACUCUUUAGAGUCGAGCUACAAAAGGGGCGUGAUGUGAUGUGAGGCUUCGGGCUCUGGUCGUCGAUCACAUUGAUCGAGUCGUCGAUGAUGAAGCAGGGGCAACAAGGACCAAGUGGGGGUCACUGAUGAAUCACUAACCAACCUAUACUAAGCAGUUUAGGAUAAGUAGGUAAGGUACAAUGAGCAGGUUACAAAAGCAGGCUAUGCAUCAGAAUAGGAGCAAACAAUAAUAAUAGCAAAAUCUAAUGCAAGCAUGAGAGAAUGGAAUGGGCGAUAUCGGGAUGAUCAAAAGGGGGGCUUGCCUGGAAGCUCUGCUAAAAAGGAAGAAGUGUCUUCGUCGACAUAGUCGAUCACAGGGGCAGCAUCGGCGUCAGUCUCAAAGUCUACCGGAGAGAAGAGGGGGAAGAAACAGUAAAUACAGAGCAAACGGAUGCAUGACAUGGCAAUAAGCAGAGCUAAGGGUGUUCUAACGUAGUACUACACGUUGCAGACGGAGAGGGAAAACAUCCGAAGAGGUUUUCCGGUGUUUGGCGUUUUCCGGACAGAGGAAAAGAGGGGUAAAGUUCCAUGUUCAGCAUGCUAGGGGCAUGUGACAGAUGAAUGGACCGCGUAUUCCGAUUAGUUGGAUUUUUCUCAGCAACUUUCAUGUACAAAGUAUUUUCAUCCGAGUUACUGAAUAUUUUAUAUUAAUUUUCAAACUUUAUAAUAUUUUCUGAGUUAUUUCAAUUCGAAAAUUAAAUAUCUAAUUACUUUUGUCACAUGGGGCUGUGCUAACCAGCGUGUAUUACGGGUGGGACCAUGGGUUGGGUUGACCGAGUCAACUUGACCAGUCAAUAGAAUGUGUGGCCCACAUGUCAUUGCCACAUGCAUUACUAAACCAUCUAACUAAUUUAAUCAAGGGAGGUCCCACAUGCCAUUGAAUACUAGCUAUACCUAACGGAAACACUAACGCCCACACGUGUGGGCGUUUACAUCUCACCCACACACAUGGAUCCGCGUCCGUUUGUGGGUGCACGAAUCUUGGCAUGUUUGUGGUGCCACGUAGGACUGGGCUGUUGUGUGGGCAUUCACCCGGUCGCCCACACAUCCGUUUCACCACACGGAGGGGCCGGUGUGUGGGCGUUUAGCAGUUCGCCCACACACCAGUUUUCACGCACGCACAAGGGCUGGUGUGUGGGCAUUUGCCAUCUCGCCCACACGCCCGUCUCCUCUCCCACACCCAAGCUGCCAGUUGCCAUGCGUUUUGCAAUGUACAUGGCAGCUGCCCUAGUGUGCUUUAAACAAAUGGCAACUCUCUUUUUUACCCGAACAUGUCAGUUGCCAUAUGUUUUGCAGGGUACAUGACAACUGCCCUAGUGUGCUUGUAAGCAGAUGGAAACUCUCUCUUUUACCCGAACAUGUUGUUUUGCCAUGUCUCUUUGUAGCGCUACACGGCAACUGCCUAGUGUUAGUAGGUGGCAACUCCUAAGGUUUUUAAAUCAUGGCAACUGUAGUAAACCAGACCAUACAUGGCAACUGCUUACUAUUAGUAGGUGGCAAUAUCUAAAGUUUUCGAAUCAUGGCAACUAUAGUAAACCAUACCAUACAUGGCAACAGCUGCGGUUGUCCAAAAUGGCAUCUGGCACUUGACCUGAGAUGGCAACUGCAGUUGAGCAACCAUGGCAACUGUAGUUGUCCGACAUGGCAACUCUUGUUCAGCAACAUGGCAACUGCAUGUAAAGUGACAUUGAAAAGGGUCCGGACCAUGGCAAUUGCGGGGACGCGUGGUAACUUUCACGCUGGGCGUGCGGGACCGUGAGGUAGGUGGCUGAGAGAGGUUGUGUGGGCGUUAUGCAUUUUGCCCACACGUAGGCGCAUGAGAGGGACCGCAAGGGAAAAAAGAGGUGUCCGGGCGCUAGUUGUUUUGCCCACACGUAGGCGUGUGGGCUGGUCUUCUUAGGCACCACACAAAACGUGUGGGAAAACCCCUUAACGCCCACACGUGUGGCAGUUAUCGUCGUCCAUACCUAAUUACUAAUCAGCCAAAAAUAAACUACAGUAAGUGGGCUGGCCUCAUACAGAGAGCCAGCCGGACAUGCACAAAGGCAAAGGCCAUGGCCAUGCACAUCUUAAACACCACCAGCAGCAGCUAUGGCAGCAGGAGCAGUGGCAUGUAGUAUUGCAGCGCUGUAGGCAGCAGUGGGUAGCGGCAGCAGCAGGUAGCAAGGAGCAGCAGCUCCGGCAGCAAGGAGCAGCAGCCAGGGACGGGAGCAGCAGCAGCGCCGGAAGCAGAGCAACGGCAAGGAGAAGGCAGCUGCAGCAGGCGCAGAGGCGCGGCCAUGGGCGACUGGGCGCGCACCGGCAGCAGCCCGCAGCGGCAGCGGACGUGGGUGCGGGUCUAGGGCGGGCCCGUCCAGAGGACACGGGCGAGCGGGCGCAGGGCGAGGUCCGGCAAUGGCGACCACAAGGUCACGACCGCAGCUGGGUUUCCAUUACAGCACGCAAACGAGCGGGUUACUUGGAGCAUCGGCUUCGUGAAGCCCUCUAGAGCACGGUAGCAGCAGCAGCUCAACGCAGGGUGGGUUAUAGUGGCAACGGCGAGCAUGGCGGCGGUGCAGAUAUGCGGCCGGCGAAAACUACAACUACAACAUCGAGAUAGCAUGAAAAAGAGAGGGGGAAGACGCGGAGCUCACCAAAGGAGCUCAAGGAGGCUCUUCGAGGAGUUUAGUUGCUGCAGAGGCGUCAAUUCUGGUGAUGGUGUCGCGGUGACUGAAGGUGGAAAACGGCGUCGAUCCGGUCGAUGCGGUGCCCCCGGGCUUUAUCUCAUCAACGAGGAAGACGAAGAAGACGAUGGCGGAGCUGUUGGACACCUUGGCGGGGCGCGGGGACGAUGGUGGCUUCGGGAUCGAUGAGGGCUCGACGUCGACUACGCUCGGUGUGUAUGUGGGAGAUAGAAGCGGCGCGAGGAAGGGGGGGAGUUGGGUAGGGUUUUCGGGGGAGUGCAGGGCGAUGCUCUUAACCUCCAAGGAGGGCCGCGGGAUGCCCGACGCUAUGCUGGGCUAGGCAGUAGCUAGUGGGCUCACGUGCACAGUAGUAGAUAGGCCUUUUCCUUUUUAUAUUAAAUGAUUUUCUGUUUUUCUUUUACAGAAUCUGUUUGCAGCAUUUUGAGUUGCCAAUUGGUCUUUGUAAAAUGGGGAACUUGGCCAAAUAAAUACAUUACAAUAUAUGCCACUGCCACAAAAAGUUUGGGAGGGGUUUGAAUUGAUUUGGAUUUUUCACAACUGGGAAAGCAUUUAAAAUGUUGAUUCGGAACUGCUUUAAUUUCUAGGGGAAAUUAAAUAUCUCAAAUGAUGUUGAAUCAUUCAUGACAUUUAGUUAGUGAAUAUUUGCAACCCAGCGAACAUUUUUGUUUUACUGCUUGGAGAAAUUAUUUAUUUGGCGUUAUUUUCAAUUUGAAUUUGACUUUGAAUCUAUCGAGGAGCAGUUUGGCUUAGACAAACUUGAUGACAUGGCACCAUUAGUGGGAUAUUACUGUAGCAUGAUUCUCGGGGUGUUACAAAUCUCCUGCACUACAAGAAAUCUCAUCCCGAGAUUUAAGUGGGGAAGUAAAGAGUAACUUCGGGAGAACUGACCCUUAUAGGGUUGAUUAUCUGGUGAACAAUUCAGGGAAUGUGGCAGAAGUAUCUCUCGAGUUGAAACUUAAGAAAACAUCGAGAGCAAAAUAUGAAGGUACAAUAGGAAGUUUCAAGCGAAUGGACAAACGAUCGAUACCUGAACAGAGUGUGAGAAGGGGGUUCAGAGCAUCGGCAAUAGAUCAUCUCUCGGAGGGUGGCUCGUGACAACACACAAAGCCAAGAGCAAAUGAUACUUCGGAAUAAAGGAUAUAUAGGAGAGUCAGGUUCCGGUUCUAUGGAACUAUGAUGAGGGCAGAUCAAGAGUAUGGAGAACGGUGUCAUUUUACUGUUCACGACAACAAGGUAUGUCAGAGGUUAGCCUGUCAGUUAUGUCAGUGGCAACAUUGGUACCAAGGGCGAGGGACGAAGAGAACCAUAUUCCUGCUCGUUGAACGAGGCGGACCAAUCGGCAAGGUUCUCGUCCAUCGGUGGUUACCGGAAUGUAAUCAACAAUAGUAACAGGGUCUCACUAACAAGGUUGUGCAUCGGGGUGUUUUAUAAGCAGGGAAUUAUUUCUGCUUAUAUCAUAUAGAUCACAAGAAGGUUAAACAAACCAAUGGAAAGGAAAAUGAAAUUAUCAAAGUAAUCAGACCAAUGGAAAGGAAAAUGUGUUUACACACAAGAAUAGGGAGUAUAUCCUUCCCAAGGGGAAGCGAGGCAGGAUAUACAUGAUAUGACAGCAAGUUCAAAAGCAUUUAGAUAAAGGGGGCGAGGGAAGAAUCAUGAUAUUACUGAUAACCCACAAGUAUAGGGGAUCGCAACAGUUUUUGAUGGUAGAGUAUUCAACACAAAUUUAUUGAUUGGACACAAGGGGAGCCAAAGAAUAUUCUCAAGUAUUAGCAGCUGAGUUGUCAAUUCAACCACACCUGGGUAACUUAAUAUCUGCAGCAAAGUGUUUAGUAGCAAAGUAGUAAGGAAGUAACGGUAACAGUGGCAAAAGUAACAGUAGCAGUAUUGUAGUGAUUGUAACAGUGGCAACGGUAAAGUAACUAAGCAAGGAGCAAUAUGUAAAAAGCUCGUAGGCAUUGGAUCGGUGAUGGAUAACUAUACCGGAUGCGAUUAUUCAUGUAACAGUUAUAACAUAGGGUGACACAGAACUAGCUCCAGUUCAUCAAUGUAAUGUAGGCAUGUAUUCCGAAUAUAGUCAUACGUGCUUAUGGAAAAGAACUUGCAUGACAUGUUUUGUCCUACCCUCCCGUGGCAGCGGGGUCCUAUUGGAAACUAAGGGAUAUUAAGGCCUCCUUUUAAUAGAGUACCGGACAAAAGAAUUAACACUUAGUGAAUACAUGAACUCCUCAAACUACGUUCAUCAACGGGAGUGGUCCCGAUUAUUGUCACUUCGGGGUUGCUGGAUCAUAACACAUAGUAGGUGACUAUAGACUUGCAAGAUAGGAUCAAGAACUCACAUAUAUUCAUGAAAACAUAAUAGGUUCAGAUCUGAAAUCAUGGCACUCGGGCCCUAGGGACAAGCAUUAAGCAUAGCAAAGUCAUAGCAACAUCAAUCUCAAAACAUAGUGGAUAUUAGGGAUCAAACCCAAACAAAACUAACUCGAUUACAUGAUAAAUCUCAUCCAACCCAUACCGUCCAGCAAGCCUAUGAUGGAAUUACUCACGCAGGGCGGUGAGCAUCAUGAAAUUGGUGAUGGAGGAUGGUUGAUGAUGACGAUGGCGACGGAUUCCCCUCUCCGGAUCGGCCCUCCCGAGAGAGAUUAGGGCUUGGCGGCAGCUCCGUAUCGUAAAACGUGAUGAAUCCUUCUCUCUGAUUUUUUUCUCCCCGAACGUGAAUAUAUAGAGUUGGAGUUGAGGUCGGUGGAGCACCAGGGGGCCCAUGAGGCAGGGGGCGCGCCCAGGGGGGUAGGCGCGCCCCCACCCUCGUGGAUAGGGUGUGGGCACCCUGGCCUUGAUUCUUUCGCCAGUAUUUUUUAUUAUUUCCAAAAAUAAUCUCUGUGAAGUCUCAGGUCAUUCCGAGAACUUUUAUUUCUGCACAAAAAUAACACCAUGGCAAUUCUGCUGAAAACAACGUCAGUCCAGGUUAGUUCUAUUCAAAUCAUGCAAGUUAGAGUCCAAAACAAGGGCAAAAGUGUUUGGAAAAGUAGAUACGACGGAGAUGUAUCAAUUACCCAUACAAUGGUGUUUGGAUAAUAGAUCAAGAAACAAUCGACAAUGUGCUUCCAAUGUUCUUGUUGAUAUUCGGAAUACCUCAGUCAUGCUUUGAGGUAGCAUUAACAUGGUGCUCCAAGUAGGGGUUGGAGUUGAAGAUCACAAGAAAUACUCAAGGAACAAUUGCAGGAAUGGCAAGGAGUCCAAGGUAUAACCGAGACAUGAUCAAACAUGUGUUCGAAAGAAGAUAAGGGGGUUGUCGAUCAUAACUCAAAUCAUCGAAGGUCAAUGAUGGUAUUUCUCAUCACGAAUUCGAUUGAUAUGCUGGAAGAGCUCAGAAUGUUGAUGAGCACGACACAAUUGUCGAGAGAUUUCAGGAAGAUGUAAUCGAUCGGCGAUGAUAUCAAGUCAAAGGAAUGAUGAAGCAAAAAGUUAUUGGAACCACGGGUACAACACAAACUCGGAACCAAGCUUGCUAUUCAAGGCAAAAUCAUAUGACGAGGAAGAGCGACGUUAGGUUAGCUCGUCGUCGAAAAUUGUGCUCCGGGAAGAAGGUCCGAGUAGCACAGUUAAAAAUUUAGCACGAUAAUGAUAUAGCCGAUCAGGCUAGGAAUGACUUAAAGGAUUAUUAAACCCGUAAGCAAUGAAAAUUACUUAGAGUUAUUGAAUCAUAGUGCGGAAUCGAUUCACUUAUAGGCAUUCUCGAGUGACUUAUAACUCAGAACCCGAGGAAAUCUGAAAUCGGUGAGAGGCAAUACUAGAUGAAGACUCAUAGGAAGCAACAUAGUUCUUUGUUAUUGUCUAGAUACCAGAGGGUAAUACUCAAAGGAAGAUCAAAAUAGAGGUUGCGGAGAUGCAUUGAUCUGCAGAAGACAAGUGCUUUAACUUGUCCGAGAAAUGGAAUUAAAGGGGAACAAUCAUGGUCAGAACCACGGUCGCAAAGGACCAAACAUAGAUACCAGAUGAACUUCUAAUAAGGGGAUUAUUAUUAUCACAAGAAGCUUCCAUGAUAAGUUCCACAUCGGAUCCAUGGGCAUGAACACAAAGUUCAAGGUCGACUCCCACUUCUUCAAUGCAUAACAUUCCAUUCACUUCUUGCUUUCGAAGAAGUUGUAGUGUUGAAAUUAUGUCUGGCGAAACACCAGAAGAGUAUGACUCGUGAAAACUCUUGGGUUCACAUGGACUAGGGAAGGCAUAGGUUCAACCCAUAGGGGCAUCUUAGGAACCUAUUCCACAAACUUCAAGAGUAAAUAACUCAAGCUCGGAAGUAGAGCAUGGUUAGCAAAAAGCAGGGGAUACAAUUUACCAAAGGCAUUAUGUAUUAGGGGGAGGACUCAAGGAUUUGAGAAUAGGCAAGAACGGUCAGACAUUAAUCCACCAAAGGAUAUGGCGAACCACAAAAAAUCUGAUGUGAGUAUCGAUGCUCAACCAGAACAAGAAAUAGUGCAAAUGCAUUGGAUUAUAGAAAUAUCUGGAUAAUUUCAAAACUUAAAUACAAAGGAAUUAUGAUAUCCAAAUCGGGGGAUCAGAAGCAGAGGCUCUGAUCAAAAGAUAAUUGAGUUGAAUCGACAUAGAUCGACAAUCAAUCAAGGUUUGAUUUGCCGAGAACCAGCUCAUGUUUGAAGUGGCGUCUGAGCCAAAAGGACAAAUUUUAUAAGGAUCAACUGAUGAUUGCGUGCAUUCACACACAUGUUGAAUCAAUUGGAUCAGAAAGUCAGCCACAACGGAUUUCAAUGGACAUUGCUAGACAUAUGGAAUUAACCAUAAUGCAAGCAGGUAGUGAAGAACAAGAGCAAUAAGCUACUGAGGAUUUUGGAAGAUCAAAUAGUAUUUCGACGAAUUUCGUGAAACAAAAGAACAACUAGGGAUGAUCAAAUCCUCGAUAAGUGUGAGGAAUUACUCGUAUGUGUAUUCAUGUGGAAAGGAGAUGCAAGGCAGUAUCUCAAAGUAUUCUUAAAAAGUCGGAGAAUAAUUCGAUGUAUCUUGUAAUAACAAGAACAACUUGGAAUGAUUGUAUGGACAGAAAGUGUAUGUAGUUAUCCAUAGGGGUUUAUCAAUCAUAUGGAAUUGCAACGGCGAAGGGCACAAGGGUUUCGGGGAAACAUCAAAGUGUAUCUUCAAAAUCUUCUGGCGCAGCAAGCGAUCAUCUGGACUGAUGGGGCUCUCCGGGAGAAAGUAUUUCCGAGAACCUAAAGUUAUACUUUAGUAAAAUCAUCUAACCCGAAUAGAAGAGAGAUCAGAAUCCCAGAGUAUAGAUGAGGAAUAAAAGAUUCUAAUACCACCCAAUGGCGACAUGGGCCCGUAGCCACACAGCCAAGUUAGUAACACAGUUUUGGAUGACUAGACUCAACUUCGGCCAAGGAGUUGGAAAGGGGGAUCCUACAGGUAGUCAGCUCUGAUACCAACUUGUGACGCCCCCGAUUCAAUCGUACACUAAUCAUACACGAAAUUGUGUACGAUCAAGAUCAGGGACUCACAGGAAGAUAUCACAACACAACUCUAGACACAAAUUAAAAUAAUACAAGCAUUAUAUUACAAGCCAGGGGCCUCGAGGGCUCGAAUACAUAAGCUCGAAAACACAAGAGUCAGCGGAAGCAACAAUAUCUGAGUACAGACAGAAGUUAGUUAAGUUUGCCUUAAGAAGGCCAGCACAAAAGCAUCUACAAUCGAAAAGGCAAGGCCUCCUGCCUGGGAGCCUCUUAACUACUCCUCGUCGUCGGUGGUAUCCACGUACUAGUAGGCAUCGACGGUGGCAUCUGGCUCCUGUGCUCCGACAUCUGGUUGCAUCAACCGGAAAGAAGAAGAAAGGGGGAAAAGGGGGAGCAAAGCAACCGUGAGUACUCAUCCAAAUUACUCGCAACCAAGGAUCUACACUACAUAUGCAUCGGUAUCAAUAAAAUGGGAUGUAUCUGUGGACUGGACUGCAGAAUGCCAGAAGAGAAGGGGAAAACCUAGCCUAUCGAAGACUAGCAUCUUCAAGCAGCUCCAAGCAUCUUGCAGUAUUCAGAAGAGUACAGAAUAGCAUAAAGUAAAGUAGUAGUAGUAGUAGUAAUAGUAGUAGUAGUAGUAGUAGUACUAGUAGUAGUGUUAUCAACUUCGGCCAGAGAUCCUUUCUCGACUCCCUGCGAGAAAGAUUUCCCAGAGCCAUACUAUCCAGUUAUCACCUCAAGUAUCCAGUUCUAGUUGUAUCGAUCGGGAUACAACUCCAAGUGUCCGUUACUGUAGGACAGGCUAUCGAUAGAUGUUUUCGUCCCUGUAGGGGUGCACCAACUUACCCAUCACGCUUGAUUAACUCCGGGUGGACACACUUUUCCUAGGCCGCUAGCUAGCCAAGAUAGCUCCGUCCAGCUGCUUGUCUGCAAGGUUUGCUAGCUAGAUUGGCACGGCGGCUUGCUCGCGCACGCCGCACUAAGGCCAGCCAUCUGGCUCGAGCGAAGGCCAGUGCGGCGGCUUGCUCGCUCGUGAGUCACGAUCGGGCCAGCCUGCCAAACCGUGCGUAGGCCAGCGCGGCGUCCGGCCCGUCCGGCAGAGCGGCGGCCAACUUGCUCAUCACCGGCGCCACCGACGAACACGCAUCAGUACUGUAUGAAGUAAUGUUCAGGAAAAAUAAUGAUUUGAGGGGGAAUAACAGGAUAGAAGGUCAGAUGUGGGUCCCUCAUGUCAACGGUCAAACAAAAUGUGUUGGUUUAAGAUGCCUCAUCAGCACGGACGUGUGGGCCAACCCUGUCAUAAACGGGUUUAAACGAGCCUAAUCGGCACUAGGUAGUAGUUUUUGGCGCGGAUUAAGAAAUUUUGGGUAUGUUUUUGCUAUUUUUUGUACAAUAGUUUCUUCCUAGGGCUGGUUGAAAGUGGUAGUUUUUUCUUAAAUACUCUACAUAUUGUAAGUAGGAGUGAAAGUUAAGCUUUGGAAGCCAAUAAUUAAGGCUAGUUACAUAGUGCAUAUGUGUACAUGAUUGAAAGUAAAUAUCAACCAUGAGUGACUAAUAUCUUGAUGGAACACUCGAAACUAUGGAAAUACUAGCUUUUUUUUGCAUGGUUGGAAAUACUAGCAAUGUUCACGUGCGUUGCAAUGGAUCAUAAUUAGAAUAAUACUUAUUCACAAACUUGAUACAAAACACUCUAAUUUUGAUAUACAUAUAUCACUAGAGAUAUAUUAUGUUUCAAUCAGAAUAUAUUCCUCGGGCUAUUUUGGUGAGGUGAGGGAGGGAUGUGGUUGGUUUUAAGGUACUAAUUAUGGGUUUUUCUGCAAAUUGGUAGAGAAGUGGGAUGUUGGUGAGAAAAGGCAACAACUUACCUCAAAGUCGUUAGAUGUAGAUCUAAUGGUCAGAAAUGACGCAUGGCAGACACACCAUCAUCACCAACUUAGUCUUCUGUAGGAGUACCAGCAAGAUGUCCGUGCAUUGCACGGAACAUCAAGAUGCAUUUUUUUAUAAAACACUUGUUGUGAUUGACCCAUGCGGGAGUAAUCCCAUGUGUAAAAACUAAUGAUAUCUCUAGAAAUAGGAGAUAAGGUGAAGAGGAGUGGGGCGUGGUGGUGAUUGGUGGUCGGACUAAGCGGAGGCAUGGGGAUGGACGACGCCGACAGCGGCCACCAUGCCAGUUUGUUCCAAAGGCUUCCUUUUUUAAUUUCUCAACAAUGAGGUUGUUGGAGAUAAGGAUGAACGAGGGAAGGCCUUGUCUGCAAGUGUGGAGAGAGGUGCGGGUAUCUUUUAGUUUAAUUUCCAUCCGUCAGAUAUAGAUCGGAUGGUCUAUAUUGUAAGAUGGCACGCGUACCAUCAUCACCAACUCGUUUUUUUAUAAGAGAAGAAAUAUAAGUCUAGAGAUACAAACGUAUUAUCGAUACUUGUUUCUGUAAACUAGGAUCUACAUUCUAUUCAACGCCUCAGCAUGUGGGGCCUUAGCACAAUGACUUCUUGGCUGUGUAAAACAAAGGUUUUCCCAUCGCCGAUAAGGAGGGGGUGACGGCGGCGCAUUGUCGGCUUGCUCUAGUCCUAGUAGUCAUACUAGGUGGUCUACACACGUGUAGAUUUAUUCUUCUUCACGUCUCGUGUUCGCCCUACUGCCACGACUGUUGACAAAUAGAUGGUAAGUUAUUCACGGGGAAACCCUUGUUGGGCGUGUUUGCGAGAGAGAGAGAGAGAGAGAGAGAGAGAGAGUGUGCGUGUGUGAUAUGUCUAGAGACCGAGGCAAUGAUAGGAGAUUCUUAGUGUCUAUGUGUGUGGAGGAUAGAGCGAGACAUGUACAUGGGGCUUUGUGUUGUGUAACGUGGAGACACAUAGACAUAAUCAGAGAGUGAGUGUGUGAGAUACACAUGCGGACAUGGGGAGAGAUGAGGAUCCAGAUAAAUGGGUGUUUGUGCGUGUCUGUGUGUGUUUGUGUGCGCGUUUGUGUGUGAGAGGGAGUGUGUGUAUGUGGAGUAGAGAGACCACUAAUUAAUGAUGUAAACCUAGUAUAAGGGAAGGGGAAUAGUGUGACAUGUGUGUAAGAGAGAGACAAAGGCAUGUGUAGUAGUGGGAUAGCAUGGGUGGGCGGGGAGCAGACUAUUUGGAAGAGACAUCGAGUGUGUGUGGGAGAGGGGUGUGAGAGCGAGAGAGAGAGAGAGCAACGGAGAGAGAGUGAAAGGAAGAGAGGGGGGAGAGGGGUCGUUUGUGUCCACAAAUGGCGUAUAGAUAGGGAGACAAUGUUGAUGUUGUUCGAAAUUGGCCUAUGUACGGAGACGCAAGGGAAGCGAGUCAUCGUGUGUGUGAUAGGGACUUCAUGUGAGAUCUAGAAUAGACGGUGUAGAGAACAACGUGCGAGAUUGAGAAUGAUGAUACUAGGGAGCUAUGGAAAGAGUCACGGCAUAUAUGUAUACAGGGAAGGAGCUGGGGCGGGUCCGCAUGUGGGAGAGAUAGAAAGGGGAGAGUGGUGCACAAGGAGACAAAGUGUGCUUUUUUGUAGUGGGGGUGGUGUGUGAGGUGAGUGUGCGAGAACCACAUAACUAGGGAGAUAGACAUUUGGGGGCAGCGUUUUGUGUUUAUGGGAAAGAUACACUCUACAUAGUGCUUGUGCUUGGGAAAGAGAGAUGCCGGGAGACCUAGAGAGUGGGGGAAGAAAUGUGUGCAUGCUCGAGAGACAAAGUGAUAGAGACCUAUAUUGGGGUCUGGACUUUAGAAGAGAGGGGGUGUUAAUGUGCUCGUGUGUUCAUUUCUGGGGNNNNNNNNNNNNNNNNNNNNNNNNNNNNNNNNNNNNNNNNNNNNNNNNNNNNNNNNNNNNNNNNNNNNNNNNNNNNNNNNNNNNNNNNNNNNNNNNNNNNNNNNNNNNNNNNNNNNNNNNNNNNNNNNNNNNNNNNNNNNNNNNNNNNNNNNNNNNNNNNNNNNNNNNNNNNNNNNNNNNNNNNNNNNNNNNNNNNNNNNNNNNNNNNNNNNNNNNNNNNNNNNNNNNNNNNNNNNNNNNNNNNNNNNNNNNNNAGGUGUCCAUAUUUGAGGGACUUUAGCGUAAUUGAGAUAUAUAUGGUCAAUAGUGUGUGCACUCAUGGUUGAUCAAUUUGUUUCACAGUUUGGACUAUGAGAUAACGAUACUUUUGAACAUGCGUGAUAUACCUUGAUGUACUAGAAUUACAAACCUAAGAUUGGAAUUUUGGAAUUCGACUCCAUCAUUAGCUUUUGUAAUUCAUUUAAACAGAGGUACAUUUUUAAGCCGGGACUUCGUGAUUUCAAAUUCAUAUAUCAAACCUUGAGAUAUACACAUACGGGCAUGUUCAAACUUUAUAAUCAUCCACUUUAUUCAUACACAUGCACAUUUUUGCUUUUGUCAUCAUAUUUAGGAUAAACACAUUUGGAAUUUGAUUUGAAUUGGACCGUAUGAUGGUAUUUGCUUGUACUACCUCAGUGAUCCAUAUUUGAAUUGAAUGGACAAUCUAUGUUUCGAGUUGGAGACAUUGAUUUUCAAAACUUGCACUUUUUUUGCGUGCAAAACAAAUAAAUUCUCGGCCAUGAUAUCAUAGUCGGCCAUACAAGACCAGAGCACCGGAGCACCGGAGCCGCUUGAGCGACGGCGACAGCCAGCCCAAACUCAACCACAACACGAGCACCAUCGAUGAUCCUUAGCUAUCAAGUAUGACAAUGAUACCUAUACGCCGCCGAGAAUCAGGUACUAUUAUCCAAUGGCCGGCGCCUCCGUUCACUUUCUUAGCUUAACCACCGCACCUUUGAAUUUCUUCAGGACAUCAUUCAAUUUUUCAUGAGACGCGUUAUUCUGCUUGCACCUGUAGGGCCAUACUUCUGGCAGUGAACAUGUUACAUGUGCUAAAUUACAUACCAGUGCACAUAUAGUUAAUAUGCUUUAGUUUUGUCCUAAGUAUUACUGUACUUCCUAGAUAUCACUCCCUACUAUUUUACUUCUUGCAUGCUAUAUUUAUGUUAAUGGUGUUGUUCUGAUGCCACAUGUUGGUUCCAUCAGUCUGCUUCAUGUUCUCUAUGCUUAAUUACACAUCAGCAAACUAGCAUCUGGUUCCGCUGCUUUUUGUUCGUUUUACCAUACAUUUUCUGAUGGUAGCUGUUACAUCACUGCUCCGAGCCUCUGUUCAUUAAUUUUUUCUGUGUUCUUGAUCUUCCCAAGUUGCAUGACUAAUUUGAUGCUUCUAUUAAUUAUGGAGCUGCCAACCCCAUCAAGCAAAAUAUUUGUUCUUUUGGGUCUGGCACCUCGAACAAGCAUAAAAAUAGAGGGAAGCAGAUAUAUUGUCGUGUAUGCACACCCCCUUCUUCCAUUAGUUUAGAUGAACCAUUGAUGAUCAAUUUGAACCAGUGCAUGCGAUUAAAAUUAAUUUUACCUAAAUAGAGGGUGCAGAAUAAACUACAACAACUAGAUUUGCAACCACGGGAUGCUAACGAUAUCUUCAAAGAACAUUGCAACAGGAGCGAGGCUUCACACCAACAUAUGGUAAGCCAGUGUGUUUUAGUACAUGUGAAAUGUAAUGCGUGUGGGCUGCUUUCUUGGCUUGUGCCCUCAGCCUGUAAUCCUAAAGAAUUACAAAUAGUUCAGUUGUCUGCUUUGCUGUAUUGCUUGAUUCGAAUGCUUUUUUGUUACUUGUUACGCUAUACCUGAGUUGGCCAAUAUGUCAGCAGUGCCUGCUGUACUAUCGUAAAUAAAUGCAUGCCUAGUUCAUUUGAGUCCGUAACUUUUCCUCUGAACUUCAUCACAAGACUGUCUUCGUAGUUUAUAUGAUGCCACACUGUUAAGUGAUUUCUCAGAUUAUUUCAACUGCUUAGAUGCCUUGGCAACUAAAAUAUAGCGGUGGUACACUCCCUUUCAACUAGGGAUGUCAACUGGGUCCCAUUUAAUCCCGAUUAAUGUCCACUAGUGGUAUGAUAGUUCAAAAGAGUUUUUGUUUUUUGAGGAAAAUGAACUAGGGAGCUAGCAAAAACUAACUAGAUGGGACUGGCGGAUGUCGUUUAUUUGCGACUUACAUCCCUAGUUUCAUCUUACCAUUUUAAUAUCUUUUCGGCUGAUGCUGCUUCGAACCAUUUAAAUAUAGCUUGCCAUGCUCGGCAAUAAUUCGUAUGUCGUUUACCAUGUAAGCUUACUGCCUAGAUCAUGCGAUAACUAUCUCUUACUUAUGUCCAGCGGAAACCUUUCAGGAUGCCGUUCACACUAGGACAAAAUGUACAACCCCAGAAUCUAUUUGUGGAAGCAGUGGGCCAUCCAUGUUACCACAUGGUAGCAGUUCAGAUGCAACACCGCCCGAGAGCAGUGUGAGCACAGAUAUUAUAGAUCUUGAGGCUCUACUAGAGGCAGAAAGAGAUGGUGUGGCUUCCAUGAAUGAGGUAAUCUCGAUCUUGAAGCUGGAAAUUAUGCAAUUAGCUGCACACAUUAUGCAAGCAACCCAAGAAUUGGAGGAAGUAAGAAUGUUGCAUUUGAAGACGAGGAGGUCCUGCUGCUUCUUCUAUCUGAAGCCCAGGGUAAUCCCAGUUCUUCUUUAGAUACCAGUUGAAAUUGUCAUUAGAUUAUUGUACUUGCAUGUUGUGUCAUGUCUCUGAAUGGAUUAUGUUGCAAGACCCCCUAUGUUGUCCAUGAGUUGUAAUGAUCCAAAUUUUUUAGGCGAGGUAAUCCUCAGUACUUGUAUUAUUGACAUAAGGUGAACUGUUUUUCGUGUGAGCAUAUUGUAUUGGAUGAAAUAACUAUUGGACUCAAAGUGUAUCCAACCUACUGAAUUCGAAGAUCACGACAUUUCUAAAUCAUAAUCAUAUAUAAAGGUGGAAUAAAUCUUUCUUGUGGUUUUGAAGAAAUAAAUAACAAAACAUAGAAUUGUCUGUGGAUAUUCGUAAUCGAAUAAAAAUUGGAUUUGGAUUUAGUUGCCAGGGCCCAGGGCAAACGUGAAUGCUAAUUCUCCCAAGUUUUGAACGAAGUGGCUAAACACCCACUAUCACUUGUGGGCUGCCCGAAGCAAGUGUUUGCGAGAUGGAAAUUAGUGUCUACCCCUGACACUUGACAUCCUUAUCGACCGGAUUUACACUGUUGUCGAUAGGGGUAGACUAGUAACUUCAACCAGACGUGACACGAUGGCCUCUGAGCCCACUCAGACACGGGGGCAUCAAACGUGGGCGGCAAAACACAUUUGAUUCAAGCUCGUCCGAAAGACAUGUGUCUCUCCCUCCAUUUCCCCAUUCAUCCACGGUGGGCGGCAAAACAAACUCUCCUCGUCCGAAAUCGAUGUAGGCUAAUAUUUUAAAUAGGGGCAGAUGUGUAACUUCCCUCAGACGUGACACAACCGCCCUACCUGUCAGCCCCGUUCAUACACCGUGGGCGCCAACCGUGGGUGGCAAAACACCCUCUCCUCGCCCGAAAUCAUUACCGGCAAAUAUUUGGGAGAUGCGAGAUUACCGUCCUAUCCCCAACCGACGUGAUGUCUGAAAUUGUAAAUGGGGGAUAAGUUUGUAACUUUCCCACAUUUUAGACAAGCGCAUCCCAAAGUUUGCCCGAUUCAUACACCGUUGGUGCCACAACAACCUCCCCACUGCGGCCAGCCUCCUCCGUCCGCCACCCCAUCCUCCACCUUGCCGGAGCCGCUACCCCUACCCCGUCGUCCACUUCAAGAGAUGGACGUCUCACAUCCACGGCGUCGGACCAGGAUCCUUUCAUCGCGUCGUCUCGCUUCAUCGGCGUCGUCGUCCACCUUGUCGUUGCCACUCGUACGACCGCCUCGUCUACGGCAACAGGAUUUAUCCACCGACCCGGCCGUCUGCCGUCUAAAGUCUUCUUCCCCGCCGACGACAGCCAUCGCACCCGCAGCACCCUCAACGUAUCAACAAGGGCCUACACGGUGUCGCAAGAGAGGAAGUACUCUUCCAUAUGUGCUUAAGUUAUUGUUCUCACCCAGAAAAUAGAUCGUAAAUUGUUUACUGUACUUUUCUUGUCCGUACCAAAUCGUAGUGGCUAGUUGAAAGCAAACAUUGGUUGCGAAGUAGCUUUGUCCGGUUUGCACCUUCAGAUGCGCCAUGGCAUUGUCACUAUACUCGUAAAGCUUAUGGUUUCCCCCCUUUAUAUUCACUACCAUCAUUGUAGGUGCUUCACUGCUUCGUGUCGUGCUAGCACUGCUCCUCAAGACCUCAACCCAUCAAGCGAAGCAACAUGCCACUCAUAAUUCCAAAGCUUACGUGUUGAAAUACGAAUCUGAUAUGAUGGUCAUAUUCCUAAAACAGAGAACGUUUAAUUGGUCACCUAAUGUUCCUAUAUUCGUUCGCAAAGCAUGUGCGCCACCCACUGGUCCAGCUAGUUCCACUUUCCUGAUUUUACUCUUGAUGCUUAGGGUUUUCCCCUUUUAUCUACUCUACUAUGAUCUGCGUAGGUGCUUUUUGUCGUACUAGCAUUACUCCACCCUUCAAGCUAAACAACACAACACUCAAAAUUCCAAAGCUUAGUUGUUCAAAUAUGAUUGUGAUAUGAUACUGAUAUUAGUUAACAGACACAUUUAAUUGGUUAGCUAAAGGUCCCACUUGAGUUUCCAAAUGCAUGUCGUGCCAUAUAGAGAGAUAGCAGAAUUGCAUGUCUUUGUCACUUCUUGACUGUACUUUCUUGUCCAUACCAAAUCUUAGUUGUUAUUUCAAAUCAAACAUCGGUUGCUAACUACCCUUUGCGCUGUUUGCAGCUUCAGAUCUGCCAUCCCACUGCCAUGGUCAGCACUAUACUCAUCAUGCGUAGGUUUCCCCAUUUUAUGAUGACCACGAUCAGCUUACGUGGUUCGUGUCGUAAUAGCACUGCUCCACCCAUCGAGCUAAACAAUGUUAGUUGUACAAAUUCAAAUCUGAAAUUAUGCUGAUAUUAGUAAAACUGACAGAUGUUUAAUUGGCCAGCUAAAUGUUCCUACUUUAGUUUCAAAAUGCAUGUGAGCCACAUAUGGAGAGACCGGAAGGAAUAGUAUUUCUCUGUGCUCUCUGGUUCAUCAUGGGUGGCCAACCGACAUUGUAUAGAAAGACUUGUAAUAUCUUCAAUCCGCUUGCUCUUCUGCUCUUCUAUAAGAUGAUCCUCUUCUCUUGCGGUGGACUGGUCAGGUCGAGUUAUUCUCCCUUAGUAUAUUUUGAAUCUUUUAGGUCAGGUCGACUUGUUCUUCUUUACUAUAUGUUGAAGCUUUCAUCUGUGAAGUAUCAUCAAUUCUUGAGCUCUCAUAUUUUGAGUAGUAUGCCACAUUAUAUUAAUGCACACGCCAAAUUACAGCAUGCAUGGCACCUCUUAGAAGAAUUGCAGAGAUAGCACAAAGGGGUUUACAGGGAGGAAGUAUUGGAUUAGAAUCACUUCUGCAUUACAAAGAUAAUCUCACUUGUUUUUAUGUUUUCAUGCAUGUCAGGUAUUGAACAUUAUCAAAAUGAAUAUGAGAAUGGGCGCACAAGAGGAAUAUUGUGGAACAAUCCACUGGCUAACAAACUUGGCAUGGUGGAGGAUGGCCUAUCUUAUUCACCCAUCAAGGUGCUUGCUCUAACUUGGCAAGGUUGUAUUGGUCGCACAUAUUUUGCAUCUGACCUCUUGCAUUACUUCUACUUUGUUACAAGAUCUUCUUAGUUUAAGCAUGAUAUAUGAGUAUAUGCCAUACCUAUGCAUUUUCUGUACCUAUUCCAUGUGUCGUCAUACUAUGUUUUUCUAGUCAAAUGUUGUUCUUUCGUAAUAGAUGUCCAAAAGGAAGAGGGUGAGUGUAGAUCCUCAAGGAGUACAAACUAGGUAAUUGGAAAAGGUAGUGAUACCUGUUAAAUCAGAUAGAUCAGCAGCCACAGAAAACACAGGCCCAACUGUACCACACUUUACCCCUACUGCAGUGGCCAAACCCCUAUUAGAACAGCUGAGAGCCCAGGGUCAGGUACUGUCUAUGAUAUCAGUUCAAAAUUUGAAAUCCUAAAUUUCUGCAUUUGCCUUACCUUCUCUCUUGUAUGAUAACUAAUUUCAGAUGAAUCUCCUUGCUCAAAGGAUCAUAGGAUCUCACGACAAUACUGGGCUCUGCAUACUCUUGUCAGUACCUCUUGCCCUUUGUCAACAUACUUACACUCACUGCUGUUUGAUUGUGUAGCAUCACUGUAAAUGUUCGCUUCUUUAUCCUCCCUUUGCUCAAAAUUACAAGAUCUAUAUUUACUCUUAGAUAAAUGUAGAAUUAACACAAUGGUUAUGAAGUUUUGGAUUGCUCAUGUAAGUAAAUAUUAUCAUGUACUCCACUAGUAGAAAACGGAGCUUUAUUACCGGUUCGUAAGGGCCUUUAGUACCGGUUCUGCAACCGGCACUAAAGGGUGGAGACUAAAGCCCCCCCUUUAGUACCGGUUCGGCACGAACUUCCACUAAAGGCUCACCACGUGGUGUGAGCUAGCACCGUGGUAUGGGGGACCUUUAGUACCGGUUGGUAACACCAACCGGUACUAAAGGUUUUUUUCUGAAUUUUUUUAUGAAAAUUUCGGAAAAAAUUGAUUUUUUCGAUUUUUUGAAUUAUUUGAUGAUUUAGUCUCUAAUCACCCCUCUUAACUGCUGAAGUAUGGAUCACUGAUUCCAAAUCGUCUAACUUCCCUGCCGGUCACCCAUCCUCUCACUACCCUAGCCUGAGCACGCUUAACUUCAGAGUUCUAUUCCCCCUACUUUCCAAGUCUGCACUUGUUGUUUUCCUGACAAAUGUAAGAUGUCAAUCCUAUUAACCCUCAGGAGUUUAGGUUGAGCAUUAGGUCACACAUUUCACCGAUUGAGUUUGAAACUAUUAUUCUAAAACAGUAAUUAUUUAGUAACACUAAUAUUUCUUGAAUAAGUAGUUUGACCAUAGUUAGACCAGAUUUGACCAAAAUUCAAAAAACUGAAAUAAUUAUUUAGUAACACUAAUAUUCUUGAAUAAUUAUUUAGUAACACUAAUAUUUCUUGAAUAAGUAGUUUGACCACAGUUUGACCAAAAUUCAAAAAAACUGAAAUUUGAGCAUAUCUUUUUUUCCUUUUAGAAUUUGAGGAUUCUAAAAAUUUGCAAACUGGCCGUAGGCCGUCAAAAUCGGAUGCGGAUUUUCGUGAUGAACAUUUUGAUAUAUUAAAUGUUUUUUCCGACAUCGUAUGCAAAAGUUAUAGCCGUUUUACAUUUUCCCUACACUUUUUGCAAAACAUGUCCAAACUUAAGUUUUUAAAAUUUCCUAACUAGUAGAUGUACUAAUAUAACUACCUCUCGAAGGAUUUUAUUCUGUGAAGUUUUUAUCAUUUUCUUUUGUUUUUUGAAAACUAAAAUGGCGAUACACAGGGGGGUAGAGUUUGAAAAUUUCCCUAUAGUGCCGGUUUGUGUCUCCAACCGGGACUAUAGGUUAAGACCUUGUAGUGCCAGUUGGUGACACAAACCGGUACUAUAGGUUAGACCUUUAGUACCGGUUUGUGUCACAAACCGGCACUAAAGGGGCUCGUGGGGCCCCGGCCUGACGCCAGCCUGCCACCACCCCUUUAGUACCGGCUCGUGGCACCAACCGGUACUAAAGGUUCAACACGAACCGGCACUAAUGCAUAGCCGUUCGAACCGGCACUAAUGGUCACAUUAGUGUCGGCUCAAAUACAAACCGGGACUAAUGAGUUGAACAUUUGACCCUUUUUCUACUAGUGUCCCUAUGUAUCGUAUUAAUUAUUGAUCAAUUGGAUGUAUUUAGAACUUAAUAGUGCUAGAUACAUCCAUUUGAGCGACAAGUAAUAACGGACGGCGGAGGUAUUACUGUACUUGCAUCGCGAGAUAGUUGAUUGUCUAGCAUUACUCUGCAUCUUAUCUGCCCUGCCCUCCACUUUCUCCAAAUUAUCAUAUCUACAUUUACUCUUACCAAAAUGUUGAAUAAAGCCAAUGCCACUGCACACGUUGAUGUCUGCAUUCCUCUUGUCAAUACCUUUUGCCUUGUAACGCUGUACCUAAUUAAUUGCUAUUUUAUUAUGUAUCAUCAGUCUACACCUCGGCUUCAUUAUCCUCUGUUCCUUCCAAUAUUAUUUGAUCUAUAUUUAAUCUUUGCAAAAUGUAGAAUAAUGGCAAUGCUUAUAAAGAAUUUUCUUUGGGGAAUUUAUUGAAUUAUCCUUCCAUCAACAUGGAGAAGGGCUUUGUCCAGCCCGUGUUAACAUGUAAUGUAAGUUCAUCCUUCUCAAGCCUUCAAACUUUGUUCUAGUAUAGAUUUGGAUAGGCAUCAUUUCCUCCAUUUUAGUUGUAAAAACAUGUUCCUUAUGCAGAACAGAUCCAUUUAUUUGCUUAUAUAAUUUUGAAACCUGUUACGUGUCUCCUUGUUUCUCUUUCAGAGUUGUAUCUCUUAUGCCAGGCAGAACUUUAGGGAAGAUAGUGAGCCAAACCAUCUUGAGGACAACGAGAUGACCCCAAGGUCCUGUCUUGAUGAAGACAGUGAGUUGAAGCUACUCACCAGCAGGUGUGAGACAACCUCUGUGUAGUCGCUGCCUCAAUCAGUUCGACUUCUUCAGUCUCAACUUAAAGAGGAAAGGCUUGCUUUAGCUCAGCUCCGACUUGAAGUCAAAGAUCUAAUGAGGAUGUCAGGGGACUGCCGUGCACACUAUGGUGCUGUACAGCUAGGGAUGAAGCAUCUAUCGUUGACACAACUGAGGUCUCAUCAGCUUGUCCGGCUGCUUGUGGGGCCCGACCUUGCUAGGCCUAGUGCCUUCUGAAGUGCUCUCAGUUUUGUAUAUUCUUUUGUCGGCACGUUUAUAUGCACUGGUGGCGACCUUUGAUGCCCAGUGUAUGUAAUCCGCAGUCAUGUUGCGCUUUAUUAUCACCAGUAGCGAACUUUGAUUCCAAGUGGAUGUAAUACGCUGUAAUUUCUUUAUUGUAUAGUCUAGGUUUAUUCUUUGGUCGGUAUGCUGUAAUUUAGGCCGGAAGGUUCAGUGGAUUUCAGCGUUGUCGGUCUUCAGGCCGGCCCGUUACUCAUAUGGGCCAAAACUUGCGCCUAUAAUCAUCUUGGGCCAUUAACAAGUACAGCCAGGUGUAACUGCACAGAGGUGAACUCUAACAACAUCGAGGAGAUAGAAAUAAUGAAGAAUGGAGGUCGUCCCUCUUUUGGUUUGUCGGCGGCAGUUUUUGAUGAUAUAUAUCACCUUGUGUGUGAUUUCCAGCAUAUUAUAUUUCGGCAUGCUCCUAGAAAGACUGAAUGUGCUGCCCAUGAUUUAGCUAAACUAGCUAGAAAUAAGGUGUGUGGGGGUGGAUGGAAGAUCCACCCAUAGAAAUUGUUGAUACUCUUGUAAAACAUAAUUGGUCAUCAUCUUGCAAUAAAGAGUAUUUUGAUGUCAAAAAAAGUUUCAAUUGAGAUUCCCAGGUGUGUGCGAAGUUUCUUAAACAACAGGGCAUUGCAACUGCAAAGGAGCACGGGGGAGGGGGACGGCCAGCCUAAUUUGGGGUGGCAUCGCCACCGGUGCCAUGGAGGUGGAGGUGCUGAUUCAAAUGAUGAUUCAUCAAAGCAGAUAUGCAAGGACACAUAACUCAUGGCCGAGCCGACUCGGAUCUCCACCAUGGUGGUCAUGAAGAAAAACAUUGUAGUGUCUUCAAACGGUGGGGCUCCUUCCUAGUGGCGGAUCUAGGACCCAGGCCCCCAGGGCUUGGCCCGGGGCAUGAGACCCAAAUCCUUGGUAUUCUAUUGCAACCCCUACUCCUUCUGCUACCCCAACCAAUUGACUACAUGAAAAAGUUUUCCAAAAAUUAAAAAAACAUUUGUCUUUCAUCUUUUCUUAUUCAUUCGGUCUCAUCGGCUUCAGCAUUUAGGUCAAUCCUGGGCUUCUUCCUGCUGUUGUGGGCGGCGGGCGUACUGGGGAGCGGCGGCACCUUUGGUCCGCACCGCGGGCACCAGGGUUCGGCCUCGGCGAUGAGCUCGUGCGUGAAGCAGGACGGGCACACGCACGUGCGGAUGGUCGGGAUUUGCAGCCGAUGGCGCUGUGCUUGAAGGCGGCGAGCGGUUGCGCUUUCCCUGGGAGGAGGACGAGGAUGAGGUGGACGCCAACAAGGAGGACGACAUGUCCGGUGAGGUGGUGAACGCGCGGCGGCGGCGCGCUCUAGUGCUUCGCGGACCAUGUUGAGUGUGUAGAACGCGGAGGUGGUGGUGACAACAUCGGUGGUGGAUGCCGUGGGAGGCAGGUUGAGGUCCUGGUGGCCGUCUUGGGUGGCCUGCUGGAGAUGAGGAGUCAAGAACGUCUUGUCAGACUGCACAAAAACAAGAAAUUUUCACCUGGUUAAGAAUUUGUAUGAUGAACAUGAAGAAGAAACAACUCUGUAAUCAGAGCUCAGCAGAACCAAAAUUUUGAUUAUCAUGCCGUCAAAUCAAUCAAAGGAGAUGGGUUUGAUAUCCGGACAUAGUUACCUGCAAAUUAUAUAAUUCUUUGGAAUUUCAUCUCGGACCGAAACCACAUGAGCAUGAAUUUAUUAAGAACCAAACAUGUGCGCAUGCGGGUGUAACAAACCACAUGAAGAUACAAAACUAAAGGUCGGAAGAACAGAGGAGCAGAUCUAAAUAGUAAUAUGAGGGAGACUCACUGGCAAGUCAAGCCGUCUCUCCGAGCUGGCAGGCAGCUUUACCUCUAGCUCGAUGACCUCUUCCUCCGAUGGCUUCUCGGCGCCGCCCCUACCCAUUCCCGCCUUCCCUCGGAGCAUCCCAGCGGUGGAACUUACCUCCUCUGCCGUUCUCCUCUUCCCUUUUCCGGCGGUCCUCUGCUCUGCUUCCCCUUUUUUGUGUUUGUCUUUCUGCCGAGAGAGAGGGAGAGAGAGGGAGAGAAGAAAUUGAUGGGGUGUUUGGCAAUUGUGUGGUGGGGCGCCCCUAUAUAUACCAGGAGGUCGCCGGCAUGAUGGACAUGCGGAGCCAAUGCACCAGGGAGUGGAGGGGCAGCGAGAGCUAUGAAAGAUCAUCUUUUGGUGGACAUUAAAGAUCAUAUUAAUCUACAUCAUUGGGAAAUAGUUGGGCCAUUAUUCAAUGCAAAUUAAAUGCUCCAAACAAAUUGAGAAAUAUGAAAAAUAUGACCUUAGAUUUGUAAGCAUGACAAAAUGAAAAUUUUAUGAUACAUUAUAUUGAGGAAAUUGUCUUCCUCGUGACAACAUAAUUUUUCUGAUUUUUCAUUUUCUUUCUAAAGAAAAUUUCCAUCUUCACAAGAACAUAGUUUUCACUUAAAAAACCCUUAGUUUUGCCAUGCUUAGAAAUCUAAAAUUUGCUAGUUUGAAUUCAUUACAUUUAAAGUAGUCAUUUCCUCAUCCGCAUUACAUGAACGACCUGCAUUUAAACCAGAGAAGAAGAACCAUUGAGCCGCCGCUGAAAUAUCAUGCUCGAUUUGAGUGCAUUGAUGGAUUCAAUUUACUUCGUCCAUCCAUAUUUUAGUAGAAAAAGAUACAACCACUAAAUUCAUUACCAUAUUCGGUUGUAUCCGUCGAUCUAUAUUUUAGUUCACAAUUGAGCAUUGGCGCGUGGUAUAAUUCGUAUAGAAUUAGUGAAAAUAUUCUUUGGAGGAAAUUAAUAGAAAUAUUUAUUUUGGAUUAAAUCACAACGAUUAAUGUCUAAUUGAUUCCGGAUUACUAUAUGAUCUCGUGCAAAAUAAACUUUGGCUUUUUUGUGGUUGAAAAAAAGUUGAAUUAUUUGACCCUCACGGACAUCAUCAUUUUAUUGAAUACUAGAGAUAAAACCUCAUGUGUUGUUGCAGGAAUGGAUGCAGUUUUUUCAAGCACAUUUGGUAGUAUAAAAAUUUAGUAUUUGUAUUUACUAGUGUAGAGACCUGCUAUAUGUUGCACACCGGCUCAGAGAAACCGGAACACCCCGUAUUCCAGCGCAGAGAUCCAGGUGAAGUCUUCUGGAAUACGACACUGCUUAGCAUAGAACAAACCAGCUCUCUAUUACAACACGAAUACAAAUACAAGGUCUCCGAUAUUACAAUGAAUAACAUCGGCACGGCGACACUACGCCAACCAUAGUUGCUCUAUGCAAGCAGCAUAACAACUCGAGGCAGCGGAACCUCUACUGGUAGCAGAACAACGAACGACGAUGAUGGACUCCAAUCCGCAGGGACACUGGCUGGAAUGUUUAUCCUAGCUCGCGAGCACAGGAACCACACCAAACAAGCAAGCAAUCCAGGCAGGACCUGCAAACUGGAUGACACGCAAGGUCAGUACAUUCAAAGUACUUGCAAGCUCACAAUAACCAAAAGCAGUCAAGACAAACAACAGCAUGGCAUUUACAGGUUAACAAGGAUUAACAUGGUACUAUCAGACCAAUAAUAGCACGCACAUGAUACAGCUAGAACCAUACGAGCAUGGCAUGAACAUCUGAACAUGAUGAUACUAGCAUGCAAUCUGAUGACACUAUCAUGCACCAACUUACUCUGCUCGGGUUACCUCGUGACCAUCACAUGCACCAGCUUACCAUCACGGACAUCACACGAUCAUAUCAGGAUCCAAUCAAGCUUGGUAUUACAAUACCGUAGUAAUCAUUACAUGAACACAAGGAGCUUGUGACACCCCCGAUUCAAUCGUACACUAAUCAUACACACAAAUGUGUACGAUCAAGAUCAGGGACUCACGGGAAGAUAUCACAACACAACUCUAGACACAAAUUAAAAUAAUACAAGCUUUAUAUUACAAGCCAGGGGCCUCGAGGGCUCGAAUACAUAAGCUCGAAAACACAAGAGUCAGUGGAAGCAACAAUAUCUGAGUACAGACAGAAGCUAGACAAAUUUGCCUUAAGAAGGCCAGCACAAAAGCAUCUACGAUCAAAAAGGCAAGGCCUCCUGCCUGGGAGCCUCCUAACUACUCCUGGUCAUCGGCGGUCUCCACGUACUAGUAGGCAUCGACGGUGGCAUCUGGCUCCUGAGCUCCGACAUCUGGUUGCAUGAACCGGAAAGAAGAAGAAAGGGGGAAAAGGGGGAGCAAAGCAACCGUGAGUACUCAUCCAAUGUACUCGCAAGCAAGGAUCUACACUACAUAUGCAUCAGUAUCAAUGAAAUGUGUUGUAUCUAUGGACUGGGCUAUAGACUGCCAGAACAGAAGGGGAAAACCUAGCCUAUCGAAGACUAGCAUCUUCAAGCAGCUCCAAGCAUCUUGCAGUAUUCAGAAGAGUACAGAAUAGCAUAAAGUAAAGUAGUAGUAGUGUUAUCAACCUCGGCCAGAGAUCCUUUCUCGACUCCCUGCGAGAAAGCAAUCCCAGAGCCAUACUAUCCAGUUAUCACCUCAAGUAUCCAGCUCUAGUUGUAUCAAUCAGGAUACAACUCCAAGUGUCCAUUACCGUAGGACAGGCUAUCGAUAGAUGUUUUCUUCCCUGCAGGGGUGCACCAACUUACCCAUCACGCUUGAUUAAUUCUAGCCGGACACACUUUCCUGGGUCAUGCCCGGCCUCGGCCAAACAAUAAGCCGCAACCCGACCUAGGCUUAAUAGAGAGGUCAGCACGCCGGACUAAACCUAUGGACCAAGGGGUCAUGGGCCAUCGCCCCGAGAACUCCUGCAGGUUGCGAGGGCAGCUGUUGAGCAGACCUAGCUACCUCGUUAAAAAGGCAGGUGCUUACCAGUCCAACCCGGCGCGCACCGCUCAGUCGCUGACGUCUAUUAAGCUUCGGCUGAUGCAUACGACGCAGAAUGCCCAUACUAUGCCCACGUGAUGGUUAGUGCUAUCAGGACAGUGGCCCCUCGGAUGAAAUACCCAAACCGUUAGUGUGUUGGUAGUGCGGUCACGAGCAGAGACUCACGAAAGAUGUGACCCCGUCGCCCCGAGUCGAGGACUUGCGGCAAGGGCUAAGAAUGCCCGACCACGCCUCGUAUUCAACUCUCGGGUACCCUCCAGGUCAACCCGUCUCCACAUCACUCGAGGGUACCCCUCAGGGUCGACCCGCCUUUCCAAGUAACAGUUGUAAAGUCCAAGUAUCCGUGUGUCCAAACAUCAAGGGGAAAACCAGAGAAAUCACCCCCGGUGAAUUCCAUUCGAUGUAAUCAUCAAGGUGAACGUAAGAGGAACCACCCUCGAGGUUCACACUUGAGGGGUUGCAUGACAGAGUCGUAUCGGAAGUGGUUAAGGAGGAAAUCACCCUCGAUGACCACGACCGAAUAGCUACACUACAGAGAUCUCAUCAGGAGUGAUGUAUGAGGUUCCACCCUCGGCACUUGAUGGUCACUCUGCAGAGUCGAGCUACAAAAGGGGCGUGAUGUGAUGUGAGGCUUCGGGCUCUGGUCGUCGAUCACGUUGAUCGAGUCGUCGAUGAUGAAGCAGGGGCAACAAGGACCAAGUGGGGGUCACGGAUGGAUCAUUAAGAAACCUAUACUAAGCAGUUUAGGAUAAGUAGGUAAGGUACAAUGAGCAGGUUACAAAAGCAGGCUAUGCAUCAGAAUAGGAGCAAACAAUAAUAGUAGCAAAAUCUAAUGCAAGCAUGAGAGAAUGGAAUGGGCGAUAUCGGGAUGAUCAAAGGGGGGGCUUGCCUGGAAGCUCUGCUGAUAAGGAAGAAGUGUCGUCGUCGACAUAGUCGAUCACAGGGGCAGCAUCGGCGUCAGUCUCAAAGUCUACCGGAGAGAAGAGAGGGGAGAAACAGUAAAUACAGUGCAAACAGAUGCAUGACAUGGCAAUAAGAAGAGCUAAGGGUGUUCUAACGUAGUACUACAUGUUGCAGACGGAGAGGGAAAACAUCCGAAGAGGUUUUCUGGUGUUUGGCGUUUUCCGGACAUAGGAAAAGAGGGGAAAAGUUCCAUGUUUAGCAUGCUAGGGGCAUGUGACAGAUGAAUGGACUGCGUAUUCGGAUUUGUUGGAUUUUUCUAAGCAACUUUCAUGUACAAAGUAUUUUCAUCCGAGUUACUGACUAUUUUAUAUUAAUUUUCAAACUUUUAUAAUAUUUUCUGAGUUAUUUCAAUUCAAAAAUUAAAUAUCUAAUUACUUUUGUCACAUGGGGUUAUGCUAACCAGCGUGUAUUACGGGUGGGACCAUGGGUUGGGUUGACCGAGUCAAUUUGACCGGUCAAUAGAAUGUGUGGCCCACAUGUCAUUGCCACAUGCAUUACUAAACCAUCUAACUAAUUUAAUCAAGGGAGGUCCCACAUGCCAUUGACUACUAGCUAUACCUAACGGAAACACUAACGCCCACAUGUGUGGGCGUUUACAUCUCGCCCACACGCAUGGAUCCGCGUCCGUUUGUGGGUGCAUGAAUCUUGGCAUGUUUGUGGUGCUACGUAGGACUGGGCUGGUGUGUGGGCAUUCACCCGGUCGCCCACACAUCCGUUUCACCACACGGAGGGGCCAGUGUGUGGGCGUUUAGCAGUUCGCCCACACACCAGUUUUCACUCACGCACAAGGGCUGGUGUGUGGGCAUUUGCCAUCUCGCCCACACGCCCGUCUCCUCUCCCACACCCAAGCUGCCAGUUGCCAUGCGUUUUGAAGUGUACAUGGCAGCUGCCCUAGUGUGCUUGUAAACAGAUGGCAACUCUCUUUUUUUACCCGAACAUUUCAGGUGCCAUAUGUUUUGCAGGGUACACGACAACUGCCCUAGUGUGCUUGUAAGUAGAUGGCAACUCUCUCUUUUACCCGAACAUGUUGUUUUGCCAUGUCUCUUUGUAGCGCUACACGGCAACUGCCUAGUGUUAGUAGGUGGCAAAUCCUAAGGUUUUCAAAUCAUGGCAACUGUGUAAACCAGACCAUACAUGGCAACUGCUUAGUGUUAGUAGGUGGCAAUAUCUAAAGUUUUCAAAUCAUGGAAACUAUAGUAAACCAGACCAUACAUGGCAACAGUUGCAGUUGUCCAAAAUGGCAUCUGGCACUUGACCUGAGAUGGCAACUGCAGUUGAGCAACCAUGGCAACUGUAGUUGUCCGACAUGGCAACUGUAGUUCAGCGACAUGGCAACUGCAUGUAAACUGACAUUGAAAAGGGUCCGGACCAUGGCAACUGCGGGGACGCAUGGUAACUGUCACGCUGGGCGUGCGGGACCGCGAGGUAGGUGGCUGAGAGAGGUCGUGUGGGCGUUAUGCAUUUUGCCCACACGUAGGCGCAUGAGAGGGACCGCAAGGGAAAAAAAGAGGCGUGUGGGCGCUAGUUGUUUUGCCCACAGGUAGGCAUGUGGGCUGGUCCUCUUAGGCACCACACAAAACGUGUGGGCAAACCCCUUAACGCCCACACGUGUGGCAGUUAUCGUCGUCCAUACCUAAUUACUAAUCAGCCAAAAAUAAACUAAAGUAAGUGGGCCGGCCUCAUCCAGAGAGCCAGCCGGCCAUGCACAAAGGAAAAGGCCAUGGCCAUGUACAACUUAAACACCACCACCAGCAGCUAUGGCAGCAUGAGCAGCGGCAUGUAGUAGUGCAGCGCUGUAGGCAGCAGUGGGCAGCGGCAGCAGUAGGUAGCAAGGAGCAGCAGCUCCGGCAGCAAGGAGCAGCAGCCAAGGACGGGAGCAGCAACAGCGCCUGAAGCAGAGCAAUGGCAAGGAGAAGGCAGCGGCGGCAGGCGCAGAGGCGCGGCCAUGGGCGACUGGGCACGCACCGGCAACAGCCGGCAGCGGCAGCGGACGCGGGUGCGGGUCUAGGGCGGGCGCGUCCAGAGGACACAGGCGAGCGGGCGCAGGGCGAGGUCCAGCAAUGGCGACCACAAGGUCACGACCGCGGCUGGGUUUCCAUUACAGCACGCAAACGAGCGGGUUACUCGGAGCAUCGGCUUCGUGAAGCCCUCCAGAGCACGGUAGCAGCAGCAGCUCGACGCGGGGUGGGUUAUAGCGGCAACGGCGAGCAUGGCGGCGGUGCAGAUAUGCGGCCGGCGAAAACUACAACUACAACAUUGGGAUAGCAUGAAAAAGAGAGGGGGAAGACGCGGAGCUCACCAAGGGAGCUCAAGGAGGCUCUUCGAGGAGUUUAGGAGCUGCAGAGGCAUCAAUUCCGGCGAUGGUGUCGCGGUGACCGAAGGUGGAAAACGGCAUCGAUCCGGUCGAUGCGGUGCCCCCGGGCUUGAUCUCAUGGACGAGGAAGACGAUGGCGGAGUUGCUGGACACCUUGGCAGGGCGCGGGGAUAAUGGUGGCUUCGGGAUCGACGAGGGCGCGACGUCGACUACGCUCGGUGUGUAUGUGGGAGAUAGAAGCGGCGCGAGGAAGGGGGGAGUGGGGUAGGAUUUUCGGGGGAGUGCGGGGCGAUGCUCUUAACCUCCAAGGAGGGCCGCGGGAUGCCCGACACGUGGUCGGUGGCCAUGGUGGAUGGCCUCCACGCCCUCUGCCUCCACUGGAGUGGAGGUAGGAGGAGAGGUGGAGCUGGGCUGCGCUAGGCACAGUAGCUAGUGGGCUCACGUGCACAGUAGUAGAUAGGCCUUUUCCUUUUUAUAUUAAAUGAUUUUCUGUUUUUCUUUUACAGAAUCUGUUUGCAACAUUUUGAGCUGCCAAUUGGUCUUUGUAAAAUGGGGAACUUGGCCAAAUAAAUACAUUACAAUAUCUGCCACUGCCACAAAAAGUUUGGGAGGAGUUUGAAUUGAUUUGGAUUUUUCACAACUGGAAAAGCAUUUAAAAUUUUGAUUCGGAACUGCUGAAAUUUCUAGGGGAAAUUAAAUAUCUCAAAUGAUGUUGAAUCAUUCAUGACAUUUAGUUAGUUAAUAUUUGCAACCCAGCGAACAUUUUUGUUUUACUGCUUGGAGAAAUAAUUUAUUUGGCGUUAUUUUAAAUUUGAAUUUGACUUUGAAUCUAUCGAGGAGCAGUUUGGCUUAGAAAAACUUGAUGACAUGGCACCAUUAGUGGGAUAUUACUGUAGCAUGAUUCUCGGGGUGUUACAAAUCUCCUCCACUACAAGAAAUCUCAUCCCGAGAUUUAAGUGGGGAAGUAAAGAGUAACUUCAGGAGAACUGACCCUUAUAGGGUUGAUUAUCUGGUGAACAAUUCAAGGAUGUGGCAGAAAUAUCUCUCGAGUUGAAACUUAAGAAAACAUCGAGAGCAAAAAUGAAGGUACAAUAGGAAGUUUCAAGCGAAUGGACAAACGAUCGAUACCUGAACAGUGUGUGAGAAGGGGGUUCAGAGCAUCGGCAAUAGAUUAUCUCUCGGAGGGUGGCUCGUUACAACACACAAAGCCAAGAGCAAAUGAUACUUUGGAAUAAAGGAUAUAUAGGAGAGUCAGGUUCCGGUCCUAUGGAACUAUGAUGAGGGCAGAUCAAGAGUAUGGAGAACGGUGUCAUUUCACUGUUCACGACAACAAGGUACGUCAGAGGUUAGCCUGUUAGUUAUGUCGGUGGUAACAUUGGUACCAAGGGCGAGGGACGAGGAGAACCAUAUUCCUGCUUGUUGAACGAGGCGGACCAAUCGGCAAGGUUCUCGUCCAUCGGUGGUUACCGGAAUGUAAUCAACAAUACAGGGUCUCACUGACAAGGUUGUGCAUUGGGGUGUUUUAUUUCUUCUUAUAUCAUAUAGAUCACAAGAAGGUUAAACAAACCAAUGGAAAGGAAAAUGAAAUUAUCGAAGUAAUCAGACCAAUGGAAAGGAAAAUGUGUUUACACACAAGAAUAGGGAGUAUAUCCUUCCCAAGGGGAAGCGGAGAAGGAUAUACAUGAUAUGACAGCAAGUUCAAAAGCAUUUAGAUAAAGGGGCGUGGGAAGAAUCAUGAUAUUACUGAUAACCCACAAGUAUAGGGGAUCGCAACAGUUUUUGAGGGUAGAGUAUUCAACCCAAAUUUAUUGAUUGGACACAAGGGGAGCCAAAGAAUAUUCUCAAGUAUUAGCAGCUGAGUUGUCAAUUCGACCACACCUAGAUAACUUAAUAUCUGCAGCAAAGUGUUUAGUAGCAAAGUAGUAUGGAAGUAACGGUAACGGUGGCAAAAGUAACAGUAGCAGUAUUGUAGUGAUUGUAACAGUGGCAACGGUAAAGUAACUAAGCAAGGAGCAAUAUGUAAAAAGCUCGUAGGCAUUGGAUCGGUGAUGGAUAACUAUGCCGGAUGCGAUUAUUCAUGUAACAGUUAUAACAUAGGGUGACACAGAACUAAAUCCAGUUCAUCAAUGUAAUGUAGGCUUGUAUUCCGAAUAUAGUCAUACGUGCUUAUGGAAAAGAACUUGCAUGACAUCUUUUGUCCUACCCUCCCGUGGCAGCGGGGUCCUAUUGGAAACUAAGGGAUAUUAAGGCCUCCUUUUAAUAAAGUACCAGACCAAAGCAUUAACACUUAGAGAAUACAUGAACUCCUCAAACUACGGUCAUCACCGGGAGUGGUCCCGAUUAUUGUCACUUCGGGGUUGUCGGAUCAUAACACAUAGUAGGUGACUAUAGACUUGCAAGAUAGGAUCAAGAACUCACAUAUAUUUAUGAAAACAUAAUAGGUUCAGAUCUGAAAUCAUGGCACUCGGGCCCUAGUGACAAGCAUUAAGCAUAGCAAAGUCAUAGCAACAUCAAUCUCAGAACAUAGUGGAUACUAGGGAUCAAACCCUAAUAAAACUAACUCGAUUACAUGAUCUCAUCCAACCCAUCACCGUCCAGCAAGCCUACGAUGGAAUUGCUCACGCACGGCGGCGAGCAUCAUGAAAUUGGUGAUGGAGGAUGGUUGAUGAUGACGAUGGCGACGGAAUCCACUCUCGAGAGCCCCGGACAGACUCUAGAUCAGCCCUCCCGGGAGAGAUUAGGGCUUGGCGGCGGCUCCGUAUCGUAAAACGCGAUGAAUCCUUGCCUCUGAUUUUUUUCUCCCCGAACGUGAAUAUAUAGAGUUGGAGUUGAGGUCGGUGGAGCACCAAGGGGCCCACGAGGCAGAGGGCGCCCCCCCACCCUCGCACUACUAGGAAAAGGGCUAUAGAUGGAAUGGCCACUAAUGGCGCACCAGACAUGUGGUGCGCCAUUGCUAUAUAGCAGUGGCGCACCAUGUGCUGGUGCGCCAUUAGUGUGAAAGACACUAAUGGCGCACCAGACAAACGGUGCGCCAUUAGUAACAAAAAAAAUUUAUUUUAUUUUUCCAAACAUACUAAUGGCGCACCAGGGCACAGUGCGGCAUUACUAGUUCUAACUAGUAAUGGCGCACUAGCCACAUAGUGCGCCACUACUAUAUUUUUUUAUUUUUUUGUAAAACUACUAAUGGCACACCAGGGAACAGUGCACCAUUACUAGCGAUCCCCCUCCAUCUCGAUCGCUAUCCCACCUCGCCAGAUCCGGCCCCCCUCGCCGCUGAGCACCCCCCGCACCCUCUACCCCGCUCCACCGGGCGCCGCCGCCGACCCCCCGCACCCUCCCCCGCUCCACCGCCGCCGACGACCCACCGCACCCUUCCCUGCUCCACCGCCGCCGACGACCCACCGCACCCUAGCUCCCCUGCUCCACCGCCNNNNNNNNNNNNNNNNNNNNNNNNNNNNNNNNNNNNNNNNNNNNNNNNNNNNNNNNNNNNNNNNNNNNNNNNNNNNNNNNNNNNNNNNNNNNNNNNNNNNNNNNNNNNNNNNNNNNNNNNNNNNNNNNNNNNNNNNNNNNNNNNNNNNNNNNNNNNNNNNNNNNNNNNNNNNNNNNNNNNNNNNNNNNNNNNNNNNNNNNNNNNNNNNNNNNNNNNNNNNNNNNNNNNNNNNNNNNNNNNNNNNNNNNNNNNNNNNNNNNNNNNNNNNNNNNNNNNNNNNNNNNNNNNNNNNNNNNNNNNNNNNNNNNNNNNNNNNNNNNNNNNNNNNNNNNNNNNNNNNNNNNNNNNNNNNNNNNNNNNNNNNNNNNNNNNNNNNNNNNNNNNNNNNNNNNNNNNNNNNNNNNNNNNNNNNNNNNNNNNNNNNNNNNNNNNNNNNNNNNNNNNNNNNNNNNNNNNNNNNNNNNNNNNNNNNNNNNNNNNNNNNNNNNNNNNNNNNNNNNNNNNNNNNNNNNNNNNNNNNNNNNNNNNNNNNNNNNNNNNNNNNNNNNNNNNNNNNNNNNNNNNNNNNNNNNNNNNNNNNNNNNNNNNNNNNNNNNNNNNNNNNNNNNNNNNNNNNNNNNNNNNNNNNNNNNNNNNNNNNNNNNNNNNNNNNNNNNNNNNNNNNNNNNNNNNNNNNNNNNNNNNNNNNNNNNNNNNNNNNNNNNNNNNNNNNNNNNNNNNNNNNNNNNNNNNNNNNNNNNNNNNNNNNNNNNNNNNNNNNNNNNNNNNNNNNNNNNNNNNNNNNNNNNNNNNNNNNNNNNNNNNNNNNNNNNNNNNNNNNNNNNNNNNNNNNNNNNNNNNNNNNNNNNNNNNNNNNNNNNNNNNNNNNNNNNNNNNNNNNNNNNNNNNNNNNNNNNNNNNNNNNNNNNNNNNNNNNNNNNNNNNNNNNNNNNNNNNNNNNNNNNNNNNNNNNNNNNNNNNNNNNNNNNNNNNNNNNNNNNNNNNNNNNNNNNNNNNNNNNNNNNNNNNNNNNNNNNNNNNNCCCCGGCCCGCUCCACUGUCACAAAUGAAUGCAACUAAAUUUGCAAAAAAGCAAAUUUGAUUAUAUUUUCAAAUAACAAAUUUGAUGAUAUUUUUUUUAAAAAUCAUUACCAUUUUUAUAAAAAAUAUUACUGUUAUGAUUUAAACAAGUUUGAACAUAUUUAAACACAAAUAAAUAUCAAACAACAUUUUAAAUGCAUAAAAACAAAAAUUGGGGAGCCUGGGAAUCGAACCCAGGACCUCCUAUUGUGUGUGCUGCGUGCUGACCAGUCGGGCUAGUGGGCGUGUUCUGAUGGAGAUAGGGUUAGGUGGAAUAUAACCUGACCAGUCGGGCUAGUAAUUAAAACAAAAUUCUAAUGGCGCACCAGGGGGCGGUGCGCCAUUAGAAUCGACGUACUUAUGGCGCACUAGGGGGAGGUGCGCCAUUGCUAACCCACUCCACUUGUUCCCCUCGCACUGUGCGUGGCCUCUCCCUCCCUCCCUCGCCAGAUCCCCCACUCGACCCCAACCGUACGCCGCCGCCCCCUUGCUCCGCCCCCUCCGUCCGCCGCGCCUGCACGCCGNNNNNNNNNNNNNNNNNNNNNNNNNNNNNNNNNNNNNNNNNNNNNNNNNNNNNNNNNNNNNNNNNNNNNNNNNNNNNNNNNNNNNNNNNNNNNNNNNNNNNNNNNNNNNNNNNNNNNNNNNNNNNNNNNNNNNNNNNNNNNNNNNNNNNNNNNNNNNNNNNNNNNNNNNNNNNAACGAGAUCGGCCGAGCGCUCCUCUCCUCUCCUCCUCCCUCCGACGAGUGAGGGCCUCCUCCGGCCCCUGCAGCAGCCGGCGAGCGAGGGCCUCCUCCUCCUCUGACGUGCCCACACCCCGCCUGCCCCUGCCGUCCUCCGCCACCCGGCGACCAGCCGCACCCGCCCAGGUACCCCUCCUCCUUCCUCCUUCCUCCCUCUCCACCCUUCCUCCCCAUUCCCUCCCUCAGUAGCUAGCAAAAACACAUACAUGACCACCUAAAAAAAUCUAUAUGCAACACCUAAAAAAAAUCUGAUUUUGAGUUAAACAUAAAUAAACUUGCUAAGGGGUGAUGAAUGUACAUAUUUGUAUGCAACACAUAGGGAUUAAACAAGUACGUUUAGGUGACCGACAGCCAAUUAGCAUCACCAGGCACAACACCUGCUGUGUUCCAGUUAUUUAGGGAAGGAACCUGUUGUGUUCAAUAGAUGCAAGCAAACACCAACAGACCAAUCAUCAGUAAGAAGUGAGUGACUUGUAGGUUUAUUAACUAAAAUACUGCCUAAGGCUAGGUAUGCAGGGCUAUUUGAUAUUAAUAACACCAAUAGUAGCGCGUUGAUGCUGAUGGUGCUCAGUUAUCAGAUGUAUAGAUGUACCAACUAGACUGUAUAUAUCUAUAUUCAGCACAUACAUCAACAUAGCCCAUUGGAAGAAGGGAAGCAGAACCUUUAGCAUUACUAAAUUGUAAGGAAUAGAAACUUCAAGGCAAGAGGUCAGGUCACCACUUGAUCUUGGCACCAACCAGAUCAGGCAAUUAGCUACUAUAUUAAAAAACUACUAAGAAUUUGUGAAUGAGAUCUCAAGAUUUAUUCUGUUGUAUUAAAAAACUACUAAGAAUUUGUGAAUGAAAUUCUCCACCCCUCCUCCCCAUUCCCUCCCUCCCUCCCCUCGACCGUGGUACACAAUCUGUGCGUGCAAGUGCAAUCUCUGGAGCCCCUUCGAGUAUGGUCAUAGAAUAGUUCCAUUAUAAGAGUGCUAUUAUAAGAGUACAAUAUGCUAAUGAUACCCUUUUAUUGUUGGAAAAUGAUGCUGGAAUUGCUCUGAAUCUGAAAUGGAUUCUAACCUGUUUUGAACAAAUUGCUGGGAUGACAAUUAACUAUCAUAAGUGUACUCUUAUCCCUAUUAACUUGACAGUUAAUGAUCUCACUCCAUUUGUGGACAUUUUCCAAUGCAUAGUUGGGGAUUUGUGGACAUUUUCCAAUGCAUAGUUGGGCAAUAAAAGAUACAUUCACUUGAAUGCAGUGUGCUUUUUUCUUUUCCAAAGGAAAAGAAAAUGUGGUGUAUAACAAAUGUAUUAUUUGGUGGAAAUUGAGAUAUCAUAUUAAUCAUUGACAAAUUGGCUUUGCACAAAUAAUCUUAAAUCCAUGCAUACCUACACAAUUCAUCUAUUUGCAAUGUGAUGUUGUAAGGGUACUAAUUGGUCUCUUCUACUGCUUAUCAGAGAUGGGGGGAAGCAGCCACCCCCGCUCUGCCUCACCGGAGUACGAGUUGGAUGCUUUCGAGUUCUUCAGUGUCAUACUUGGGACUUCAAUAUCAGCCACGAGGCAGGUAUAUAAAACGAGAGAUCUCCCCUUCACCCAUCUCAUUAUGAUAACUCUGUUGUUUGCUACAUCACUCCUUGUCCCAAAUUGCAGAGGCUGCCUAACACUUUUAUGAACAUGCUGGGUGAAGAUCCGCCAGAUAAUGUGAAGCUCCGACAGGCCGGCAGCGGGGUUCGCAGGCUGUGGGACGUGGAGUUGGUGAUCGAGGAGGGCCACAUGUACCUGUGCCGUGGUUGGGAGAAGUUCUACAGUGCCUACGACCUGCGGACCGGGUACUUUCUUCUCUUCAGGUACGACGAUGACGCCACAAUGCUCAUCGUGAAGGUUUUCAACACGACUAUGUGUCGCAUGCGCUACGCUGACGACGAAGAUGCCAGUGCGUUCUGCCUCUUCUUAUUACUCUACAUUUGGCUUUGUCUCACAUCGAUUGUUAACGGCCAUUGUUGCAUUUGGACAGGCAAUGGGAGCAGCAGCAGCGACAUUGGCUACAGCCAAAGUAGCAGCGAUUAUGGCUGUAGCAAAAGCAACAGCGAUUCUGGCUUUAGCGAAAGCAGCAGCGAUUUUGGCAGCAGCAAAGACAGCAAGAAGGAUGAUCCGGACUAGAGUGGGGGAGAAGAGGAGCAAAGUGGGGAUGAGGAGCUGCAGGAUGACGAUGGGCAUCAGGCUGAGGAUGACCUAGCGCUGGUGGUGGCUGACCAUGGGCAAGAGAUGGUGGUGGCUGACCAUGGGCAAGAGAUGGUGGUGGCUGAGGAUGACCUAGCGAUGGUCGUGCCCGUCCUGCCUGAAGGUGGCCUCGCGAUGGUGGUGGUGCCUGACAAUGACCACGCACCGGUGGUGGCGCCGGCGAUCCCACAGCUGGGCGACAUGACCACGCCAAUUGUGGUAGAAGACUACAUCCCACAGCUGCCUCCACCGCCUCGCCGCUCUUGGCGCAUCAGGCUGAGGAAGGAGAACGAGAAGAACAAUGAGAACUGAACUAUGUGAAACUUUUGUAAUAUGGUGUUGGAUGGAUAACGGUGUUGGAUGAACAAUGUGAAACUUUUGUAAUAUGUAACAAUGGAACUAUGUGUUGGCUAUGUAUGUAUAUAUGAUGAAACUUGUGUGUUGGAUAUCAUUGUUAUAUGGAUGCUUGUUGUAUAUAUAUGUGUUGGAUAUCUCAUAUGUGAAAUAGUGACCUGAGAUUAAGAAAAAACGAAUUUUUUUAAAAAAAUUUACUAAUGGCGCACUUCCAUCUGGUGCGCCAUUAGUAACUGGUAUACUAAUGGCGCACCUGUGGGAUACUAAUGGCGCACCCGUGGUGCGCCAUUAGUAUACCAGAUACUAAUGGCGCACCUGUGGUGCGCCAUUACUAAAAUAUUCUAGUGGCGUGGUGCUAGUGGCGCACCAGUAGUGCGCCAUUAGUAGGCAAAACUGGUGCGCCACUAGUAAGCCUUUUUCUAGCCUUGAUUCUUUGGCCAGUAUUUUUUAUUAUUUCCAAAAAUAAUCUCCGUGAAGUUUCAGGUCAUUUCGAGAACUUUUAUUUCGGCACAAAAAUAACACCAUGGCAAUUCUGUUGAAAACAGCGUCGGUCCAGGUUAGUUCCAUUCAAAUCAUGCAAGUUAGAGUCCAAAACAAGGGCAAAAGCGUUUGGAAAAGUAGAUAUGACGGAGACGUAUCAACUCCCCCAAGCUUAAACCUUUCCUUGUCCUCAAGCAAUUCAGUUGAUAAACUGAAAGUGAUAAAGAAAAACUUUUACAAACUCUGUUUGCUCGUGUUGUUUUAAAUAUGUAAAGCCAGCAUUCAAGUUUUCAUCAAAGAUUAUGAACUAACCAUAUUCGCAAUAAGAUUUAGGUCUCAAGUUUACUCAUAUCAAUGGCAUAAUCAACUAGCGAGCAAUAAUAAUAAAUCUCGGAAGACAACACUUUCUCAGAACAAUCAUAAUAUGAUAUAACAAGAUGGUAUCUCGCUAGCCCUUUCUGAGACCGCAAAACAUAAAUGCAGAGCACCUCUGAAGAUCAAGGACUGACUAAACAUUGUAAUUCAUGGUAAAAGAGAUCCAGUCAUACUCAAUAUAAAUUAAUAGUAAUGGAUGCAAAUGACAACAGUGCUCUCCAACUGGUGCUUUUUAAUAAGAGGGUGAUGACUCAACAUAAAAGUAAAUAGAUAGGCCCUUCGCAGAGGGAAGCAGGGAUUUGCAGAGGUGCUAGAGCUCGAUUUUAAAAUAGAGAUACAUAAUAUUUUGAGUGGUAUACUUUCAUUGUCAACAUAACAACCAAGAGAUCUCGAUAUCUUCCAUGCUAGACACAUUAUAGGCAGUUCCCAAAUAGAAUGGUAAAGUUUAUACUCACCCUCCACCAACAAACUUCAGUCCAUGGCUUGUCCGAAACAAUGGGUGCAUCCAACUAAUAACAAUCCUGGGGGAGUUUUGUUUGCAAUUAUUUUGAUUUGAUUUUCUUAGAGCAUGGGACUGGGCAUCCCGGUGACCAGCCAUUUUCUCGUGAGUGAGGAGCGGAGUCCACUCCUCUUGAGAAUAACCCACCUAGUAUGGAAGAUACAGACAGACCUAGUUGAUACAAGAGCUAUUCGAGCAUACAAAACAUAAUUUCAUUUGAAGGUUUAGAGUUUGGCACAUACAAAUUUACUUGGAACGGCAGGUAGAUACCGCAUAUAGGAAGGUGUGGUGGACUCAUAUGGAAUAAUUUUGGGGUUUAAGGGAUUGGAUGCACAAGCAGUAUUCCCGCUUAGUACAAGUGAAGGCUAGCAAAAGACUAGGAAGCGACCAGCUAGAGAGCGAGAACAGUCAUGAACAUGCAUUAAAAUUAAUAAACAUUGAGUACAAGCAUGAGUAGGAUAUAAUCCACCAUGAACAUAAAUAUCGUAGAGGCUAUGUUGAUUUUGUUUCAACUACAUGCGUGAACAUGUGCUAAGUCAAGCCACUCGAAUCAUUCAAAGGAGGAUACCACCCUACUAUACCACAUCACAACCAUUUUAAUAGCAUGUUGGCACGCAAGGUAAACCGUUAUAAACUCCUAGCUAAUUAAGCAUGGAAUAAGCAAUUAUAAUCUCUAAUUGUCAUUGCAAAUAUGUUUAUUCAUAAUAGGCUGAAUCAGGAACGAUGAACUAAUCAUAUUUACAAAAAAAAAAAUAGGUCGAGUUCAUACCAGCUUCUCUCAUCUCAAUCAGUCCAUCAUAUAUCGUCAUAAUUGCCUUUCACUUGCACGACCGAACGAUGAUAAUAAUAAUAGUGCACAUGCUUUGGACUAAGCUGGAAUCUGCAAGCAUUCAAUAAACAGGAGAAGACAAGGCAAUAUGGGCUCUUGGUUAAAUCAACAAUAAUGCAUAUAAGAGCCACUUCAACAUUUUCAUAAUGGUCUCCCCCUCUCGACCCCCAAGGAAAAGAAAAGCAGUAAAACUAUUUACUCAGGAAAGCUCCCAACAAGCAAAAGAAGAACACGAAAUCUUUUUGGGUUUUCUUUUAAUUACCACCACUACAGCAUGAAAAGUAAACUAGCUAAAAGCUACAACUAUUUUUUGGGUUUUUCUUAAGGUUUUUCAAACACACAAGAAGAAAGCAUAAAAAGGAAAAUAAACUAGCAUGGAUAAUACAAUGAAAAAGUAUGAACACCGACAACUAGCAUGACUGUGUGAACAUAAAUGUAAUGUCGGUGAGAAAUACGUACUCCCCCAAGCUUAGGCUUUUGGCCUAAGUUGGUCUAUGGCCACGGCUGGCCUAGCAGAUAUCCAAAGUUGUAACUGGGGUCGUACUGAGAUGCAGCGGCUAUUGCAUCGUGGGCUGCAGCUUGGAGGCGAGCUGCCCUCGUCCUCCUCUCGUACUCAUUUGCCUCCUCCCUGGUUAUGACAUAUCUCCCCUUUGCCUGAAAGUCAAAGAGAGUAGGAGCAGGGAGAACAAUAUUGACAGUGUGAGGCCUGUCAAAGAUUAGUCGGUACUGGAGAGGUUGUUCACUCCUCUCAACAAACUGAUGGCGAACCAUGGCAUUAAAAUCUAGACAAGCAGGAGGCAAUUCCAUAUCAUAAUCACGAAUAGGUAUCUCAAGAUAAUUAGCUAAGCGGGUUGCAUAAAUUCCACCAAACAAAUCUCCAUUUAUACCAUUAUUAUGCAACCUACGCACAACAAUAGCCCCCAAAUUAUAUUGUUUAUCUCCUAACACAACACUCCUGAGAACACUGAGAUCAGGAACACACAUGUGGCAAGCUUCAUCCUUACCAUUUAUGCAUCUACCUAUGAAGAGAGCAAAAUAAUGUAUAGCAGGAAGAUGAAUGCCCCUAUGGUAGCUUGUGUUAUUUCUCUAGAUUCCCCCACUGUGAUACUAGCAAGAAAAUCUCUAAACUCAGAUUUGCGGGGUUCACUAGCACUAACCCACUGCGGGAGUUUACAAGCAGUAGUAAAAUCCUCUAGUCCAUGGUAUAGGAUUUAUCAUAAAGAUCAAACAGGACCGUGUGAGAGUUGCGUGAUGAUGAAAAUCUAAAUCUUCUCACAAAGGAAUCAGUAAUGUAAUAGUGUUGGAGGCACUUAUCUGACACGAAUCCCUCCAAAUCAGCGUUACGCACAUAUGCCUCAAAUUCCUCCUUAAUUCCUGCUCGGACCAUGAAGUUUUCUGACGGCCAUUCACAGGGCCGCACUUGAGCUUCUCUUGGUGGUUCAUUGUCCGGCUCACGUAUUGCAGGUCUGGCUCCUUGCUUCCUUGAAGAACCACCUUGGUACAUCUUCCUAAACAUAUUUCUUCCUCUGAAAAAUUUCUGAAAUUUUUAGUAACUUCAAAUAAAAGUGAACCAAACUCAACAAAAUUGAUAGCAACUACUCCCACAAGUGCCUAGAGACUAUAUCAUGCAUUAGGACUACUUAGGACCAAAUAAAUUUGACAUGCAAGCUCAAGAACAGGGUCACCUAAGCAGAAAAAUUUGCAAUAAAUAAAGCACUAGAACAAAAACUAAUUGGACCAUUGGAGGAGUCACAUACCAAAGAACAAUCCCCCAAAGCAGUUUUCUGAGUGGAGCUUUGAGCAAGGGGAUCGAAAAUGGCAGCAAGAUGAGCUAAAACUCAUGCUUGAGCUGGUUGGUAAUUUUUUUGAGAGGAAGAAGGAGUGUGUGGUGGCUGGAAUAAGUGGAUUGGAGCCACCAUGGGCCCACGAGGUAGGGGGACGCGCCCAGGGGGUGGGCGCGCCCUGGACCCUCGUGGCCAGGUGCUUGCUCCCCCUGCUGUGUUCUCUGUGCCGAUUAUUCUCUAAUAUUCUGGAAAAAAAUCAUAUUUCAAUUUUGGGGCAUUUGGAGAACUUUUAUUUUCGGGGUAAUUUUUAUUGCACGGAUAAAUCAGAAAACAGACAGAAAAUACUAUUUUUUCUUUAUUUAAUCUAAAUAACAGAAAGUAAAAAGAAGGUACAGAAGGUUGUGCUUUCUAACUUCAUCCAUCUCAUGCUCAUCAAAAGGAAUCCACUAACAAGGUUGAUCAGGUCUUGUUAACAAACUCAUUCCAAAUCGCAUGAAACCAAAGAACUUUCGAAUAGCACUAGGUUACCUCAACGGGGAUAUGCACGUCCCCAAUAAUAAGAAUAUCAUAUCUCAUCUUGACAGUAGGAAGAGGAAAUUCAAAACCUCCAAUAAUAAUCGAUGGAAUUUUUCCAAUAGAGUUGAUACUGUGGACUUGAGGUUGUUUCCUCGGAAAGUGUACCGUAUGCUCAUUACCAUUAACAUGAAAAGUGACAAUGCCUUUGUUGCAAUCAAUAACAGCCCCUGCAGUAUUCAAAAAGGGUCUACCAAGGAUAAUCGACAUACUAUCGUCCUCGGGAAUAUCAAGAAUAACAAAGUCCGUUAAAAUAGUAACGUUUGCAACCACAACAGGCACAUAUUCAAAAAUACCGACAGGUAUAGCAGUUGAUUUAUCAGCCAUUUGCAAAGAAAUUUCAGUAGGUGUCAACUUAUUCAAAUCAAGUCUACGAUAUAAAGAGAGAGGCAUAACACUAACACCGGCUCCAAGAUCACAUAAAGCAGUUUUAACAUAGUUUCUUUUAAUGGAGCAUGGUAUAGUUGGUACUCCUGGAUCUCCUAGUUUCUUUGGUAUUCCACCUUAAAAGUGUAAUUAGCAAGCACGGUUGAAAUUUUAGCUUCCGGUAUCUUUCUCUUAUUUGUAACAAUAUCUUUCAUAUAUUUAGCAUAAUGGUUCAUUUUAAGCAUAUCAGACAAACGCAUACAAAAAAAGAUAGGUCUAAUCAUUUCAGCAAAGCGCUCAAAAUCCUCAUCAUCCUUUUUCUUGGAUGGUUUGGGAGGAAAAGGCAUGGGUUUCUGUACCCAUGUUUCUAUUUCUUUACCAUGCUUCCUAGCAAUGAAGUCUCUCUUAUCAUAACGUUGAUUCUUUGAUUGUGGGUUAUCAAGAUCAACAGUAAGUUCAAUUUCUACAUCAUUAUUAUUGCUAGGUUGAGCAUCAACAUGAACAUCAUCAUUAAUAUUAUCACUAGGUUCGUGUUCAUCACCAGAUUGUGUUUCAGCAUCUGAAAUAGAAAUAUCAUUGGGAUUCUCAGGUGUGUCAACAACAGGUUCACUAGAAGCAUGCAAAGUCCUAUAUUUUUUUUCUUCCUCUUAGAAGGACUAGGUGCAUCUACAUUAGUUCUCUGAGAAUCUUGCUCAAUUCUCUUAGGGUGGCCCUCAGGAUACAAAGGUUCCUGAGUCAUUUUACCCCCUCUAGUCAUAACUCUAACAGCAUUAUCAUUUUUCCUACUAUUUAAUUCAUUGAGCAAAUCAUUUUGAGCUUUAAGUACUUGUUCAACUUGACUGGUAACCAUAGAAGCAUGUUUACUAAUGAGUUUAAGUUCACCUUUAACUCUAGACAUAUAAUCACUCAAGUGUUCAAUCAUAUAAGCAUUGCGUUUUCAUUGUCUACCAAAUAUGCAUUGAAAUCUUCUUGCUUAACCAUAAAAUUAUCAAAUUCAUCUAAGCAUUGUCUAGCAAACUUAGUAGGCGGGAUUUCAGCUUUAUCAUAUCUAUAGAGAGAAUUUACCUUUACUACCUGUGUCGGGUUAUCAAGACCAUGUGUUUCUUCAAUAGGUGGUAGAUUAAGGCCAUGUAUUUCUUCAAUAGCUGGUAAGUUAAGGCCAUGUAUUUCUUCAAUAGGACGUAAAUUCUUAACAUAUUCAGCUUUAAUACCUUUUUCUUUCAUAGAUUUCUUUGCCUCUUGCAUAUCUUCAGGACUGAGAAAUAGAAUACCCCUUUUCUUCGGAGUUGGCUUAGGAUUUAGUUCGGGAAGUGUCCAAUUAUUUUCAUUAGUCAACAUAUUAUUCAAUAGAAUUUCAGCUUCAUCAAUAGUUCUUUCCCUGAAAACACAACCAGCACAACUAUCCAGGUGGUCUCUAGAAGCGUCGGUUAGUCCAUUAUAAAAGAUAUCAAGUAUUUCAUUUUUCUUGAGAGGAUGAUCAGGCAAAGCAUUAAGUAAUUGGAGAAGCCUCCCCCAAGCUUGUGGGAGCCUCUCUUCUUCAAUUUGCACAAAAUUAUAUAUAUCCCUUAAAGCAGCUUGUUUCUUAUGAGCAGGGAAAUAUUUAGCAGAGAAGUAAUAAAUCAUAUCCUGGGGACUACGCACACAACCAGGAUCAAGAGAAUUAAACCAUGUCUUAGCAUCACCCUUUAAUGAGAACGGAAAUAAUUUAAGGAUAUAAUAGUAGCGAGUUUUCUCAUCAUUAGUGAAUAGGGUAGCUAUAUCAUUUAAUUUGGUAAGAUGUGCCACAACAGUUUCAGAUUCAGAGGCAUAGAAAGGAUCAGAUUCAACCAGAGUAAUUAUCUCAGGAUCGAGAGAGAAAUCAUAAUCCUUAUCAGUAACAAAGAUAGGUGAAGUAGCAAAAGCAGGGUCAUAUUUCAUUCUAGCAUUCAAAGAUUUUUCUUUCAGCUUAUCUAAUAAUUUCUUAAGAUCACUUCUAUCAUUGCAGGCAAGAAAAUCUCUAGCAGUUUCUUCAUCCAUAACAUAACCCUCAGGCACAACAGGCAAUUCAUAUCUAGGGGGCAAUCUUCAUCAUCACUUUCAUCAAUAUUGUUAGUUUCAAUAAUUUCAUUCUCUCUAGCCCUAGCAAGUUGUUCAUCCAAAAAUUCACCUAGUGGCACAAUAGUAUCAAGCAUAGAAGUAGUUUCAUCAUAAGUAUCAUGCAUAGCAGAAGUGGCAUCAUCAAUAACAUGCGACGUAUCAGAUUUAAGAGCAGAAGCAGGUUUAGGUGUCGCAAGUUUACUCAAAACAGAAGGAGAAUCAAGUGCAGAGCUAGCUGGCAGUUCCUUACCUCCCCUCGUAGUUGAGGGAUAAAUUUUGGUUUUCUCGUCUUUCAGGUUCCUCCUAGUGAUCAGCAGAUAUAAAUCCCAAGUGACUCAAAUAAUAGAGCUAUGCUCCCCGGCAACGGCGCCAGAAAAUAGUCUUGAUAACCCACAAGUAUAGGGGAUCGCAACAGUUUUCGAGGGUAGAGUAUUCAACCCAAAUUUAUUGAUUCGACACAAGGGGAGCCAAAGAAUAUUCUCAAGUAUUAGCAGCUGAGUUGUCAAUUUAACCACACCUGGAUAACUUAAUAUCUGGAGCAAAGUGUUUAGUAGCAAAGUAGUACGGAAGUAACGGUAACGGUGGCAAAAGUAAUAGUAGCAGUAUUGUAGUGAUUGUAACAGUGGCAACGGUAAAGUAACUAAGCAAGGAGCAACAUGUAAAAAGCUCGUAGGCAUUGGAUCGGUGAUGGAUAAUUAUGUCGGAUGCGAAUAUUCAUUUAACCGUUAUAACAUAGGGUGACACGGAACUAGCUCCAGUUCAUCAAUGUAAUGUAGGCAUGUAUUCCGAAUAUAGUCAUACGUGCUUAUGGAAAAGAACUUGCAUGACAUCUUUUGUCCUACCCUCCCGUGGCAGCGGGGUCCUAUUGGAAACUAAGGGAUAUUAAGGCCUCCUUUUAAUAGAGUACCGGACCAAAGAAUUAACACUUAGUGAAUACAUGAACUCCUCAAACUACGGUCAUCAACGGGAGUGGUCCCGAUUAUUGUCACUUCGGGGUUGCCGGAUCAUAACACAUAGUAGGUGACUAUAGAUUUGAAAGAUAGGAUCAAGAACUCACAUAUAUUCAUGAAAACAUAAUAGGUUCAGAUCUGAAAUCAUGGCACUCGGGCCCUAGUGACAAGCAUUAAGCAUAGCAAAGUCAUAGCAACAUCAAUCUCAGAACAUAGUGGAUAUUAGGGAUCAAACCCAAACAAAACUAACUCGAUUAGAUGAUAAAUCUCAUCCAACCCAUCACCAUCCAGCAAGCCUACGAUGCAAUUACUCACGCAGGGCGGUGAGCAUCAUGAAAUUGGUGAUGGACGAUGGUUGGUGAUGACGAUGGCGACGGAUUCCCCUCUCCGGAGCCCCGAACGGACUCCAGAUCAGCCCUCCCGAGAGACAUUAGGGCUUGGCGGUGGCUCCGUAUCGUAAAACGCGAUGAAUCCUUCUCUCUGUUUCUUUUUCUCCCCGAACGUGAAUAUAUAGAGUUGGAGUUGAGGUCGGUGGAGCACCAGGGGGCCCACGAGGCAGGGGGCACGCCAGGGGGGUAGGUGCCCCCCACCCUCGUGGAUAGGGUCUGGGCCCCCUGGCCUUGAUUCUUUCCCCAGUAUUUUUAAUUAUUUCCAAAAAUAAUCUCCGUGAAGUUUCAGGUCAUUCCGAGAACUUUUAUUUCUGCACAAAAAUAAUACCGUGGCAAUUCUGCUGAAAACAGCGUCGGUCCGGGUUAGUUCCAUUCAAAUCAUGCAAGUUAGAGUCCAAAACAAGGGCAAAAGUGUUUGGAAAAGUAGAUACGACGGAGAUGUUUCAAUUACCCAUACAAUGGUGUUUGGAUAAUAGAUCAAGAAACAUUUGACAAUGUGCUUCCAAUGUUCUUGUUGAUAUUCGGAAUACCUCAGUCAUGCUUCGAGGUAGCAUUAACAUGGUGUUCCAAGUAGGGGUUGGAGUUGAAGAUCACAAGAAAUACUCAAGGAACAAUUGCAGGAAUAGCAAGGAGUCCAAGUAUAACCGAGACAUGAUCAAACAUGUGUUGGAAAGAAGACAAGGGGGUUGUCGAUCAUAACUCAAAUCAUCGAAGGUCAAUGAUGGUAUUUCUCAUCACGAAUUCGAUUGAUAUGCUGGAAGAGCUCAGAAUGUUGAUGAGCAUGACACAAUUGUCGAGAGAUUUCAGGAAGAUGUAAUCGAUCAGCGAUGACAUCAAGUCAAAGGAAUGAUGAAGCAAAAAGUUAUUGGAACCACGGGUACAGCACAAACUCGGAACCAAGCUUGUUGUUCAAGGCAAAAUCAUAUGACGAGGAAGAGCGACGUUAGGUUAGCUCAUCGUCGAAAAUUGUGCUCCGGGAAGAAGGUCCGGGUAGCACAGUUAAAAAUUUAGCACGAUAAUGAUAUAGCCGAUCAGGCUAGGAAUGACUUAAAGGAUUAUUAAACCCGUAAGCAACGAAAAUUACUUGGAUUUCUUGAAUCAGAGUGCGGAAUCGAUUCACUUACAGGCAUUCUUGAGUGACUUAUAACUCAGAACCCGGGGAAAUCUGAAAUCGGUGAGAGGCAAUACUAGAUGAAGACUCAUAGGAAGCAACAUAGUUCUUUGUUAUUCUCUAGAUACCAGAGGGUAAUACUCAAAGGAAGAUCAAAAUAGAGGUUGCGGAGAUGCAUUGAUCUGCAGAAGACAAGUGCUUUAACUUGUCCGAGAAAUGGAAUUAAAGGGGAACAAUCAUGGUCAGAACCACGAUCGCAAAGGACCAAACAUAGAUACCAGAUGAACUUCUAAUAAGGGGAUUAUUAUUAUCACAAGAAGCUUCCAUGAUAAUUCCACAUCGGAUCCAUGGGCAUGAACACAAAGUUCAAGGUCGACUCCCACUUCUUCAAUGCAUAACCUUCCAUUCACUUCUCGCUUUCGAUGAAGUUGUAGUGUUGAAAUUAUGUCUGGCGAAACACCAGAAGAGUAUGACUCGUGAAAACUCUUGGGUUCACAUGGACAAGGGAAGGCAUAGGUUCAACCCAUAGGGGCAUCUUAGGAACCUAUUCCACAAACUUCAAGAGUAAAUAACUGAAGCUCGGAAGUAGAGCAUGGUUAGCAUAAAGCAGGGGAUACAAUUUACCAAAGGCAUUAUGUAUCAGGGGAAGGACUCAAGGCUUUGAGAAUAGGCAAGAACAGUCAGACAUUAAUCCACCAAAGGAUAUGGCGGACCACAAAAAAACUGAUGUGAGUAUCGAUGCUCAACCAGAAGAAGAAAUAGUGCAAAGGCAUCGGAUUAUAGAAAUAUCAGGAUAAUUUCAAAACUUAAAUACAAAGGAAUUAUGAUUUCCAAAUCGGGGGAUCAGAAGCAGAGGCUCUGAUCAAAAGAUAAUUGAGUUGAAUCGACAUAGAUCGACGAUCAAUCAAGGUUUGAUUUGCCGAGAACCAGCUCAUGUUUGAAGUGGCGUCUGAGCCAAAAGGACAAAUUUUAUAAGGAUCAACUGAUGAUUGCGUGCAUUCACACACAUGUUGAGUCAAUAGGAUCAGAAAGUCAACCACAACGGAUCUCAAUGGACAUUGCUAGACAUAUGGAAUUAACCAUAAUGCAAGCAGGUAGUGAAGAACAAGAGCAAUAAGCUACUGAGGAUUUUGGAAGAUCGAAUAGUAUUUUGAAGAAUUUUGUGAAACAAAAGAACAACUAGGGAUGAUCGAAUCCUCGAUAAGUGUGAGGAAUUACUCGUACGUGUGUUCAUGUGGAAAGGAGAUGCAAGGCAGUAGCUCAAAGUAUUCUUAAAAAGUCGGAGAAUAAUUUGAUGUAUCUUGUAAUAACAAGAGCAACUUGGAAUGAUUGUAUGGACAGAAAGUGUAUGUAGUUAUCCAUAGGGGUUUAUCGAUCAUAUGGAAUUGCAACGGCGAAGGGCACAAGGGUUUCGGGGAAACAUCGAAGAGUAUCUUCAAAAUCUUCUGGCACAGCAAGCGAUCAUCGGGACUGAUGGGGCUCUCCGGGAGAAAGUAUUUCCGAGAACCUAAAGUUAGACUUUAGUAAAAUCAUUUAACCCAAAUAGAAGAGAGAACAGAAUCCCAGAGUAUAGACGAGGAAUAAAAGAUUCUAAUACCACCCAAUGGCGACGUGGGCCCGUAGCCACACAGCCAAGUUAGUAACACAGUUUUGGAUGACUAGACUCAACUUCGGCCAAGGAGUUGGAAAGGGGGAUCCUAUAGGUAGUCGGCUCUGAUACCAACUUGUGACGCCCCCGAUUCAAUCGUACACUAAUCAUACACGAAAAUGUGUACAAUCAAGAUCAGGGACUCACGGGAAGAUAUCACAACACAACUCUAGAGACAAAUUAAAAUAAUACAAGCUUUAUAUUACAAGCCAGGGGCCUCGAGGGCUCGAAUACAAGAGUCAGCGGAAGCAACAAUAUCUGAGUACAUACAUAAGUUAGACAAGUUUGCCUGAAGAAGGCCAGCACAAAAGCAUCUACGAUCGAAAACGCAAGGCCUCCUCCCUGGGAGCCUCCUAACUACUCCUGGUCGUCGGUGGUCUCCACGUACUAGUAGGCAUCGACGGUGGCAUCUGGCUCCUGGGCUCCGACUUCUGGUUGCAUCAACCAGAAAGAAGAAGAAAGGGGGAAAAGGGGGAGCAAAGCAACCAUGAGUACUCAUCCAAAGUACUCGCAAGCAAGGAUCUACACUACAUAUGCAUCGGUAUCAAUAAAAUGGGAUGUAUCUAUGGACUGGACUGCAGAAUGCUAGAAGAUAAGGGGAAAACCUAGGCUAUCGAAGACUUGCAUCUUCAAGCAGCUCCAAGCAUCUUGCAGUAUUCAGAAGAGUACAGAAUAGCAUAAAGUAAAGUAGUAGUAGUAGUAGUAGUAGUAGUAGUAGUAGUAGUAGUAGUAGUAGUAGUAGUAGUAGUAGUAGUAGUAGUAGUAGUAGUAGUAGUAGUAGUAGUAGUAGUAGUAGUAGUAGUAGUAGUGUUAUCAACCUCGGCCAGAGAUCCUUUCUCGACUCCCUGCGAGAAAGCAAUCCCAGAGCCAUACUAUCCAGUUAUCACCUCAAGUAUCCAGUUCUAGUUGUAUCGAUCGGGAUACAACUCCAAGUGUCCGUUACCGUAGGACAGGCUAUCGAUAGAUGUUUUCCUCCCUGCAGGGGUGCACCAACUUACCCAUCACGCUUGAUUAACUCCGGUUGGACACACUUUUCCUAGGUCUUGCCCGGCCUCGGCCAAACAAUACGCCACAACCCGACCUAGGCUUAAUAGAGAGGUCAGAACGCCGGACUAAACCUAUGAACCCAGGGGUCAUGGGCCAUCGCCCCGGGAACUCCUGCAUGUUGCGAGGGCGGGCGGUGAGUAGACCUAGCUACCUCCUUAAAAAGGCAGGUGCAUACCAGUAACCCGGCGCGCGCCGCUCAGUCACUGACGUCUAUUAAGCUUCGGCUGAUGCAUACGACGCAGAACGCCCAUACUAUGCCCACGUGAUGGUUAGUGCUAUCAGGCCAGAGGCCCCUCGGAUCAAAUAUCCAAACCAUUAGUGUGUUGGUAGUGCAGUCACGAGCAGAGACUCACAAAAGAUGUGACCCCGUCGCCCCAUCUCGAGGUCUUGCGGCAAGGGCUAAUAAUGCCCGGCCACGCCUCGUAUUCAACUCUCGGGUACCCUCCAGGUCAACCCGUCCCCACAUCACUCGCGGGUACCCCUCAGGGUCGACCCGCCUUUCCAAGUAACAGUUGUAAAGUCCAAGUAUCCGUGUGUCCAAACAUCAAGGCGAAAACUCGAGGAAUCACCCUCGGUGAAUUCCACUCGAUGUAAUCAUGAAGUUGAACGUAAGAGGAACCACCCUCGAGGUUCACACUUGAGGGGUUGCACAAUAGAGUCGUAUCGGAAGUGGUUAAGGAGGAAAUCACCCUCGAUGACCACGACCGAAUAGCUACACUACAGAGAUCUCAUCAGGAAUGAUGUAUGAGGUUCCACCCUCGGCACUUGAUGGUAACUCUGUAGAGUCGAGCAACAAAAGGGGCGUGAUGUGAUGUGAGGCUUCGGGCUCUGGUCGUCGAUCACGUUGAUCGAGUCGUCGAUGAUGAAGCAGGGGCAACAAGGACCAAGUGGGGGUCACUGAUGGAUCACUAAACAACCUAUACUAAGCAGUUUAGGAUCAGCAGGUAAGGUACAAUGAGCAGGUUACAAAAGCAGGCUAUGCAUCAGAAUAGGAGCAAACAAUAACAGUAUCAAAAUCUAAUGCAAGCAUGAGAGAAUGGAAUGCGCGAUAUCGGGAUGAUCAAAGGGGGGGCUUUCCUGGAAGCUCUGCUGAAAAGGAAGAAGUGUCGUCGUCGACGUAGUCGAUCACAGGGGAAGCAUCAGCGUCAGUCCCAAAGUCUACCGAAGAGAAGAGGGGGAAGAAAUAGUAAAUACAGAACAAACAGAUGCAUGACAUGGCAAUAAGCAGAGCUAAGGGAGUUCUAACGUAGUACUACACGUUGCAGACGGAGAGGGAUAACAUCCGAAGAGGUUUUCCGGUGUUUGGCAUAUUCCGGACAAAGGAAAACAGGGGAAAAGUUCCAUCUUCAGCAUGCUAGGGGCAUGUGACAGAUGAACGGACCGCAUACUCGGAUUCAUUGGAUUUUUCUAAGCAACUUUCAUGUACAAAGUAUUUUCAUCCGAGUUACUGACUAUUUUAUAUUAAUUUUCAAACUUUAUAAUAUUUUCUGAAUUAUUUCAAUCCAAAAAUUAAAUAUCUAAUUACUUUUGUCACAUGGGGCUGUGCUAACCAGCGUGUAUUACGGGUGGGACCAUGGGUUGGGUUGGCCGGUCAAUAGAAUGUGUGGCCCACAUGUCAUUGCCACAUGCAUUACUAAACCAUCUAACUAAUUUAAUCAAGGGAGGUCCCACAUGCCAUUGACUACUAGCUAUACCUAAUUACUAAUCAGCCAAAAAUAAACUAAACUAAGUGGGCUAGCCUCAUCCAGAGAGCCAGCCGGCCAUGCACAAAGGAAAACGCCAGGGCCAUGCACGGCUUAAACACCACCCGCAGCAGCUAUGGCAGCGGCAUGUAGUAUUGCAGCGUUGUAGGCAGCAGUGGGCAGCGGUAGCAGCAGGUAGCAAGGGGCAGCAGCGCCGGCAGCAAGGAGCGGCAGCAGCACCGUAAGCAGAGCAAUGACAAGGAGAAGGCAGUGGCGGCAGGCGCAGAGGCGCGGCCAUGGGCGACUGGGCGCGCACGGGCAGCAGCCGGCAGCGGCAGCGGACGCGGGUGCGGGUCUAGGGCGCGCGGCUACGCAUAGGCGGGCGCGUCCAGAGGAUACAGGCGAGCGGGCGCAGGGCAAGGUCCGGCCAUGGCGACCACAACGUCACGACCGCGGCUGGGUUUCCAAUACAGCACGCAAACGAGCGGGUUACUCGGAGCAUCGGCUUCGUGAAGCCCUCCAGAGCACGGUAGCAGCAGCAGCUCGACGCGGGGUGGGUUAUAGCGGCAACGGCGAGCAUGGCGGCGGUCACUAGUGCAGAACCGGGCUUUAGCGCCGGUUCGUAAGGGCCUUUAGUGCCGGUUCUGCAACCGGCACUAAAGAGUGGAGACUAAAGCCCCCCCCUUUAGUACCGGUUCAUCACGAACCGGUGCUAAAGUGCCACCACGUGGCACGAGGCAGGCCCGGGUGCGUGCAGGACAUUAGUACCGGUUGGUAACACCAACCGGUACGAAAUGUUUGGGUGUGUUUUGGUAUUAUUUUUUAUUUUUCCUUUAAUUUUGUGUUUUCAAUUUAAUUUAGUGAUUAUUUUAGUUGUUAAAUCAUUAGGUGAAAGUACCGCAGAUUAGUUUCGACUGGAUGCAUGUGGAUCCUAGCUAAGUGAUCAAGUAUAUGCCAUAUCCAUAUUAUACUUGAUCACCUAUAAUUAAUUGAUCAAGUAUAAUAUGGAUAUGGCAUAUACUUGAUCACUUAGCUACGAUCCAUCCAGCUGAAACUAAUCUGCGGUUUCUUUUAUAAAUGAUAUAAUAACUCAUCAUCAUCAUCAUCAUCAUCAUCAUCAUAUUAAUACAAAAACUCUUGCAUCAUAUCAUCAACAACAGUAAAUUAGCUAGCUAAAAAUCAACAUAGUCGUCAUUACCACUGUUUAAUCAUCAUAGUCAUUACCGCUAUCUAAUCAGCACCAACACUAGCUUAAAGAAAAAACAUUCACUUGUACCAGAAGCAAAGAUAUCAUCCAGGUCAACAUGGUCAUCAUAUUAUAAGCGUUCAUAACACCACAAAAGCAAAUCAUCCUUUGAGGAUAAGUUCAGGACGAAGAACACGGACAUGAGAGGACAAAAGUACUAAGAGCAUGAACUAGCUAAAUCACUGCUGCUGCUCUCUCUCGGGUAAAAUAGCAUAGAACAUGUAUAGCUCUCCUGAUUCAUCAUACUAGAGCAUGCAGAUGAACCUGUCUCCUAAUCGUGGGCUGCGCUUCUCAUUGCUGCCCCCUAGUACUUCUCUGGGAUCGUUAACAUUUUGCUCCAAUCUUUCACUAUUAAGCACUCAUCGCUUUUAGAAAUCCUGAAUGCACUCAUGUGCAAUGUAGGAUAUCUUGGCCGUAAGCUAACCAUUGACAUGUGACCUUUAGUCUCGAUCCACUGAGGCACAACUAUCAUCGGGAGUCCCUGUUGAAGAACACCGUAUAGUAAUUAAUAUACUUAGCAAUGAAAGUUUAGCAAAAAAAAUAAUGUAUGCAAAAGAUGCACUGAGGACAAAUAGUAAAAAUCUUACCAUCUUUUGUAAAUAGAUGUGACCGUAGUUCAAUACGAUCACUAUUGGUUGCACGUUUUGAGUACUAACAUUUCUAAGUGCAGGAAGAAAAUCUGUCUUAACAGUAUGAAGAUCCUCAAGCCAUGAAACAUAAUGACUUAUCUCCUCGCAGUAUAGUUCAGCUUCGGGACAGUAGUAGGUCCUGUCUACCAAGCGCCGGACAUGUUUGCUUGAAUGGAAAUAAGCUGUCAAUAGAAAUUAGUUGUCAACCAUUUUUGAAUAAAUAAUAUCAAAGACAUAAAUAUGGUUGAGAAACUCACAUAAUGGUAGAACUGGAGGCGUCUGCACAUCGACCCAGAUGUCUCUAUUACCUUCAAUAUCAUCUUCCGGACGAAUAUCAAAGGUGAUAACCAUAUCAGGCUCAAAUGCAUAUGCCUUGCAUAGUGCUUGCCAAGUUUUGCAUUCAAAAUAGGUGUACGUGUCUGCAUUGUAUAAUUUGACGUUGAAAGUAUAACCAUGCUCGGUCUUCAGGUAAACUCUCUUUACCACCAUAGUUUCCAUAGCACUGAAACCUAUCUUAUCCAAGACAAAAAUUCUUGCAUGGCAGGGGAUGCGCUAGUAGAAUAGUGAAAAUUUAAAAACAGCAAAUAAUGUCAGAACAUGUUGGAAAUUGAUGACGUCGCUUUGAAUGAUGCAUACUGAACGCAAAAAUAGGCUGGAGUUCAAAUAAGUUUAAAAAACAUUGAAGUGCCCGUGUAACAGAUGAGUUCUCGUCCGAAACCCUGAUACUCCGAAAGAGAUUGUCUAGUUUGUACACGAGGUGCAUCGAGUUUUUGCCGUGACCCUCUCUACUCUUUUGCACAUGCUAUGCGGGUGAAAUGAUGAUACCAUGCCAAGUUCCAACAUUUUCAGAGUUCAUUUUGUAGUGAUUUUCAAUUUCACCGUCUUUUAGCUCUCUAAACAAAUCGGUAAAUGACUGAAAAACAGCAAAUGAUGUCAGAACGUGUUUACAUUGAUGAUGUCGCUUUGAAUGAUGCAUACUGAACAAAAAAUAGGCUGGAGUUCAAAUAAGUUUAAAAAACAUUGAAGUGCCCGUGUAACGGAUGAGUUCUCGUCCGAAACACUGAUACUCCGAAAGAGAUUGUCCAGUUUGUACACGAGGUGCGUCCAGUUUUCGCCGUGACCCUCUCUACUCUUUUGCACAUGCUAUGCGGGUGAAAUGAUGAUACCAUGCCAAGUUCCAACAUUUUCAGAGUUCAUUUUGUAGUGAUUUUCAAUUUCACCGUCAUUUAGCUCUCUAAACAAAUCCAUAAAUGACUGGAAAACAGCAAAUGAUGUGAGAACGUGCUGGAAAUUGAUGACGUCGCUUUGAAUGAUGCAUACUGAACGCAAAAAUAUGCUGGAGUUCAAAAAAGUUUGAAAAACAUUCAACUGCCCGUGUAACAGAUGAGUUCUCGUCCGAAACCCUGAUACUCCGAAAGAGAUUGUCCUGUUUGUACACAAGGUGCGUCCAGUUUUCGCCGUGACCCUCUCUACUCUUUUGCACAUGCUAUGCGGGUGAAAUGAUGAUACCAUGCCAAGUUCCAACAUUUUCAGAGUUCAUUUUGUAGUUAUUUUCGAUUUCACCGUCAUUUAGCUCUCUAAACAAAUCGGUAAAUGACUGGAAAACCGCAAAUGAUGUCAGAACGUGUUGGAAAUUGACGACGUCGCUUUGAAUGAUGCACAGUGAAGGCAAAAAUAGGCUGGUGUUCAAAAAAGUUUAAAAAACAUUGAAGUGCCCGUGUAACAGAUGAGUUCUCNNNNNNNNNNNNNNNNNNNNNNNNNNNNNNNNNNNNNNNNNNNNNNNNNNNNNNNNNNNNNNNNNNNNNNNNNNNNNNNNNNNNNNNNNNNNNNNNNNNNNNNNNNNNNNNNNNNNNNNNNNNNNNNNNNNNNNNNNNNNNNNNNNNNNNNNNNNNNNNNNNNNNNNNNNNNNNNNNNNNNNNNNNNNNNNNNNNNNNNNNNNNNNNNNNNNNNNNNNNNNNNNNNNNNNNNNNNNNNNNNNNNNNNNNNNNNNNNNNNNNNNNNNNNNNNNNNNNNNNNNNNNNNNNNNNNNNNNNNNNNNNNNNNNNNNNNNNNNNNNNNNNNNNNNNNNNNNNNNNNNNNNNNNNNNNNNNNNNNNNNNNNNNNNNNNNNNNNNNNNNNNNNNNNNNNNNNNNNNNNNNNNNNNNNNNNNNNNNNNNNNNNNNNNNNNNNNNNNNNNNNNNNNNNNNNNNNNNNNNNNNNNNNNNNNNNNNNNNNNNNNNNNNNNNNNNNNNNNNNNNNNNNNNNNNNNNNNNNNNNNNNNNNNNNNNNNNNNNNNNNNNNNNNNNNNNNNNNNNNNNNNNNNNNNNNNNNNNNNNNNNNNNNNNNNNNNNNNNNNNNNNNNUUAGAAAUUGAUGACGUCGCUUUGAAUGAUGCAUACUGAAUGCAAAAAUAGGCUAGAGUUCAAAUAAGUUUAAGAACAUUGAAGUGCCCGUGUAACAGAUGAGUUCUCGUCCGAAACCCUGAUACUCCAAAAGAGAUUGUCCAGUUUGUACAUGAGGUGCGUCCAGUUUUCGCCGUGACCCUCUCUACUCUUUCGCACAUGUUAUACGGGUGAAAUGAUGAUACCAUGCCAAGUUCCAACAUUUUCAGAGUUCAUUUUGUAGUGAUUUUCAAUUUCACCAUCAUUUAGCUCUCUAAACAAAUCGGUAAAUGACUGAAAGACAGCAAAUGAUGUCAGAACGUGUUGGAAAUUGAUGACGUCGCUUUGAAUGACGCAUACUGAACGCAAAAAUAGGCUGGAGUUCAAAUAAGUUUAAAAAACAUUGAUUAUCAUAAAAAAUACAUUGAUUAUCAUUGAUCUUUUUGUGUACAAUCUGAAUUGUCAAUAUGAGUCCUCAACGGUUUAGAAACUGGUGCAGACUCAUAUUGCGACCACAUAGAGUUCAAUAAAGACCAAGUGCUUAGGACUAAAAACAGCCUGCCACAACCUCUUUACUACCGGUUCGUGCCACGAACCGGUACUAAAGGUGCUGGCCGGGCCCCAUUCUCUUUAGUACCAGUUCGUGGCAUGAACCGGUACUAAAGGUUCGCCCCGAACUGGUACUAAAGAUCUCCUCCCGCCUAGCCGUUUGAACCGGCAAUAAUGGACACAUUAGUGCUGGCUCAAAUGCAAACCGGCACUAAUGUGUCUCACAUUUGACCCUUUUUCUACAAGUGGGUGCAGAGAUGCGGCCGGCGAAAACUACAACUACGGCAUCGAGAUAGCAUGAAAAGGAGAGGGGGAAGACGUGGAGCUCACCAAGGGAGCUCAAGGAGGCUCUUCGAGGAGUUUAGAAUCCGUAGAGGCGUCAAUUCCGGCGAUGGUGUCGCGGUGGCCGAAGGUGGAAAACGCUGUCGAUCCGGCGAUGCGGUGCCCCCGGGCUUGAUCUCGUGGACUAGGAAGACGAAGAAGACGAUGGCGGAGCUGCUGGACACCUUGGCGGGGCACGGGGACGACGGUGGCUUCGUGAUCGACGAGGGCGCGACGUCGACUACGCUUGGUGCGUAUGUGGGAGAUAGAAGCGGCGCGAGGAAGGGGGAGUGGGGUAGGGUUUUCGGGGGAGUGCGGGGCGAUGCUCUUAACCUCCACGGAGGGCCGCGGGAUGCCCAGCACGUGGUCGUUGGCCAUGGUGGAUGGCCUCCACGCCCUCUGCCUCCACUGUACCGGAGGUAGGAGGAGAGGUGGAGCUGGCUGCCCUUUCCCUUUUUUAUAUUAAAUGAUUUUCUGUUUUUGUUUUACAGAAUUUGUUUGCAACAUUUUGAGCUGCCAAUUGCUCUUUGUAAAAUGUGGAACUUGGCCAAAUAAAUACAUUACAAUAUUUACCAGUGCCACAAAAAGUUUGGGAGGAGUUUGAAUUGAUUUGGAUUUUCACAACUGGAAAAGCAUUUAAAAUGUUGAUUUGGAACUGCUUUAAUUUCUAGGGGAAAUUAAAUAUCUCAAAUGAUGUUGGAUCAUUCAUGACAGUUAGUUAGUGAAUAUUUGCAACCCGGCGAACAUUUUUGUUUUACUGCUUGGAGAAAUAAUUUAUUUGACGUCAUUUUAAAUUUGAAUUUGACUUUGAAUCUAUCGAGGAGCAGUUUGGCUUAGACAAACUUGAUGACAUGGCACCAUUAGUGGGAUAUUACUGUAGCAUGAUUCUCGGGGUGUUAUAGAGCUUGACCUUUACCCUUGACUGUCGCAUAACACCACAAAUAUUUAACAACUCGGUAUCCGCGAUACCACGGUGAUCCUCUCACGAUCACAUAAAAAUCAAUCAACUUCGGUAUCCAUGAUACCUCCGUGAUCAUCUCAUGAUCACAACCAAUCUCUUUCUCAUCCUCGAACCAAGGUUUUUAUUAAGCACAUUAUUAUUACUGUUGACCCAUAGUGUGACCGACUACGAACUGGGCCCUUAUCAGCGGGCGCGGCUAUCGAUAGACUUAACACACAUUCUGCAGAGGUUAGUACACUGUACCCACACCACAGCCCAUGGCCUCACGCUCCCAUUCGGGUGGCCCAACGGCAUUCCGACAAAACUGAUCUACUUCCCAUGACACUCUCCCGGCCACUCCGACCAACUCCCUUCUGGCCUAAGUCAUGGGUGGCCCCGAUGUCUACCAAAGACAUCCAACGGCCACCGUCGUGGCAAACCAAAUCAACGGUCCCAAAUGAGGACAAGGUAUACUAAUCGCAACAACGGGCACACAAGGCUUAUGUCCGCCUACCAGAUCAGGGUAGCGCGCGGCCAUAACCUUCCCUCGUUGGAGGCACCGGCGAGAGGCAUGACAAUAUACCCAGUUAGGACCUUCCCAUAAAAGGCAAAUGUGGUUGCACUAGUCAGUUUGAUUUGGUGGCACCAUGACUCAGCCAACAGUUGUUCAAGUUCAUUAUUAUCCAGUUAAACUUGAAUGCAAUAAGCUAAGCCAUAAAAAUAACAUGAUGCAACUAUAAUGCAUGAGCAUGAUAUCAACAUAAGCAUGGAGGUGCAACCCAAUCAUCGAGCAUAACAAUAAUGAAUUAUAUAUCCAAAUGAGCAUGGCAUACUGACGAGCAUGAAUAGCACGAGUAUAACACUACUCAUAGCAUAACAUGACCAAAAGCAUCAACAAUAAAUGCCAAGCAAGAACAUAUCAAUAAUACUACCAAGUAAGCAUGUACCCAACGAGAUGCAACGGAUCAUGCAUAACAACGGUACUAGAUAGCAGACCAUAAGCAUGCACCAGAACGAACAUCACUACUACCAGCAUGUACUACUGCUACCAAGCAUGACAUAUGAACAUGAUACUAGCAAGUAGCACAAGAUAACAAGAUGCAUCAUAAUAUAGCAUGAAGGUGAACAUGAAACCACGAGCAUAACCGAAACAAUGACAGUAGUAGCAAACAAGCAGACACAUAACGGGCAAACUUUUGUUAAAUAUUCAAGUAGAAAUGAUGGCUAUUGCAUGUCUAUCAUGCAAGUGGCUGUUGUGGCUUUCCCGGCGGUGACGGAGACUCUGGGAAGAAGUGUGGUGAAGCUGCAGAACGAAAUGCCGGACGGUUCUCCCUCGGAGGGGGCCGAUUAAAGGCAAGGGCAAAAUGGUCAUUUUCACCAUGGGACCACCUACUGAACAUGUCACCAAUGGAAAGAGCUCGACGAGAUGAAGAAGUGAGCGUUGGUUUCACCUCAAUCGGAUUCACGGGUGCGGAGUUAUGAGGUGAUGAAGAUCAGGGACUAAUCUGUCAAUAUUUUCAUCACCAACAAGUCCCUGGGAGGAAAAACAGAACGCGGCUUUUAGUGAAAUACGCUUUCGGAACAUGAACGCUUAGUUUAAACCGAAGAAGAACGAGAAUACGUUUUCACUAGCAGAAAACGCACUAUCCAUAGUACGCUUCCACUUAACGCACCUGGGCCCGCUGGGUGUCGCUGGCACGUGGGGUCUAGGCGCAGGGGGAGGGGCCACAGGCGCUCGUCUCCUUCCUCCCGCUCGCCCUGUUCCUAGGGUGAACAGAGGAGGAGCAGGGGAGGAAGCGGCCAAGGGGCAGGCCGGCUCCGGCGAUCCCCGGCCGAGACAAGGGCACCGGCGGGUGUGGGGCGAGGAGGGGAUUCCGUCCAGAGGACUAGCGGACGCCGGGGAGAGGUGGAGAGGCGGGGAGGGGCGGCGCCAGAGGAGGACAGGGGCGGCGGUGGUGGUGAUGGUCUCUGGCGAUGCGGGCACUCCGGCGAGGGGGCAAGGGGGUGGGGCGGCUGAGUGGGACGAGGGGGACUCGGUGGACAUGGAGGGGAGGCGAGAGGAAGCUUGAGGUGGCCGGAAUCAAGCCGAGGCCGAGACAGCCAUGGAGGAUGACGGCGAACAGAGGAGGAGAGGGUCUGCUCUGGUGGUUUAGGGGUGGCCAGAGGAGUGCGGGGAGCUGCGGAGGACUCGGGCACGCCUUAAAUAGUCAGCGGGGAGGUCUCUGUAGCGUCACGGGCGAGCUCACGCCAAGCUCUAAUGGAGGAGAUCAGCUCGUAGUGGCACGGGCAUGGAGUUUGCGACGCAUUUAUGGCCAAACAGGAGGGGGCCUGGGCACGGGGUGAUGAAGUCGAUCACGGGGAAGCUCCAGGACAUGGUUUGAGGUCGAGACGACGAGGGAGACGAUAGGAACAGUGGUCGGAACAAGCGAGAGCACGCAUUUAGCCAUGACGCAAACGUGAUCACCACGGGCACGGGUGCAAGAGGUGCGUUCUGGCCAGGCUGACCAUGCCUAGUGGAAUGACCUUAGUGCUCUGAGUAUAGAUUAAGAAAGAAUUCGGUCUACGGGCAAAGAAGAGAUUGACACCUAGCUCCAGAACAUUUCAACACCAUGGUGUUUGAUGCAUGCUGUGGUUCACAUGUGUGGAUAUAGAAUCGGAUCUUUGGCACAGCACGAUCAACCACUAAGAUGAUGUUGAUUACAAAAAAUCAGCUUAAUAGGAGAUGUUUAGAGGAUACUUGCUGUAGAAACCACCAUAAUGGCCAGAAUUAGAGAUGACGAAGUUGCACUCACAUGAAGAGGCAAGUUGAGCUGAAAUUGGGCAUGGCCCAAUUAUUUGAAUAUAUGAAGAUGCCCAAAAAAUUUCAUGCCAUUUGGACGAACCAAACUAGCACUUGCUUCACAUAGCAUCUCUGUGGACAGAAACUUGAAAAAAUUGCACAGGGCAAAUGGAUUGAUGAAAUGAGCCAAAAACACGGUGGAGGGAGUUGAUAUGGAGAGGCGAAUGUCCUGGUGAACUUUCACCUCAAAUGAAGCAAUAUAAAAUAUGGUUUCUUCACAAACUGAAAAUCUGACCAGAAACUAAGAUUUGGAGCUCUGCUCACAUAGGUAAGUUACAUGAGCUCAAAUUUUGUGGAGAGUCAUUAUUUGACCAUAUGAAGAACCUUGGAAAAUUUCAACACAUUUGGAUAUGCCUAGCUUGUACUUCCUUCACACACGCUUCCCUUAGACAGGAACUUUGAAAAAUUGCUCAGGAAUAUUUGCUAGGCAAAUUGAGUUGAAUUUUGGCAUGGGCCAAUUAUAUGGACAGGAAAAGAUGUCCAAAAAUUUUGGUGUCAAUCAAGCAAAGAUAAAUGACAGUUCCUUCUCAAACCACCACUUAGGGCAGAAUCAGAAAAGGAAUUUUUGUGAAUUAUCUUUGAUGAUGACAAGGAAGGAUUUUGACAUAUUUGAGGAAGAUAUGACCCAAAUAAUUUAUGAGAAUUAUUUGGGAAUUUUGGGAGUGAAAGAAAUAUAGGUUGCUUCACAACCUAGGGUUUAAAGGGUUAUUCCUUUAAUAGAAAAGGAAUAUUGGGAUUAGGUCAAGGAGGAAAAUGACAUGAUCUUGGGAUGAUGAUGAGGAUGACAAGCCACUAUAAAACCUAGGAAGACAUGAUCUUCCCAAGUUUCAGAACCACAUAGCCACGGAAGAGCAAAUCAAAUCAAGAAAUCCAAGAAAAUCAGGGAUAAAUAAAUCUUCUGACUUGAAGAAACCGUUGUUAAUCGGGUUUCUUUUUAUUCAUUCUCAUAUAAUGUUCCCACUGAAUUGCAUCUUACUGACUGCCUUGGUCUGGGGUGGUUUUCUUCACCGUAUCUCACAUUCUGACAGGACUUACCUCAUAUUUUCCUGUUCAUACCGACUCAAUUUUUUUCCUUCAUGUUUGUUGGCUUAGCUGGGGUCUGAAAGAUUAUCAUUACUAACAUACGUGUCCUUCUCGAUAUUGGUCCUUGUUGGAGAUGUUAUUCUCGUAUUGAGUACCGAGGAUAUUCCACGGAGUUGGGAACACACACUACAAAGAAAAUGCAAUUCCGUGAUGAUACAUGUUUGUCACAGUAUGUCACGUUUUCUGUCAUGCAUGUACAUCCAUGACGAUUUUAUGACAGAAUCAAGAUAGUCAUACAUGUGCCAUCGUAGAAGUGUUCCAUGACAUUACCAAAAUUAUCAUCAUGGAAGUGUCCAAUUCUAUGACGAUAAGUCAUGCGUCAUAGAAUUGCUUUCGUCAAGGGUAACCGACACGUGGCAUCCACCGUAAUGGGUCGCCGUUAAGCUAUCGGGUUCCGGUUUGGAUCCGAUAACCCGUUAACAGCCCGGACCAAUGGGGAUUUUCCACGUGUAAAAUUCUCAAUGGCCAGAGGAACCACGUGUCGCCUCACCGUUGGGACAGAUGUCAUCGACUCAUUAGACCGAAGGAGCCUAUGAUACGUCGACAUGUGGAACGGCCUUGCAGAGGCCCAUUCCGGUGAAAAGGCCGGCCCGUUUGACUUGGUUAAAAGGUAGCGGGCUGGCCCACAGAAAGCCUGUUAAUGGCAUGUUCGCAUAUAGCCCAUUUACAGCUCGCUAGGUUACGGCCCGUUAUAGCUUAUCCGAAUUAGGCCCAGUAGCGUCAUUUGGGCAGUCCAGUAUGAUUCCAGCCCGUUGUAACUUCUGACCCAUGUAUGGCCCAUUAUGUCUUUCUGCCCAUAUGAGGCCCUUUCUAACUCUUGGCCCAUUAACGACCCGUGGUGAACCUAGCCCAUAAUGAAAAGUGUAUCUCUUUAUACCCAUUAACGGCCCAUUAGUCCGUCAGCCGUUUCCAGCCCGUGUUAACAUUCGACCUUCUAAGGGCCCAUUUAUUCUUGGGCUCAUUUAAAAAAUUCGAUUACUUACGGUCCGUUACUGGCCUGUUCCUCUUGUGGGCCAUAUUCAGCCUGUGGUGACAGUCGGCCUGUUUGUAGCCCGUUAACACGUUGGGCUUUUUUCAUAGCAUCAUCAAUUACGCCCUAUUAACGACCAGUUAUGGUCGGGCCAUAAAACAGACGAUUUCCACUCUAGCCCAUUUACGACCCAUUUUGUGGUCCGUCAUUGGUCCAUGAAUAGUACUGCCCAUAUUUGGCGAAACGAUUAUAUGGACCGUAGAAGGCCCACAGAUGAGACGGCCCGUAGAAGGCCCAUGGAUCCUACGACCCGUCGAAGGCCCAUGGAUCCUACGGCUCGUGGAAGGCCCAUGGAUCGUACAGCCCGUGGAGGGCCAUGGUCACUACAGUAGGUAGCAGGACCAUGGUCACAACAGUCCGUGUGUUGCCAUGGUUAUUGUGGCCUAGUUUAUUGUGGCCACUAUUAAAACGCGGAAAAAGAACUACAGUGACUACAAGCAAACAACUAAGCAAGAUAAUAAGGAAAUAAAUAAGCAAGCAACUAACGCUAGGCUAUAACGGCUAUUACACAUAUUACAUCCACCAGGCAUUAAAGUUCGCCACCAGUGCAAAUAUAGGGAACAAAGCAGCAUAUUACAUACACUGGCUAUCUAAAUUGGCCACCAGUGCAAAUAAACGCGGCAACAAAACAAGUCCAUAACUGAAACAACUUCAGAAGAGCUCAAGAAACGUUAUCUUGGGUAUCCACCAUGCUAGCAACCAGCUUAGCAAUCUUAUUAGCUUUGUCCUGUUUGGCGCUAAAAUCCUCCAAACGCUUGUUGUUGCACCAGAAAGUAUGCAUCUGAAUGCUCCAGGGACUUCCGCAAUCCUUCUGUUUCUUGUCUUUCAGCUUGUAGUUGAGACUCAAGAAACCGAACUGAUUCAGCCAGUGAGUUUGAAUAGCUUGUGCAAGCGGUAGUGGCCAGUAACUCGAACACUAAACCAAGAAAGGACUUUGGGGUUGUCUCACUGUCUUCAAGAUAGUUUUCCUUAGCUGUUUUAUCAGCUUUGUUGGAGACCAACAAGGAUGUCACUAUCCCGAACCUUAUCUGCAUUACUUCCUUUACCAUUGCUUAAUAAGGCACUCUUCCCCAUUAUUCUGUCAGCAUUCUAAAAGAAGAAACAAGCAGACACAUAAUAGGUUUAGCAUGUACUAGUAUAUGAAACUCUUUUGUGGAACCAGUUCAUUAGUAAGGUGGACAUGAUUAAACUACCAAGUCUUCUAUUUGCCAAGUAGUACAUAAUAAAAGCAUCAAACAAACAUAUAUCUAUGUCCUAUGGUCACUGCAUUGUCUUGCCAAAUCAAAAUAGAGACACGGUUCAAAUCAUAUCAGUUCAAGACAAAGCAGCACUGAAAGAAUACAAAGCGUGGGAAACUACACGGCACAACAAGAUUUCAGAUGGGUACCACGGGUCUAUAUGUACAACAACACUAUUGGCUCUGUUGUGAUGCUAGUAAUGUGCACGAUAUGAGAAGUCAACUAUAUACACAAUUGAAAUUGAAAUCAACAGAGUUAUUUAUAAGAGCAAACCUGUGAAAGAAACAUGCGUAAACAUACCUGCUAUGCCAUUGGAGUUUCGAUUGGAUCCUUCAAUUUAAAAAUAAGUUUGUAUCAGUAAAUACAGUGAUACAAGAGCGAAGCAGUAUGCAUGAUAGCAAUGGAAUCUUAAAAGAGAAUAGUUGUUCUUCAGGUUUAAGCACUUGUAAUACAUGAACAGAGUAUAGUAAGACGCAAGAAUAUACUACUUAAAAUAGAAAAUGAGCUCAUAGACCUUACCACAUUCUUGGUUCGGGACCAUUACAGAACAAGGCGUUCCCAGUCAUCGUCCAGUAAAUGUGUGUUAGGAGAACGUAAGGGAAUUUGAUGAGUUUCUUUGCCAGUGAAGUAUGUUUUCUUCAGGUAAUUCUGAUACUUCCACCAAGCAUUCUUGAAGAUAGCAGAGGUAUUUGCACAGGUUACCUUAUCCUGAGUUUCCAAAUCGGUCCUUCUCUAUAGAGAAAAAUGGGAAAAUUUGUUGUAUUAUAGCCAUCAUGGAGGUAGAAUGUAUUGGACAAAGCAAAGUAAUUGUCAUGAAUAACAUUACUUACACUUAACUCCUAGACAAACACCUGCAACUGGCAUUUUCCUUCAUCUUAAGUAUAAUAUUUCCAUGAUGGGAAGAUACACACAUAGGAUUAACAACAUCAAAUGCGAUAGAUGCUAAACUACGAAUGGCUGGUUGUGCUUCCUCCACAGGAAUAGGUGUACUAACCGGUGGAGUUGGGGUUCACCGUGGUAGUACUGGCGCUUUGGGCACUGGAGCUGCCUUACUAACUGCUCUUGUUUGGGAGCUCUGUGGUGGAGAUGGUGCUGUGUCAACAGGAACUGGGUUACUAUAUGCUGGGGUUGGGGUUAGAUUGGGUGAAGCUGGUUCUCUGUCCAUCGCAGUAGGGGUACAAUCUGCGAGAGUCUGGGUUAUGUGUAGUAGGGCUGGUUCUCGUGCAUUUACAACCGGGGUGCUAUCUCCACCAAGAGGUAGCACUGUUUUAUUUGAAGAUCGUGUUUUUACUCUGCUAGAUACUGCCAUCACCCGCUGCAAUUCAAAUGGUUGAUAAACAUGAAACAUAGUUGAAUGUACAGACAUUAUAUGAGAGACAGAUGCAAUAGAUAGUGUGGAAAAAAGAGGGUAUGAAAUAGUUGGCAUGUAUAUUUUUUAACUAAAAAGGAUAGCAUGACAUAAUUUCACAUAUAUGAUGUCUAUCUAAACUGGAUAGCAUAGCAUAACAUAAUUCAAAGAUAUGAUGACUAAGUAAACAGGAUCGCAUGACAUAAUUCACAUACAUGUUAUCUAAGUAACCAGGAUCGCAUGAUUUAGUUCACAUAUGUGAUUUAUAUGCUAACCAGAGGGCAUUCGCAUAUAUGAUGUCUGAACUAAGAACAUGGUGUUGAAUAUUGUCUAUAUGAUGUCUAAACUAUGCAAUGCAGGACACCAUAUGCAUGAUAUGAGCAGUAUAACCAUGCCAAGUUAGAGCAUACACCUCGGUGGGGGAAUAGGACUGGUCAUCUAUCUCUGAAUCCAUCUCUGAGGAGCUAUCGGGGCCCAGCAAGAGAUCUGCUUCGACAGGUAGCACUGUUUGCUCUGAAGGCCUUGUUUUCACUCCUGAUUUUUCCAUCACCCACUCAAAUGGCUGUUUCACAGGAAGAGUAGUUUAAUGUACAAACAUUGUCGACAAAUGGAAAUGUAAUGAAGAAAAGGAUGGGCAAGAUAUCAUUCAAAUAUAUGAUGCCUGGUUAAACAGGAUGGCAUUACACAUUUCACAUAUAUUAUGGCUUGCUAAAAGACAUGAGACUGCAUAAUUCCCAUAUAUGAUAUAGAAACUAAGCAGGUGGCAUGACAGAACAUGUCUAAACUAAGCAGAUGACAUAUAUGAUGUCGAAAGUAGGCACUGCAAGGCAACAUAUGCAUGAUAUGACUAACAUCAUCAUGCCAAGUUAGAGCAAACACCUUGGGGGGGGGUUAAUAGGAGUGGUCAGCUGCGUCUGAAUCCACCUCAGAACAAAUAUCUUCCUCUGAAAUACAAUAUGGAGAGGGGAGGUUUGCCAUUGAACCCACCAUGGAGCGAUGUCUGCAUGACAUUGUAUUGCCGCCCAAAACUCUUCUCUUUUUCUCUACAUGUUCAGCAUGACUGUGUACAAUAUCUGACAUGCAUACGAAAAAAUUAUGGUGAGAUUAUGUAAGGAGAGCAUGCAGAAAUCUAGAGUGAUGGUAACAACCAGUGGAUGGAUCCAAAAAUAAUGAUAGCAGGCUGAUGAUUGCUUUAAUUUAAUAAAAAUACAUAUGAUGAUUGCUUUACUAUUUGUUUCCCACCCAAGAUGAACAAGAUAGGCAUACCCUAGGUGAACCAGAUAUUAGACAGAGAUACUACUCAGCUGCCUCGAUAUGUGCCCCACAACUAAUUUAGAACUCAAGUUUGAACAUUAAUUUGGACCUGACUUGGAGUCUAAGAGGUGAACAUGACGAUAAAGUAGCAGGUAAUAUUAAGCAAUGCAUAACAUAAGCAGAAACAAAAGAGUGCGACCUCUCUUGUGGCCCUGCGUACUCCUCAGGUUCAUUUACUGUGUCGAUGAUGGUGAUGCCAUUGUGGUGGGUGCCGGCGGCAGGGAAGGAGAUCUGAGGUGGCGAAAGACGGUCAGGAGUCGUGAUGUCUAAUUUGGUGGAUGCUUUUGUCGAUGGAGCAGUUCAGGUGAGGUGGACGACGUCACGGGAGGAGCAGGACAAACCACACAAAGUUUUCUUCGACACCUACCUAUAACUGAAGUAAGUCUGUAAGGGCUCCUUUGGCUUGCAUGAUUCUAAAAAUGCAAGGAUAGGAAAAACACCGGAAUAGGAUAGGAAUGCACAUGGGAAACAGAGCCUUUGUAAACACAGGAUUUCUGUCAACUUGGGUGUUUGGUUCAUAGGAAUUGGAAGAGCAGAGGAAUGCAAAGAAACAUGGCCAAAUUUAAGUGAAACCAUAUGAAAGUGUGUACAGUUAGAAUGUUAUUCUGCCACUAAUCCACUUGGUCUUGUUUUCAUGCAUAGGAUUUUGAAAAGUAGGUCCAGAUGGAUGUUUUGCUCCAUUGCUUUCAGCAAAAUGCAUGAAUAAUUGAAUAGUAGAGUGCCAUAGGAAAAUUUCCUAUUGCUAUGUUUUUCCGUUGAACCAAAAUAGCCCUAAUGGAUCGACAUGAAUGUAAAGUAAUAUGUGAUGCGACAAGUGUACAACCUCUUUGCUGUAGCCGUGUCGACCUCAGCAUCAUUGGGUUGGUUGCUGAAGAAGUUGAGGCAGAGGUGGCUGUCGGAGGUGUGGAGGAAGAUCUGAGGAAUCUGUAGACGGCGUCUAGGGCACUGCUCUGUUGUGAUGGAUGGUUCCAUUGUUGGAGCAGCUUCGGCGAGCCAUAAGACGUCAAGGCUGAAGCAGCACAAGACAGACAUCGUUAAUCUCAACUAGGAUUCUAAUAGCAUCUUCAAUAGAUGAUGUAAAACACAUUACCCAAAAGUGAUAGAUGUAAAAUUUACAUCACCAAAAACCACCUGACUACAACAGAUGAGGUAAAUAAAAUUUACUGUGAAAUCUGAAUGUUACUGUCGAAAGUGAACGCAAUGGUAGCAGAGAGGCACUUCACAUAUAGUUUAGGGAGGGCAUUUAGUUCAUCUUCAACCUGCACCCCCCUGAGCCGCUAGCCACCACCAGGUGAACCGCCGGCACCCGCCGCCCGCGGCGCUCCCGUGCCGCCUCGCCGCCCCGAAACCACUCCCCACCGCCCCGGCGAACUCUCUAGCCCCCCCCCCGCGCACCGAGCUUUUUCUCCGGCGGUCCCCACGCCACCGCCCCACCACAGCGCCCCACCGCCUGCGACCACCGCCCCCACCCUGAACCCUAAGAUAGAUAGUGGGGUACCUCUCNNNNNNNNNNNNNNNNNNNNNNNNNNNNNNNNNNNNNNNNNNNNNNNNNNNNNNNNNNNNNNNNNNNNNNNNNNNNNNNNNNNNNNNNNNNNNNNNNNNNNNNNNNNNNNNNNNNNNNNNNNNNNNNNNNNNNNNNNNNNNNNNNNNNNNNNNNNNNNNNNNNNNNNNNNNNNNNNNNNNNNNNNNNNNNNNNNNNNNNNNNNNNNNNNNNNNNNNNNNNNNNNNNNNNNNNNNNNNNNNNNNNNNNNNNNNNNNNNNNNNNNNNNNNNNNNNNNNNNNNNNNNNNNNNNNNNNNNNNNNNNNNNNNNNNNNNNNNNNNNNNNNNNNNNNNNNNNNNNNNNNNNNNNNNNNNNNNNNNNNNNNNNNNNNNNNNNNNNNNNGGUACCUCUCCGGCGAGCCCCCCUCCCUGCUGCGGGUGGUUCUUCCUUAACUCCGGCGAGCCCCCACCCCUUGAAAAUCAACUGACGCAAGAGUCGAUUUAGUCGACUGAAGUGUAGAUAAAUUGGAGCGGAGCAGCAGCACGAGAGAGGGGGGAGAGCGGUAGCAGCAGUGCGAGCGAGCAAGAGCCGGAGCAGAAGUAGCAGCAGCAGCGCGAGCGAGCAAGCGAGCGAGAGCCGGAGCAGCAGCAGCACGAGAGAGCGACAGCCAGAGCAGCAGCAGUCGUGCGAGCGAGCGAGCGAGAGCCCGAGCAGCAGCAGCUGAUCCGACUGGUAUGGCCGCCGCCACCGAUGGGGCCUCACACUAGGGGAGAGGCGCCGUGGAGAUGUCGCCUGUGGCGCCGGCUUCGAGGUAGCCGUGCCAUGGGUGUGCGGGAUGGAGCACGGUCGGUGCCGGGAGGUCGAGUUAAGGAGAAGGUGCAAUGCGAUGAGUAUACAACCUCUUUGGUGGCACCGAGUAGACCUCGGGUUCGUCCGAGUAGUCUGUGAGGAUGCUGCAAUUUCGGUGGAGCAGGUUAAGGCGGCGCUGUGGGGAUGGAGCAGCCACGAUAGAUGAGGCGAUCGUCGGAGCAGCUCCUUGGAGGUGGAUGUAGGAGAUAUGCCCUAGAGGCAAUAAUAAAUGAUAUUAUUUAUCUCCGAGUUCAUAAUUAUCUUUAUGUUCCAUGCUAUAACUGCAAUGAUUCUCGAGUCUGCAAUAUGGACGAGGCUCGGAGGAAGACUCAUAUGCACGUGUGGAAUAAUAAACGGUAAGAAGUAUUCCUAGUCUGGCCUCUAAGACUAGCUCAAGUGUUGCAUGAUGGUUCUGUUUUCCUGAUCAUGGGCAUGUCUAUGCCAGCAAUUUUGAGGGCACAACGUUAAGAGAACAUUUGUGUUGAAUCGACCCGGAUUGAUGUUAUGCUAAGAGAUUCAUUCGUCACAAGUUAAUGGUUUAUAACACAGAGAUAGUUAAUGUUUGCAUAAUUCCUUAGACCAUGAGAGUAUCGAGUUUCUUCAUGCUUGCUUCAUGAACUUUGGGGUUUGUUAAACGUCAUCCGUAACUGGAUGGCUAUUACGGCGGCUUACGGGUUCAUGGGAAAGUAUGUUAAGUAACUUGAUAGAUCAAGAUUGGGAUUUGCUCCUCCGACGAUGGAGAGAUAUACUCGGGCCCACUCGGUGUUACUGUGUCCAUCAUCGUCUGGCCAGACACUUUGUGAUUUGAUCACGGGGAUGCCGGAACACGAAACGAGAAAAGAGAACAAAAUCGGUAAUGAGGUAACUUGCAUAGUGGACAAAGUGUUGGCCCACGGGGAUGCAAUAAAUCUCACCUCAGGUGUUUUUGAUAUAUCGUGAAGCAACAGGAAUAGCUCACCUCAACUGGAGGUUCACUCGAAUAUUCAUUCGUGUGGGUAUAGGGGUCAAUAUGGGUGUCCACGGCUCUGAUGUUGAUCAUUGAUCGGAAGGGGUUCCAGGUCAUGUCUAUACUUCACCGAACCUAUAGGGUCACACGCUUAAGGGUCAUCUAUCUGCUGAAUACUAGACAGGGAGUCUGAGAGAAAAUCACCGAAAAAGUUUCGGACACCAAAAAGUUUCGGACAGCGGAAUCGUACCGCAGAGAGAGGUCACCGGAUGAGUUUCGGUGAAACCGAAAAAGUUGUUUCAGGGUAUGCCAUUAAGUCAAAGUGGUUUCGGCACAUGCCUAAUAAUUCUUGGAGGGUGCCAGAAUCAUUCUGGAAACUUUUUGGAAUUUUCAGAAAUAAAAACCGAAAAUGUUUCGGAGCUGCCGGUACCGCUUCGGCUGUUUUUCGCACAUGAAAUUCACUAAUCUGAAAUUGUUUCAGAACGAAUCCAAAAUCAUUUUAGUGGGUACAGGAAUUAUUCUAAGACCCACAGAAAUAUUUUCGGAUUUAGUGGACGCGAAAAAUUGUCUUCAUGAAUAGUGAAAAUGCAUUCUUGUUUGCUUUUCGCAGAUGAAAAUCACUAAACCGAAAUUGUUUCGGAACGCGUUGAAAAUUAUUUUAGUGGGUACUGGAAAUGUCACCUAGAGGGCCUUUUUGGUUGGCUUCUUGGAGAAGCCACCUUGAGGGCCUUUUUGGUAUUUCCCCCCUUGGCUUCUUGGAGAAGCCACCCUUGGGCUCGGCCUAUAAAUAGGGGUGGAGGGGGCUGCCUAAAGGAUCAUCCCUUCUCACAUACAAGUGUCAUGCAUGAUCUGGCUUCUUCUCUCCCUCCCACGAAAAGAGUUUCGUAGAGCCGUAAGGCUGUCUGGGUUCCGGCAGGAACUAGUUCUGGACGGCGAAGCCCUGCCGGAUAGAUGACACCGUAUGUGUGCAACUCCGUAGAGAGAUCGUAGUUUCGGUCUUAGUUCGUGAGUGCCUCCCGAAGGGCUAUUCGUGUGACCGUCCGAGUUUCGAAGGUCCUCCCGAAGGGCUGUCCGAGUGACCGUUUGAGUUUCGAAGCUCCUCCCGAAGGGCUGUCCGCGACACCGUCCGGGGGGGGGGCUGUUCGACCGCCUCCCGGAGGGCUGUCUAGGGAGCAGAUGAUGGUAUACAUCCUCGCGGUUCGGAGGUUGUAAAUCCUAGCUGCGGGGAUCUGCACCGCCGAUCGUCAUCGACUCUACUUCCCGCUGCGCUACGAGUCGGUAACGAAAAAGAUCAAACCAUGUAUGUAGUCUCCAUAGUGGUCCUGGGCUGGUGCGUAGGUCGGAAAUUUUUUGUUUUCUGCUGCAUUACCCAAGAGUGGCAUCAAGAGCCGUGCUAUGCGUAGAUGCAGGUUUCGAUCUAGAAUACAUGGAGAUGUAUGGGUAUUGCAUAAUAUAAUUAGGUAGUAGAUGAGAUCUAUUGCUGAAAAUUAUUUAUGCGGGUGACAGAUGAAAUCUGUUACCCGAGGUUCUUGUUGCUUCCCUAGAAUUUGCGUUUGCUCAAUCUCGAGACAGCAUGGUGGAAUUUGACAAAGUUCUGGCAAUCCGUGAUCCUGAUUGAUCAUGGAAGUGCUAUCAGUUCUUUGGGUUCUGCCGUAGUCAAAAGAAAGAUGAAAUUCGUAGAUGAAAGGGCAUUGCAGAUAUGAUCUGCACGGGGGUCAUGCGUAUGACGAAGUUUAGUAUGGGGCUCGAGAUUUAAUUAUCCUGUGUUUCAUACACCCCGAGAUGUUAAUCUAGCAACUUGAAUAAUCAUACUUGAUGAUAAAACGUUGGUAGCUGCGGUUUAAGUCAAAACCUUAGAAGCCACGUAAAAUAAAUUUUUGCAUAAACCGAUUAGAGGCGUCUAACUUGGUUUUGCAGGAUGUGCAUGUGAUGUGGUAUAGCAAUGCUCAUAUUCAAUUUGAUUAUGUAUGAGAUUACUAUAUGAUGUAAUUAACAUGACCUGCGUGUCAUGAUUCAACAUGAUGGUUGGAGCCAUAUGAUUGUCACUUUAAUGACCUGCGUGUCGACCUUAAGUAAUGCACUUAUUUUAUUAGCUAUAGAGAUAGAAAUAUUAUCUGGUGCAUCGACAAGGUGGUGGCAAUCUUCGUGAAGGUGAACACCGACGCGAAUGCCGAAGACGAAGAAAUGAAAUACUUCUCCGUCAGAAAGGGCUAUACCAUAUCAUGCUAUUAUGAAUUGCCUGAGAUGUUUAUCCCUUAUGAUGCACCCUUCUUGAUUGCGCGGUAGUCGCUUUUUAUUAGGGUGAUCUCUCACUUAAAAUAUCAAAGUAGUUAGUGUUCACCCAAGUGUAGCACCGUCUGAAAUUCGUAUCUUUUCAGGGUGCGCCAUGUACACAUGAGCACGAACGAAUCGAGAGGAAUGAGGCAAGUGAGGUCAGACCUCGCAGCAAGAUCACUUGGUUGUCUUUGACGUUCAGGCAAGAGAGUCCUGAGCUCGGAACACGCCCAUCGAAAGAUGAAUAAGAAUCACAUAGAGAUGUGAUCGGCAAGUUGGCCUACCGAUUGAAAUUCGUGUCAUCAGUGAUGAACCCGUCAAUGGCAUCGAAUAGAAAUAUGGAUCUUGAAUCACUCUAAAUCAAUUAUGAGAGAUAUUGAUUUGAGUGGGAGCGCACUGUUGAAUUAACAUGUUUAAUUCUCAUUGCAAUUAAUUAUGAACACUGUCUAAGUGUUUCUUGCAUAAUAGUUGUAGAAUAAUGGCUCGCAUUUCCACCUUCCCUAUUAAAAUUGAAUAGCUGUUAAAUAUCUGGUUAAAACUUUACGAUUGGUAACGUAAUAUGAGGAUUGUUCUCAAAAGUGCCGAGAAGUACUUUGUCCUAUCGCAUGCUUUCCGUAUCCUCCCGCUAAUGUUAUGGAUCAUGUGACUCUCGUCCUUCGAUCCAAAAGCUAGAAUUCUGUUACGGUCAAGUGGAAUAUGUUUGCUUCCAUGAAACCCAAAAUUCGAAAGUUGGGAUAGUUAUAUGAUAUUCAUGGAACUGAAAAUUAUUUUCAGAUACAAACAAAGCAAUGUUUGUUUGCAAGUAUUAGUAAAAGUGUUUACUAUGCAUUUGACUGUUGGGAAAGGGAUCCAGAAGAACGCCUGUCAUAUAAUGAAAGGUGAAUAAAACAACAACUUAAAGAGAAAGGAAGUGUCCAAAGGGUGUUAGUAUGACUUACAGGCCUAGGAAGUCUGGGGCUAAUGCCACUCUUAAGUUGGGUGCUUCUUCUGAGAGUAGGAGAAAUACUAAAAGUUAAACUGCUAGAAGUAUAAAGGCAAAAGGAAAGAAGACUGGAAUAUCCAGCUCAUGUAUGAAUGUCAUACAAGUUUUUGAUGUAUAGAAGACUGGUCAAAGAUAUAGUUCUUGCGAAUUAUGGUUAAACAUGUUAAUCACUAAUUCUUGGGUAUUGUGAGUUCAUCACAAAAAUGCCCGCUCGAUUGCAUUCUGUUGCAACUCGAUGUAAGAACUACUAUGGCCUGAAAGACUAGCUAGAAAUGAGGUUAAGGUAUACACAGGGAACAUAGUAAAUGUUACUAUACCUUCCAUCGGUGUAUUGCCGUCUGUAUUUAUUUUCAUAAUUCAUUUAGAGUUUUAAAAACUCUAUCCCAUUGCAUAAGGUAUCUUGCAAGAAGGUUGUUCAUAAGAGAAAUUUUUAUGUUUGAUGUUAUGAAUAACACAAGGGCCAUACUUUCAUUAUGAAUGAGAUGUAUGUUAUGAAUAUUGAUAAUAAUACAAUAUCUUUGGGUUUACUUUCAUAAUUCAUUUUAGAGUUUCAUACACUCUAGCCCAUUGCACAAUGUUUGUUGCAAAAGAGUUGUUCAUAAAAACAACAAUUGUUGUUAAGUAUUAUGAAUAACAUAAGGGCCAUACUUCCAUCAUCGAUGGGACGUAUGUUAUGAAUAUUGAGGGUAAUAUGAUACAUCCAUAACACUGACGCUAAAUGUCGCAAGACUAAAAGAAUACCACACAAGUGUGGCACUACAUUUGGUCACAUUGGAGAAACCCGCAUGGAAAAUUCCAUUAUGAUGGAUUUUGAAGUCUUUUUGAUUUUGAAUCAUCUGACACUUGCAACUUUCCUCCGAAAAGUGAAGUGACUAAAAUACCGUUCACAGGCCAUAAGGAACGAACAACAAACUUAUUAGUGAUCAUACAUUUGAUGUGUGUAGUCCGAUAAGUGUUGUUAGUGGUGGAUUUAUUUAUCUUCAGAAAUGACUCAAGUAGAUAUAUGGAUAUUUACUUGAUGAGACGUAAGUCUGGAUCUUUUGAAAUCAUUCGAAAGGUUCUCAAAAAUGAAGUAGAAGUUAUUGUAACAAGAAAAUUAUGUUUCUGCAAUUUGAUUGCACAAAGGAAUAUUUGAGUUACAUGUUUAGCGGAUGUCUGAUGAGUUGUGAAAGGGGUUUCAUAAACUUGCACCUCCCGGAACACCACUGCAAGUGGAAAGUCCAUGGAGAUGUAAUCAAACCAUUAAUGACAUGGUAAGGUCAAAGAUGACAUAAAUAAAUUUGCCAUUAUCCCUUUUAAAGUGAUGCUUUAGAGACUGCGGCUUUUACACUGAAAAGAGCUACAUCGGGUCUGUUGAAAUGAAGCCAUGGUAUGGUACGCCCAACCAUGUUAUAUCUUUUCUUAACAUUUGGAAUAUGGGGCUUGUGUAAAAGGUUACAAACCUAUUCCAAAUCAGACAAGUGCUACUAUGUAGGUUAUACCAAAAUGUUGGGUAUUCCUCCCUCACUAUACCGAGGCAAAUGGUUUUGCCGCGAAACGGUGUGCUUUUAAAGAGAAUGGUUCUUUAAAAAGGUGAGUGGGAGAAUAGUGCAACUCGACGAGAUAAACAGUAUCUACGUCAUCAGAUCAAAGGAAAGAGACCUUGGAAGUAAUUCCAGAGUUUCCUACUGCGACUGAUACGGAAGUCUCUACAAUAAAAUGUAUGAACUUCGGUCGAACUUGCAGCUGAACCACGUAGGCAAGGCUCGUGCAAACCUCUCAGGUGCGCAAACGAGAUAUUGUUGUUAGACAACAUUAUACCUACGAUACACAAGGAAGCGUUGAUGGGCCCUGACUCCGGAAUUGGCUAAAUGCCAAUACAACCCGAGUUAGUUUCCAUAUAAGUGAUUCAAGAUUAAAACCUUGAUACACCUUUCAGAAGACUUAGAGUCUAACGAAUAUUUAUGGAACUUAAAACUGAUACGGAUAAAAUGUUUUAUCCAUAAAGCUCGACUUGUUGAAAUAACAAGUUCAAGAGUUGACUACGAUGAGGCUGUUUUCAUCGUAGCGAUGCUUAAAGUUGGUUUGGGUUGAACUAGCAAUUAAUACAUAUUUCAAUCAUGAGAUAUGAAACAUGGAUGAUAAAAGGAUUUCCAUCUAAUGGAAAUGAAAGCUAGGACUUGUAUAUGAUACAGUCCAAAGUAAUUUGUCGAUCCAGAGGAUGCUAGUAGGUAUGCAAACUUCAGAGUUCCAUCAAUGGACAGAAGAGAGCAAAAUGGAGUUGGAAUCUUCGUGUUUUGAUGAAAUGGUCAAAGGGGUUUUGACUACAUCAAUGGGUAACGAAGAUGCUUGUAAUUCAAGAAAGUAAGUGGGAGCGUAAUAAUAUUUCUAAAAACAUUAUGUGCUUGGCACAUUGGUAAUUGGAAAUAAACUUCUUGACACAAAUUAGGACUUCAUUUGAAAAUAGUUUUUUGAUGAAGUGCUUAGGCUAAAUAGCCUCAAUAUUAGGCAUGAUGAUCUAUGGAGAUAGAUUUACCUAAUGGGGCUAAGCAAUGAAUACAUAUUGACAAGAUGCUAUAACCUUUUAGCACUUAAAACGCCAAGGAGUGAUUCUUGCCAAAGUCACAUGGAAAGAGUUUUUGCAAGACUCGGUAUCCCAAAACACUGAUGAGUAAAAUACAUGAUGCAGAUUCCACACACUUUUGUGUUUGGAUUAAUCAUGUAUUCCAUGGUAUGUAAAACAACCAGAUAUGUCCGAUACUCCCAAGGUGUUGCGAGUAUGGAUACCAAAGUGAUCAAAUUACUGAUCAUGGGACAACAGUGAAAGAUGUCACAGAGUACUAGAGUAAGUACUGAUGACAUGGUUUUCUCGCAAGCAGAGAUCAUGAAGAGUUCGUUGUAAAAUGUUACAUCGAUACAGUAUUCAUCUUUUCUCCAUGUGAUUUUCAAUUUAAAUUAAGGGUUUUGUGUAACACACAAUGUGGUGGCACAGUUAGUUGGAAUUCGUUCAAACUAGUUACUGUGGCGAAUUCUAUAACAAGGGCUAAGUAUGUUGACGCUUUAGAAGCGAGAAAGAAGAUGUUGAAUCAUAUAGUUCAUUCAUGAACUUAGUAUAGUUCCAAGAUGGCUUUUCACAAUGGGACACUAUUGCAGGUAGUUGCUCCAUAACUCAGUCUAAGGAAUCCAGGUUCGACCUGUGUUUCACAUACAUACAAAGCCAAGUCCACAAAAAAUAUGAAUUUUGUGAAAACGUGAAAACGCGAGGACAUGCAAAGAUACACACGGAACUGAAGUCGUCAGAUCCGUUGGACAUCAGGCUAUACCACAAGCGAAGCAUAUUUACACCGGUGUGCCACAGGUGUGAAGUGCAUUAGCAUAAGCUAGAUUAUUGACUCUAGUGCAAGUGGGAGUCUGUAGGAGAUAUGCCCUAGAGGCAAUAAUAAAUGAUAUUAUUUAUCUCCGAGUUCAUAAUUAUGUUUAUGUUCCAUGCUAUAACUGCAAUGAUUCUCGAGUCUGCAAUAUCCACGAGGCUCGGAGGAAGACUCAUAUGCACGUGUGGAAUAAUAAACGGUAAGAAGUAUUCCUAGUCUGGCCUCUAAGACUAGCUCAAGUGUUGCAUGAUGGUUCUGUUUUCCUGAUCAUGGGCAUGUCUAUGCUAGCAAUUUUGAGGGCACAAUGUUAAGAGAACAUUUGUGUUGAAUCGACCCGGAUUGAUGUUAUGCUAAGAGAUUCAUUCAUCACAAGUUAAUGGUUUAUAACACAGAGAUAGUUAAUGUUUGCAUAAUUCCUUAGACCAUGAGAGUAUUGAGUUUCUUCAUGCUUGCUUCAUGAACUUUGGGGUUUGUUAAACGUCAUCCGUAACUGGAUGGCUAUUACGGCGGCUUACGGGUUCAUGGGAAAGUAUGUUAAGUAACUUGAUAGCUCGAGAUUGGGAUUUGCUCCUCCGACGAUGGAGAGAUAUACUCAGGCCCACUCGGUGUUACAGUGUCCAUCAUCGUCUGGCCAGACACUUUGUGAUUUGAUCACGGGGAUGCCGGAACACGAAACGAGAAAAGAGAACAAAACCGGUAACGAGGUAACUUGCAUAGUGGGCAAAGUGUUGGCCCACGGGGAUGCAAUAAAUCUCACCUCAGGUGUUUUUGAUAUAUCGUGAAGCAACAGGAAUAGCUCACCUCAACUGGAGGUUCACUCGAAUAUUCAUUCGUGUGGGUAUAGGGGUCAAUAUGGGUGUCCACGGCUCCGAUGUUGAUCAUUGAUCGAAAGGGGUUCCAGGUCAUGUCUAUACUUCACCGAACCUAUAGGGUCACACGCUUAAGGGUCAUCUAUCUACUGAAUACUAGACAGGGAGUCUGAGAGAAAAUCACCGAAAAAGUUUCGGACACCAAAAAGUUUCGGACAACGGAAUCGUACCGCAGAGAGAGGUCACCGGAUGAGUUUCGGUGAAACCGAAAAAGUUGUUUUGGGGUAUGCCAUUAAGUCAAAAUGGUUUCGGCACAUGCCUGAUAAUUCUUGGAGGGUGCCAGAAUCAUUCUGGAAACUUUUUGGAAUUUUCAGAAAUAAAAACCGAAAAUGUUUCGGAGCUGCCGGUACCGCUUUGGCUGUUUUUCGCAGAUGAAAUUCACUAAUCUGAAAUUGUUUCAGAACGAAUCCAAAAUCAUUUUAGUGGGUACUGGAAUUAUUCUAAGAACCACAGAAAUAUUUUCGGAUUUAGUGAACGCGAAAAAUUGUCUUCAUGAAUAGUGAAAACGCAUUCUUGUUUGCUUUUCGCAGAUGAAAAUCACUAAACCGAAAUUGUUUCGGAACGCGUUGAAAAUUAUUUUAGUGGGUACUGGAAAUGUUCUGAGCCCACAUAAAUAUUUUCAUUUCGAACGGACGCUGAAAAAUGUCGUCAUGAAUAGUGAAAGUGCUUUUUGCUUGGCUUCUUGGAGAAGCCACCUUGAGGGCCAUUUUGGUAUUUCCCCCCUUGGCUUCUUGGAGAAGCCACCCUUGGGCUUGGCCUAUAAAUAGGGGUGGAGGGGGCUGCCUAAAGGAUCAUCCCUUCUCACAUACAAGUGCCAUGCAUGAUCUGGCUGCUUCUCUCCCUCCCACGAAAAGAGUUUCGUAGAGCCGUAAGGCUGUAUGGGUUCCGGCAGGAACUAGUUCUGGACGGCGAAGCCCUGCCGGAUAGAUGACACCGUAUUUGUGCAACUCUGUAGAGAGAUCGUAGUUUCGGUCUUAGUUCGUGAGUGCCUCCCGAAGGGCUGUCCGUGUGACCGUCCGAGUUUCGAAGGUCCUCCCGAAGGGCUGUCCGAGUGACCGUUCGAGUUUCGAAGGUCCUCCCGAAGGGCUGUCCGCGACACCAUCCGGGGGGGCUGUUCGACCGCUUCCUGGAGGGCUGUCUGGGGAGCAGAUGAUGGUAUACAUCCUCGCGGUUGGGAGGUUGUAAAUCCUAGCUGCGGGGAUCUGCACCGCCGAUCGUCAUCGACUCUACUUCCCGCUGCGCUACGAGUCGGUAAUGAAAAAGAUCAAACCAUGUAUGUAGUCUCCAUAGUGGUCCUGGGCUGGUGCGUAGGUCGGAAAUUUUUUGUUUUCUGCUGCGUUACCCAACAGUGGAGCACGGGACGCCUGAACCGACGGGAUGACGAGAUGGACAACGGAUCCUCGUCCGGGGAGGUGGAUGAGGGACGUCGAGCUGUUGCGGUGGACGACGUCGUCGGGGAAGAGGCUCCGGCUGGGCAGUGGUGAGGUGGCGGACGGAGGAGGGUGGGGUUUCGCGGCUGGAGCAGAGAGGUUAUGGCGUUCGAAUGGCGAAAAGGAGGCGAUGGGUGGGGGGAACCAUGACUUAGGAACGCGCUUGUCCAAAAUGUAGGGUGUGUAACAAAAGUACCCCCAUCGAUUUGAACUAGAGGCCCUUUCGGCUCAGGGUUAGAAGCGGGAUUUCGUGUGUCGGGAUUUGGCAGCUGGAGGGAGUUUUCGCGCGUGUUGUAAUUUUGGGAUAGCAAGGUGUGGGUUGUGAAGGCACGGGUUGUGGGAGCACGAUAUCUGAAUUUUCGGGAUAUAACAAGGCGCGGGUUGAAUUUUAGGGACAAGCCUAACGUGUAAUAUUGUACUUGUACGUACCAAAUCAAUUCGCACUUCCCUCAAUGAAAAAAUGAAAGAAAAACUAUUCACACCACAGAGAAGAGAGAUUCUUGUCCCGUUUUACUAUACAAAUGCUAUUCAAAGCUAUGAAUCCAUGUUAUGUCCAAAUAAUUUUUUUCGCUGGCUGUUUAAUGCAUGUAACCUGCUCAUACCAACAUUUUAGUGCAUUCCAAAUGUCUAUACUACCACUGCAAUUCGAACUAAAUUUGAAUAUGUUUCUCUAUUUGAAUAAGAAUCUACAAUCAUGAUUGUUGCCAACUUCAACCAUCAUUCGUGUAUUACCUUAACAACAGACCACAUGAUUACUCUAGAGAUAGAUAUGAACUAUGUGUACUAUAUGAACUCGAAUUCAAUUUUUUGAAUACACUUGAUGUUGACUCCAAAUAAUGGUACAUUUCAUGUGCUAACUAGAUAUUCAUAAUCUAAACCAUGUUCCAUACGUACACCUUGUUUAUCACACAAAGUAUAGUGCCCCGCCCCCCUAGAUUAUGACAAGUAUUUAGCCCUGAGCUGCAAAAGCCACACAUUAUCCCAAAUUAUAAUCAAUGUUCUACAUUUUGAUAUCUUCUUCAAGUAUCUGUAUCCACUUGUUUAUAAUGAAUUGUGAUCUCUGUUCGUCUUUUACACCUUCAUGGCCCUCUUCUCUUUGUAGCUAGCUAGUGCUAACUUUCUAUCGUGCAUGCACAUGCCAGCCCCCCUCUCACCCUCCCUCGGCGUCCCCUCCGUCACGCACAUUCGUUAUUUCUCUUUAGGUAGUUCACCCACGGUGUGUGUAGGCCGCCCGGCUCCUUCUUUUCGGCACACACCGGUCGAUAUACCUCUCUAGCCAAGUGUGCCUACCACAAACACACACUUCCCCUCUUCUCUUCGCACCAUCCAUGCCCCCUAUGUCCAAUACGGUUCCACGCAGGUGCACACUCCCGCCCCUCUUUUCAUCGAUCUCAUACUCGCACACUCCUCCCUCCUCGACAUAGUAGGCGUCUCGCACCACCUCCUAGCCUCACCCGUCUCCCCCUGUCCGUCUCUCUGGACCUUAUUUUCUUCUAACACAUGCAUGCGUGUAUACGUACCGAUCUCCCUACAUAUAGCUAGGUCGACAAUAAUUCUUUUUCCCCACGCACCGGUAGACUUACCUCACUAGUUACGUCUCUCCCUUUCUCGGACACAUGACGGUUGAUCUUCCUAUGUAGUUACGUUUUCUUACCACAACCAUAUCGUCCCCCUCAUCAUCCUUGCAUACCUCCCAACUCGUCUCUCACACGCACGUGCAUAGACGACAGGCAGACAUCCUCGGCCCUCUCUUAUUAAUAUUGCACUCGUACCCUCCGUUUGUCUAGCAGGCCUCUCCCACCAUUUGUGAGAAGCAACUCCACCACCAACCCUCUGACACUCUACCUUUGUCUCUCUCCCAACCUUAUUCCUCUGCUACACAUAUGCAUGGAUGCCGAUCGAUCUCCCUCAAUACAUAGCUCGGUCUCUCUCCUUCUCCACGCAUAUACUAGUCGAUCUACCUCUCUAUAGUUAGGUCUCUGCCCCCUCCCCCCCCCACACACCGAUAGUUGAAUGUUGUAGGUAGGUAUCCAUGCCAUAGAGAAAAACUGCACCUCUGCCCUCUCAAGUUCCAUUAGGCCAGCCGCCCUGUAUCUUUGACAUGGGAAAACACAAAUUUGAUGGCACUCUUUAUCGAUCGCGCAGCCACACACUUCAUCCCUGUUUUCGAUUCCAUCGAUAUCUCACGCCGAUUAUCCCUCCACUCUAUAUAUGAUAUAUCCAUGACUCUGUUUCACACACAUUGCAUAUGUUACGUUUUUUUGUUGGUUCCGGCAAAACCCUUAAGGUUCGAACUAUGGGGUGCGCACGAAGAUCUCUCUCCCCCAAGCUCACACACUCACCGCGAUCUGAAGGCCUAGCUCGCCGAACCCGAGGAACAAGAGACACAAGAGUUUAUACUGGUUCGGGUCACCGAUGUGGUGUAGUACCCUACUCCAGUGUGGUGUGGUGGAUUGCCUCGUGGGCUGAGGAUGAACAAGUACAAGGGAAGAACAGCCUCCUGAGGAGAGGUGUUCUAGAGCUCCGUGAGCUGGUGUGUGUGAGGAUGGAAUUGGAUCCGAUCCAAGAUGAGUUCUCCCUUUCUAUGGUGGUGGCUAGUCCUAUUUAUAGAGGCCCUGGUCCUCUUCCCGAAUGUUUAGGCGGGAAGGGAUCCCACAACGGCCAAUUUGAAGGGGGACAACUAGUACAAGCUAUCCUGACAAUAGGUGGUCUUCGCCUGCCAAAGGCUCUGGUGGUGACAACGUCAUGGGCUCCGCGGUGACCUUUGUCCUGCCGUCCUGAUGGUCUUGGUGUCAUUGCACCAAUAUGGAAACCUUUGCCCGAUGCCUCGGGACUCCUCGCCUGCGCCUGCUCCUUUAGCACCAAAAAGGAAACCAGUACUCUGCGCCUGCUGGCGCCUGCCUGGCCUUGGUCGUCAUGACUCACGUCACGGAAACCUCACGAGGUGCCCCCACCUUGUUCUCUCCGCUCCUCGCGAGCCAACCUAGUGAGGCUGCCCCGAGGAGGUCUCGUGUCGCCUGCCUCGCGAGGCUUGGCCCCUCGCGAGGGUCUUUAGUGCUUGCUAGUGAAGAUGAGCUGUACCAGGCCGUUGGUGGAGCCACGCCGUGGGCCGCACGCAGGCAAGUCUGGGGACCCCCGUUCCCAGGACGCCGACAGUAGCCCCCGGGCCCAAGGCGUGCUCGGACUUGGCUUCGAGGCGAAGCCAAGGGGCAAGUGCGGAGCACCGCGGGGCCCAACCACCUGUGGCCUUGAUUGAUGCGUGGCGACUGAUGGGACGUUGGCGUCUCCGCUUCCCCACGCUGCCUCGGCAACUGCCCGACUGACAAAAGGCUGGCGCGGGCUGCACUGCCUUCAUUGCUCCCCUUCGUCUUGCUCCAGAUCCCCUUUCUUGCUCCUUGUUUCCAAAGACUCCAGAUCCGCCCAAAUCCUCCUUCGAGCCUGCCGCCAAUGGCACCCAACAAAGCUCAGGCCGCUCCUCCGUCAUCCUGGUACGAGCCCGCGCGGAAAGCGCCGAGCGUCUCGGAGAAGAACCUUGCCGCCACGCUCCUGAUGACGGCGGAGGGCGAUGAGAAGAGGAAAACUGCGCUCCGGGCUGGCUCCAUCGAGCCGGAGGCCUCAGGCAGCACAUUCUAUCCCUUCUUCAUGAGCAGCAUUGUUGCGGGGUUGGUUCCCCCUUUCUUCGACUUCUUCUACUCCAUCCUCACCCAUUAUAAGCUUCACGCCCUCCAUCUUCAUCCCAACUCCGCCCUCCUUCUAUCGAUCUUCGCCUUUUAUUGUGAGGCAUACGUUGGGGUGAUGCCAUUCGCGUUGCUGCACCACUUCUUCUAUCUCCGGAUCAAGGACGGCCCCUGCUCGGGGUGCAGCCAACAAGACCAAUGCGAUUUCGAAGGCCGGGAAGAAGGCCGAGGGCUUCAGGAGCAAGUGGGUCCUGAUGGAUGCCAAGUGCUCUCACCCCCGGCUGGUGCUGCCGACGGAGAUGCCAACGUCUCAUGACGGGUGGCUCUGCGCGAAGCUCACCGACCCUCGGGCGGAGUUGGUGCUGGAGAGGAUGACCGCCGACCUGAAGCCUGAUGACCCAAGGGCGGCGAAGCUGUCGGGGGCCAUGAUCGUCAAGGAGUUCAUGGCGCAUCUCGUGGCUCCCCUCCAUGCGCGCUCGCGGCCCUUGUGGAAGCUCGGGGGCGAAGGAGACGACCUCCGGAUGACGAGGAGCUGGGCACGGCUCUCCGCUCCUUGGUUGGGGACGACCAAGGGUACCCGCCGGACACCUUCGUUCCCUUGUACUGCCGCCCGGAUGGGGCGAAGAAUGCAUCCGCCAUGCCUGUCUUCGAUGGGCGUGGUCUUGUGCCGUCUGCGCCCUCAGAUGCCCCGGUGAUGACGACUCCGGUGGUGGUGUCCUCUGGUGAUUCUGACGGGGAGGAGGAGCAGGACUCGGCGGCCACCCCGGAGGGGUCUGGGGAGACCUUCCCUCCGCGUAAGGCCGACCUCCUCCGCGCCUUGCCUGAGUACGACGACGCUGACGACCACCCAGUGAGGGAAGUCCUGCCCCCUGCUGGGGUCACCACGAGGUCCAGGGUCUCCCCCUUGAGGAAGCCGCCACCUGGCGUCCCGACGAAGAGCAGAUCGGCAUUGAUUUCUCGGGGUGAUGCAUCCGCCGUGUCGCCGCCCGGGGCCAUUGCGGCCUCAUCGACUCUUGGGGCUCAUGCGCCGGCGCCCAAGGCUGUGAGGACCCCAGGCUCCACGCUUCUGAAGAGGCGGCGGGACUACGCCGCCGUGUGAUAACCCACAAGUAUAGGGGAUCGCAACAGUUUUCGAGGGUAGAGUAUUCAACCCAAAUUUAUUGAUUCGACACAAGGGGAGCCAAAGAAUAUUCUCAAGUAUUAGCAGUGGAGUUGUCAAUUCAACCACACCUGGAUAUCUUAGUAUUUGCAGCAAAAUAUUUAGUAGCAAAGUAGUAUGGAAGUAACGUAACGAUAACAAAAGUAAUAUUUUUGGGUUUUGUAGUGAUUGUAAUAGUAGCAACGGAAAAGUAAAUAAGCGGAGAACAAUAUGUGAAAAGCUCGUAGGCAUUGGAUCGGUGAUGGAGAAUUAUGCCGGAUGCGAUUCAUCAUGUAACAAUCAUAACAUACGGUGACACAGAACUAGCUCCAAUUCAUCAAUGUAAUGUAGGCAUGUAUUCCGAAUAUAGUCAUACGUGCUUAUGGAAUAGAACUUGCAUGACAUCUUUUGUCCUACCCCCCCCCCCCCCGUGGCAGCAGGGUCCUAGCGGAAACUAAGUGAUAUUAAGGCCCCCUUUUAAUAGAGUACCANNNNNNNNNNNNNNNNNNNNNNNNNNNNNNNNNNNNNNNNNNNNNNNNNNNNNNNNNNNNNNNNNNNNNNNNNNNNNNNNNNNNNNNNNNNNNNNNNNNNNNNNNNNNNNNNNNNNNNNNNNNNNNNNNNNNNNNNNNNNNNNNNNNNNNNNNNNNNNNNNNNNNNNNNNNNNNNNNNNNNNNNNNNNNNNNNNNNNNNNNNNNNNNNNNNNNNNNNNNNNNNNNNNNNNNNNNNNNNNNNNNNNNNNNNNNNNNNNNNNNNNNNNNNNNNNNNNNNNNNNNNNNACCAGACCAAAGCAUUAACACAUAGUGAAUACAUGAACUCCUCAAACUACGGUCAUCACCGGGAGUGGUCCCGAUUAUUGUGACUUCGGGGUUGCCGGAUCAUAACACAUAGUAGGUGACUAUAGAUGUGCAAGAUAGGAUCAAGAACUCACAUAUAUUCAUGAAAAGAUAAUAGGUUCAGAUCUGAAAUCAUGGCACUCGGGCCCUAGUGACAAGCAUUAAGCAUAGCAAAGUCAUAGCAACAUCAAUCUCAGAACAUAGUGGAUACUAGGGAUCAAACCCUAACAAAACUAACUCGAUUACAUGAUAAAUCUCAUCCAACCCAUCACCGUCCAGCAAGCCUACGAUGGAAUUACUCACGCACGGCGGUGAGCAUCAUGAAAUUGGUGAUGGAGGAUGGUUGAUGAUGAUGACAGCGACGGAUUCCCCUCUCCGGAGCCCCGAACGGACUCCAGAUCAGCCCUCCCGAGAGAGUUUAGGGCUUGGUGGCGGCUCCGUAUCGUAAAACCUGAUGAAUCUUUCUCUCUGAUGUUUUUCUCCCCGAACACGAAUAUAUGGAGUUGGAGUUGAGGUCGGUCGAGCUCCAGGGGCCCACGAGGCAGGGGCGCGCCCAGGGGGCAGGCACGCCCACCACCCUCGUGGACAGGUGGUUGGCCCCCUGGCCUUGAUUCUUUCGCCAAUAUUUUUUAUAUUUUCCAAAAAUAAGUUCUGUGGAGUUUCAGGUCAUUCCGAGAACUUUUGUUUCUGCACAUAAAUAACACCAUGGCAAUUCUGCUGAAAACAACGUCAGUCCGGGUUAGUUCCAUUCAAAUCAUGCAAGUUAGAGUCCAAAACAAGGGUAAAAGUGUUUGGAAAAGUAGAUACGAUGGAGACGUAUCAAUUCCCCCAUGCUUAAACCUUUGCUUGUCCUCAAGCAAUUCAGUUGAUAAACUGAAAGUGAUAAAGAAAAACUUUUACAAACUCUGUUUGCUCUUGUUGUUGUAAAUAUGUAAAGCCAGCAUUCAAGUUUUCAGCAAAGAUCAUGACUAACCAUAUUCACAAUAACAUUAGGUCUCAUGUUUACUCAUAUCAAUGGCAUAAUCAACUAGCGAGCAAUAAUAAUAAAUCUCGGAUGACAACACUUUCUCAAAACAAUCAUAAUAUGAUAUAACAAGAAGGUAUCUCGCUAGCCCUUUCCGAGACCGCAAAACAUAAAUGCAAAGCACCUAUAAAGAUCAAGGACUGACUAGACAUUGUAAUUCAUGGUAAAAGAGAUCCAGUCAUGGUCAUACCCAAUAUAAAUUAAUAGUAAUGGAUGCAAAUGGCAGCGGUUCUCUCCAGCUGGUGCUUUUUAAUAAGAGGGUGAUGACUCAACAUAAAAGUAAAUAGAUAGGCCCUUCGCAGAGGGAAGCAGGGAUUUGUAGAGGUGCCAGAGCUCGAUUUUUGUAAUAGAGAUAAAUAAUAUUUUGAGCGGUAUAGUUUCAUUGUCAACAUAACAACCAAGAGAUGGCGAUAUCUUCCAUGCUACACACAUUAUCAGCGGUUCCCAAACAAAAGUAAAGUUUAUACUCCCCCUCCACCAACAAGCAUCAAUCCAUGGCUUGCUCGAAACAACGAGUGCCUCCAACUAACAACAGUCCCGGGGGAGUUUUGUUUGCAAUUAUUUUGAUUUAGUUUGCAUAAAGCAUGGGACUGGGCAUCCCGGUGACCAGCCAUUUUCUCGUGAGUGAGGAGCGGAGUCCACUCCUCUUGAGAAUAACCCGCCUAACAUGGAAGAUACGGACAGCCCUAGUUGAUACAUGAGCUAUUCGAGCAUACAAAACAGAAUUUCAUUUGAAGGUUUAGAGUUUGGCACAUACAAAUUUACUUGGAACGGCAGGUAGAUACCGCAUAUAGGAAGGUAUAGUGGACUCAUAUGGCAUAACUUUGGGGUUUAAGGGAUUGGAUGCACAAGCAGUAUUCCUUCUUAGUACAAGUGAAGGCUAGCAAAAGACUGGGAAGCGACCAACUAGAGAGCGACAACAGUCAUGAACAUGCAUUAAAAUUAAUAAACAUUGAGUACAAGCAUGAGUAGGAUAUAAUCCACCAUGAACAUAAAUAUCAUGAAGGCUAUGUUGAUUUGUUUCAACUACAUGUGUGAACAUGUGCUAAGUCGAGUCACUUGAAUCAUUCAAAGGAGGAUACCACCCCAUCAUACCACAUCACAACCAUUUUAAUAGCAUGUUGGCACGCAAGGUGAACCAUUAUAAACUCCUAGCUAAUUAAGCAUGGCAUAAGCAACUAUGAUCUCUAAUUGUCAUUGCAAAUAUGUUUAUUCAUAAUAAGCUGAAUCGGGAACGAUGAACUAAUCAUAUUUACAAAAACAAGAGAGGUCGAGUUCAUACCAGCUUCUCUCAUCUCAAUCAGUCCAUCAUAUAUCGUCAUAAUUGCCUUUCACUUGCACGACUGAAUGAUGUGAAUAAUAAUAGUGCACGUGCAUUGGACUAAGCUGGAAUCUGUGAGCAUUCAAUAAACAGGAGAAGACAAGGCAAUAUGGGCUCUUGGUUAAAUCAACAAUAAUGCAUAUAAGAGCCACUUCAACAUUUUAAUUAUCGUCUUCUCCUAUCGACCCCCAAAGAAAAGAAAAGAAAUAAAACUAUUUACACGGGAAAGCACCCAACAAGCAAAAGAAGAACAUGAAAUCUUUUUGGGUUUUAUUUUAAUUAUUACUACUACAGCAAGAAAGGUAAACUAACUAAAAGCUACAACUAAUUUUUUUGUUUUUCUUAAGGUUUAUUAAACACACAAGAAGAAAGCAAGAAAACAAAUAAACUAGCAUGGAUAUUACAGUGAAAAAGUAUGAGCACCGACGUCUAGCAAUGAGUUUGUGAAUAUGAAUGUAAUGUCGGUGAGAACUACGUACUCCCCCAUGCUUAGGCUUUUGGCCUAAGUUGGUUUAUUGCCACGGAUGGCCUGGCGGAUAUCCAAAGUUGUAGUUGGGGUCGUACUGAGAUGCAGCGGCUAUUGCAUCGUGGGCUGCAGCUUGGAGGCGGGCUGCCCUCGUCCUCCUUUCGUACUCAUUUGCCUCCUCCCUGGUUAUAAAGUGUCUCCCCUUUGCGUGAAAGUCAAAGAGAGUAGGGGCAGGGAGAACAAUAUUGACGGUGUGACGCCUGUCAAAGAUUAGUCGGUACUGGAGAGGUGGUUCAUUCCUCUCGACAACCUGAUGGUAAACCAUAGCAUUAAACUCUAGAUAAGUAGGAGGCAACUCAAUAUCAUCAUCGCGUAUGGUUACACCAAGAAAAUCAGCUAAGCGGGUUGCAUAAAUUCCUCCAAAGAAAUCUCCAUUAAAUCUAUUAUGAUGCGACCUACGUGCAACAAUGGCUCCCAAAUUAUAAGAUUUAUCUCCUAACACAGCACUCCUAAGAACACUGAGGUCAGGGACACACAUGUGACAUGCUUCGUCUUUACCAUUUAUGCACCUACCUAUAAAGAGAGCAAAAUAAUGUAUAGUAGGAAAAUGAAUGCUCCCUAUGGUAGCUUGUGCUAUAUCUCUAGAUUCCCCCACAGUUAUACUAGCAAGAAAUUCUCUAAAUUCAGAUUUGCGAGGUUCACUAGUACUACCCCAUUGUGGAAGUUUGCAAGCAGUGGUAAAAUCCUCUAAGUCCAUAGUAUAAGAAUUUUCAUAGAGAUCAAACAGGAUAGUUUGAGAAUUGCGUGAAGAUGAAUAUUCAAACCUCCUCACAAAUGAACUAGUGAGAUAGUGGUACUGGCGGCACUUUUAUGCCUCGAAGCUCACAAGAUCAGCGUUACGCAAAUACGCGUUAAAUUCUUCCUUAAUUCCCGCUCGAUCCAUAAAGCCUUCUGAAGGCCAUUCACAAGGCCGCACUGGAGCGUCCCUUGGUGGUUCAUCGUCAGCAUCACGCAUUGCAAGCCUGGGUCCUUGCUUCCUUGAAGAACCACCUUGGUACAUUUUCCUAAACAUAUUUCUUCCUCUCAAAAAUUUCUGAAAUGUUUAGUAACUUCAAAUAAAAGUGAACCAAGCUCAACAAAAUUGAUAGCAACUACUCCUACAAGUGCCUAGAGACUAUAUCAUGCAUUUGAACUACUUGGAACCAUAUAAAUUUGACAUGCAAGCUCAAGAACAUGGUCACCUAGGCAGCACAAAUUUGCAAUAAAUAAAGCACUAGAACAAAAACUAAUUGGACCAAUAAUGGAGGAGUCACAUACCAAGGAACAAUCCCCCAAAGCAGUUUUGUGAGAAGUGCUUUGAGCAAGGAGAUCGAAAAUCGUAGCAAAAUGAGCUAGAACUCGUGCUUGAGCUGGAUGGUGAUUUUUUUUGGGAGGAAGAAGGGGUGUGUGGGUGUAGGAAUAAGUGGAGGGGAGCCACCGUGGGCCCACGAGGCAGGGGGCGCGCCCUGUAGGGGUGGGCGCACUUUGGACCCUCGUGGCCAGGUGCUUGCUCCCCCUGCUGUGUUCUCAGUGCCAGAUAUUCUCAAAUAUUCCAAAAAAAUCAUAGUUCAAUUUCGGGGCAUUUGGAGAACAUUUAUUUUCAGGGUAUUUUUUAUUGCACGGAUAAUUCAGAAAACUGACAGAGAAAUACUAAUUUUACUUUAUUUCAACUAAAAAAACAGAAAGUAAAAGGAGGAUACAGAAGGUUGUGCUUUCUAACUUCAUCCAUAUCAUGCUCAUCAAAAGGAAUCCACUAACAAGGUUGAUCAUGUCUUGUUAACAAACUCAUUCCUAAUCGCAUGAAACCGGAGAAAUUUCGAAUAACACUAUGUUACCUCAACGGGGAUAUGCACAUACCCAAUAAUAUGAAUAUCAUAUUUCUUUUUGACAGUAGGUAGAGGAAAUUUAAAACCGCCAAUAAUAAUUGAUGGAAUUUUUCCAAUAGAGUUGAUACUAUGAACUUGAGGUUGUUUCCUCGGAAAGUGUACCGUAUGCUCAUUACCAUUAACAUGAAAAGUGACAUUGCCUUUGUUGCAAUCAAUAACAGCCCCUGCAGUAUUCAAAAAGGGUCUACCAAGGAUAAUCGACAUACUAUCGUCCUCGGGAAUAUCAAGAAUAACAAAGUUCGUUAAAAUAGUAACGUUUGCAACCACAACAGGCACAUAUUCACAAAUACCGACAGGUAUAGCAGUUGAUUUAUCGGCCAUUUGCAAAGAAAUUUCAGUAGGUGACAACUUAUUCAAAUCAAGUCUACGAUAUAAAGAGAGAGGCAUAACACUAACACCGGCUCCAAGAUCACAUAAAGCAGUUUUAACAUAGUUUCUUUUAAUGGAGCAUGGUAUAGUUGGUACUCCUGGAUCUCCUAACUUCUUAAGUACUCCACCCUUGAAAGUGUAAUUAGCAAGCAUGGUAGAAAUUUCAGCUUUCGGUAUCUUUCUUUUAUUAGUAACAAUUUCUUUCAUGUACUUAUCAUAAGGAUUCAUUUUGAGCAUAUCAGUUAAUUGCAUACGCAAAAAGAUAGGUCUAAUCAUUUCAGCAAAGCGCUCAAAAUCCUCAUCAUCCUUUCUCUUGGAUGGUUUGGGAGGAGAAGGCAUGGGUUUCUGAACCCAUGGUUCUCUUUCUUUACCAUGUUUCCUAGCAACAAAGUCUCUCUUAUCAUAACGUUGAUUCUUUGAUUGUGGGUUAUCAAGAUCAACAGCAGGUUCAAUUUCUACAUCAUUAUCAUUGCUAGGUUGAGCAUCAACAUGAACAUCAUCAUUAACAUUAUCACUAGUUUCAUGUUCAUUACCAGAUUGUGUUUCAGCAUCAGAAAUAGUAAUAUCAUUGGGAUUCUCAGGUGUGUCUACAAGAGGCUCACUAGAAGCAUGCAAAGUCCUAUCAUUUUUCUUUUUUCUACAAGAGGUUCACUAGAAUCUUGCUCAAUUCUCUUAGGGUGGCCUUCAGGAUACAAAGGUUCCUGAGUCAUCUUACCAGUUCUAGUAGCCACUCUAACAGCAUGGUCAUUAUUCUUACUAUCUAAUUCAUUGAGAAAAUCAUUUUGAGCUAUAUGUACUUGUUCUACUUGAGUGGUAACCACAGAAGCAUGUUUACUAAUGAGUUUAAGUUCACCUUUAACUCUAGACAUAUAAUCACUCAAGUGUUCAAGCAUAUCGGAAUUGUGUUUUAAUUGUCUACCAAAAUAAGCAUUAAAAUCUUGUUGCUUAACCAUAAAGUCAUCAAACACAUCUAAGCAUUGGCUAGCAAACUUAAUAGGAGGGAUUCAAAUUUAUCAUAUCUAUAGAGAGAAUUUACCUUUACUACCUGUGUCGGGUUAUCAAGACCAUGUGUUUCUUCAAUAGGUGAUGGCUUAAGAUCAUAUGUUUCUUCAACAGGCGGUAAAUUAAGACCAUAUAUUUCUUCAAUAGGAGGUAAAUUCUUAACAUCUUCAGCUUUAAUACCUUUUUCUUUCAUAGAUUUUGUUGCCUCUUGCAUAUCUUCAGGACUGAGAAAUAGAACACCCCUCUUCUUCGGAGUUGGUUUAGUAAUAGGCUCAGGAAUUGGCUCAAGAAGUGUCCAAUUAUUUUCAUUGGUCAACAUAUUAUUCAAUAGAAUUUCAGCAUCAUCCGGUGUUGUUUCCCUGAAAACAGAACCAGCACAACUAUCCAGGUAAUCUCUGGAAGCAUCAGUUAGUCCAUUAUAAAAGAUAUCAAGUAUUUCAUUUUUCUUAAGAGGAUGAUCAGGCAAAACAUUAAGUAUUAUUGGAGAAGCCUCCCCCAAGCUUGUGGGAGACUCUCUUCUUCAAUUUUCACAAAAUUAUAUACAUCCCUUAAGGCAGCUUGUUUCUUAUGAGCAGGGAAAUAUUUAGCAGAGAAGUAAUAAAUCAUAUCCUGGGGACUACGCACACAACCAGGAUCAAGAGAAUUAAACCAUAUCUUAACAUCACCCUUUAAUGAGAACGGAAAUAUUUUAAGGAUAUAAAAGUAGCGAGUUCUCUCAUCAUUAGUGAACGGGGUGGCUAUAUCAUUUAAUUUAGCAAGAUGUGCCACAACAGUUUUAGAUUCAUAACCAUAAAAAGGAUCAGAUUCAACCAAAGUAAUUAUAUCAGGAUCAAUAGAGAAUUCAUAAUCCUUAUCAAUAACAAAGAUAGGUGAAGUAGCAUAAGCAGGAUCAUAUUUCAUUCUAGCAUUCAGAGUUUUUUGUCUAAGCUUAGCUAAUAAUUUCUUAAGAUCACUUCUAUCAUUGCAAGCAAGAAAGUCUCUUUUAGUUUCUUCAUCCAUAACAUAGCCCUCAGGCACAACAGGCAAUUCAUAUUUAUUGGGAGAGCCUUCAUCAUCACUUUCAUCAAUAUUAUUAGUUUCAAUAAUUUCAUUCUCUCUAGCCCUAGCAAGUUGUUCAUCAAGAAAUUCAACAAGUGGCACAGUAGUAUCAAGCAUAGAAGUAGUUCCAUCAUAAGUAUCAUGCAUAGCAGAAGUGGCAUCAUCAAUAACAUGCGACAUAUCAGAAUUAAUAGCAGAAGCAGGUUUAGGUGUCGCAAGCUUACUCAAAACAGAAGGUGAAUCAAGUGCAGAGCUAGAUGGCAGUUCCUUACCUCCCCUCGUAGUUGAGGAAUAAAUUUUUGUCUCCUCGUCUUUCAAGUUCCUCAUAGUGACCAGCAGAUAUAAAUCCCAAGUGACUCAAAGAAUAGAGCUAUGCUCCCCGGCAACGGCGCCAGAAAAUAGUCUUGAUAACCCACAAGUAUAGGGGAUCGUAACAGUUUUCGAGGGUAGAGUAUUCAACCCAAAUUUAUUGAUUCGACACAAGGGGAGCUAAAGAAUAUUCUCAAGUAUUAGCAGUUGAGUUGCCAAUUCAACCACACCUGGAUAACUUAGUAUCCGCAGCAAAAUAUUUAGUAGGAAAGUAGUAUGGAAGUAACGGUAACGGUAGCAAAAGUAAUAUUUUUGGGUUUUGUAGUGAUUGUAACAGUAGCAACGGAAAAGUAAAUAAGCGGAGAACAAUAUGUGACGGUGAUGGAGAAUUAUGCCGGAUGCGGUUCAUCAUGUAACAGUCAUAACAGAGGCUGACACAGAACUAGCUCCAAUUCAUUAAUGUAAUGUAGGCAUGUAUUCCGAAUAUAGUCAUACGUGCUUAUGGAAAAGAACUUGCAUGACAUCUUUUGUCCUUCCCCCCCCCCCCCGGUGGCAGCGGGGUCCUAAUGGAAACUAAGGGAUAUUAAGGCCUCCUUUUAAUAGAAAACCGGACCAAAGCAUUAGCACUUAGUGAAUACAUGAACUCCGCAUACUACGGUAAUCACUGGAAAGAAUCCCAAUUAUUGUCACCUUGGGGUAUGCGGAUCAUAACUUGUAGUAGGUGUCUACAACUUGCAACAUCGGAUCAAGAACACAAAUAUAUACAUGAAAACAUAAAGGGUUCAGAUCUGAAUUCAUGGCACUCGGGCCCUAGUGACAAGCAUUAAGCAUAGCAAAGUCAUAGCAACAUCAAUCUCAGAACAUAGUGGAUACUAGGGAUCAAACCCUAACAAAACUAACUCGAUUACAUGAUAAAUCUCAUCCAACCCAUCACCGUCCAGCAAGCCUAUGAUGGAAUUACUCACGCACGGCGGUGAGCAUCAUGAAAUUGGUGAUGGAGGAUGGUUGAUGAUGACGACGGCGUCGAUUUCCCCUUUCCGGAGCCCCGAACGGACUCUAGAUCUGCCCUCCCGAUGAAGAACAGGAGGCGGCGGCUUUGUAUCAUAAAACGCCAUGAAUCCUUCUCUCUGAUUUUUCUCUCCCCGAAAGUGAAUAUAUGGAGUUGGAGUUGAGGUCGGUGGAGGUCCAGGGGACCCACAAGGCAGGGGGCUUGCCUUCCACCCUUGUGGACAGCAAGUGGGUCCCCCGCGGUUGAUUCUUUCACCAAUAUUUUUUAUUAAUUCCGAAAAUAUUCUCCGUGGAUUUUCAGGUCAAUUCGAGAACUUUUAUUUCUGCACAAAACUAACACCAAGGCAAUUCUACCGAAAAUAGCGUCAGUCCGGGUUAGUUCCAUUCAAAUCAUGCAAAUUAGAGUCCAAAACAAGGGCAAAAGAGUUUGGAAAAGUAGAUACGAUGGAGACAUAUCAACUCCCCCAAACUUAACCCAUUGCUUGUCCUCAAGCAAUUCAGUUGAUAAACUGAAAGUGAUAAACAAAAACUUUUACAAACUCUGUUUGAUCUUGUUGUUGCAAAUAUGUAUAGCAAGCAUUCGGGUUUUCAGCAAAGGUUAUGAACUAACUAUAUUCACAAUAACAUUUAGGUCUCACGUUUACUCAUAUCAAUGCCAUAAUCAACUACCGAGAAAUAAUAAUAAAUCUCGGAUGACAACACUUUUUAAAACAAUCAUGAUAUCAUAUAACAAGAUGGUAUCUCGCUAGCCCUUACUGAGACCGCAAAACAUAAAUGUAGAGCACCCCUGAAGAUCAAGGACUGACUAGACAUUGUAAUUCUUGGUAAAAGAGAUCCAGUCAAACUUAAUAUCAAUUAAUAACAAUGCAUACAAAUGACAAUGGUGUUCUCUAACUGGUGCUUCUUAUAAGAGGAUGAUGACUCAACAAUAAAAGUAAAUAGAUAGGCCCUUCGCAGAGGGAAGCAGGGAUUUGUAAAGGUGCCAGAGCUCGAGCUUUUUGAAACAGAGAUAAAUAAUAUUUUCAGCGGUAUUCUUUCAUUAUCAACAUAACAACCAAGAGAUCUCGGUAUCUUCCAUACUAAAUACAUUAUAGGUGGUUCCCAAACAGAAUGGUAAAGUUUUUACUCCCCCACCACCAACAAGAAAAUUCCAUGAAUGGUCCGAAACAACGGGUACCGUCCAACUAACAUCAAUCCUGGGGGAGUUUUGUUUGAAGUUAUAUUUUGAUUUGAUUUGAGCAUGGAACUGGGCACCCCAAUUACCAGCCAUUUUCUCGUGAAUGACGAGCGGAGUCCACACAUCGUGAGAAUAACCCACCUGGCAUGGAAGAUACUGACAGCCCCCAGUCGCUACAUGGGCGAUUCGGGCAUACAAAACAGAUAAUAAUUUGAAGGUUUAGAGUUUGGCACAUGCAAAUUUACUUGGAACGGCGGGUAAAUACCGCAUAUAGGUAGGUAUGGUGGACUCAUAUGGAACAACUUUGGGUUUAUGGAAGUGGAUGCACAAGCAGUAUUCCCGCUUAGUACAAGUGAAGGCUAGAAAACGACUGGGGAGCGACCAACUAGAGAGCAACAACAGUCAUAAACAUGCAUUGAGAUUAACCAACACCGAGUGCAAGCAUGAGUAGGAUAAAAAUCACCAUGAACAUAAAAAUCGUGGAGGCUAUCCUGAUUUUGUUUCAACUACAUGCGUGAACAUGUGCCAAGGCAAGCCACUCAAAUCAUUCAAAGGAGGAUACCAUCCUAUCAUACUACAUCACAACCAUUUUAAAAGCAUGUUGGCACGCAAGGUAAACCAUUAUAAACUCCUAGCUAAUUAAGCAUGGCAUGAGUAACUAUAAUCUCUAAUUGUUAUUGCAAACAUGUUUCAUUCAUAAUGGGCUGAAUCAGGAACGAUGAACUAAUCAUAUUUACAAAACAAGAUAGGUCGAGUUUAUACCAGCUUUUCCUCAUCUCAAUCAUUUCAUCAUAUACCGUCAUUAUUGCCUUUCACUUGCAUGACCGAACAAUGUGAAUAAUAAUAAUAGUGCACGUGCAUUGGACUAAGCUGGAAUCUGCAAACAUCUAUUCAAAGGAGAAGACAAGGUAAUAUGGGCUCUUUGUUAGAUCAACAAUAAUUCAUAGGAGAGCCACUCAUCAUUUUUGGAGUUUUUGUUUUGCUGAAGAAAGUAAAACAAGAACGAGAAAAACUAUUUACACGGGAAAGCUCCCAACAAGCAAAAGAAGAACGAGAAAUCUUUUUGGUUUUUCUUUAAUAGUACUACUACUACUACAUAAACAUGGAAAGGAAACUAAACAAAGCUACAACUAAUACUUUUGGUUUUUCUCAAAGUUUUUCCAACACACAAGAAGAAAGCGAGAAAAAGAAAAUAAACUAGCAUGGAUAAUACAAUGAAAAAGUAUGAACACCGACAACUAGAAUGAAUGCAUGAACAUGAAUGUAAUGUCGGUGAGAAAUACGUACUCCCCCAAGCUUUGGCGUUUGGCCUAAGUUGGUCUACGCCCAUGGAUUGAAGUGUCCCUCUCUAGUGUACUGAGGAGGGUCCUGGGGGUUCCACUGGUUAGCGAGCUCCUAUGGCUCCCACCGAUAAAUAGACUCCUGAUAUGGACCAGGUGAUGGCUCUGUCUCUGGAACUGGGGAUCGCGUCCGCUCCCAGUAUGCAUAAAUGUCCACGGGGAUCAUGGUGUACCUGCCUAAAUGAAUAUCGAACAAAGAAGGUGCAGGCAAGGUAAUAAUCUGACAAGUCUUCUCGCUAAAUACCAGGUUAUAGACGAGUCUCUUGUCCUUAUCAUCACUAAUAAAAUCAUGUGCUACCAUACUGUUAUAAUCUAAGUAUAUGGUGGGUUGCAGCUUCUCCUCUCUCUCGUCGUGCCUAAUGGGUAUCUCGAAGCGUCUAGCAAGACGGCAAGCAUAGAUACCUCCAAAGAUAGUACCCUUCAAACGGUUUAAACUCAACCGUUGAGCAACCAUAGCGCCCAAACUAAAAGUUCUAUCGCGAAGUAAAGUAUGGCGCAAAGUAGCGAGGUCAGGGGCACUAAGGCCUCCACUCUCUCCACGACCAAUUAAACAUCUCCCAGCAAAUAAUGAGUAAUAGCGUAAAACAAGAAAAUGUAAACUAGCCACUCUCACUUUCGACACCUUUCUCCCUUCCCCUACGGUAACUUCACCAAUAAAAUCUUCCACAUCUCUAGGACGUGGUUCAUCGACGCUGCCCUCAUAAGGUAAUUUUCAAACCUCACAACAGUCAUAAAGCAUCAUCUCCUUAUGCUCAUCAUAUAAAUAAAAAUCUACCAUGGGUGGUGAUUUCCUAGCAUGAAAGUGAAAAUUCUGCACGAAGGUAUUAGUGAGUAGGAGGUAUUGUUCACACUUAUCGUGAAGGAAGUCGGUGAUGCCUGCAUUACCAGAAAAAUAAUAGAAAUCCUCAUAAAUUCUGGCCGCCUCCAAGAAUGCAUCACUUGGCCAUUCACACGGUCGAACCUCUACGGUGCGAGGAAGGUUGUACUUGGGCUCCUUCUUCUCCUCAUUUUCAUUUUCCUUCGAACCCCAGCUCGAAGAGCCUCUCAACAAUCUCCUCAUUAUUUUCUCCCUCUGAAAAAUUGUGAAAUUUUUAGUGACUCAAAAAUAAAAGUGAACCAAACUCGACAAGAUUGAUAGCAACUACUCCUACAAGUGCCUAGAGGCUAAAUCAUGCAUCAAAACUACUUUCGACCAUAUCAAUUUGACAUGCAAGCUCAAGAACAAGGUCACCACAAUAGUAAAAAAAUUGCAAUAAAUAAAGCACUAGAACAAAAACUAAUUAGACCAUUGGAGGAGUCACAUACCAAAGAACAAUCCCCCAAAACAGUUUUGUAAAUGGAGCUUUGCACAAGGAGAUCAAAAAAGGCAGCAAGAUGAGCAAGAACACGGGCUUGAGCUACGGGAUGAUUUUUUCUGGAGGAAGACGAAGUGGAUGGGUGCUAGAAUAAGGGGGACCAACGUGGGACCCACAAGGCAGGGGCGCGCCUUCCACCCUUGUGGUCCACUGCUGCAGCCCCCUGGUGCCAGAAAUUCUAAAAUAUUCUAAAAAAAUCAUACUAAAUUUUCAGGGCAUUUGGAGAACUUUUAUUUUUGGGGCAUUUUUUAUUGCACAGAUAAUUUAGAAAAAAGACAGAUAAUACUAUUUUUGCUUUAUUUAUUUUAAAUAACAGAAAGUAAAAAGUAGGUACAGAAGGUUGUGCCUUAUAAAUUCAUCCAUCUCAUGCUCAUCAAAAGGAAUCUGUUAACAAGAUUGAUCAAGUCUUAUUAACAAAAUUCUUUCGAAUAUCAUGAAACCGGAGAAUUUUCGAAUAACACUAAGUUACCUCGACGGGGAUAUGCAUGUUGAUAAUCCACAAGUAUAGGGGAUCAAUUGUAGCUUCUUUCGAUAAGUAAGAGUGUCGAACCCAACGAGGAGCUAAAGGUAGAACAAAUAUUCCCUCAAGUUUUAUCGACUACCGAUACAACUCUACGCACGCUUGAUGUUCGCUUUACCUAGAACAAGUAUAAAACUAGACGUACUUUGUAGGUGUUUUUGGAUAGGUUUGCAAGAUAAUAAAGAGCGCAUAAAUAAAAAGUAGGGGCUGUUUAGAUAAAGAAGCAAUAAAGUUAGUAUAGCGAGUGUGGAAAAGUGGUGGUAGGAGUUGCGAAAUUGUCCCUAAGCAAUUGACUACUUUACUAGACCAAUAGCAAGUCUUAUGUGGGAGAGGCCACUGCUAGCAUGUCAUCCCUGACUUGGAAUUCUAUGCACUUAUGAUUGGAACUAUUAGAAAGCUUCCGCAACUACUAAAGUUCAUUAAGGUAAAACCCAACCAUAGCAUUAAGAUAUAUUGGUCCCCCUUCAAUCCCGUAUGCAUCAAUUUCUAUGCUAGGUUGAAGCUUCUGUCACUCUUGCCCUCCAAUACAUAGUCCUAUCAACAUACAACUAACCCUAUGGUGUGAUCCACGCGCGCGCUCAUAUGAUGGGUACCAAAGGACAGCAACAUAACCACAAGCAAAUUAAACCAAUCAUAGCAAUUCACCAAUUACCGAUAGGACAACGAAAAUCUACUCAGACAUCAUAGGAUGGCAACACAUCAUUGGAUAAUAAUAUGAAGCAUAAAGCACCAUGUUCAAGUAGAGGAUAUAGCGGGUUGCGGGAGAGUGGACCGCAGUAGAUAGAUGGGGAAAGGUGAUGAAGAUGAUGGAGGUGUUGGUGUAGAUCGCCGUAACACGAUGAUGGCCCCAGCGGCGUUCCGGCGCCACCGAGAGAGAGGGGGAGAGGGCCCCCCUUCUUCUUCUUCCUUGACCUUCUCCCUAGAUGGGAGAAGGGUUUCCCCUCUGGUCCUUGGCUUCCAUGGCAUGGGAGGGGCGAGAGCCCCUCCGAGAUUGGAUCUGUCUCUCUGUCUCGCUCUGUUUCUGCGUUCUGGAUUCUACCCUUUCACCGUUUCUUUUAUAACCGGAGAUCCGUAACUCCGAUUGGAUUGAAACCUUCGCCACGAUUUUUUUUCUUCUGAAAAUUAGCUUUCUUGCGGCAAAAGAAUAGCAGCAACCGCCUUACGGGGUGCCCACGAGGGUCAGGGGCGCGCCUGCCCCCCUGGUGCGCGCCCCCUGCCUCGUGGCCCCCUCGGGCACCGUCUCGCGUUGAUUCUUCGUACAGAUAUCAAAAAUAUUCCAAAAAUAUUCUCCGUCCGUUUUUAUCCCGUUUGGACUCUGUUUGAUAUGGGGUUUCUGCGAAACAUAAAACAUGCACCAAACAGGAAUUGGCACUGGGCACUGGAUCAAUAUGUUAGUCCCAAAAAUAGUAUAAAAAGUUGCCAAAAGUAUAUGAAAGUUUUAUAAUAUUGACAUGGAACAAUCAAAAAUUAUAGAUACGACGGAGAUGUAUCACAUCUCCCCAACAAUAGGAAUAUCAUAUUUCUUUUCGACAGUAGGGAGAGGGAAUUCAAAACCUCCAAUAGUAAUCGUUGAAACUUUUUCAAUAGAAUUGAUACUAUGAACUUGAGGUUGUUUCUUCGAAAAGUGUACCGUAUGCGCAUUGCCAUUAACAUGAAAAGUGACAUUGCCUUUGUUGCAAUCAAUAACAGCCCCUGCAGUAUUCAAAAAGGUCUACGAAGGAUGAUCGACAUACUGUCGUCCUUGGAAAUAUCAAGAAUAACAAAGUUCGUUAAGAUAGUAACAUCACUACAACAAGAACCCCCCUUCAGCAACGCAUAGAUACGUUGUCGUUUGUCCAUAUAAGCAUUGCUAAGGUCUACACCAACGGAUUCAUAUGUGUUGCCGUUGGUGGCGCUGCAAGGGUCUACAACAACGUAUAUAGAUCCGUUGGUAAUCUGGGAAAUAAUGUGUUGCAAGGCAACAACAGAUUCAUGCAACAUUUCUAUGCGUUGGUGCUUGCAAAAUAGAAUAGCCUCCAUAUAUAAUCAUUUUUUUGUGGUAUAUGUAAUCAUUUAUAACGUUGUUGUUCCUUGCACUGGUGCUUGCAAAAUAGUGUAACCUCCAUAUAUAAUCAUUUAUAACAAUAGGUAGUUCAAAUGGCAGUACAAGCUAGAACUUUACUAAAAUUCAAAAGAGUAUAAAUGAAAGUGAUAUAUUGAUUCGAUGGAACAAUCUGUUACAUUACAAUGCAAGUAUCAUCAAUCAGGAGUACAUCACUUUCUUAGAAAAUAUAAAAAAAAUGAAAAAUAAAACAUUCUAAACAUUAAGGGAUCUGUCUGGUUUCUCCUCCAGGUACAAGAAUCAUCAUACGUUCUCCAAGGUCCAAGUAAUCAUCUUGUAUUGAAAUUCUCAAACUACAAAGAAAAGUCAUAAUACCAUUUAGGCAUAAAUUCAAAAUGAAGUUUAAAAAUAUACAUACUAUGCAUUGUUCCUAAAAGGAUCCACAGAGAAAUUACCAAGUGNNNNNNNNNNNNNNNNNNNNNNNNNNNNNNNNNNNNNNNNNNNNNNNNNNNNNNNNNNNNNNNNNNNNNNNNNNNNNNNNNNNNNNNNNNNNNNNNNNNNNNNNNNNNNNNNNNNNNNNNNNNNNNNNNNNNNNNNNNNNNNNNNNNNNNNNNNNNNNNNNNNNNNNNNNNNNNNNNNNNNNNNNNNNNNNNNNNNNNNNNNNNNNNNNNNNNNNNNNNNNNNNNNNNNNNNNNNNNNNNNNNNNNNNNNNNNNNNNNNNNNNNNNNNNNNNNNNNNNNNNNNNNNNNNNNNNNNNNNNNNNNNNNNNNNNNNNNNNNNNNNNNNNNNNNNNNNNNNNNNNNNNNNNNNNNNNNNNNNNNNNNNNNNNNNNNNNNNNNNNNNNNNNNNNNNNNNNNNNNNNNCCUAAGCUUAUGUAUGUCUGAAAAAUAACUUAGUAAUACAUGUUAAAACACUAAUUAUGUUUGACCAAUCGGAUGUGCCUGUUCACUGUGAACAACCAGCAUCAUGUAUUCACUACUAACAAUUAUCCAAGAUUGUAUUCUAUCAGCAACGAGAUGAGUUGAUCAACCAACUAAAUGCUGAAUAGGUAAGCAAUAAAAUCGACUAUACAAAAUUGGAUAUUUCCGUUUUCCAAAAGUCUCAACACUAAAUAGUUUUGUGUCACCAUUACUCACAUACUGCUCAUGCUUGGUAUGAUGUAUUAGAGGAAAAGAACUCAAUGCCAAGAGCUAAAAAAUCAUUAACUAGUCAACAUCACACAGAACUUCGUAGAUGAGAACUACAAUGUCACAUUAUAAUUUCUAAAUUCAAGAAUAAGAUUCUUGGAACCAUUAGAAGAAACAACAUGAAAAAGAAACACAUCAUUAGAUUUGGGCUUCUAUAGGAAAAAGUAGUGGAGUUUUGUUUCUAGAGAAGGUAGGAUCCAAGGUGUUUACAGGGAAAUAAAAAUAAUUUAAUGUGGCACUAUUUAAUUCUUCAAGACCAGCCUAACUCUAAAGCUGAAUACAUAUUUAACAAAAUGCUCCAGGGGUGACCUAUGUAAUGGCCGAAGAAUCUAAAUAAAAGGAAACCUAUGUAAUGGAUGAACAAUUUUAUAUCAGUACUUAUCCAAUUUUAAGAAACACUACCCAUGUGCUUUUACUACCAACGUGGCAUAUAUCAUAUAAUGAAUAGAACUUGAUCUUUGGUCGCAACUCAGCUCCCUAAUCAUGUACUCCCUCCGUCCCAAAAUGUAAGAUCAUUCUUUACACUAUGAUAGUGUCAAAAAUGGUCUUACAUUUUGAGAUGGAGGAAGUACCAUUUGUCACGUCACCUAAUAACUGAAUAUCAAUACAUAUAUGAAUCUACAAAAUAUGGGCCUGAACGUAAGUUAAGACCGACAUAUAUAGGCACACUUAACUAACAGACUCGUUGGACCAGUUAGUGUAAAAAAUGAAGGAAAUGGAAUAAAUAAGGAUGCUACAUCAUGAGGAGAAGAUAAGGAGAUGAAAACCUUAGUGGCCUGAACCAGGGGAGGUUUAUCAAGUAAGCGAAUGGGUUGCCCCACUUUCUGCGAUUACAUCGUAAGCUGCACAUUUCCAUCUGCCCCUAAAGCUCCACACAAUUAAAGAAAGUUAAUCCCUCACACAAUCAACCCAAGGCAGGUUAAAUAUUUUAACACAAUCCUACCUAUUUGCGCAUCUAUUGUCAACAGUUCGAAACCUGACCUGUAGGAAAGUUUCAUAACAACAUCAUGGUUGCUGCAAGUGUCUAGACUUUAGAAACUGACAGACUGUUAGCUGACAUCUUGCAGGCACAAAAAUUGCAAGGAAAAAAAAUCACAUGAUGAGAUACUGGUGGAACAAAUAAUACCAAGAAUUGUAAGGAAAAGGGACCAUGGAAUCAAUAAGGAGCUAGAGGGUUCCAUGAUCAUUAUUGUACGCAUUCUACAUAUGGAAUAAUUUUUGCAAUGAAUAGUAUAAAAGAAAAGCUAAUCAAGAGAAAGAUUAGAGAAGAGAUAACGAGUAGUAGGUUCAAUUUGCAAGAAUUUUAAAACAUACGGAUCUUCCAUAUUUUUUAUUUGGGAAUGCAUGUCAUCUUCUAUCUACUGUAUAUAUACUGAGGAGCAGCAAAAUCAGCAGCGGUGACAGUAGCAAUCAGCGGCAGCAGCAAUGGCAACCAGCCGUAGAAGAAAACAAUCAGCGCCAGCGGCAACCGUCUUCUAUCUACUGUAUAGGUACUAAGGAGCAGCAAAAUCAGCAGCGACUAUAAUAGCAAUCAGCGGCAGUAACAAGCCAACAAUGGCAACUAGCAGCGAUAGCAAACAAUCAGCGGCAGCGGCAACCAUCUUCUAUCUACAGCAAAAUCAGCAGCAGUAAUGAACAAUCAGUGUCACCAAGGGCUAUACUUUCCAUCACCACGCACGCACCACAUAGACACAUGAAAACGAGUCAAGCACGCACGCAGCUACAGGCAAACGCACGAACGGCCACGAGAGCAAGACCACGCCGGUCGCAGGGCGCCAAAUAAAGCCAAAAGAAGCAUCUUCGCCGCUGAAGGCUUUGUGAGCCGCAAGAAGCCAAGAACCACACGCACAUGCGGGAUCCAAUUGACAGUUGAGGAACAUGACCGGAGCUACACCCCAUGCUCCUCUGACCUCGGGCUCAUCCCAACUGCCGGCCAGCACCGAGUUACCACCAGUCCACCACAGAGAGACAUCCACCACAGAGAGAUGGGAGCAGAAACCUACACCACAACUUGUUUGAGAGAUCCAUGGCCGAGCCGGAAGCAGUGACGCGGAAUAGUGCCCUCCAAAACAGAGGCGAGCGUGUUGCACCGGCGAUCCUUGUUGACCAGGGUUACUGCAGGGACGCGUGCAGUGGCGUGGAGGACUUCGCCACGGCGGAAUAUAGGAGGAGAGCACUGGGGGAGUCUGUCCUAUGAGCGACGAUGCGGGACAGUGAUGGAUCUAGGCAGAAUUGAAGGUGGCGGCGGCUCGUCAUGGAAGUCGGGUGAGACAGAGGGGAAUCUGGGGAGAGAGAUGGCGGACGAUGUAUACGGGAGGUGUGGGUACAAGGAGGUUUGAUACUACUCUACUUUUUAGGGACGAGGAGGUUAGCUCUAAGCGUGGAAGGGUUAGGGACGAGGAGGUUAGCUCUAAGUGUGGGAGGUGGGAUAAACAACAGAUCUUAUAAUAUCUUUGGUACACAUGCGUUGGUAUAGGGGAUUUUUGUUGUAGUGCGUUUGCAACCACAACAGGCACAUCCUCACAAACAUCGAUGGGUAUAGCAGUUGAUUUAUUAGCCAUUUGCAAAGAGAUAUCAGUAGGUGUCAACUUAUUCAAUUCAAGUCUACGAUAUAAAGAGAAAGGCAUAACACUAACACCGGCUCCAAGAUCACAUAAAGCAGUUUUAACAUAGUUUCUUUAGUGGAGCAUGGUAUAGUUGGUAUUCCUGGAUCUCCAAGUUUCUUUGGUAUUCCACCCUUAAAAGUAUAAUUAGCAAGCAUGGUGAAAAUUUCAGUCUCUGGUAUCUUUCUUUUAUUUGUAUCAAUAUCUUUCAUAUACUUAGCAUCAGGAGACAUUUUCAGAAUAUCAGUCAAACGCAUACGCAAAAAGACAGGUCUAAGCAUUUCACAAAAGCGCUCAAAAUUCUCAUCAUCUUUUUUCUUGAAAUGGCUGAGGAGGAAAGGGCAUGGUUUUCUGAACCCAAGGUUCUCUUUCUUUACCAUUCUUCCUAGCAACAAAGUCUCUCUUAUCAUAACGUUGGUUCUUUGAUGGUGGGUUAUCAAGAUCAACAACAGGUUCAAUCUCUACAUGAUUAUCAUUACUAGGUUGAGCAUCAACAUGAACAUCAUCAUUAACAUUAUCACUAGGUUCAUGUUCAUCACCAGAUUGUGUAACUCAGCAUCAGAAAUAGAUAUAUCAUUUGGAUUCUCAGGUGUAUCUAUAACAGGUUCACUAGAAGCAUGCACUUGGGCUAAUAUUACUAGGACUAGGUGCAUCAGUAUUAAUUUUCUGAGAAUCUUGCUCAACUCUCUUAGGAUGGCCCUCGGGAUACAAAGGUUCCUGGGUCAUUUUACCACCUCUAGUAAUAACACUAACAGCAUUAUCAUUGUUCUUACUAUUCAACUCAUUGAGCAAAUCAUCUUGUGCCUUAAGCACUUGUUCUACUUGAGUUUUAACCAUGGAAGCAUGCUUACUAAUAAUCUUAAGAUCACUGACAGUUCUACUCAUAUAAUCACCCAAGCAGUCAAGCAUAUAAGCAUUAAGUUUCAAUUGUCUACUAACAUAAGCAUUGAAAUUUUCUUGUUUAACAGUAAAAUUAUUAAGGGUUUUUUACAUUUGUGCCCCUGGUUCCUUAGCUCUACUCAUUCAUCCCCGCGCUCUUUACUUUUGCUCAAUUUUCCCCACUCCCUUGCCAGAAACCCUCAUAACUGGUCACAACGGACGUUGUCGUCGGGUCAAAGGCUUGACAGUUAACUCUGGCUAGUGGGGCCACGCUGGACUGUGUCGUCUGUUGGACCUGACAAGUGGGGCCGCGUUGGGUGGUGUCGUUGUUCGACCGUUGGGCCGUGGUUUCAUUGGGCCGUCCCUUGCAUUAAACGUAUGUGCGCGCCGCCAGGACAGAAGCCUGCUAUGCAUGCACCCAGCAAAGCCUGCCUGCAUGCGUCGAUCGAGCCUGCAUGCGCCGAUGCCACGAUGCCGCGAUGCGCCGACCGAGCCUGCAUGCGCCGAUGUGUCCGCCACGAUGCACUGACCGAGCAGCUUUCUUGCACGCCAGCCGCCACGGAUGCAACGAUGGCCACUGCCGCUGGUUCCUCUCUUCUAGCUAGGUGGCUACAUAUUUGUGGCUUGUGUAAAAAAAGAGCCACUCCCUUGCUUAGCUCUACUCAUUCAUCUCUACUAACAAAGUUUGUUUGCAUGCACUAGGUGGUUUCUAACAAGGGAACCAUACUAACAAGCCGAGCUCUCUAAGAAAACAAUCAACAAAUAUGUAGUCCCAAUAUGUAGAUAUGGCCAACAAGCCCAUAGCACGAUCACAUAGUUCAAACUAGGAAGAACUUAAUAAUAGAAUAGGUAGAAAAUUUAAUAAAGAACUUAAGAAAAGGGCCAACAAGCCCAUAGAAACUCCAACAUAGUUCAAUUACAACUUAACAUAACAUAGAAUAAAAAAAGAUAGAGGGUUUAGAACCCUAGCCGCCGCCUUCUCCACCUCGCUCCUCCCUCGGGCGCCCUUUUCACUGCUCCUCCGGGGAGUUGUCGAUGGGGUACGGAAGAGUGUGCAUGCGCGUCGCGGUGGGGAAGAUGUUGGUGUACUCCGUGAACCUGUUGGGGGUGGUUAAAACAAUGAACUCGGAGCCACACCAAAACACCCGGCCGAGGAGGUAGAAGGCGUCGAAUGUGUUGGUGAAGUGGGCAAGGAGAGAAACCACCACCCGGUUUUUGAUGACCUCCUUGAUGCGAAACAUCGUUGGAGAUCCCCGCGGGAGGUGGUGGUAGUCGGACGCCAGCAAGAACUCGGUGAAGUUCCUUGCGGUCCACAGCCUUGAUAUCGCCCACACACGUAGUGUGCGAUCAACGUACACGCCGGUAGGGUAGAGCCUCUCCGGCACGGUGGGUGGGAAGCGGUAGGUUGGUCCGGUGUACUGCAUGGCUGAGGGAUGUGUAGAAGAAGGAGAAGGGGUUGAAGAGCAAGAAGGGCAGAUGGAUGAGGGAUGGCAGAGGCAAAGGGUGGGAGAUGACAGAGGCAGAGGGUGGCUUAAAUAGCCGUAGUGCUACAUGUUAUUUGGCCGUGGCAAUAGCAGGGUAAAAUGUGAAGUAGCCCGUUUUCAAACCCACCGCAGCAUCGGGAGUGUACACGCGUGGGAAACGGUGGUUUGAAAAGAAGAAGAAAAAGAGGCUAAUUGCACGCGUGGGAAUCCGUGGUCAUAUAUAUUAUAUGAACAAAAAGAGACAAUUUUUGAAGGCUUGUGGCCAUUUUGCAUGAUAAAAAUAAAUUUGACCCUUAUAAAUUUGGUCAUUUUGCAUGAUAAACAAUGAUAAAGGGCUUGUGGCCAUUAUACAAAUGCAAAAUGACCCAUUUUUGAAUAGUUUGUGGCCAUUUUGCAUGAUAAAAAUAAAUUUAGCCCUUAUAAAUUUGGUCAUUUUGCAUUUGUAUAGAACAAAAGGAACUAAAUUUUCUACGCAAUGUCAAUUGUUGUGUAAUUUAAAACGAUGCAAAAAAACAGAGCCAACACGUUCACAAAAAACAGAGCCAACACGUUCACAAAAAGAACGACGCAAUUCGACGGCCCAAUCAGAGCUUGGUUUCCUUUUGGGUCCAAUUACAAUAUUUUUUUGCGGUGUCAAUGGUGGGCAAGCAGUCGAGCACAACCAACAGGAUCGCCUCUCGUAGAUCGCCCCAAGAUCGAACGAUGCAGAGCCGUCCUUGUGAUCCAACGGCCCGGAGCCUGCAUGCAGCCUGCCCACCAAAUUCUUUCUAGAAUACCACAUCUGAGGGUUGUUGCUUGGCUCCAGGGUAUGAUCGGACGGCUGACGUUUGGAGCUAGGGUUAGGCGAAACCCCGUGGGGUUUAGAGGGGUUUUGAGCUGGUCAACAGGGUUACGAAAGCUUUGACUGAGCAAUAAUUUAAAAAAACGAAAAAUAUGAAACCUUUGCCAUUCGUCGUUUUAUAGGACAUACCAACGAGGAAAAAAUACUGAACUUGGUCUGUGGUCAUUUUCAUGAAAAACCCCUAGCUGGCACGAUUGAGGUCAAGUAAGCGCCAUUAAUUUAAAAAAAUCAAAAAAAAAAUUAAACCUGCGCACAAUUGUCUUAUGUUACAUGUUACCAACCAAAAAUCAUAAACUUGGUCUAUGGUCAUUUUCGUGAGAAAACAUUCCAACAUAUGAGCUAUCACCUACAAGAUUUCAUAGAGUACAAGGAGAUGAGGUAGGGUUACCUUCUGUUUUUUAAAAAAUUUAAAAAAUCACCAAAGCUUUAUUUCAAAGUGAAUAAGAAGGAUCUGAACUUAGUUUUCCAUAUUCAUAUUUUAAACGUGUUUUUAAUAGUUUUUAUAUUAAAGCAUAUUUUUCAAAAGAAAAUGUAAAAAUAUGAAGAUUAAUUCAAAAAAUAGUGAGACUUCGAAUCUACACUAUAUAGAUUGAAUAGGUGUUAAUAAAAAACAUUUGGCUCAUUUGGAGUAGGUCCAAAAAACUUGAUUACAAAUGGGUUGUUUACCCUAGCUUGGGAGCUCAUUUGGAGCACAUUUUCUCAAAUUCAAAUUUCUUUGACCUCGUCUAAAUAACCUCAAAUUUUGCACACAUGAUCUCCUACACAAACAUAGAUAGUUUGCCAAGGUUUUUUUUUUGCAUUUUCUUGAAUUUAUACUGUCCUGUCAAAUGUCAGUUCAAAACAUCAGAUAAUGAAACAUGCUGGUGGGAAAAAGCAUGCAUUUGAUUUGAUUAAAAAACACGAGACCAAUAACAUGCGUGAUCAGUGAAGCAACACUAAAACAUGUGUGAUCAGUGAAGCAACACUAAAGUGAUCAGUGAAGCAACACUGAAGUGAUCAGUGAAGCAACACUGAAACAACAGGUCUGAUCAGUGAAGCAACACUGAAACAACAUGUGUGAUCAUUGCAGCACCUAAACUCAUUGUUCACAACAUCUAAACAGAACUAACCAUACACCACAGGCAAAUAUAAGGACAGACAAAUAUAGAUAGAAUAAUACAUUGCUAGCAUCACCAUAGAUUCUGUUCACACCAUAAACAGCCACAUUCAGUUUACAAAAAGUAAUUGGACCCAAAGUAACCCAAAAGAUAAAGAUUCAGUUCAUCACAGCAUCACAUCAUCACAUCAGCCUGGAGUCAGGGCCUUCGCGAGCGCAGCAUGCCGCCCCCUGAUCAUGUAGACCUCCCCACGGAUCGAAACAUCCUCUGCAUGACACAGAAGGUGAUCGAAGCGGCCAUCCUUUGGCUUUGGCUUGGUGGUGCAGUAGGGGCAGUGCCUCUUCUUGAUCUUGCGGUUGUAGAAGGAAGCAACUCCCUGGUCCUUGAUCUUCUCCACCUCCUUGGUUGUGAAGGACGCGAUGUUGCCCUUGUACACAUUAUCUCCAGAAUCAUACUGCACACAUGAAUGAAUUGCAUUAAUACAUUAUAGAUUCAUAUACACCAUGUCAAAGGAACUAAAUGAACAAGGGAUAGGCUUACCUCAUAUUCUUCGUCAUCACUAAACUCUGGAUCAUACGGGUCAUAGUCGGCCAGCUUCCUCUCCCCCCCAACCAUCAUCCUCCUGAAUAUACAAUUACAUCCAUCACUAGUAGCCAAUUGAAAAUUUAGAUAUGCACACAUGACACAUUGAUCAUAGGGCUAAUAUACUCCCAAUACGACAUUCAAAACCCCAACCUGAGUAGCAUUCAAAAACAAAUCUAAUAUAACUACAUAUGACAUUCAAAACCCCAAUAUGACAUUCAAAUAACACAUUGAUCAUUGGUCAUGCACACACAUUGAACAACAGAGCUAAUAUAACUACAUAUUGUGGACAGAUUUAUAUAAUAAUGAAUCAAAUAACUUCUCAAUCAAUGGAUUCCAUUUGGGCAUAUGACAUUCAAAACCCCAAUAUGAGUAGCAUGCAAACACAAAUCUAAUAGGGCCCCAAUCUAAUAAGCAUACAUGUCUGUAGCAUUAAAAACCCCAAUCUGUGAGCAUUAAAAACAAAUCUAAUAAGCAUACAUCUGUGUAGCAUUGAAGCACUUCUAAUAAACAGAUCUAUCUAGCAUUUUUGCAACGAAUUUAUCCAACAAACCCUAGUACAAAAACCCCCAUCCCCCCAAUACAGAAAACGCUGGCCCAUCCGUCAAACCAACUACUCUAACCAUCUGAAUCCACAAUCUAACUAAUCCAACUAACUCUACAAGCUAAUAUCCUAAAGCAAAGCAAGUGCAAAUACCUCCUGCUGCUCUCCAGGUUGCGCAUCGGUGGUAUGGGGAUGGACUCGCUGCUCGACGCUGUCACCUUCUGCAGCGCUGAAGCAGAGCCCGCCACCUCCUUAUCCACAUCCGCAGCGAUUGCAAGUUUCCCCGCACCACCGUGGAUGCCGCCGACAUCCGUGGUCACCGCGUCCUGCAGCUCGACCACAUCUCCGGCCGCUACGCCGUCGCCGCCAUGAGCUUCGGCCAUCUCCGGGCAGAUGGAGGUGAUGAAGGUGAGAAAGAGGAUGCGGUGGGGGAGAGCGAGACGGUGCGUUGGAGGCAGUUGAGGAGAGCGACACGACGCCGGUGGGGGAGAAAAAGACGAUGCGGCAACGAGUGGAUUUGGGCGAAAACCCUGGGGGGGAAUGGUAGGGGCGAUGCGCCGCGAGGUGGUUCCCCCUCAUUUAUAUGAUGGGACGUUUCGGGCAUGUCCCAUGGACACGUGCUACCCCACGACCGCGGUCAGUUGCAUGCGCCCACGUAUACGAAUACCUAUACAGUCAGCAUACGAAACAACUAUACGGGUAACGGUCAAAGGUGUACUCGGCCCUAUGCGGCCCCACUCGCCAGAGUUAACGGUCAAAGGCAUUGACCCGGCGGCAAUGUCCCUUGUAACCUGUUCUGAGGGUUUCGAGCAAGGGAGUGGGGAAAAGUGAGCAAAAGUUAACAUAGUGGGGAUGAAUGAGUAGAGCUAAGGAACCACGGGCCGAGAAAUAGAAACCCAAUUAUUAAACUCAUCCAAGCAUUGACUAGCAGACUUAUUAUGAGGAAUAUCACCUUCAUCAAAUCUAUAGAAAGAAUUUACCUCUACUACCUGUGUUGGGUUAUCAAGACCAUGUAUUUCUUCAAUAGGCGGUAAAUUCUUAACAUCUUCAGUUUUAAUACCUCUUUCUUUCAUAGAUUUGUUUGCCUCUUGCAUAUCUUCAGGACCGAGAAAUAGAAUACCUCUUUUCUUUAGAAUUUGCUUAGGAAGUCGUUCGGGAAGUGUCCAAUCAUUAUCAUUACUCAAUAUAUUAUUCAAUAGCAAUUCAGCCUCCUCAAUAGUUCAUUCCCUGAAAACACAACCAGCACAACUAUCUAGGUGGUCCCUAGAAGCAUUGGUUAGUCCAUUAUAAAAGAUAUCAAGUAUUUCGUUUUUCUUAAGAGCAUGAUCAGGCAAAGCAUUAAGCAAUUGGAGAAGCCUCCCCCAAGCUUGUGGGAGACUCUCUUCUUUAAUUUGCACAAAGUUAAAUAUUUCCUGUAAGGCACUUGUUUCUUAUGAGCAGGAAAGUAUUUUGCAGAGAAGUAGUAAAUCAUAUCAUGGGGACUACGCACACAAACAGGAGUAAGAGAAUUAAACCAUAUCUUAGCAUCGCCCUUUAAUGAGAAAGGAAACAACUUAAGAAUAUAGUAAUAGCGAAUUUGUUUCUCAUGAGCAAAUAGGGUGGCUAUAUCAUUCAAUUUAGUAAGAUGUGCCACAACUGUUUCAGAUUCAUAACCAUGGAAAGGAUCAGAUUCAAUGAAAGUAAUUAAAUCAGGAUCGACAGAGAAUUCAUAAUCCUUAUCAGUAACAAAGAUAGGUGAAUUAGCAAACUUAGGAUCAUAUUGCAUUCUAGCAUUCAAAGAAUUUUCUCUCCACUUGCAUAAUAAUUCCUUAAGAUCAUCUCUAUCCUUACAAGCAAGAAAGUCCCUAGCUACCUCUCCAUCUAUAACAUAACCCUCAGGCAUAACAGGAAGUUCAUAUCUAGGAGAGCUAGGUCUAACAGGUGUUUCAAAGUUUUUAGUUUCAAUAAUUUCAUCAGUUUCAGAAAUAUCAUCAUCUUCAGCAUAAUCAAUAGUUCUAACCCUAGCAAGAUGUUCAUCAAGUAAUUCACCAAGUGGCAUGAUUUUAUCAUGCAAAGUAGUAGCAUCAUAAGCAUCAUUCAUAGCAGAAGUAGCAUCAUCAAUAACACGCCACAUAUCAAAAUCAAUAACAGGUGUAGGUGUCGCAAGCUUACUCAAAACAGAAUGUGAAUCAAGUGCAGAGCUAGAUGGCAGAUCCUUACCUCCCCUCGUAGUAGAGGGAUAGAUCCGGUUCUAGUAUCUUUCAAAUUUUUCAUAGUGAUCAAUAGAUAUAAAUCCCAAGUGAUUCAGAGAAUAGAGCUAUGCUCCCCGACAACAGCGCCAGAAAAAGGUCUUGAUAACCCACAAGUAUAGGGGAUCGCAACAUUUUUCGAGGGUAGAGUAUUCAACCCAAAUUUAUUGAUUCGACACGAGGGGAGCCAAAGAAUAUUCUCAAGUAUUAGCAGCUGAGUUGUCAAUUCAACCACACCUGAAAGAAUUAAUAUCUGCAGCAAAGUAUUUAGUAGCAAAGUAAUAUGGCAGUAACGGUGACGGUGGCAAAAGUAACAGUAGCAGUUUUGUAGCACUUGUAACUGUGGCAACGGAAAAGUAACUGAGCAAAGAUCAAUAUGUGAAAAGCUCGCACGCAAUGGAUCAAUGAUGGAUAAUUAUGUUGGAUGGCAUUCAUCACGCAACAGUUAUAACCUAGGGUGACUGAUAUGUCUCUGUCGUAUAUAUAAUUUUUUUUGUUCCAUGCCAAUAUUCUACAACCUUUACAUACUUUUGGGAACUUUUUACACUAUUUUUUGGGACUAACAUAUUGAUCCAGUGCCCAGUUCCAGUUUGUUGCAUGUUUUUUAUUUCACAGAAAAUCCAUAUCAAACAGAGUCCAAAUGGGAUAAAAACUAAUGGAGAUUUUUUUGGAAUAUUUAUGAUUUUUGGGAAGAAGAAUCAACGCGAUACGAUGCCCGAGGGGGCCACGAGGCAGGGGGCGUGCCCUGGGCCCUCGUGGCCACCCCGUAAGGCGGUUGGUGCCCUUCUUUCGCCGUAAGAAAGCUAAUAUCUGGAUAGAGAUCGUGUCCAAAUUUCAACCCCAACGGAGUUAAGGAUCUCCGGGAAUAUAAGAAACGGUGAAAGGGCACAAUCAGGGAGCGCAGAAACAGAGAGAGACAGAGAGACAGAUCCAAUCUUGGAGGGGCUCUCGCCCCUCCCAAGCCAUGGAGACCAUGGACCAGAGGGGAAACCCUUCUCCCAUCUAGGGAGAAUGUCAAGGAAGAAGAAGAAGAAGGAGGGGGGCUCUCUCCCCCUCGCUUCCGGUGGCACCGGAGUGCCGCCGAGGCCAUCAUCGUCACCGCAAUCUACACCAACAACUUCACCGCCGUCAUCACCAACUCUUCACCCCUCUAUGCAGCGGUGUAACCCCUCUUUUACCCGCUGUAAUCUCUACUUAAACAUGUUGCUCAACACUAUAUAAUAUUUCCCAAUGAUGCAUGGCUAUCCUAUGAUGUUUGAGUAGAUCCGUUUUGUCCUAUGGGUUAAUUGAUGAUCGUGAUUGGUUUUGAGUUGCAUGUUUUAUUAUUGGUGUUGUCCUAUGGUGCUCUCCAUGUCGCACAAGCAUGAGGGAUCCCCGCUGUAGGGUUUGCAAUAUGUUCAUGGUUUUCUUAUUGUCUGUGUUGCGUGAGUGACUGAAAAACAAACACGGAUAAGUGGGUCAUGGCAUAUGGGAAUAAAUAGGACUUGAUACUUUAGUGCUAUGGUUGGGUUUUACCUUAAUGAUCUUUAGUAUUUGUGGAUGCUUACUAGAGUUCCAAUCAUAAGUGCAUAUGAUCCAAGAAGAGAAAGUAUGUUAGCUUAUGCCUCUCCCUCAAAUAAAAUUGCAAUAGUGAUUACCGGUCUAGUUAUCGAUUGCCUAGGGACAAAUAACUUUCUCGUGACAAAAAGCUCUCUACUAAAACUAAUUUAGUUGUGUCUUUAUCUAAACAGCCCCUACUUUUUAUUUACGCGCUCUUUAUUAUCUUGCAAACCUAUCCAAAAACACCUACAAAGUACUUCUAGUUUCAUACUUGUUCUAGGUAAAGCGAACGUUAAGCAUGCGUAGAGUUGUAUCGGUGGUCGAUAGAACUUGAGGGAAUAUUUGUUCUACCUUUAGCUCCUCAUUGGGUUCGACACUCUUACUUAUCGAAAGAGGCUACAAUUGAUCCCCUAUACUUGUGGGUUAUCAAGACCUUUUUCUGGCACCGUUGCCGAGGAGUUAUAGCAUGGGGUGAUUAUUCUCGUGUGUGCUUGUUUGCUUUAUCACUAAGUAAUUUUUAUUUGUUGUUCUAAGUUGUUCUCUAUCUUUAGUUAUGGAUAUGGAACACGAAAUACCAAAAAAAAUAGGUUUACUUGCUACUCAUGGAGAUGGGGAACCUCCUAAAACCCUCGAUGCUCAUUAUGUGAAAGAUAUUAUGUACUACUUUGAUAAUCCUGAGAAAACCCCAUUCAAUUAUGUUAUGGGAGAUACAUUGGAUCAACGUGAAUAAUUUAGGGAUUAUCGCUUGACUCAAAAAGAGAAACUAUUAUGGGAUCAAAUUUAUAUGUUGUAUUGGUAUGCUAGGCAACUAUGCUUGAGAUAUGAUUAUACUUGUUGCUCUAGGAUGAAGGCUCCACACCUUCCCUUUUCAUGAAAAUUUAUUGAUAAUGAAACCUUAGCUUCUUAUUCUAAUGGUAUAUAUGAUUACUAUGAUGUGGAACGAAUAGAAGAAUUCGUUGCUUCUAUGGGUGCUUAUAAAAUUGAAUCUUUGUUUAAAGAGUGAAAAUCUUGAUGAUUCAGUUUAUAGACCUGAAAAUUUAGCUAUCCUUAAAUAUUGCUAUGAGAAUUAUGAAUUCAAUUCCGAUAUUGAUGAUUUUAUUGAGAGAGUCUCCGUUGUCCAAGAAGAGACUAAUAUUUUGCAGGAGUCUAUGGAAGAAGAAAUUAAUGACACUGUGAGCUCAUUGGAUGAAAAAGAUGAUGAGGAGAGCGAAGAACAAAAGGAGGAGGAGCUGAUUAGCUACCCGUGCCCACCUUCUAAUGAGAGUAACUCUUCAACUCAUACAUUGUUUAAUUUCUCUUCGUGCUUACCUCCUUUUGUUAUGAUCCCGUUGAUUCUUUUGAAAUAUCCCUUUUUGAUGAUGCUUGCUAUGCUUGUGGCCAAGAUGCCAAUAUGAAUUAUGCUUAUGGAGAUGAACUUGCUAUAGUUCCUUAUGUUAAACAUGAAAUUGUUGCUAUUGCACCACGCAUUAUAGUCCUAUUAUCUUUUUGAAUUCUCCCGACUACACUAUUUCGGAGAAGUUUGCCCUUAUUAAGGAUUAUAUUGAUGGGUUGCGUUUUACUACUACACAUGAUGAUUUUGAUGAAUAUAAUAUCCAUGUGCUUGCUGCUCCUACUUGCAAUUAUUAUGAGAGAGGAACUAUAUCUCCACCUCUCUAUGUUUCCAACAUGAUAAAAUUGCAAGAAAUUGUUUAUACUAUGCAUUGGCCUUUACUUUGUGUGCAUGAAUUGUUCUUUUAUGACAUGCCGAUGCAUAGGAAGAGAGUUAGACUUCGUCAUUACAUGAUAUAUGUUACUUUGUGCUCACUACUAAAUUACAAAUCAUUGUUAAUUAAAAUUGGCUUUGAUAUACCUUGGGAUCCGGGUGGAUCCAUUAGUUGAGCACUAUAUGCCUAGCUUAAUGGCUUUAAAGAAAACGCUGCCAGGGAGACAACCCGGAAGUUUUAGAGAGUCAUUUAGUUCUGUUGAGCGCUUUUAUAUAGUUUAAAAAAAUAAAAAAAAAUAAAGAGGGGAACUUAAAACUUUUUCAAAAAGAAAAGCGAAAGUGAAAAAGACGAGCAUUGUUAAAGUGGGAGCUAGCCUUGAACUUUGUUCAUGCUCACGGAAACUUUGUGAAUCUUGAUUACAGAAAUUUUUCAACAAAAAUAAUUAUCCCCUUGUACAAUUCCAUUGUAUAAUAAAAAUAAUGUGCCAAGGUUUGCCUUUAGGAUGUUUACAAUGCUUGUUGAUUUGUGCGGUGCAGGAUAGAAACUUUGGCUGUAGUGCACGAUUUUACAUUUUUUACUGGAACGUCAAACGGUUCUGAAACUUUUUGCACUGUCUUCCUUUACAAAUGUUUUAUUUUUCCUAAUUUUUCCAGAAUUUUUGGAGUACCAGAAGUAUGGUGAAUGUUCAGAUUACUACAGACUUUCCUGUUUAAGACAGAUUCUGUUUUUGAUGCAUAGUUUGCUUGUUUUGAUGAAACUGUCGAUUCCUAUCAGUGGAUUAAGCCAUGGAAAAGUUAUAUUACAGUAGCUAUAGUGAAAAAACAAAAUAUUAAUUGGUUUGCAAUAGUACUUAGAGUAGUGAUUUGCUUUAUUAUACUAACGGAUCUCACCAAGUUUUCUGUUGAGUUUUGUGUGGAUGAAGUGUUCGAAGAUCGAGGAGGUCUCGAUGUGAGGAGAAGGAGGAGAGGCAAGAGCUCAAGCUUGGGGAUGCCCAAGGCACCCCAAGUAAAUAUACAAGGAGACUCAAGCGUCUAAGCUUGGGGAUGCCCCGAAAGGCAUCCCAUCUUUCUUCAACAAGUAUCGGUAUGUUUUCGGAUUUGUUUCGUUCAGGCGAUAUUUGCAAAUCUUGGAGCGUCUUUUGCAUUUAGUUUUCACUUUUUCUUUUAUGCACCAUGCUGGUAUGAGAUAGUCUAUGGUUGAUUUAUAGAAUGCUCAUUGAACUUCACUUAAAUCUUUUGAGUAUGGCUUUAUAGAAUGCUUCAGGUGCUUCACUUAUAUCAUUUGAAGUUUGGAUUGCUUGUUUCUCUUCACAUAGAAACCGCCAUUUGUAGAAUGCUCUUUUGCUUCACUUAUAUUUGUUAGAGUGUGGGCAUAUCUUUUGUAGAAAGAAUUAAACUCUCUUUCUUCACUUAUAUCUAUUUAGAGAGAUGACAGGAAUUGGUCAUUCAUAUGGUUAGUCAUUAAAUCCUAUAUAAAACUUGUAGAUCACUGAAUAUAAUAUGUUUGAUUCCUUGCAAUAGUUUUGAUAUAUAAAGAUGUGUUGAUAUUAGAGUCAUGCUAGUGGGUACUUGUGGAUUGUAGAAAUACUUGUGUUGAAGUUUGUGAUUCACGUAGCAUGCACGUAUGGUGAACCGUUAUGUAACGAAGUCGGAGCAUGAGGUAUUUAUUGAUUGUCUUCCUUAUGAGUGGCGGUCGGGGACGAGCGAUGGUCUUUUCCUACCAAUCUAUCCCCCUAGGAGCAUGCGCGUAGUACUUUGUUUCAAUGACUAAUAGAUUUUUGCAAUAAGUAUGUGAGUUCUUUAUGACUAAUGUUGAGUCCAUGGAUUAUACGCACUCUCACCCUUCCAUCAUUGCUAGCCUCUUCGGUACCGUGCAUUGCACUUUCUCACCCUGGGAGUUGGUGCAAACUUCGCCGGUGCAUCCAAACCCCGUGAUACGAUACGCUCUAUCACACAUAAGCCUCCUUAUAUCUCCCUCAAAACAGCCACCAUACCUACCUAUCAUGGCAUUUCCAUAGCCAUUCCGAGAUAUAUUGCCAUGCAACUUCCAUCAUCAUCAUAUACAUGACUUGAGGAUUCAUUGUCAUAUGCUUUGCAUGAUCGUAAGACAGCUAGCAUGAUAUUUUCAUGGCUUGUCUGUUUUUUUAUAUCUUUGCUAUGCUAGAUCAUUACACAUCCCGGUACACCGUCGGAGGCAUUCAUAUAGAGUCAUAUCUUUGUUCUAGUAUCGAGUUGUAAUAUCGAGUUGUAAGUAAAUAAAAGUGUGAUGAUCAUUAUUAUUAGAACAUUGUCCCAUGUGAGGUUAUCAAAAUAAAAGUGGCCAAAGAAGCCCCAAAAAAAUAGAGAGGCCAAAGAAGCCUACAAAAAAAAAGAAAAAAAAGAAGAAGAAAAUAAAAAAAUGAGAGAAAAGAGAGAAGGGACAAUGAUACUAUCCUUUUACCACACUUGUGCUUCAGAGUAGCACCAUGUUCUUCAUAUAGAGAGUCUCUUGAGUUAUCACUUUCAUAUACUAGUGGGAAUUUUCACUAUAGAACUUGGCUUGUAUAUUCCGAUGAUGGGCUUCCUCAAAUGAGCGAGGUCUUCAUGAGCAAGCAAGUUGGAUGUUUUCAGUUUGAGCUUUCAUAUACUUAUAGCUCUAGUGCAUCCGUUGCAUGGCAAUCCCUACUCCUCACAUUAACAUCAAUUGAUGGGCAUCUCCAUAGCCCAUUGAUUAGCCGUGUCGGUGUGGGACUUUCUUCCUUUUUGUCUUCUCCACACAACCUCCACCAUCGUAUUCUGUUCCACCUAUAGUGCUAUAUCCAUGGCUCAUGCUCAUGUAUUGUCUAAAAGUUGAAAAGGUUUGACAACGUCAAAAGUAUGAACAAUUGCUUGGCUUGUCAUCGGGGUUGUGCAUGAUUUGAAUACUUUGUGUGGUGAAGAUGGAGCAUAGCUAGACCAUACGAUUUUGUAGGGAUAACUUUCUUUGGCCAUGUUAUUUUGAAAAGACAUGAUUUCUUUAUUAGUAUGCUUGAAGUAUUAUUGUCUUAAUGUCAAAUGAUAGACUAUUGCUUUGAAUCACUCGUGUCUUAAUAUUCAUGCCAUGAUUAGAUUACAUGAUCAAGAUUAUGCUAGGUAGCAUUCCACAUCAAAUAUUAUCUUUUUUAUCAUUUACCUACUCGAGGACGAGCAGGAAUUAAGCUUGGGGAUGCUGAUACGUCUUCGUCGUAUCUAUAUUUUUUUAUUGUUCCAUGCCAAUAUUAUACAACCUUUACUUACUUUUGGCAACUUUUUAUACUAUUUUUUGGGACUAACACAUUGAUCCAGUGCCCAGUGCCAGUUCCUGUUUGUUGCAUGUUUUUUGUUUCGCAGAAAAUCCAUAUCAAACAGAGUCCAAACGGGAUAAAAACUGACAGAGCUUUUUUUGGAAUAUUUAUGAUUUUUGGGAAGAAGAAUCAACGCGAGACGAUGCCCGAGGGGGCCACGAGGCAGGGGGCACGCCCCAGGGGAUCAGGCGCGCCCGGGGCCCUCGUGGCCACCCCAUAAGGUGGUUGGUGCCCUUAUUUCGCCGCAAGAAAGCUAAUAUCCGGAUAGAGAUCGCGUCCAAAUUUCAACCCAAUCGGAGUUAUGGAUCUCCGGGAAUAUAAGAAACGGUGAAAGGGCACAAUCAGGGAGCGCAGAAACAGAGAGAGACAGAUCCAAUCUCGGAGGGGCUCUCGCCCCUCCCACGCCAUGGAGACCAUGGACCAGAGGGGAAACCCUUCUCUCAUCUAGGGAGAAGGUCAAGGAAGAAUAAGAAGGAGGGGGGCUCUCUCCCCCUCGCUUCCGGUGGCACCGGAGUGCCGCCAGGGCCAUCAUCGUCACCGCAAUCUACACCAACAACUUCACCGCCGUCAUCACCAACUCUUCCCCCCUCUAUGCAGCGGUGUAACCCCUCUUUUACCCGCUGUAAUCUCUACUUAAACAUGGUGCUCAAUGCUAUAUAUUAUUUCCCAAUGAUGGAUGGCUAUCCUAUGGUGUUUGAGUAGAUCCGUUUUGUCCUAUGGGUUAAUUGAUGAUCGUGAUUGGUCUGAGUUGCAUGUUUUAUUAUUGGUGCUGUCCUAUGGUGAUCUCCGUGUCGCGCAAGCGUGAGGGCUCCCCGCUGUACGGUUUGCAAUAUGUUCAUGGUUUGCUUAUUGUCUGCGUUGCGUGAGUGACUGAAACACAAACACGGAUAAGUGGGUCAUGGCGUAUGGGAAUAAAGAGGACUUGAUACUUUAAUGCUAUGGUUGGGUUUUACCUUAAUGAUCUUUAGUAUUUGUGGAUGCUUACUAGAGUUCCAAUCAUAAGUGCAUAUGAUCCAAGAAGAGAAAGUAUGUUAGCUUAUGCCUCUCCCUCAAAUAAAAUUGCGAUAGUGAUUACCGGUCUAGUUAUCGAUUGCCUAGGGACAAAUAACUUUCUCGUGACAAAAAGCUCUCUACUAAAACUAAUGUAGUUGUGUCUUUAUCUAAAUAGCCCCUACUUUUUAUUUACGCGCUCUUUAUUAUCUUGCAAACCUAUCCAAAACACCUACAAAGUACUUCUAGUUUCAUACUUGUUCUAGGUAAAGCGAACGUUGAGCGUGCGUAGAGUUGUAUCGGUGGUCGAUAGAACUUGAGGGAAUAUUUGUUCUACCUUUAGCUCCUCAUUGGGUUCGACACUCUUACUUAUCUAAAGAGGCUACAAUUGAUCCCCUAUACUUGUGGGUUAUCAGUGACACAGAACUAGCUCCAAUUCAUCAAUAUAAUGUAGGCAUGUAUUCCGAAGAUAGUCAUCCGUGCUUAUGGAAAAGAACUUGCAUGACAUCUUUUGUCCUACCCUCCCGUGGCAGCGGGGUCCUAAUGGAAACUAAGGGAUAUUAAGGCCUCCUUUUAAUAGAGAACCGGACCAAAGCAUUAGUACUUACUGAAUACAUGAACUCCUCAAACUACGGUAAUCACCGGAAAGAAUCCCAAUUAUUGUCACCUUGGGGUAUGCGGAUCAUAAGUCGUAAUAGGUGUCUACAACUUGCAAGAUCGGAUCAAGAACACAAAUAUAUUCAUGAAAACAUAAAGGGUUCAGAUCUGAAUUCAUGGCACUCGGGCCCUAGUGACAAGCAUUAAGCAUAGCAAAGUCAUAGCAACAUCAAUCUCAGAACAUAGUGGAUACUAGGGAUCAAACCCUAACGAAACUAACUCGAUUACAUGAUUAAUCUCAUCCAACACAUCACCGUCCAGCAAGCCUAUGAUGGAAUUACUCACACACGAUGGUGAGCAUCAUUAAAUUGGUGAUGGAGGAUGGUUGAUGAUGACGACGACGUCGAUUUCCCCUCUCUAGAGCCCCGGACGGACUCCAGAUCUGCCCUCCCGAUGAAGAACAGGAGGCGGCGGCAGCUCCGUAUCGUAAAACGCGAUGAAUCCUUCCCUCUGAUUUUUUUUCUUCCCGAAAGUGAAUAUAUAGAGUUGGAGUUGAGGUUGGUGGAGGUCCAGGGGACCCACAAGGCAUGGGGCGUGCCCUCCACCCUUGUGGACGACAGGUGGGUCCCCAUCGGUUGAUUCUUUCACCAAUAUUUUUUAUUAAUUCCAAAAAUAUUACCUGUGGAUUUUCAGGUCAUUCCGAGAACUUUUAUUUCUGCACAAAAAUAACACCAAGGCAAUUCUGCUGAAAACAGCGUCUGUCCGGGUUAGUUCCAUUUAAAUCAUGCAAAUUAGAGUCCAAAACAAGGGCAAAAGAGUUUGGAAAAGUAGAUACGAUCGAGACGUAUCAAACGGCUGCCGCGACACCACGUUAGCAGCUGGCUAUACGUGUACUGGAGAGAAGAGUCUGGACGCCCGGCUGAGCCAUCGGUGGCCUGCACCGAUUGCAGGGCAUCCCGCUAAGCUGCCUCGUCCUAAGCCCCUAGUGCAUCACGUGGUUGCACAACCCCAACCGACUCCUCCUGAGCCGUGGGUCAAGGUACCUCCUGCAGCGCCAACAGUGCAGCAGCACUUGGCUGCAUGCCCAGGGUCGACUCCUCCUGAGUUAAAGUCUGGGUGGCCACCAACCGAGUUGUUCCCUGCUGUCGCUCUGGAGACUCGCGCGAAGGUCCCAUCGUGCCACUGGUGGCCUGCACUGACGGACGAGUAGUGGACAGUGAUGCAACCGUCUGUGUUGGUGACGACGGCUGCGACACUAUCGGAGUCCGCGGAGAGGUAGGCGACGAUGAGUCCUGCCGAAGCAUCCGUGGAGCCGCCUCAACACAACCACGUAACGUGGAGUUAUCUCAAAGUUUCGCGGCAAGCUCGAUGCCUCUUGGUGUUUGCGGCGAGGGGUUGAAAGGUGUCACCGCCAUAAUCAUAGAGCUACCUCUCGGAGCACCACGAGAGACCACAUUUGUGUGAGUAACAUUUGUAGGAAUAACACUAGAUGGCGGUUGGUUGGAUGGGUUCCCGAAGUGAUCGAAGGUGUCCAUGGCAUCAUUCUUCUCCUGCGCACUGUCAUUAUUGUCCGCAUGAUCGCCUUGCGUCUCCAAAUGAACGGUACAAAAUCUGGAUCCGGAACAUAACUUGCCGGCUCCCUCCUGAACCUGAAUGCAUAGCCCUUGAGCUUAACCAGUACAUCUGUAGCAAGAAAAGGCCCAGCAUCGUCCUUAUCCUUCUCCAAAAUUAGAGUAUUCAUCAUAUCCACCAGAAUACGGACCACCCCACGUCGUCGCAGACUAAAGAGGUCGACAUCCAGGGUCUUGCCCAUCAAGGUGCCAACAACCCAUAGACCCGAAAAAUGACGCACGGUAUGGGGAACUCCGUCAACAUGGAGCCAAAUCUGCUGAAGCUCGAGAUUAUGUGCGAUGUCCUGUGACUUCCAUGCGGAUACGGUCAUUUGAGCGUUAACUGACGGCACGUUCAUCUGAAUACCAUCCACCCUGUCCAAGUCCUGAAAAGACGGGCAAAUGACUAGAUAGGCAUCUAACCCAUGCUGAAUAGCUUCCCAUUUUCAUUGAGUAUGCACCGGGCAUCUCCUGGCAAUCCGAGUCUCAACCAUGCUACUAGGUACCAUCAGACCACUAACCUGCACAUGAGCGAUCGGUGUCUGGGUCGGCGCCAAGUGUUCUUUAACCACACUAUCUGGCAGCUGGGCGAAGUAAGUCUCCUCCGCCCCCACUCCCGAAACAAAAGCCAUGGGCUUCGGGAGUUUAAGAACCGGGCAACGCAACGUUGGAUGGGCUAUCUUGUCACAGAUAUAACAAUAAUGUUGCACCAUGCAAUCCUUCGCUGAAUGCGUAUCAACUGCACACUUCCAACAACGAACCCCUUUCUUAGUCUUGGUCUUUGAUAUAGUAGGAUCCACCUGCACAUCGGUCAUGCAAUCUACAGACGGUGGGGCAGCUAUCCCCUGUGGUACCUGUGGAUGUGGCUGCAACCCGAACUGAUGGUAAUGCCCCUGUUGAUAUGCCUACAUGUGCUGUUGUGGUAUCGGUUGAGGCGGAAGUUGCUGUUCGCCUGGAACGUGGUGAGGCGGAAAAUGGUAACCCUGCUAAAUAGCACCACCGGUAAACUGUUGUUGUUGCGNNNNNNNNNNNNNNNNNNNNNNNNNNNNNNNNNNNNNNNNNNNNNNNNNNNNNNNNNNNNNNNNNNNNNNNNNNNNNNNNNNNNNNNNNNNNNNNNNNNNNNNNNNNNNNNNNNNNNNNNNNNNNNNNNNNNNNNNNNNNNNNNNNNNNNNNNNNNNNNNNNNNNNNNNNNNNNNNNNNNNNNNNNNNNNNNNNNNNNNNNNNNNNNNNNNNNNNNNNNNNNNNNNNNNNGGAAUUGCGGGGAGCGGUCACCCCCGGAGGUGGUGGAGCCCCAUACAUAGGAACCGACCCUCCGGCGCCGGCCGAACCGUAGGGUGAGUUGUACUGCCCAGGGUGACCAUAAGCAGAGGGCUGACUUCCACCAUGGAUGUAGGGAGGCGCCAGCCCACGCUGCUGCUGAUUGGGGGGAGGGCCGGUGAACCCCUGUGUCGGAGCCUAAGGGCGAGCUGAAGAGGCAGUUGCCCCCGCAACCAAAGGGCCAUGGGGAAUCGGCCCUCCUGCACCCCGUGUCGAAGGAGGAGGCGCGCCCGCCAUGGGACGCAGCGGCGCCUCCGCGACUUCGGCAUAGGAUCGAGCGGCCCCAGUGACGGCAGGUUGAUCAUGAGGCAGAGGCAGCGAGUGGGAGGCGACCUUUGCGACCGAUGUUGGUGCGAUGGAUGUUGGGAGCCCUUCCCAUAGAACCCUCAUGCGAAGUCUGAGGUAGGCCCAAGAAAAAACUUGGCCCAAUUCCCUUUGCAUGGGCCCGGGAUCCGAGGCCACUCGCGUUUGAAGUGGCUGAGAUCUCGUCUCCAGAACAUCUACACCUGCAUCCAUCGAUCCCGUGCGUAUUGACAUCGCCGGUGAGGCAACCGGACCGGAGGAAGCAGGUAUCAUGUUGGCUCUUUCCAGGAAUUGGCCGAAGAUCGGCGCCGGCGUCCUCCUGCGCCGCGGCAAGGGACCACGCCAAGACCCCAUCCGCGGCGGUCUAGCCAGCGCGAGCCCCGUCGGCAACGACGAAGUAACACUCCGGCCGGCCGGCACCGAUGCCAUCGAUCCAGUGGGUAACGUGUCCCUAGCCUGAUCCAGGCCUUCCGCUAUCAUGGACUGUUGUGACUUGCAACCCGGAUCACGGAGCUCCGAUGAAGGCCCCGACGGUGAUGGCGUCCGUCUCUCCCAGAAACGGGAUGCAGGCGAGGGAUAUCCCGCGUCUUUCCAGAACUCUUGGACCAAUUUCGCCUCCGUCUUCCUACUACGUCGAACCACCGGAUUCCAUUCAGAGUCGUCGUCGCCCUCCCAAAAAUGCCAUCGCCAUCUAAACGCCCACUGUCGCCAGCUCUGCCUCCUCAUCAGAGACCUCGAGGUCAGGAUCCAGGCAUGAGUACCUAGAUCCGUUCGACCCCGCCACCCAAGUACGCGCAGGCCGCUUCUCAGUUCUCUCACGUGUGCUUGGAAGAGCACACGAUCGAUCGAGCGAGCGCUACCAUUCAAAGGAGGCACACCGUACACGCUUAGCCGUUCGGUUGACCGUGUCUCGCUUUCAUGGAAUUACCGCGAAAUGAAUCCUUGGGCCGGAUCGAUCGGGUGCGUACGUACGCGUCGUUUGUUUGACCGUCCGUCUACAUACACAUACACCUACUACUACUGCGUCCAGCGAAGGCACGUGACGUAGUGGUACGUAGGCAACGCCCGGCCCAGCUGGCUUGCUGAUGGCCGGGAGUGAAAUGUCAAAGCAAACGGAGCAUGCAUGCCUGCAUGGUGCGUUCAUGGUAUUAUACUACUACUACUACUAGUAUCGGGCGAUGAUUUGAUUAACAAACUGGCCAGAGAUAUACAUGAUGAUGUCCACAGUCAAUGUUAAUGAGAUAAUGGGGCAUGCAUGGCGUCCAUAUUUCUUAAGUCGGGUUCGGUUCUCAACCUGACUUGGUGCAUCAUAUACUGAUAGACCUACGCGUGGACAGAUGACCCCUCCCUGGUGCCCAAGGAGAAGCUCAUCCUGGUCGAGGAGCCGGAUGAGGCGAUGGAGGUGGAGCUUGCGGACGGCCUGGUCCUGCCGGCGGACGCGUUAGUGCCACUGGAGAAGGCCAUGCUGGAGUACAAGGUCAUGGUACACUUGGUGCACACGGAGAAUACUGUGCAAAGCUCAGGCCCAUCCUCGGGCGAUGAAGGCGACGACGAUGAUGACUUCGAUCAUCCCAUGGCUGAUCCGGACGGGCCAGGCGGAGCACGCCACACCAGGCGCCGUUUCUCGUACACGAGGGGAGUGCAGGACGGCGGCAACCGGCGACAAAGGCCGUUGGCAAGAAGGGGAGAUGCGUCAGGGCACAGGAGGAUUGCCGUCGACCUGCCCGUGUCGGUGACACCGUGGACGUCGCCGGCGGUUGAGGCGCUCACGACGAGGACAGCUGAGAAGACAGCAGUGCUCGCAGCUGCCGCCGGCGUGGAGGACGGCGGAUCGUUCCCUGUCGCCGGCGUACGAGAGUGUGAACGGGCUGAUACGCGGAUGGCGGCACCGGAACGCGUACAGCCCCGGGACGUGGCUGAUGUGGUAAGGGCAGAGGCCCCGCACAUGGUGGCCCUGGAUCACGUGCCGCCCCAGGGUGUGGCUGAGAUAGAAAGGACGGAAGACCCGCUUCUGAUCACCAGCUCACCUUUGAUCAGAGCGGAUGGGGAGCCGCUUGCUCGGAUAGGAGAGGAGCCCAACUGGCAUACUCAUGCCUAUUUUUGCUACAGGCAGGGCCGGACCGACAAGGAUACAGACUGGUGACAGUUUUGUGGUAGGAGAUAAGGACAAGGACGGAAACGAUCAGGCAGCGACCGAAGCAAGGCUGCUACUCACGCCUGACCAAUGCUCAGAAGCAAUCACUUGCUGAUGACACCGGAUAGAGAUGGGACGUUUCAAAAUUCAAAUCAUACGAGGACUCCUCUCAAUUCCCUCCAUUGUGGGGAUAGCAGCUGGUCCAAGCGGAACACAGCUAGCGUGGCAGGCGGCAGGGGCAACGCGCUGGACACUUUCCUGGUUUCUCUCUCGGGAUCGGAAUCCACAGCCGAUCAGGGAUUGGAGACAAGGUCGAUAGACUGCUCCAUUGCUCAGCUACGGGCGCAGUACAGGAAGAGAAUAACGCCAGUCCUCUCGCGACCCAGCGUGGUCAGAAACAAGCGGCGAAGGAGGACCCCACCCUCAACUGUUCGGCGCAGCCUCAGGAUCAAUGGGCGCUUAACAAGUGUGCAUUGACAGAAAUUACACUCUGGUGGACAGAUGCUUCACUUGCGGUGUGCAUUCCAACAGGGCACUGAAUUGAUGGCAAUGUGCAUAUGGAUUCAGCCCUGAAAUUGCUGAUGAAAUCUGCAUGGUCAACCAUAAUAGCCAGCACUUUAUGAUCAACACUAACUCUGAUGAUGUGUUGCACAUCAUCAUCAGAUUUAAUUCUAACCAAACCAUCUGCAAUUGAUUUGUCAGGCAAGCACCAGUAAAGUAUGUGCUCACCCACUGGAUAUCCCAACCAAGUUAGAUGCUCUUCAAUGAAAGAAUAUGAGAAUGUGGUAGCAUCAACAUAAUCAAGAACUUCCACUGAAGGGUUCCAGUACUUCAAAUUACUGAUUGGGCCACAGAAAAUCCCACCAUGCUCAAGCUCAAGUGUAAAGAAAGAAGUGUCCACCCUUUGUCCAUUUGCUGAAUCACACACUGCAUCAAAUAUGUGUAAUUUGUAAGCAAUGCACAAUGAUGAAUACACUUAACAGUAAAAUUAAGUUAGCUGAGAAGUUCAGUUAACUGAGAAGUUCAGUUAACUGAGAAGUUCAGUUAACUACAGUGAACUGAAAACAUUGUGAAUAACUACAGUGCACUGACAAAAUUCAGAUAACUACAGUUAACUGACAACAUUCAGAUAACUACAGUUAACUGAAAAAAUCAGUCAAAUGUCCUAAAAUCAAUACUUGUGCUAAGUGAAGUUGGUGCCAUUGAACACAACCAACUGGUGGCAUCACUAACACCUGAAACAUGAGCAUGACCAUUGCAAUACUAAGCAUUAACACUUGAAACAUGAACAACUAAAUUUGUUGGCAAUGAACACAAUCAAGCAUUGUCAGAAUUGCUUUCGGUGCACAUGAAUAGAGGACCGACCCACAACUCCAGUCUAACAAGCUAACAUAUGAACGAAAAAGAAGACCCACUUGUCAGGCCAAACCCACGACUUUGCCACCCUAAACCCUAACCUAAUCUACUCGGCCAAAACCCACUAGGCAAAACCCUAGCUUUACUGCCGUCAGACAAACCCAACAGCAUUCAACAAGCACACCACCGUGAGACACACCGAAGUGGCGUGGCUGAUGCGGACGACGACGACACAACGCGACGAUGAAACAGAGCACGGGUGGAACACGGCAGGAGGCGGAAGAGGGGACAGGAGCUCACCAUAGUCCAGUGGGAUGACGCCGAGCGGCCAGAUGAGAUGAGCGGAAGGGGGUGGCUCCAUCCCGCCGGCGAACUCCAGCAACGACGGCGCGAUGAUGAGCGUCAUCACCAAAUCGCCACCACACUGUCUCCCCCGACAGGACAGCGGGAGAGGUCGAACGGAUCUGGUGCAACUCCUGUGGCAUUUAAUUUAGGUGGGUUUAGUGCGGGUUGAAUCGAGUGAACGCCAGGGGCCUUUGUGGAAAAUUGCCACAGCUGACCGGUCCACCCUCUGGACUGCCACAUGUCACGCUGUGAAUGGCCACUAGUAGAAAACAGGGCUUAGGUCACAGGGCAGUUUUCACAUUAGCCCCGGUUCAGUCACGAACCGGGACUAAUGUGAGCAUUGGUCCCGGUUCGUGAGCCCAGGGGGCCGGCCGGGGCCUCGUGGGCAUUGGUCCCGGUUCGUAUGGACCCUUUGGUCCCGGUUGGUGGUACAAACCGGGACCAAUGGGCCACGCUCCUGGCCCACCACCCUUUAGUCCCGGUUCAUACCACAAACCGGGACUAAAGGGCUGGUCCUAGUUGCGGCCAGUGUUUAGUCCCACCUCGCCAACCGAAGGGCGCUCACACCAGUUUAUAAGCCCGUCCCUCUAUGCCUUGUUGAGCUUCUCUUAAAGUGAAAAUAGAUGCCCUUAUACAGGAAAUUUGACCUAAAUUCAUAGUAAAUUUCAUAGAAAUUUAUUAUGAAUUUAGGUUGAAUUUUCUCUAUAAGUGCAUCUAUGUUCAUUUUUUUAUAUUUAUAAAAUAAAUAAAACUAAAUAAACGUUAAUAAAAUAAAAUAAAAUAAACUAUAGUAACUACAAUAAAUAAACCUUAAUAAAUUAAGUAAAAAUAGCAGCAGUAAAAUAAAUAAAAAUAGCAGCAGUAAAAUAAAUAAAAAUAAAAUAAUUAAAGUAAAAUACAUAAGUAAUUAGAAAUAAAAUAAAUAAGUUUUUUGUUGUAAGUAGAAACAAAACCUUUUCAGAGUUCAUUUGAAAUGCUUUUCAAUUUUAGGGUCUUAUAGCUCAAAAUAAUUAGUAAAUGCAUGAAAAAUAACAAAUGAAGUCAGAAAGGAUUGAAAAAUGAUGAUGUGGCUUUGAAUGGUGCAUUUUGAACACANNNNNNNNNNNNNNNNNNNNNNNNNNNNNNNNNNNNNNNNNNNNNNNNNNNNNNNNNNNNNNNNNNNNNNNNNNNNNNNNNNNNNNNNNNNNNNNNNNNNNNNNNNNNNNNNNNNNNNNNNNNNNNNNNNNNNNNNNNNUAAGUUUUAAAAAAUGAAAUCCCUUUGUAACAGACGAGUUUCCGGAUGAAAUCCUGAUACUUUGAAAGAGAUUGUCCGUUUUGUACACGAAGUGCAUCCAGUUUUUGCCGUAACCCUCUGAACUUUCUUGCACAUGCUAUGUGGAUGAAAUGAUGACAUCAUGCCAACUUUCAACCUUUUGAGAGUUCAUUUGAAAUGCUUUUCAAUUUUAGGGUCUUAUAGCUCAAAAUAAUUAGUAAUGCAUGAAAAAUAACAAAUGAAGUCAGAAAGGAUUGAAAACUGAUGAUGUGGCUUUGAAUGGUGCAUUUUCAACACACAAAAAGUCAGGAGUUCAAAUAAGUUUUGAAAAAUGAAAUCCCUUUGUAACAGACGAGUUUCUGGAUGAAAUUUAAACUAUUCAAAUUUGGAAACUAAUGGAGUAACAGAAAGUUUAUAAUUAUUCUGAGCUAAAAGCAAAAAGAAUAAAAAAAUAAAGCAAAAAUCAAAAUAAAAUAAAUAAUUCAAAAAACAAAAAAAUACUAGAAAAAAUAAAAAAUGCCGCCUAAUGGGCCACACGGCCUGCAUACGACUAGAAACCCAUCUGCACAUGGGCCAGGAUGCAGGCCCGCAGGCCCAAUAGGCCCAACAUGGCAGUGACAAAGGUAGGCAUGUAAUGCCUGCAUAUUAGAGAGGAGCUCAGCACCUGAGCUGCAACGCGGCUUAUAAACAUGUGUUGAGCUCUCUCAGCUAGCGAGGUGGGACUAAACUUCCCACCGCACCGCGCCAGCACAUUUGUCCCGGUUGGUGGCUCCAACCGGAACAAAUGCUCCCCUUUGGUCCCGGUUGGUGCCACCAACCGGGACCAAAGCCCUCUGCUUCCCGCCCUUUGCGCUGGUGAAAAGAGGCCUUUGGUCCCGGUUGGUGCCACCAACCGGGACUAAAGGGUGGGUAUUGGUUCCGGUUUGUGCGUUGAACCGAGACCAAAGCCUUUGCUAUAUAAGCAGCACUUAGGAAAUUUUCAGAUUUCCAUCGCCAGUUUCCCCCCGCCCGACGACGCCGCGAGCUCGAUCUACGCCGCCGUCGCCGNNNNNNNNNNNNNNNNNNNNNNNNNNNNNNNNNNNNNNNNNNNNNNNNNNNNNNNNNNNNNNNNNNNNNNNNNNNNNNNNNNNNNNNNNNNNNNNNNNNNNNNNNNNNNNNNNNNNNNNNNNNNNNNNNNNNNNNNNNNNNNNNNNNNNNNNNNNNNNNNNNNNNNNNNNNNNNNNNNNNNNNNNNNNNNNNNNNNNNNNNNNNNNNNNNNNNNNNNNNNNNNNNNNNNNNNNNNNNNNNNNNNNNNNNNNNNNNNNNNNNNNNNNNNNNNNNNNNNNNNNNNNNNNNNNNNNNNNNNNNNNNNNNNNNNNNNNNNNNNNNNNNNNNNNNNNNNNNNNNNNNNNNNNNNNNNNNNNNNNNNNNNNNNNNNNNNNNNNNNNNNNNNNNNNNNNNNNNNNNNNNNNNNNNNNNNNNNNNNNNNNNNNNNNNNNNNNNNNNNNNNNNNNNNNNNNNNNNNNNNNNNNNNNNNNNNNNNNNNNNNNNNNNNNNNNNNNNNNNNNNNNNNNNNNNNNNNNNNNNNNNNNNNNNNNNNNNNNNNNNNNNNNNNNNNNNNNNNNNNNNNNNNNNNNNNNNNNNNNNNNNNNNNNNNNNNNNNNNNNNNNNNNNNNNNNNNNNNNNNNNNNNNNNNNNNNNNNNNNNNNNNNNNNNNNNNAAAUUUUACUAUAUAUAGAAGUAGUUUAUUUUUAGUAAGAACUACUUUAUUUUAUUUAUUUAUAGUAAGUGCUUAGUAGUUGAACUAGUUGAUUAAUUAAUAAAACUACUUUAUUUUAUUUAUAGUAAGUGCUUAAUUAGUAGUUGAACUAGUUGAUUUAACAAAACUAGUUUAUUUUACUAUAGAAGUAGUUUAUUUUUAGCAAGGAAAUUAAUAGAACUAGUUUGUUUUUUUAGUUAAAGUAAUUAUUCCCGCAUCGACGUCGACGAUGCCUAUCCCGCAUCCUCGUCGUCGAAUCGGCGGAGGAGGCCGGCUUGAUCAGAGGGGCCAUGUCCGGGACUGGGCUCCGCCGGCUGGUUUUGGGAGGUGCUACCUUCCGGUGGGCGUAGGUUGGUGAGGAACCAGCCCGUCGUUGACCCGAUCCUUGUUUGGUGGCGCUCGCGUGGGCCAGUGACGGUGCCGAGGCUUCCGAACACCACGGAGGUGGUACGUCACCGUGUCAGCGAGGAGGACCAGCAUGUCCGUCGCUACAUGGUUGCGUUGGAGGGCAGGUUCGACAAUACCUGGCAGGUUCUUCAGGGAUCUCACUGGAGCUAUGAUCCUGUGAUGGUUCCGUCCCUUUGGGUGUCCACCGCCCGCGCCGAUACCCGUCGGGCGCUACUGUUCUAGCUGUACUAGCGAUGCUAUAUGUAUGAUAGUAUUCGAGGUGUAUUAGUGAUAAUAUUCGAUGAUGUACGGACGCAUGGAGAUGAUGUAGUUUUGCUUAUAAUUGAAUGCAUCCUAAUUUGAAUACUACUUUAUUUUGUGAUUUGAUUUUGCUUAUUGAAUGCUCAAAGUGGAAAACUACUCCGAUCCUACUUUGAAUGCUAAAAUUGGAGAGCACUAUGAUUAGUUGAUAGCUUAUAGGGUUUUUGUUUUCGCAGAAAUCUAGGAGCCCCCGGCCCCUCCAUCAUCCACGCCGUCGUCCCCGUCACCGCCCCCUCCGACAUCGAGGUGAGACCAGCCAAAUCCUCUUUUAGAAAGAUAAUUAAACGAUAUUUCGGGUUGACUGUAAGUCUGUCGAGUCUCCACCAUAUAUGAGAGGACGAAGAAUCCCGACUGUUGUCGUGGGGGUAGCUUCUCCUUCGUUCCCGUGUGCUAGACAAUUUGGUGUAAUGCACUCGAGAACGAAAGGAGGAGCUACCAUCACCGACGGUCGCAAAUGUCAGAGAGGAAUCAGUGAGGGAGAGUUCCACCAUAUAUAUAUAAGAGGACAAAGAAUCCCGACUGUUGUCGUGGGGGUCGCUUCUCCUUUGUUCCCGUGUGCUAGCUAGACAUUUUGGUGUAAUGCACACGGGGACAAAGGGAGGAGCGACCAUCACCAACGGUCGAAUGUAUACACCACGUGAGCUGAGAGUUUUCAAGAAAAGACUCGACAAACCGAUAGUCAACCCGUGAUGAAUAAUAAUGAUCUAACUUAGGUUUUUUAGUACAUAUAUUUUAAUUGUAGAUGUUUAAUAUUUGAAUUAUGAACAUAGGAAAUGUCGUACUCGGACGACGAAAGUCUCCCGGGGGAGUGCGACUGGUGCCUCCAAUUCUACCUCUAUGUGAGUUUCUCAAACAUAGUUAUUAGCUAAUUUAUAUUGUUCAUUUCAAAAUAGUUGACAGCUUAUUUUCAUUGACAGCUUAUUUUGAUUGUUCAAACAAUGUGCGGAACAUGGUAGACAGAACCUACUACACCGAUGGCUCUGAGUUAACUUAUAAGGAGAAAACUCAUCUGGUCGGAUUUUGUACUGAUAUUGAGAAUUACAAUAUCUACAAUCAAACUCCUCAACAUUAUGGUCAAUACGUGCCACUAGUGCACGUGUUGAACUACGGUAACUACUAUGGAGAUACCCUGGUAAGAUUUCUUACUAUUACGACAUCCGUGCAUAUUUUGCAUAGUUCUAAAACUAGUACAUUAUCAUUGCUAACUAUGAAGUUAUUACUAUGUUUUUCAAAAGAUAAUCCCAGAGGAUUGUGUGCCUCAUUUGAUGUAUCAGAAUGGUAGGCUUGAUGUUUUGAAUAUACAACCAGGUCAUCCUACGAAUCUCAACUGUCCAUACCGGAUUUCUAAAAGAAGUGGAGACAUGCAAAUCAAAGAAUGAAAAAAAUGUAUGGACAGUCGCAAGGAGGUUCUUGGAAGCAAAAGGAAGCGAGGCGCAAGAAUUGGAGACAGGAUGAUCUCCAUUAUCCAUAAUGGAGAGUCAGAGUCUAUAUUGUUUUAUGCUAUUUUACCUUAAAGAGGGUAUUUCGGUCCUACCUAAUACUGAUGAUCAUGUGCUAAGAACAAUUAAGUAGGGUUGGUUCGAUGACUGUGAGAAUGAUGAUCGUAUGACUUGUUAUUAAUAACGAGUAGAAGUUGUAUGAUGAUGAUUAGUAGGACUUGUUAUUGUAUAUGAUGAUGCAUGAUGCGCGCAUGAAGAGUUAUUAUAUAUCAGCGGGUGAAAUGAACAUGGAUUGGAUUGAAGUGAAGGCAACAUGCAUGUGGUGCGUGUCGAAAGUAGUACAAUCCAAACUUGAUCAAGUCCGGAUUAGUAUUACUUCCGACAUGCACCACAUGUUGCCUUCACUUCAAUCUAAGCCAUGUUUAGGCAUAGCAGUACGUAGCGUUGGUAAACCAAGCACGGAGAUAUAAGAGAGGACACUUCUCUCUAAUAGCUACCUAAUAACAACCUAAAUUAACNNNNNNNNNNNNNNNNNNNNNNNNNNNNNNNNNNNNNNNNNNNNNNNNNNNNNNNNNNNNNNNNNNNNNNNNNNNNNNNNNNNNNNNNNNNNNNNNNNNNNNNNNNNNNNNNNNNNNNNNNNNNNNNNNNNNNNNNNNNNNNNNNNNNNNNNNNNNNNNNNNNNNNNNNNNNNNNNNNNNNNNNNNNNNNNNNNNNNNNNNNNNNNNNNNNNNNNNNNNNNNNNNNNNNNNNNNNNNNNNNNNNNNNNNNNNNNNNNNNNNNNNNNNNNNNNNNNNNNNNNNNNNNNNNNNNNNNNNNNNNNNNNNNNNNNNNNNNNNNNNNNNNNNNAGCUCCUGCCAGGUGCUGACGCAUGGAUGCCUAUUGGUCCCGGUUGGUGGCACCAACCGGGACCAAAGGCCCUCCUGCCUGGGCUCCACGCACCGGCCACGUGGACGGACUUUAGUCCCGGUUCGUGUAAGACCGGGACUAAAGGGCUAGGGCAUUAGUAACGACCCUUUAGUCUCGGUUCCAGAACCGGGACUAAAGGCCCUUAUGAACCGGGGUAAAAGCCCCUUUUCCUACUAGUGGGCUGUGGACCAAAACAUCACAUAGGGUGUCAAGUUUGUGGAGUCCUCAAUCACAUUUUACAAGUUUUGGACUAAAACAUCACAUUCGGUGCAAGUUUGUGGAUCUGGGGUGCUAUUACCUCUAACAAGUGGUGCCUCAAUCAAGACGCAACAGCGCACUCUCAUGAUGCAGCUUGGCAUUGCCCGGGAAGGCGAGAUGAUUGGCGAUGAGGCCAUGCAGGCCUACCUGCAACUAUUCUCAAGACCAUUACAACAGUCACACAUAGCUGCUAUCGUGGGCCUAUUUGGUUGGCAGGCGGACGUGCUACCACUAGGAAGGGCGACGGAGGACGUAGCACUCUAGGGCUAUAAGCUCAGGGUUGUACGCUGGUAGGCCUUCCAUAUGGCUGAUCCAAGCAAGGUGAUUGUGGUGUGGAAUGUGCGCGGGGUGAACAACCCGGCAAAACGAAAUGCAAUAAAUAACAUAAUUUCGAGCUCGGGCGCGUGUGUGGUGUGUUUACAGGAGACUAAGGUUCAGGACAUGAACCCGGCGGUGCUGUGGCAAUGCCUCAGACCAGAUUUCGAUGUGUUUUUCUGUGUUCCGGCGAUCGGUACGUGUGGGGGUGUUUUAUUGGCGGCCAAGUCUGCAUGCCUGCAGUUCACAAACCCUCACACGACGGCAAACACGGUCACGGCAUGGGUUCAGUUCCCGGACGCAACUGGAUGGUGGAUAACGGGGGUCUACGGACCCCAGGAGGACAACGAAAAGGUGGCUUUCAUCCAUGAGCUCAAAGAUGUCAGAGAUUUACAUGCAGGCACCUGGAUGAUCGCUGGAGAUUUCAAUUUAAUUGCCGAUCCUUCGGACAAAAGUAACGAUAGAAUCAACCGACGAAUGAUGGGCAGAUUUAGGAGAUGCAUCAAUGACUUGGACAUGUCUGAACUAUACCUCAAUGGCCGUAGAUACACAUGGUCAAACGAGCGUAUGGAGGCAACGCUUGAGAAGUUGGAUAGAGUUUUGGUCUCAGUGGAGUGGGAGGAGCUGCAUCCAUCGGCAUUCCUUUCGGCGCUCACCACAAAUGUUUCAGAUCAUUGCCCACUCCACUUGGUCCUAGAGGCGAACUUAAUGCGAGGAAGACGGUUCCAUUUUGAGGCAUUCUGGACGAAGAUUGACAGUUUCCAUGACGUGGUCAGACAAGCUUGGGAUAGCCAGCCAUAUAUCCAAAACCCUUACAAGAGGUUGGCGGCAAAGUUGAAGUCAACAGCUAAACGACUAGCCAGCUGGAGUAACAAAUACGUGGGGAGUGUCAAACAACAAAUCCGCAUUGCGAACGAGGUCAUUCUACGACUGGAUGUCGCCAUGGAGAGUCGAACAUUAACGCAAGCUGAGAUUAGUUUGCGGAGGUUACUCAAGCACAAGCUGCUGGGUCUAGCAUCGCUGGAGCGGACAAUCGCUAGACAAAGGUCUCGGAUACUCUACCUAAAAGAAGGUGAUGCAUGCACGCAAUUCUUCCAUGCGAAUGCAAGUCACAGGAGACGGAAAAACUUCAUCACAAAGCUCAAAGUGGAUGGCAUAAUCACUACAGAUCAUGAGACCAUGGCAGAAGCGGUGGAUGCUUUCUUCUCCAACUUGCUUGGGGACUCAUAUGACCGGGAAUUCACGCUCAAUCUUGAAGAGCUGGGGCUACCUAGUAAGGAUAUGUCUCAUCUUGACAUCGCAUUCACUGAGGAGGAGGUGCGGGGCUGCUGUGCGGGCACAAGAGCUUGACAAGGCGCCGGGACCUGAUGGCUUUCCGGCACGUUUCUAUCUGGCCUGUUGGCCGAUCAUAAAGGAAGACGUCAUGGCAGCGUUUCACUCGUUUGGAAGAAUGGAUUUCCAUGGUCUCACUUCCAUAAACCAAGCAUUCAUAACGCUGUUGCCCAAGACACCGGCUGCACUGGAAAUACGUGAGUUUAGGCCAAUCAGUUUGAUACAUAGCUUCCCAAAGCUAGUCGCCAAGGUGUUGGCCACAAGGGUGGUUGCUGACAUGCCGGAUCUGGUCGGAGCUCACCAAGGCGCAUUCAUAAAAGGGAGAUGGCUGCAUGACAACUACAUGAUGGUGCAAGGUCUGGCUAGGAAGCUGCAUGCAACAAAGAAAGAGGCGGUGAUGCUCAAGCUCGACAUUACAAAGGAAUUUGACACGGUGCACUAGGCCUUUCUAUUGGAAGUUCUCCAUCACAUGGGGUUCGGUACCAAGUGGACGGCAUGGAUCUCUGGGCUACUUGCGUCAUCCUCCACAAGAGUUCUUCUCAAUGGCAUUCCGGGUGAGAUCAUUUAUAACUGGCAAGGGUUGCGUCAAGGGGAUCCGGUCUCCCCCCCUAUUGUUUGUCCUAGUUAUGGAGAGCCUACAACACCUCAUACACCGAGCUUCAGAGACCGGUCUUCUAACACCUCUUGCACCCACCGGCUACUGCUACCUCUUGAGCACUGUGUUGGUUUUCUCUUGAAGAGGAAAGGGUGAUGCAGCAAAGUAGCGUAAGUAUUUCCCUCAGUUUUUGAGAACCAAGGUAUCAAUCCAGUAGGAGGCUACGCGCGAGUCCCUCAUACCUACACAAAACAAAUAAAUCCUCGCAACCAACGCGAUAAGGGGUUGUCAAUCCCUUCACGGUCACUUACGAGAGUGAGAUCUGAUAGAUAUGAUAGGAUAAUAUUUUUGGUAUUUUUGUGAUAAAGAUGAAAAGUAAAAUAAAAGCAAAGUAAAAAAGCAAAGGAAAUAACUAAGUGUUGGAAGAUUAAUAUGAUGAAGAUAGACCCGGGGGCCAUAGGUUUCACUAGUGGCUUCUCUCAAGAGCAUAGGUAUUUUACGGUGGGUGAACGAAUUACUGUUGAGCAAUUGACAGAAUUGAGCAUAGUUAUGAGAAUAUCUAGGUAUGAUCAUGUAUAUAGGCAUCACGUCCGAGACAAGUAGACCGACUCCUGCCUGCAUCUACUACUAUUACUCCACUCAUCGACCGCUAUCCAGCAUGCAUCUAGAGUAUUAAGUUCAUGGAAGCAGAGUAACGCCUUAAGCAAGAUGACAUGAUGUAGAGGGAUAAAUUCAUGCAAUAUGAUAAAAAACCCAUCUUGUUAUCCUCGAUGGCAACAAUACAAUACGUGCCUUGCUGCCCCUACUGUCACUGGGAAAGGACACCGCAAGAUUGAACCCAAAGCUAAGCACUUCUCCCAUUGCAAGAAAGAUCAAUCUAGUAGGCCAAACCAAACUGAUAAUUCGAAGAGACUUGCAAAGAUUACCAAUCAUACAUAAAAGAAUUCAGAGAAGAUUCAAAUAUUGUUGAUAGAUAAACUUGAUCAUAAACCCACAAUUCAUCGGUCUCAACAAACACACCGCAAAAAGAAGAUUACAUCGAAUAGAUCUCCACGAGAGAGGGUGAGAACAUUGUAUUGAGAUCCAAAAAGAGAGAAGAAGCCAUCUAGCUACUAACUAUGGACCCGAAGGUCUGAGGUAAACUACUCACACUUCAUCGGAGAGGCUAUGGUGUUGAUGUAGAAGCCCUCCGUGAUGGAUGCCCCCUCCGGCGGAGCUCCGGAACAGGCCCCAAGAUGGGAUCUCGUGGGUACAGAAGGUUGCGGUGGUGGAAUUAGGUUUUUGGCUCCGUAUCUGAUCAUUUUGGGGUACGUAGGUAUAUAUAGGAGGAAGAAGUACGUCGGUGGAGCAACAGGGGGCCCACGAGGGUGGAGGGCGCGCCCUGGGGGGUAGGCGCGCCCCCUACCUCGUGGCCUCCUGGAAGCUUCUCUUACGUAGGGUCCAAGUCUCCUGGAUCAUGUUCGUUCCAAAAAUCACGCUCCCGAAGGUUUCAUUCCGUUUGGACUCCGUUUGAUAUUCUUUUUCUGCGAAACUCUGAAAUAGGCAAAAAACAGCAAUUCUAGGUUGGGCCUCUGGUUAAUAGGUUAGUCCCAAAAAUAAUAUAAAAGUGGAUAAUAAAGCCCAAUAUUGUCCAAAACAGUAGAUAAUAUAGCAUGGAGCAAUCAAAAAUUAUAGAUACGUUGGAGACGUAUCAGCUACCAGCAGCGCACCUCCAUCUACGCUGACGAUGUGAUCACGUUCAUCAAGCCGGACUUGCAAAGUCUUAGGGCGUGUGCAGCGCUGCUGUUUGAUUUUGGUGUCGCAACGGGCCUGCGCACCAAUCUGUUCAAAUGCUCCACCCACCCAAUAAGGUGUUCCGAGGAAUAGUGCCAGCUAAUUGCAAAUGAAAUGGAGUGCCAGGUUUUGGACUGGCCCUGUCGGUACCUCGGGCUUCCGCUUGCAUUGCGGAAAUUUCAGCAGCCCAAUUGCAGUACAUGAUUGACAAGAUGGCGGACUGGCUUCCUGCCUGGCAAGCCAAGCUGAUUUAUCGAGCCGGGCGAUUAGAGCUGCUGCGAACUACUCUUUCAUCCAUACCAAUGCAUGCGAUGAUGGCGCUCGACUUACCUAUCAAAACCAUCGCAGCCGCUAAUAAAAUCUGUCGGGGAUUCUUGUGGAAGGGUAGGCAUGAUGUUCAUGGCAGGCAUUGCAUCGUCGCUUGGGACCAAGUUUGUGCGCCAAAAGAGUUAGGUGGAUUGGGCAUGCCAAACUUGCGUCUGCUAAACACAGCGCUUAGAGCCAGGUGGCCGUGGUUGCAAAGGACAGAGCCAAACCGGCCAUGGGGUGCUCUUAACUUGCAAGUACCCGAAGAAUCUAUGAGCAUCUACAAAGCAGCCACAAGAUGCACGCUUGGGGACGGGAACACGGCGCGGUUCUGGACGGACUGGUGGCUCCGGGACGGUCGCAUUGAGGGUACCAUGCCACACCUAUAUGCCAUGGUCAAGAAGCCGGGACGGAGAAAGACGGUCAGUCAAGCGAUCACGGACGGAUGGUGGCAAGAUGUCUCACCGGAUAUGAGCACGCAAGCACUACUUGAGUUCAUCACUUUGGUAGACAUGACUCAGAACAUCGAGCUGGUGCAAGGUGUGGAAGACACAAUCACAUGGACAUGGGAGAGCACGGGCAGUUUCUCUGUACGGUCGGCAUACCGCGCACAUUUUGCGGGAAGAAUAGAGAAGGCCGGAGCCUACCAAGUCUGGAAAUCGUGGGCACCGCCGGCGUGCAAGUUCUUCAUGUGGCUGGCAACGCGGAAUCGGUGCUGGACUGCGGAUCGGUUGCAGCGCCGACAGAUGCCACACUCAUCGGCAUGCCCUCUUUGUGAUCAAGCUCCGGAGACUUUAGAUCACCUAUUGCUUAGCUGUGUCUUCGCCGGGCAAGUGUGGACCAAGAUCACAAGCACAUGGGGGAGACCGGACUGGAUGCCAACAUUGGAUGCAAGCCUUGUGAAAUGGUGGACAGAUCUACACCCGCAAAACCACAUGAGGAAGGAGACGUGGACUGUUAUUACUCUCGUGCUAUGGCAGUUGUGGAAACACCGGAAUGACAUAGUGUUCAAUGGAGCCCUGCCAUCGGUUGAGGAAGUGCUUGUGAAGAUCGAGCUGGAGGCACAAGAUUGGAGAGCCGCCGGACUUCUUCGAGAACGGGGUUCCGUCAUUUGUAUGGUAGAUAGGGAGGACAUGGGUGAGUAAUCCGCAUGUGGAUUUAAGGCUUUUAUAGCCGUGGAGGGGGUUGUAAAAGGGUUUGUAAAACGGUUGGCCUUUCUUGGCCUCUUCUAUCUAUCUUCUCGAUGCGUCAAUCUUGAAGCAUCCCUUGAAAAUAUACUGAUAGACAGUCCUCAUGUGCGGCUCUCGGAGGAUUUGUUUUAUCUUCAUGUGCAUGAUGACCGAUGAGAUCACUACUACUAGUAUUAACUGUUUUGGUCAUUGGUCAAUUGGAGGGUGAGUAGGAAACCAAAAUACUCCAUGCAUGAUGAUGGUCUGACUCUUCCACCCCAACCCAGUUGAAUAAUAAAGGGACACACAAGCUGCAUGAGUGGCCUCCCAUGCUCGACUCAACUUGAAAUGUCAGCCUGGAGAACACCAACACUCAUGCAUGCACAUACAGAUAUGAGAUAUGGUCCAUUAUUUUCUCGGGACAGUUAAGGCAGCAAUCAACGAACAGUGCGUACAGCGCCUGGACUUUCUUCCUUCUUCUCCUCUGCACCCAACAACUUGUCCAUUCAUUCAUUCAUCCAUUCAUGGGUCAGCCAGUCUAUAAAGUCUGAGAUCGAUGGCGGCACGUGGAGUACAUAACUAGCCCACCCUCCACGCUGUACCAAAUUAAGGUGAGUACAACUACAAAAGCUACUGUAGUUGCUGCACCAUAUUUGCAAGGGCAGAGCAGCUGGCCGCACCGAUGAUGAGGAAUUCAGACCAAAAGCAAAGUGAGCACUAAUGGUUCCACGGUUUCGUUCACCCCAUGGCCGCAUCGCAUCUCUGUGUAUCUGUGUGUGACAGAGAGGUAGUACUGCCUGCGACCUGCCUGCAGUGGUUAUACUGGUUAAGCACAAGAAAGUCAUGAGAUGCAGAGCGUCCAACAAAGAGAAUUCCCUUCAGACAAUCGCCACACAGUUCUUCUCAUAACUUGCGCGUUCGUUCAACCAACCGCCGAUCUGCCGACUAAAAAACGCCCUCCAUGCAGGCAUGCAUGCACCUGUGUCCUGUCCUGUGAUGUCCGCAAAUUGACAGGACCUGCAUUGUGCAUGUGGAUGGACAAAGAGAAGAGCAGAGCAGGUCGAUCGGGCCCGGAAAAGCGCGACGGAGUCUUAAAAAACAAGCCCCACGCGGGCAAUCAAUGGUUCGCCGCGACUGAAUGCAGGGGUUGGCUCCCGGUUGAAUUUUUUAUGCCCAAGACGUGGAAGUGGAUUCAAUUCAGUGAUGAGCGGACGGACGUCCUCGUCUCACCCGCCUUGCGGUUCAAGGACAUGCACGUCUAUCAACCCAAUCCAUUUGUCCAUUGCCACUGGAUCCAUCCGUCCAUUGUUGGUCUAUCUGCUGCUGCUGCCUGAUUGUGUCUUAAGAAUUGGGUGCAGCUGCUCUCAGUAAAUGCGCGCGAGCUAGCCUUCAAUGGCCGUCACUGUCGACCGACCGAUCUUCUUUUUCUUUCUUCGUCAAUGGCGCAAUUGAAUUGAAAGAAAGGAAAGGACAGGAGAAGCUGUAGCCUGGAGCUGGAGGAGCGGUAAGUGUAUUUGAUGGGUGUGAUCAUGGAUGUAGAUACGGUUGCACGUAGCUGUUCCCGGCCGGGUGAAUACGCGUACGCAUCAUUGGUUAUCCUGCAGCUUCGCAUUACUUGCACCCGUCACCAUCGCAUUUACUUGCGUUUCUAUUUUUAAAUCAAAUGCAUGUACUCAGAAACGGUGGUAUUUUUAUUAGAAAGCAACGCAAUUUUUUAAAACAAAACUUUGGGAACUUUAUUUUAAAUAAAAAAACGGUUACAUCGUCCACCGGUAAGACCUUGUCCUAUCUCUACAUUAACUGCUUUCAACUCGGGGUAGAUUUGAUUUGCAUAUACGAUUAGGGCAUCUUCAAUGGUUGUAAGAUAGUUGUUGGUAAACUUUGCCACAUGAUUUUUGAUGAUGUGUCAUACAAUAAAUGAGGAAAGAGAGAAAGAUUAUAUGUACAUGAACCAACACCUCUUACACAAGGUUCAAUGUAGAAUGAGAGUGCACCUUAUUUAUUGCCUCACAUCUUAUUGGGCAAACUGGAUACAACCCAUUGGAGUUGUUGUAUGUUAAGAUGUUGGUUGAUGACAUGUCAUAUUUUACCAACAAGCUAACAUACAAACUGUUGGGGAUGCCCUUAGAGAGUUAGGGAGGGAUUGGACACACCGGUGUGUGGGAUUGGAUUAGGGGCAACACUGACGAAGAACACUCAAAUCCAUCGAUUUUUUUAUUACAUCGAGAUUGGGGAUUGGGGUACAAACUAGCCGCGGCGACCUUGGAGUUGCGUUGAGCAGCAGGGGGCGUAGCCAUCUUCUUUUCUGCCACCACCGCAGCACCUGUAGUUUCGUCCUCAUCGUCUUUGUCAAGAAUGAUGUGUCUUGCAUGGUCGCCUGCCGCUAGCUCCCUGGCCACCCUCUGCACCACGUCAUUGUCAUCCUUCGGCAACACAAAUGUCCUAGUCCAGUACACCACGACACACUGGUCUUGAGGCGCCUUGUACUCCCUGCACUUGGCCCAUCUUGCCCUCUGUCCAGCCUCCCGGAGUCCGCCUGAUUCAUGGCCCAGUGCAGGAAGUCCACUAACAUUGCGCCCCUGGCUAGGUUAGGAAUCAAUGUCUUCAACUAGUCCGGUGUUGCCUUCUUAACACUAGUAGAAAACAUGACAUCAGUCCUGGUUCCAGUGGGCCUUUAGUCCCAGUUCUGCAACCGGGACAAAACGAUCGGGACUAAUGCCCACCACUUUUACUCCCGGUUGGUCUAUGAACCGGGACUAAAGGAGCUCUUGUGGCCGUUGUGGGGCGCCUAGGCAGGAGGACCUUUCGUCCCGGUUGGUAACACUGACCGGGACUAAAAGGCAGCCACGCAUCAGCAGCAGCCAGGCGCUGGGGUUUUUGUUUUCUUUUUUGAAAGGAGGGGUUUUGGAGGGUUUAUGGGUUUUCAUAUUGUGUUUCCCCCUUUUAUUUUUCUGUUUACCAUUCAAUUCUUUUACAUUUAGGGUUUCAUUUUUAUUUAAUGUUUUCCAUUCAACUCGACGCUAGCUACUACAUAUAGCAAUGAAGGAACCAUUACACAAGAUCGUCAUGAACAUAUAUAGAGAGAAGUGACAUCUCUUUCUCCGUGCUUGGUCGAACAACAAGUUUUCGUAUAUCUAUCUGUUGGGGAUAUAAUUAUUUAGUUAACCUGCCCAAGAGGGGCCGGGUUAUAUUCAUGGCGACUCAUAAAGACAAAGCCUAGGAAGGAAUUGAAGAUGGUGGUUCAUGAGGAUAACUUAUGAAGGGCCCAAGGCCCAAAGGCGGCUUAAGGCCAGUAGGUGUAAACCGCCAUAUGUGUAUAACUUGUACAAUAAGGCAAUUGUAGUUAAGUCACCAGGCCGGACACGUUUAUGAGCCGGUCGGGACUCUGUAAACCACCGGGCGUCAACCUGAGUAUAUAAAGGGACGACCCGGCGAUGAGUUAAGGGCAAGAAAGAAGAGAUCGAAAGCUAGGUCAAGCGUAUUCGCUCCCUGGUAAUCGAGACAUAAGUAAUUCCACCUCAACUGGAUUAGGCCUUUACCUUCACCGCAAGGGGCCGAACCAGUAUAAACUCCCUGUGUCCUUUGUCCCGUUUUAACCCCUUUAAGCUAAUCUCGUUGUGAUGGAUCCACGACUAAGUCCUUGCAUUAGGACAUCUGCCGUGACAAUCCCAUGACAGUUGGCACCCACCGUGGGGCUCUCGCACGAUGGUUUCAAGUUCUUAGAGGGCAACUUUGAAGGGAUUGUCGGUGUACAAAAGUAGGGGCACUCCUUUGUACCCCUUUACUUGUGCACGGGCAGUCGGAGCCACGCGCCACGGCCGCACUUAGCAGGGCAAGGGAGGGAAGCCGGAGAGAAGCCGAAGCCCGAGACAAACAAGGCAACGUCAAGACCAAAGAUACCAAAGAGCGAGAGGGCGAGGUGGACUCCCCCGGCAAGGCCCUUGCCGGGGCAACUUGCCCGAUGCUAACAGAGCGAGCCACCCUUGAGCCCACGGGUUCCAACUCAACCAACCACAUUGGAACUAGGGCUCGGGAGGCACCUCCGUGGUAGCCUGCAAACCUUUGUCAAGACCAUAGAGAUAUGAGAGCAGAUGAGAACCAGAAGACGGCGACCCUCAGCGGGAUCCUUGCCGAGGAGAUCCACAAUACCCCCGGCAAGCACCUUGCCGGGGACAACUGCAACGCCAUGGCAAGACCCUUGCCGGGCCCCCGGCAAGGCCCUUGCCGAGGGCGUCCGUGGGGCCAAAGCCAGGUCCGCGUCGACCAAGACUCCACCGCUGUUCCCGACCAGCUACUAGCUCAACCAGCCGGGCAGGCACCUGCGUGGCGACAGGCGGCCUCUACGCCAACUCAGCAAGCACCUGCGUGGUGGCAUGCAACUCUUCGUGAAGACCCUACCACCGUGCCACCUCAGCUGCCUGCUUGCCUACAUGGCGCCGCAUGCACCGCUGGCCUAGGCGCGUGUCGAAGCAAGGCGAGGCGGCGACGGACGGGACGGGCCUCGUUCCCGUCCCCAACAAAGCUAAGGGACACCUAAGCUACGCAUUAAAUGUGCCUUGUCCUGUAACACGGGCGAUAAUCUCGCAGCACUGUAGGCCUUUCCACCUCCUGUGUGCCACUGUGGCAGCCCCUUUCGACUAUAAAAGGAGGCCCUUGGCAUACUGGAGAGGGAUUCGGCUCUUUUGAACUAUGCGAAGGAAAUAUGCCCUAGAGGCAAUAAUAAAGUUAUUAUUUAUUUCCUUAUAUCAUGAUAAAUGUUUAUUAUUCAUGCUAGAAUUGUAUUAACGGAAACUUGAUACAUGUGUGAAUAUAUAGACAAACAGAGUGUCACUAGUAUGCCUCUACUUGACUAGCUCGUUGAUCAAAGAUGGUUAUGUUUCCUAGCCAUAGACAUGAGUUGUCAUUUGAUUAACGGGAUCACAUCAUUAGGAGAAUUAUGUGAUUGACUUGACCCAUUCCGUUAGCUUAGCACUUGAUCGUUAGUAUUCUGCUAUUGCUUUUUUCAUGACUUAUACAUGUUCCUAUGACUAUGAGAUUAUACAACUCCCGUUUACCGGAGGAACACUUUGUGUGCUACCAAACGUCACAACGUACCUGGGUGAUUAUAAAGGUGCUCUACAGGUGUCUCCGAAGGUACUUGUUGGGUUGGCGUAUUUCGAGAUUAGGAUUUGUCACUUCGAUUGUCGGAGAGGUAUCUCUGGGCCCACUCGGUAAUGCACAUCACUAUAAGCCUUGCAAGCAUUGCAACUAAUGAGCUAGUUGCGGGAUGAUGUAUUACGGAACGAGUAAAGAGACUUGCCGGUAAUGAGAUUGAACUAGGUAUUGAGAUACCGACGAUCGAAUUUCAGGCAAGUAACAUACCGAUGACAAAGGGAACAACGUAUGUUGUUAUGCGGUUUGACCGAUAAAGAUCUUCGUAGAAUAUGUGGGAGCCAAUAUGAGCAUCCCGGUUCCGCUAUUGGUUAUUGGCCGGAGACGUGUCUCGGUCAUGUCUACAUAGUUUUCGAACCCGUAGGGUCCGCACGCUUAAAGUUAAAUGACGGUUAUAUUAUGAGUUUAUGUGUUUUUAUGUACCGAAGGAGUUCGGAGUCCCGGAUGAGAUCAGGGACAUGACGAGGAGUCUCGAAAUGGUCGAGACGUAAAGAUCGAUAUAUUGGACGACUAUAUUCGGACUUCGGAAAGGUUCCGAGUGAUUCGGGUAUUUAUCGGAGUACCGGAGAGUUACGGGAAUUCGGGGGGAGAAGUAUUGGGCCUUAUUGGGCCAUACGGGAAUAGAGGAGAGAGGCCAAAAGGAAGGAGGCGCGCACCCCCCUCUGGUCCGAAUUGGACAAGGGGCGCAGCCCCCUUUUCCUUCUCCCUCUCCCCCUCUUUCCUUCUCUCCUACUCCAACAAGGAAAGGAGGAGUCCUACUCCCGGUGGGAGUAGGACUCCCCCCUUGGCGCGCCCUCCUCCUUGGCCGGCCGCCUCCCCCCUUGCUCCUUUAUAUACGGGGGCAGGGGGCACCCCAUAGACACAACAAUAGAUCAUUGAUCUCUUAGCCGUGUGCGGUGCCCCCCUCCACCAUAUUACACCUCGAUAAUAUCGUAGCGGUGCUUAGGCGAAGCCCUGCGUCGGUAGAACAUCAUCAUCGUCACCACGCCGUCGUGCUGACGAAACUCUCCCUCAACACUCGGCUGGAUCGGAGUUCGAGGGACGUCAUCGAGCUGAACAUGUGCUAAACUCGGAGGUGUCGUGCGUUCGGUACUUGAUCGGUCGGAUCGUGAAGACGUACGACUACAUCAACCGGGUUGUGUUAACGCUUUCGCUUUCGGUCUACGAGGGUACGUGGACAACAGUCUCCCCUCUCGUUGCUAUGCAUCACCAUGAUCUUGCGUGUGCGUAGGAAUUUUUUUGAAAUUACUACGUUCCCCAACAGUGGCAUCAGAGUCUGGUUUUAUGCGUAGAUGUCAUAUGCACGAGUAGAACACAAGUGAGUUGUGGGCGAUAUAAGUCAUACUGCUUACCAGCAUGUCAUACUUUGGUUCGGCGGUAUUUUUGGAUGAAGCGGCCUGGACCGACAUUACGCGUACGCUUACGCGAGACUGGUUCUUCCGACGUGCUUUGCACAGAAAUGGCUGGCGGGUGUCAGUUUCUCCAACUUUAGUUGAACCGAGUGUGGCUACGCCCGGUCCUUGCGAAGGUUAAAACAACACCAACUUGACAAACUAUCGUUGUGGUUUUGAUGCGUAGGUAAGAACGGUUCUUGCUAAGCCCAGUAGCAGCCACGUAAAACUUGCAACAACAAAGUAGAGGACGUCUAACUUGUUUUUGCAGGGCAUGUUGUGAUGUGAUAUGGUCAAGACAUGAUGCUAAAUUUUAUUGUAUGAGAUGAUCAUGUUUUGUAACCGAGUUAUUGGCAACUGGAAGGAACCAUAUGGUUAUCGCUUUAUUGUAUGCAAUGCAAUCGCCAUGUAAUUGCUUUAUUUUAUCACUAAGCGGUAGCGAUAGUCGUAGAAGCAAUAGUUGGCGAGACGACAAACGAUGCUACGAUGGAGAUCAAUGGUGUCGCACCGGUGACGAUGGGGAUCAUGACGGUGCUUCGGAGAUGGAGAUCACAAGCACAAGAUGAUGAUGGCCAUAUCAUAUCACUUAUAUUGAUUGCAUGUGAUGUUUAUGUUUUAUGCAUCUUAUCUUGCUUUGAUUGACGGUAGCAUUAUAAGAUGAUCUCUCACUAAAUUUCAAGAUAAAAGUGUUCUCCCUGAGUAUGCACCGUUGCCAAAGUUCGUCGUGCCCAGACACCACGUGAUGAUCGGGUGUGAUAAGCUCUACGUCCAUCUACAACGGGUGCAAGCCAGUUUUGCACACGCAGAAUACUCAGGUUAAACUUGACGAGCCUAGCAUAUGCAGAUAUGGCCUCGGAACACUGAGACCGAAAGGUCGAGCGUGAAUCAUAUAGUAGAUAUGAUCAACAUAGUGAUGUUCACCGUUGAAACUACUCCAUCUCACGUGAUGAUCGGACAUGGUUUAGUUGAUAUGAAUCACGUGAUCACUUAGAGGAUUAGAGGGAUGUCUAUCUAAGUGGGAGUUCUUAAGUAAUAUGAUUAAUUGAACUUAAAUUUAUCAUGAACUUAGUCCUGAUAGUAUUUUGCAAAUUAUGUUGUAGAUCAAUAGCUCGCGUUGUUGCUUCCCUGUGUUUAUUUUUGAUAUGUUCCUAGAGAAAAAUUAUGUUGAAAGAUGUUAGUAGCAAAGAUGCGGACUGGAUCCGUGAUCUGAGGAUUAUCCUCAUUGCUGCACAGAAGAAUUAUGUCCUUGAUGCACCGCUAGGUGACAGACCUAUUGCAGGAGUAGAUGCAGACGUUAUGAACGUUUGGCUAGCUCAAUAUGAUGACUACUUGAUAGUUUAGUGCACCAUGCUUAACGGCUUAGAAUCGGGACAUCAAAGACGUUUUGAAUGUCAUGGACCAUACGAGAUGUUCCAGGAGUUGAAGUUAAUAUUUCAAGCAAAUACCCGAGUUGAGAGAUAUGAAGUCUCCAACAAGUUCUAUAGCUAAAAGAUGGAGGAGAAUAGCUCAAGCAGUGAGCAUGUGCUCAGAUUGUCUGGGUACUACAAUCGCUUGAAUCAAGUGGGAGUUAAUCUUCCAGAUAAAAUAGUGAUUGACAGAAUUCUCUAGUCACCAUCACCAAGUUAGUAGAACUUCGUGAUGAACUAUAGUAUGCAAGGGAUGACGAAAGUAAUUCCGGAGCUCUUCGUGAUGCUGAAAUCGACGAAGGUAGAAAUCAAGAAAAACAUCAAGUGUUGAUGGUUGACGAGGCCACUAGUUUCAAGAAAAGGGCAAAGGGAAGAAGGGGAACUUCAAGAAGAACGGCAAGAAAGUUGCUGCUCAAGUGAAGAAGCCUAAGUCUGGUCCUAAGCCUGAGACUAAGUGCUUCUACUGCAAAGGGACUGUUCACUGGAAGCGGAACUACCCCAAGUAUUUGGUGGAUAAGAAGGAUGGCAAAGUAAACAAAGGUAUAUUGGAUAUACAUGUUAUUGAUGUGUACUUUAAUAGUGUUUAUAGCAACCCCUCGGCAUUUGAUACUGGUUCAGUUGCUAAGAGUAUUAACUCGAAACGGGAGUUGCAGAAUAAACAGAGACUAGUAAAAGGCGAGGUGACGAUGUGUGUUGGAAGUAGUUCCAAGAUUGAUAUGAUCAUCAUCGCACACUCCCUAUACUUUCGGGAUUAGUGUUGAAACUAAAUAAGUGUUAUUUGGUGUUUGCGUUGAGCAUGAAUAUGAUUUGAUCAUGUUUGUUGCAAUACGGUUAUUCAAUUAAAUUAGAGAAUAAUUGUUGUUCUGUUUACAUGAAUAAAACCUUCUAUGGUCAUACACCCAAUAAAAUGGUUUGUUGGAUCUCGAUCGUAGUGAUACACAUAAUCAUAAUAAUGAAGCCAAAAGAUGCAAAGUUAAUAAUGAUAGUGCAACUUAUUUGUGGCACUGCCGGUUAGGUCAUAUUGGUGUAAAGCGCAUGAAGAAACUCCAUACUGAUGGGAUUUUGGAAUCACUUGAUUAUGAAUCACUUGAUGCUUGCGAACCGUGCCUCAUGGGCAAGAUGACUAAAACGCCGUUCUCCGGAACUAUGGAGAGAGCAACAGAUUUGUUGGAAAUCAUAUAUACAGAUGUAUGUGGUCCGAUGAAUAUUGAGGCUCGUAGCAGGUAUCAUUAUUUUCUGACCUUCACAGAUGAUUUGAGCAGAUAUGGGUAUAUCUACUUAAUGAAACAGAAGUCUGAAACAUUUGAAAAGUUCAUAUAAUUUCAGAGUGAAGUGGAAAAUCAUCGUAACAAGAAAAUAAAGUUUCUACGAUCUGAUCGUGGAGAAGAGUAUUUGAGUUACGAGUUUGGCCUUCAGUUAAAACAAUGUGAAAUAGUUUCACUACUCAUGCCACCUGGAACACCACAGUGUAAUGGUGUGUCCGAACAUCGUAACUGUACUUUAUUAGAUAUGGUGCGAUAUAUGAUGUCUCUUACCGAUCUACCACUAUCGUUUUGGGGUUAUGCAUUAGAGACAGUUGCAUUCACGUUAAAUAGGGUACCAUCUAAAUCCAUUGAGACGACAUCUUAUGAACUGUGGUUUGGCAAGAAACCAAAGUUGUCGUUUCUUAAAGUUUGGGGUUGCGAUGCUUAUGUGAAAAAGUUUCAUCCUGAUAAGCUCAAACCCAAAAUUGGAGAAAUGUGUCUUCAUAGGAUACCCAAAGGAGACAGUUGGGUACACCUUCUAUCACAGAUCCGAAGGCAAGACAUUCGUUGCUAAGAAUGGAUCCUUUCUAGGGAAGGAGUUUCUCUCGAAAGAAGUGACUGGGAGGAAAGUAGAACUUGAUGAGGUAACUGUACCUGCUCCCUUAUUGGAAAGUAGUUCAUCACAGAAACCAGUUCCUGUGACUCCUACACCAAUUAGUGAGGAAGCUAAUGAUGAUGAUCAUGUAACUUCAGAUCAAGUUACUACCGAACCCCGUAGGUCAACCAGAGUGAGAUCCACACCAGAGUGGUACGGUAAUCCUAUUCUGGAGGUCAUGUUACUUGACCAUGACGAACCUACGAACUAUGAGGAAGCGAUGAUGAGCCCAGAUUCCGCGAAAUGGUUUGAGGCCAUGAAAUCUGAGAUGGGAUCCAUGUAUGAGAACAAAGUAUGGACUUUGAUUGACUUGCCCAAAUGAUCGGCGAGCCAUUGAGAUUAAAUGGAUCUUCAAGAGGAAGACGGACGCUGAUAGUAGUGCUACUAUCUACAAAGCUAGAAUUGUCGCAAACGGUUUUCGACAAAUUCAAGGUGUUGACUACGAUGAGAGUUUCUUACUCGUAUCUAUGCUUAAGUCUGUCCGAAUCAUGUUAGCAAUUGCCGCAUUUUAUGAAAUCUGGCAAAUGGAUAAACAAAACUGCAUUCCUUAAUGGAUUUAUUAAAGAAGAGUUGUAUAUGAUGCAACCAGAAGGUUUUGUCGAUCCUAAAGGUGUUAACAAAAUGUGCAAGCUCCAGCGAUCCAUCUAUGGACUGGUGCAAGCAUCUCGGAGUUGGAAUAUAUGCUUUGAUGAGUUGCUCAAAGCAUAUAGUUUUAUACAGACUUGCGGUGAAGCCUGUAUUUACAAGAAAGUGAGUGGGAGCACUACAACAUUUCUGAUAAGUAUAUGUGAAUGACAUAUUGUUGAUCGGAAAUAAUGUAGAAUUAUUCUGCAAAGCAUAAAGGAGUGUUUGAAAGGGGUUUUUCAAAGAAAGACCUCGGUGAAGCUGCUUACAUAUUGAGCAUCAAGAUCUAUAGAGAUAGAUCAAGACGCUUGAUAAGUUUUUUCAAUGAGUACAUACCUUAACAAGAUUUUGAAGUGGUUCAAAAUGGAACAGUCAAAGAAAGAGUUUCUUGCCUGUGUUACAAGGUGUGAAAUUGAGUAAGACUCAAAGCCCGACCACGGCAGAAGAUAGAAAAAGAAUGAAAGUCAUUCCCUAUGCCUCGGCCAUAGGUUCUAUAAAGUAUGCCAUGCUGUGUACCAGAUCUAUUGUAUACCCUACACUGAUUUUGGCAAGGGAGUACAAUAGUGAUCUAGGAGUAGAUCACUGGACAGCGGUCAAAAUUAUCCUUAGUGGAAUAAGGAUAUGUUUCUCGAUUAUGGAAGUGACAAAAGGUUCGUCGUAAAGGGUUUCGUCGAUGCAAGUUUCUGACACUAAUCUAGAUGACUCUAAGUCUCGGUCUAGAUACAUAUUGAAAGUGGGAGCAAUUAGCUAGAGUAGCUCCGUGCAGAGCAUUGUAGACAUGGAAAUUUGCAAAAUACUUACGGAUCUGAAUGUGACAGACCCGUUGACUAAAAAUAUCUCACAAGCAAACAUGAUCACACCUUAGUACUCUUUGGGUGUUAAUCACAUAGUGAUGUGAACUAGAUUAUUGACUCUAGUAAACCCUUUGGGUGUUGGUCACAUGACGAUGUGAACUAUGGGUGUUAAUCACAUGGUGAUGUGAACUAUUGAUGUUAAAUCACAUGGCGAUGUGAACUAGAUUAUUGACUCUAGUGCAAGUGGGAGACUGAAGGAAAUAUGCCCUAGAGGCAAUAAUAAAGUUAUUAUUUAUUUCCUUAUAUCAUGAUAAAUGUUUAUUAUUCAUGCUAGAAUUGUAUUAACCGGAAACUUGAUACAUGUGUGAAUACAUAGACAAACAGAGUGUCACUAGUAUGCCUCUACUUGACUACCUCGUUGAUCAAAGAUGGUUAUGUUUCCUAGCCAUAGACAUGAGUUGUCAUUUGAUUAACGGGAUCACAUCGUUAGGAGAAUUAUGUGAUUGACUUGACCCAUUCCGUUAGCUUAGCACUUGAUCGUUUAGUAUUCUGCUAUUGCUUUCUUCAUGACUUAUACAUGUUCCUAUGACUAUGAGAUUAUGCAACUCCCGUUUACCGGAGGAACACUUUGUGUGCUACCAAACGUCACAACAUAACUGGAUGAUUCUAAAGGUGCUCUAUAGGUGUCUCCGAAGGUACUUGUUGGGUUGGCGUAUUUCGAGAUUAGGAUUUGUCACUUCGAUUGUCGGAGAGGUAUCUCUGGGCCCACUCGAUAAUGCACAUCACUAUAAGCCUUGCAAGCAUUGCAACUAAUGAGCUAGUUGCGGGAUGAUGUAUUACGGAACGAGUAAAGAGACUUGCCGGUAACGAGAUUGAACUAGGUAUUGAGAUACCGACGAUCGAAUUUCAGGCAAGUAACAUACCGAUGACAAAGGGAACAACGUAUGUUGUUAUGCGGUUUGACCGACAAAGAUCUUCGUAGAAUAUGUGGGAGCCAAUAUGAGCAUCCAGGUUCCGCUAUUGGUUAUUGACCGGAGACGUGUCUCGGUCAUGUCUACAUAGUGUUUGAACCCGUAGGGUCCGCACGCUUAAAGUUAGAUGACGGUUAUAUUAUGAGUUUAUGUGUUUUGAUGUACCGAAGGAGUUCGGAGUACCGGAUGAGAUCAGGGACAUGACGAGGAGUCCCGAAAUGGUCGAGACGUAAAGAUCGAUGUAUUGGACGACUAUAUUCGAACUUCGGAAAGGUUCCGAUUGAUUCGGGUAUUUAUCGGAGUACCGGAGAGUUACGGGAAUUCGCCGGGGAGAAGUAUUGGGCCUUAUUGGGCCAUACGGGAAUAGAGGAGAGAGGCCAAAAGGAAGGAGGUGUGCACCCCCCCCCUCUGGUCCGAAUUGGACAAGGGGUGCAGCCCCUUUUCCUUCUCCCUCUCCCCCUCUUUCCUUCUCUCCUACUCCAACAAGGAAAGGAGGAGUCCUACUCCCGGUGGGAGUAGGUCUCCCCCCUUGGCGCGCCCUCCUCCUUGGCCGGCCGCCUUCCCCCUUGCUCCUUUAUAUACGGGGGGCAGGGGGGCACCCCAUAGACACAACAAUAGAUCAUUGAUCUCUUAGCCGUGUGCGGUGCCCCCCUCCACCAUAUUACACCUCGAUAAUAUCGUAGCGGUGCUUAGGCGAAGCCGUGCGUCGGUAGAACAUCAUCAUCGUCACCACGCCGUCGUGCUGACGAAACUCUCCCUCAACUGUCGGCUGGAUCGGAGUUUGAGGGACGUCAUCGAGCUGAACGUGUGCUGAACUCGGAGGUGCCGUGCGUUCGGUACUUGAUCGGUCGGAUCGUGAAGACGUACGACUACAUCAACCGCGUUGUGUUAACGCUUCCGCUUUCGGUCUACGAGGGUACGUGGACAACACUCUCCCCUCUUGUUGCUAUGCAUCACCAUGAUCUUGCGUGUGCGUAGGAAUUUUUUUGAAAUUACUACGUUCCCCAACACUAUGCAGCCCCCAUAGCUAGUUCGAGAGCGCAAGAACACUCAAUACAUCCACCAAAGCAUGACUAGGGUUUUACGCAUCCUCGCGGCCUGAACCUGGGUGAACGAUCCUUGUGCUGACUGUUAAUCCUGCUCUUCUCACAACCCCGUGCCCUGGCAACCGUAGUAGGGAUUCUUAUGAUCCCAUAGGUGUCGAGCCCCCGGGCCUGGGCCACACAUAAGCGCGACACGUUGUUGGGCCAGGCCCAAAACGGUGCGCGGGCAGGAGGGGCGGAUUUUUACCGCAGUAACUGUUCCGUCCGUUGUGCUUCCCCACGACCCGCGUUGAACGCGCGACGAGGAGGGGCAUGCGUGACGUGGGGAUCAUGCGCGAUGCGUUUCCCGCAUGCAUGCGUCACAUCGUGGUAAAGAGGUGUCUCGCGCCUUCCCCAUAAAAGAGGGAGGCGUGUAGGCGCGGCUCAUUUACUGGAUGGACUCGGGUCGCGGUCUUCAAGGCGCCCACGCCCCAUGAUCACGGGGCGGGGAACGGUCACCUCACCCAUCCUUUCGAUCCUGCUCGCUCGCCACGCGUCCUUCAUGCAAGUGGCGGGCAGUGGAGGCGGGAAACCGGGCCGUCGCUGAUUGGGGCGGCGGGUCGGUCUUGAUUCCCUGCGCCUCUAACGGCUGGAUUGGCUGAGUGGGGCGGCCGAGCCCCGACCUCGCCCCUUUAUAAGGAGGGGAGGGAGGGCGUCGUCCCACAUUCCUUCAGCACCCAUCCUCCUUCACCUGUGUUUCUUUCUGCCACCUGCCAUGGCGAGAGGAGGUGCUGGGCCUUCGACGGUGGCGGAUAGGGUCGCUGCUCGUCAGCGCGUCCCUCCUUCCCACGAGCCCACAGCGGCGGAGCCAGCCGCAAGAGGAAGGGGGAGGGGGCAUGGCCGAGGUCGCCGCGGCGGUCAGGGGAGAGGGGGACGAGGUGGCGCGGUAGCCGCGCCUCCACCAGCGGUGCCUCCCGCGAUGGAGGGUCAUGUCGGGGACCGGCCCCGCGAGUUCUUCAUCCGUCUGCGCCGGCCACCGCGUCGUCGUCUCCCCACCCCCUUCGCUCAGGAGAUGAAGCUCGAUCCGCCCCAGACCCUCAGAUUGCACAUGAGGGGCUGCGGGACCGGCGGCACGCGGGUUGAUACGUCUCCAACGUAUCUAUAAUUUUUGAUUGCUCCAUGCUAUAUUAUCUUCUGUUUUGGACAUUAUUGGGCUUUAUUAUUCACUUUUAUAUUAUUUUUGGGACUAACCUAUUAACCGGAGGCCCAGCCCAGAAUUGCUGUUUUUUGCCUAUUUUAGAGUUUCGCAGAAAAAGAAUAUCAAACGGAGUCCAAACGGAAUGAAACCUUCAGGAAUGUGAUUUUCGGAAAGAACAUGAUCCAGGAGACUUGGACCCUACGUCAAGAAACAAAAGAGGAAGCCACGAGGUAGGGGGGCGCGCCUACCCCCCUAGGGCGCACCCUCCACCCUCGUGCCCCCCUGUUGCUCCACCGACGUACUUCUUCCUCCUAUAUAUACCUACAUACCCACAAACGAUCAGAUACGGAGCCAAAAACCUAAUUCCACUGCCGCAACCUUUUGUACCCACGAGAUCCCAUCUUGGGGCCUGUUCCGGAGCUCGGCCGGAGGGGGCAUCCAUCACGGAGGGCUCUACAUCAACACCAUAGCCUCUCCGAUGAAGUGUGAGUAGUUUACCUCAGACCUUCGGGUCCAUAGUUAUUAGCUAGAUGGCUUCUUCUCUCUUUUUGGAUCUCAAUACAAUGUUCUCCCCCAAUCUCAUGGAGAUCUAUUCGAUGUAAUCUUCUUUUGCGGUGUGUUUGUUGAGACCGAUGAAUUGGGGGUUUAUGAUCAAGUUUAUCUAUGAACAAUAUUUGAAUCUUCUGAAUUCUUUUAUGUAUGAUUGGUUAUUUUUGCAAGUCUCUUCGAAUUAUCAGUUUGGUUUGGCCUACUAGAUUGAUCUUUCUUGCAAUGGGAGAAGUGCUUAGCUUUGGGUUCAAUCUUGCGGUGUCCUUUCCCAGUGACAGUAGGGGCAGCAAGGCACGUAUUGUAUUGUUGCCAUCGAGGAUAACAAGAUGGGGUUUUUAUCAUAUUGCAUGAAUUUAUCCCUCUACAUCAUGUCAUCUUGCUUAAGGCGUUACUCUGCUUCCAUGAACUUAAUACUCUAGAUGCAUGCUGGAUAGCGGUCGAUGAGUGGAGUAAUAGUAGUAGAUGCAGGCAAGAGUCGGUCUACUUGUCUCGGACGUGAUGCCUAUAUACAUGAUCAUACCUAGAUAUUCUCAUAACUAUGCUCAAUUCUGUCAAUUGCUCAAUAGUAAUUUGUUCACCCACCGUAAAAUACUUAUGCUCUUGAGAGAAGCCACUAGUGAAACCUAUGGCCCCCGGGUCUAUCUUCAUCAUAUUAAUCCUCCAACACUUAGUUAUUUCCUUUGCUUUCAAUUUACUUUGCAUCUUUAUCAUAAAAAUACCAAAAAUAUUAUCCUAUCAUAUCUAUCAGAUCUCACUCUCGUAAGUGACCGUGUAGGGAUUGACAACCCCUUAUCGCGUUGGUUGCGAGGAUUUAUUUGUUUUGUGUAGGUGCGAGGGACUCGCGCGUAGCCUCCUACUGGAUUGAUACCUUGGUUCUCAAAAACUAAGGCAAAUACUUACGCUACUUUGCUGCAUCACCCUUUCCUCUUCAAGGGAAAACCAACGCAGUGCUCAACAGGUAGCAAGAAGGAUUUCUGGCGCCGUUGCCGGGGAGAUUCGCGCCAAGUCAAGUCAAGAUUUGAUUUCCCGUCAACGAGCCAUUUGUGGCGCCGUUGCCGGGGAAGUCUACGCAAAAGUCAACAUACCAAGUACCCAUCAUAAACCCUGAUCUCCCGCAUUACAUUAUUUGCCAUUUGACUCUCGUUUUCCUCUCCCCCACUUCACCCUUUCCGUUUUAUUCGCCCUCUCUUUUCCGUUUGCCUCUUUUUGCCCGUCUCUUGUUUGCUCGUGUGUUGGAUUGCUUGCUUGUCACGAUGGCUCAAGAUAAUACCAAAUUAUGCGACUUUACCAAUACCAACAAUAAUGAUUUCCUUAGCACUCCAAUUGCUCCUCUUACCGAUACUAAAUCUUGUGAAAUCAAUGCUGCUUUGUUGAAUCUUGUCAUGAAAGAUCAAUUCGCCGGCCUUCCUAGUGAAGAUGCCGCUACUCAUCUAAAUAGCUUCGUUGAUUUGUGUGAUAUGCAAAAGAAGAAAGAUGUUGAUAAUGAUAUUGUUAAACUGAAGCUAUUUCCUUUUUCACUUAGAGAUCGUGCUAAAGCUUGGUUUUCGUCUUUGCCUAAAAAUAGUAAUGAUUCUUGGAAUAAGUGCAAAGAUGCUUUUAUCUCUAAGUAUUUUCCUCCCGCUAAGAUUAUCUCUCUUAGAAAUGAUAUUAUGAAUUUUAAGCAACUUGAUCAUGAACAUGUUGCACAAGCUUGGGAGAGGAUGAAAUUGAUGAUACGUAAUUGCCCUACUCAUGGUUUGAAUUUCUGGAUGAUUAUACAAUUUUUUUAUGCUGGAUUGAAUUUUGCUUCUAGAAAUCUUUUAGAUUCGGCCGCGGGAGCCACUUUUAUGGGAAUCACUUUAGGAGAAGCUACUAAACUCCUAGAUAAUAAUAUGGUUAAUUAUUCUCAAUGGCACACUGAAAGAUCUACUAAUAAAAAAGUGCAUGCGAUAGAAGAAAUUAAUGUUUUGAGUGGAAAGAUGGAUGAACUUGUGAAAUUAUUUGCUACUAAGAGUGUUUCUUCUGAUCCCAAUGAUAUGCCUUUGUCUACUUUGAUUGAGAAUAAUAAUGAAUAUAUGGAUGUGAAUUUCGUUGGUAGGAAUAAUUUUGGUAACAACGCGUAUAGAGGAAACUUUAACCCUAGGCCUUAUCCUAGUAAUUCCUCUAAUAAUUAUGGUAAUUCCUACAACAAUUCUUAUGGAAAUUUUAAUAAGAUGCCCUCUGACUUUGAGACUAGUGUUAAAGAGUUUAUGAAUUCGCAAAAGAAUUUCAAUGCUUUGCUUGAAGAAAAAUUGCUUAAAGUUGAUGAAUUGGCUAGGAAUGUUGAUAGAAUUUUUCUUGAUGUUGAUUCUUUGAAACUUAGAUCUAUUUCUCCUAAGCAUGAUAUCAAUGAGUCUCUCAAAGCCAUGAGAAUUUCCAUUGCUGAGUGCAAAGAAAGAACCGCUAGGAUGCGUGCUAAGAAAGAUUGUUUUAUAAAAGAGUGUUCUUCAAAUUUCUAUGAAAAUAAAGAUGAAGAUCUAAAAGUUAUUGAUGUGUCCCCUAUUAAAUCUUUGUUUUGCAAUAUGAAUCUUGAUAAUGAUGGGACUGAAUAUGGACCACCUUUACCUAGAAGGCGUUCCAAAAAUUCAGAGUUUUUAGAUCUUGAUGCUAAAAUUGAUAAAAGUGGGAUUGAAGAAAUCAAAACCCUAGAUAUUAAUAAACCCACUAUUUGGAUUUCAAGGAAUUUAAUUAUGAUAAUUGCUCUUUGAUAGAUUGUAUUUCCUUGUUGCAAUCCGUGCUAAAUUCUCCUCAUGCUUAUACUCAAAAUAAAGCUUUUACCAAACAUAUCGUUGAUGCCUUGAUGCGAUCUUAUGAAGAAAAACUUGAGCUGGAAGUAUCUAUCCCUAGAAAACUUUAGAAUGAGUGGGAACCUACUAUUAAAAUUAAGAUUAAAGAUCAUGAAUGCUAUGCUUUGUGUGAUUUGAGUGCUAGUGUUUCCACGAUUCCAAAAACUUUGUGCGAUUUGCUAGGUUUCCGUGAUUUUGAUGAUUGCUCUUUAAACUUGCACCUUGCGGAUUCCACUAUUAAGAAACCUAUGGGAAGAAUUAAUGAUGUUCUUAUUGUUGCAAAUAGGAACUAUGUGCCCGUAGAUUUUAUCGUUCUUGACAUAGAUUGCAAUCCUUCAUGUCCUAUUAUUCUUGGUAGACCUUUCCUUAGAACGAUUGGUGCAAUUAUUGAUAUGAAGGAAGGGAAUAUUAGAUUCCAAUUUCCAUUAAAGAAAGGCAUGGAACACUUCCCUAGGAAGAAAAUAAAAUUACCAUAUGAAUCUAUCAUGAGAGCCACUUAUGGAUUGCCUACCAAAGAUGGCAAUACCUAGAUCUAUCCUUGCUUUUAUGCCUAGCUAGGGCCGUUAAACGAUAGCGCUUGUUGGGAGGCAACCCAAUUUUAUUUUUAGUUUUUUGCAUUUUUCUUCUGUUUAGGAAUAAAUAUUUGUCCUAGCCUCUGGUUAGAUGUUUUUUUAUGUUUUAAUUAGUGUUUGUGCCAAGUUAAACCUAUAGGAUCUUCUUGGAUGAUAGUUAUUUGAUCUUGCAGAAAAUUCCAGAAACUUUCUGUUCACGAAACCAAUUGUUAAAAAUCACCAGAACGUGAUAAAAUAUUGAUUCCAAUUGCUUCUGAUCAAUAAACAAAUUUCCUAGGUCGUCCUAUCUUGGCUGAUUUUUUGGAGUUCCAGAAGUUUGCGUUAGUUACAGAUUACUACAGACUGUUCUGUUUUUGACAGAUUCUGUUUUUCGUUUGUUGUUUGCUUAUUUUGAUGAAUCUAUGGCUAGUAAAAGAGUUUAUAAACCAUAGAGAAUUUGGAAUAAAGUAGGUUUAACACCAAUAUAAAUAAAGAAUUAGUUCAUUACAGUACCUUGAAGUGGUCUUUUGUUUUCUUUCGCUAACGGAGCUCACGAGAUUUUCUGCUAAGUUUUCAAGUUUUGGGUGAAAGAUUUGAUGGAUUAUGGAACAAGGAGUGGCAAGAGCCUAAGCUUGGGGAUGCCCAUGGGACCCCCAAGAUAAUCUAAGGACACCAAAAAGCCAAAGCUUGGGGAUGCCCCGGAAGGCAUCCCCUCUUUCGUCUACUUCCAUCGGUAACUUUACUUGGAGCUAUAUUUUUAUUCACCACAUGAUAUGUGUUUUGCUUGGAGCGUCUUAUAUGAUUUGAGUCUUUGCUUUUUAGUUUACCAUAAUCAUCCUUGCUGUACGCACCUUUUGACAGAUACACACAUGAUUCAGAAAUUAUUAGAAUACUCUAUGUGCUUCACUUAUAUCUUUUGAGUUAUAUAGUUUUUGCUCUAGUACUUCACUUAUAUCUUUUAGAGCAUAGUGGUGGAUUUGUUUUAUAGAAACUAUUGAUCUCUCAUGCUUCACUUCGAUUAUUUUGAGUCUUAAAUAGCAUGGUAAUUUGCAUAAAUAAUCCUAAUAUGCUAGUUAUUCAAGAAUAGUAAAAAUUCUUAUGAGUGUGUUGAAUACUAUGAGAAGUUUGAUGCUUGAUAAUUGUUUUGAGAUAUGAAGAUGGUGAUAUUAGAGUCAUGAUAGUUGAGUAGUUGUGAAUUGGAGAAAUACUUGUGUUGAAGUUUGUGAUUCCCGUAGCAUGCACGUAUGGUGAACCGUUAUGUGAUGAAGUCGAAGCAUGAUUUAUUUAUUGAUUGUCUUCCUUAUGAGUGGCGGUCGGGGACGAGUGAUGGUCUUUUCCUACCAAUCUAUCCCCCUAGGAGCAUGCGCGUAAUAAUUUGCUUUGAUAACUUGUAGAUUUUUGCAAUAAGUAUAUGAGUUCUUUAUGACUAAUGUUGAGUCCAUGGAUUAUACGCACUUUUCCUCCUUCCUCCAUUGCUAGCCUCUCUAAUACCGCGCACUUUUCGCCGGUAUCAUACACCCACCAUAUACCUUCCUCAAAAUAGCCACCAUACCUACCUAUGAUGGCAUUUCCAUAGCCAUUCCGAGAUAUAUUGCCAUGCAACUUACCACCGUUCCGUUUAUUAUGACACGCUCCAUCAUUGUCAUAUUGCUUUGCAUGAUCAUGUAGUUGACAUUGUAUUUGUGGCAAAGCCACCGUUCAUAAUUCUUUCAUACAUGUAACUCUUGAUUCACUGCAUAUCUCGGUACACCGCCGGAGGCAUUCAUAUAGAGUCAUAUUUUGUUCUAAGUAUCGAGUUGUCAUUGUUGAGUUGUAAGAAAAUAAAAGUGUGAUGAUGAUCAUUUUUAGAGCAUUGUCCCAAGUGAGGAAAGGAUGAUGGAGACUAUGAUUCCCCCACAAGUGGGAUGAGACUCCGGACGAAAAAAAGAGGCCAUAAAAAAAGAAGAAGAAAAGGCCCAAAUAAAAAAAAUGAGAGAAAAAGAGAGAAGGGACAAUGUUUCUAUCCUUUUACCACACUUGUGCUUCAAAGUAGCUCCAUGAUCUUCAUGAUAGAGAGCCUCCUAUGAUAUCACUUCCAUAUACUAGUGGGAAUUUUUCAUUAUAGAACUUGGCUUGUAUAUUCCAAUGAUGGGCUUCCUCAAAAUGCCCUAGGUCUUCAUGAGCAAGCGAGUUGGAUGCACACCCACUUAGUUUCUUUUGUUGAGCUUUCAUAUACUUAUAGCUCUAGUGCAUCCGUUGCAUGGCAAUCCCUACUCACUCACAUUGAUAUCUAUUGAUGGGCAUCUCCAUAGCCCGUUGAUACGCCUAGUUGAUGUGAGACUAUCUUGUCCUUUUUGUCUUCUCCACAACCACCAUUCUAUUCCACAUAUAGUGCUAUGUCCAUGGCUCACCCUCAUGUAUUGCGUGAAGAUUGAAAAAGCUUGAGAAUGUCAAAAGUAUGAAACAAUUGCUUGGCUUGUCAUCGGGGUUGUGCAUGAUUUAAAUAUUUUGUGUGGUGAAGAUAGAGCAUAGCCAGACUAUAUGAUUUUGUAGGGAUAACUUUCUUUGGCCAUGUUAUUUUGAGAAGACAUAAUUGCUUAGUCAAUAUGAACUUUUGUCUUGAAUCUUUCGGAUAUGAAUAUUCAUACCACAAUUAAGAAGAAUUACAUUGAAAUUAUGCCAAGUAGCACUCCGCAUCAAAAAUUCUGUUUUUAUCAUUUACCUACUCGAGGACGAGCAGGAAUUAAGCUUGGGGAUGCUUGAUACGUCUCCAACGUAUCUAUAAUUUUUGAUUGCUCCAUGCUAUAUUAUCUUCUGUUUUGGACAUUAUUGGGCUUUAUUAUUCACUUUUAUAUUAUUUUUGGGACUAACCUAUUAACCGGAGGCCCAGCCCAGAAUUGCUGUUUUUUUGCCUAUUUUAGAGUUUCGCAGAAAAAGAAUAUCAAACGGAGUCCAAACGGAAUGAAACCUUCGGGAACGUGAUUUUCAGAACAAACAUGAUCCAGGAGACUUGGACCCUACGUCAAGAAACAAAAGAGGAAGCCACGAGGUAGGAUGGCAUGCCUACCCCCCUAGGGCGCGCCCUCCACCCUCGUGGGCCCCAUGUUGCUCCACCGACGUAGUUCUUCCUCCUAUAUAUACCUACGUACCCCCAAACGAUGAGAUACGGAGCCAAAAACCUGAUUCCACCGCCGCAACCUUCUCUACCCAUGAGAUCCCAUCUUGGGGCUUGUUCCGGAGCUCCGCCGGAGGGGGCAUCCAUCACGGAGGGCUUCUACAUCAACACCAUAGCCUCUCCGAUGAAGUGUGAGUAGUUUACCUCAGACCUUCGGGUCCAUAGUUAUUAGCUAGAUGGCUUCUUCUCUCUUUUUGGAUCUGAAUACAAUGUUCCCCCCUCUCUCGUGGAGACCUAUUCAAUGUAAUCUUCUUUUGCGGUGUGUUUGUUGAGACCGAUGACUUGUGGGUUUAUGAUCAAGUUUAUCUAUGAACAAUAUUUGAAUCUUCUCUGAAUUCUUUUAUGUAUGAUUGGUUAUCUUUGCAAGUCUCUUCGAAUUAUCAGUUUGGUUUGGCCUAAUAGAUUGACAUUUCUUGCAAUGGGAGAAGUGCUUAGCUUCGGGUUCAAUCUUGCGGUGUCCCUUCCCAGUGACAGUAGGGGCAGCAAGGCACGUAUUGUAUUAUUGCCAUCGAGGAUAACAAGAUGGUUUUUUUUAUCAUAUUGCAUGAAUUUAUCCCUCUACAUCAUGUCAUCUUGCUUAAGGCAUUACUCUGUUCUUAUGAACUUAAUACUCUAGAUGCAUGCUGGAUAGCGGUCGAUGUGUGGAGUAAUAGUAGUAGAUGCAGGCAGGAGUCGGUCUACUUGUCUCGGACGUGAUGCCUAUAUACAUGAUCAUACCUAGAUAUUCUCAUAACUAUGCUCAAUUCUGUCAAUUGCUCAAUUGUAAUUUGUUCACCCACCGUAAAAUACUUAUGUUCUUGAGAGAAGCCACUAGUGAAACCUAUGGCCCCCGGGUCUAUCUUCAUCAUAUCAAUCCUCCAACACUUAGUUAUUUCCUUUGCUUUUAUUUUACUUUGCAUCUUUAUCAUAAAAAUACCAAAAAUAUUAUCCUAUCAUAUCUAUCAGAUCUCACUCUCGUAAGUGACCGUGUAGGGAUUGACAACCCCUUAUCGCGUUGGUUGCGAGGAUUUAUUUGUUUUGUGUAGGUGUGAGGGACUCGCGCGUAGCCUCCUACUGGAUUGAUACCUUGGUUCUCAAAAACUGAGGGAAAUACUUACGCUACUUUGCUGCAUCACCCUUUCCUCUUCAAGGGAAAACCAACGCAGUGCUCAACAGGUAGCACGGGUCGACGUCGACUUCCCCGCUUCUCAUGUUAUGUAUCUCCGUCGCGGAUGGAAGACGUUUGCCCGCAUCCAUAGCAUGAUGGUGGGGCUCGUCCUCUACUUCAAGUUAAUGGAGGGCGGCUUGCUCUCCGUCAAGGUCUUCGGAGACCUUGGAACUCGCCUGAAGUGCUGUGUGGAGAGCUCCUCCGAUGAUGAAGAUUUCUCCUCGGGCGGGAGUGAUGAGGAGGACCGCGACAACGACGACGAGGGAGUCGGGCGGCAGGAUGCCGACCCCGACCCCGACUUCGACUGAUCGCGUCGCCCGUCCCUCGGCCUCACGCCCUGCCGCGGGCCUUUCUCGUCAAGCUCUUCAUCGGCGCGUUCCCAUCGCCUCCUUGGGCGACUGGCGUAGGAGGGCCGGAGAAGGCGAAGAAGGCGAGCGGCGUGCGUCAACUCAGAGUACGCGGGCACCGACGCCUUCGUCGCGUAUUGUCGGGCCGUUGCCUCAUCUUCCAGCCCCACCGCCGGCAUCGGGAUGCUCUCUUGGCGCCUUCUACUUCUCACACCUCGCCUAGGCGCUCCUUCGCCCUCCUGCUGUCUUGUUUCACCUCCUAAGGAGAGGGACAAGAAAGGGAUUACGGGCACCUUAUCUCUUUUUAGUUUGUAAGCCUGCGGGCACUUGUUAGAUUUAAGACUUGUAAUCCCCUUGCUCAUGUUUUUUAUUUCGUACGAACUGUACCUGUAUGGGACGUUUUUAAUUAAAAAGGGUGUUUGUCGGGUUCUUUGUGCGUGAGCGAGGCCCAUGCCAAGGACGAAUCCUUGUUAUUUUUAAGAUAAACAUUGUUGCCCGGCAAUAGGCCUUGCCGUUUCCCCACUCCAGUCGACCAUUCCCACGCUCUUGGUGGAGGCAGGGGCGAAGUAGAGUUAGGCCCCUCUUUCAUCUCCUCGCCACCGCGACUAUUACCAAAUUCCGACCCAGGAGGUAGCUCUUGGAUACAGGAAAGGGGGAGCACGGUGGUUUUAAGAACAUAAACGAGGUUUCACAUGUCCCAGUUCCAUACGGAAGUGCAUAACAGGGGAUGAAAGACUUAUCUGAAUUCGCAGCCCCCGGCAACCUUGGCUUGCCGUGGUUGGAUCCUUGUGUCUUCAGCCCCCGGCAAUCCUGGCUUGCUGGGGCCGGAGCGCCGGUCCAUCCUCUUCCUCCCAAGCGGCUCAGGAGAUAUGUACAGGUGCCCUGCGAACCAAAGAGGACAGAAAGACGCAUACUCGACCUCUGGGCUAGGGGUUAGUCGCCUCUAAGCACUAUCAACCCUAACCGAGGAGGAGACUUAACCUAGCAUGCAUGCUAUAACUUAGGGUGCCAGCGCUUCGUUUAUUUAUGCUCAGGGUCUGCGCCUGGCUUUGUACAGAGGGUUACAUGCCUUGCCGGCAAAGCUUGUACAAAAUUUGGCUUGCCGGGAGGCCCGACAAGCCGCGCCUUAUGGGUAAAACUUGCGAAGAUGCUCGACGUUCCAGGAGCUGCUCACUAGGACAGAAUCUUCGGUCUCCAGGCGGACUGCGCCGGGCUGGUGACUCGUAUUACCCGAUAAGGGCCUUCCCACUUCGGCGUCAACUUUUUGGAAUUCUUGGCCGACUGAACGCGCCGAAGAACAAGGUCGCCUUCCUCAAAGCUUCGGGCAUGGACCUUGCGGCUAUGGUAACGGCGCAAGGCCUGCUGGUAGCAUGCUGCUCUCACAGCCGCCCGAAGACGAUCUUCCUCAAGGAGCAUUGUGUCAUCUUGCCGCAACUUCUCUUGCUCAAGCUCAUCAUAAGCGAGCACUCGAGGUGACCCAUAUAUGAGUUCCGUGGGGAGAACUGCUUCUGCCCCAUAUACUAGGGCAAAGUGUGUCUGGCCGGUGGCUCGAUUUGGCGUCGUCCUGAUCGACCAAAGAACCGCCGGCAACUCAUCAAUCCAGCACCUUCCGCUCUUGUGUAGCUUGUCAAAGGUCUUCGUUCUCAGGCCUCGCAACACUUCUACAUUUGCCCUCUCCGCUUGGCCGUUGCUCGGGGGUGUGCCACGGAAGCAAAACAGACCUUGCUGCCGAGGUCUUGAAUGUAUUGCAUGAAGGUGUGGCUUGUGAACUGCGUGCCGUUAUCGGUGAUGACUCUGUUCGGCACACCAAAACGGCAGACUAGUCCCUUGAAGAACUUGACGGCUGACUCUGCUGUCACCUUCCUCACUGGUUCCACCUCCGGCCACUUUGUGAACUUGUCGAUUGCAACGUACAAGUACUCAAAGCCCCCGAUAGCAUGGGGGAAGGGGCCCAGUAUGUCGAGCCCCCAGACCGAAAAUGGCCAGGAGAGAGGGAUUGUUUGAAGGGCUUGAGCUGGUUGAUGAAGCUUCUUUGAAUGGAACUGACACACUUCACACUUGGUUACUAGUGCCGUUGCAUCCUGGAGGGCGGUGGGCCAGAAGAAGCCUUGCCGGAAUGCCUUGCCGGCAAGGGCCCUUGACCCUAUGUGGGAGCCACAUAUGCCUCCAUGUAUCUCUGCCAACAGCUCCAGUCCUUCCUCCCGGGGGAUGCACUUCAAUUUCACACCGUUCGGUCUUCUUCUGUACAAGACGUCAUCGACGAACUGGUACAAGGCAGACCGACGGGCUACUUUGUCCGCUUCUUCGUGCUCCUCGGGAAGUUCCCCUGUCUGGAGGAAAUGGACGGUAUGCUGUGCCCAUGCUGGAGCCUGGGGCUCGACGGCAAGGACCAAAGGCAUCUCUUCUGCCAUGGAGGCAGCCGUCUCUACGGCUAGGGCUUGGCGCCCUGCCGGAGCCAGCCGUCCCUCGGCAGGCUCAGGAUCCGCGGCAACACCCUUGUCGGCAGCCCCUGGGGGCUCAGCGGGAAAGUACUUGCCGGGGCCUGACAUCCUUCGCUUGUUCUGCUCUAUUGAUGGCUCGACGGAUGGUUGAGUUAACCGAAGCAAAAAGGUACCUGGUUCCACAGGUAGCUUGAAUGCAGCGCGCUUUGACAGGUAGUCAGCGAUGUCGUUCUCCGCUCGGGGAACGUGCUCUGCUUGUAUACCGUCGAAGCGCUCCUCCAGUUUCCUCACCUCAUCUACGUAAGCCUCCAUCAACGCACUAUGAUAAUCCUUGUUAACUUGUCUGAGGACAAGCUGCGAAUCACCCCUGACGAUGAGCUUUUUCACCCUGAGGCCCGCCGUGAUCCUGAGACCGGCAAGCAGCCCCUCGUAUUCAGCAGUGUUGUUUGUGGACAUCUCCCUGGGAAAGUGCAUCUGGAUCACAUACUUGUGGUGCUCUCCGGUGGGUGCGACAAGCAGCACACUGGCACCGGCGCCUUGCAGCGAGGAAGCCCCAUCAAAGUACAUGAUCCAGUCGCGGCUUGCAUCCUUGCCGGGGAGAGCGGUCUCCUGAAUUUCUUCGUCGGAAAUUGAGGUCCAUUCUACAAUGAACUCCGCCAAGACUCUGCUCUGGAUUGUCGAGGUACUUUCAAACUUUAACCCAAAGCUCGACAACUCCAAGGCCCAUUCCACAAUCCUUCCGGUCGCAUCUGGGUUGUGCAGUAUCCGUUGCAACGGGAGGCGGGUGACGACAGUGAUCUCGUGGGCUUGGAAGUAAUGACGCAACUUCCUCGAGGCCAUAAGGAGGCCGAAGAGCAAUUUUUGCACACCGGAGUACCUCGACCUAGUCCCCUGCAAGAGGGAGCUGACAAAGUAAACCGGGUGCUGCAUCAUCUUCUUCUUCUGCACCACUUCACUUGACUGUGCGGGCACCGCCUCGAUGGCGUCAGACUCUGCCGGGGGCCUUGCCUUGCCGGCACCAGGCCCUGCCGGGGGAAUCUCUGGCUUGCCGUCUGCCGGUCCUGCCGUCGCCACUGCCUCCUCGUCAACCUCCCUCUGUGCCACCAGUGCGGCGCUGACCACUUGAUUCGUUGCCGCUAGAUACAGCAGCAACGGCUCUUGUGGUUUAGGCGCAACCAGUAUUGGCGUGGAGGAAAGGUAUUUUUUCAGAUCCUGCAACGCCGCCUCGGCUUCUGGGGUCCACUCCAUUGGGCCUAUCUUCUCCAAGAUUUUGAAAAAGGGGAGGGCGCGCUCGGCGGACUUGGAGAUGAAUCGGCUCAUGGCGGCAACGCAGCCAGAGAGCCGACGCACGUCCUUGAUCCGCUUGGGCACCUCAAUUUGUUCAAUAGCCUUGAUUUUGUCUGGGUUUGCCUCGAUCCCGUGCAGCGACACAAAGAACCCGAGAACCUUGCCGGACGGAACGCCGAAGACACACUUCUCAGGGUUCAGCUUGAGGUUGAUCUUGCGCAGGUUGGCAAACGUCUCUUCCAGGUCUUGUACAAGAGUUGCCCCGUCCUUGAUUUUGACCACUAUGUCAUCCAUGUAUGCUUCCAUAUUUCUAUGGAGCUGGGGUCCAAAACCAAUUUGGACCGCUCUUGCAAAUGUCGAGCCAGCACUCUUCAACCCGAAAGGCAUCCGUAAAAAGCAAUGCGUACUACAUGGGGUGAUGAACGCUGUCUUCUCUUCAUCUUCUCUUGUCAUGAAGAUCUGGUGGUAGCCUGAGUAGGAGUCGAGGAAUGACAACAGAUCACACCCGGCCGUGGAGUCAACAAUCUGGUCGAUGCGCGGCAACGGGAAGGGGUCCUUGGGACAAGUCUUAUUGAUAUAUGUGUAGUCGAUACACAGCCUCCACUUCCCAUUUGCCUUGCACACCACCACCGGAUUGUCCAACCACGUCGGAUGGAGCACUCCUCUCACCAAACAUUCCGCUUCCAACUUCCUGAUCUCCUCUGUGAUGAACUCCUGCCUUUCCAGAGCCUGCUUCCUGACCUUCUGCUUCAUGGGCCGCGCAUGACGACAGACAGCUAGGUGGUGCUCAAUCACCUGCCUGGGAACACCGGGGAUGUCAGAUGCUUGCCAUGCAAACACGGGCCCUGCAGGAAGGUGACGAGCGUGCCUUCCUAUUUGCUGUCGAGGGUGGAGCUUAUGGUGAAAGCCCCUCCCGUGCCAUCCUCCCUAACGGACACCUUCUUGGUCUGCGGUGGCUCAACUCUGGAUUUCUUGCUCUUGCUGGUGGAGCUCUAUGGCACGUCCUCGACGGUAGCACAACACUCCGAAGAGGUGCGCUUGCCGGAGUGGGUGCGAGAGGUCUUGCCGGGCUUCUUCUUCCUUCCCGGGGCUUCAGCGGUAGGAGCAAGUGCCUUGGCGGCAGCUGCUGCAACUGCUUCCCGGUAGAGUUCGUCGGCGCAAAUCAGCACAUCCUUUUUGUCGGAGGGGACGGAGAUGAUGGUCAAUGGCCCGGGCAUCUUCAGCAUGUUGUAGGCAUAGUGCGACGGCGCCAUGAACUUGGCCAGUGCCGGGCGGCCGAGGAUCCCGUUGUAGGGCAAGGGGAUCUCCGCCACAUCGAAGACGAUUCUCUCCGUCCUGUAGUUCAACUCUCCUCCAAACGUCACGGGCAGUGUGACCUUCCCCUUCGGCUGGCUCCUCCCCGGAUUGACCCCUUGAAACGUGCCCAUUUCCUCGAGGUCUCCAUCAGUUAUUUGCAGCCUUUUGAUCAGGACUGGCGAGAUCAAGUUCAGGCCGGCCUUGCCGUCGACCAACAUCUUGUUCACCUUGAGGUUGUGUAUCGUUGGCGAGACCAACAACGGCAAACACCCAACCGCGGUUGUGCGGUCAGGGUGGUCCUCGGCGUCAAAGAUGAGGGGCGUGCUGGACCACUUCAGCGGCUUAUGAGUGUCGAACGAUGGCUCUGUUGCUGUAAUCUCACGCGCCCAUUGCUUGAGCUGGUGCUGAGAAGUAUGCAGCGAGGCGCCACCAUCGACGCACAUGGCCUGAGUAGCCUUUUGGAACCCUUGCUCGCCGGACUCGUCGUCCUCGUCACGAUCAUCGUCUUCUUGCUUCUUGUCACGGCCCCGGGCGGGCCUCUCUUGCUGGUUGUCCUUGCCGUGGCGGCCUACUUGGCCGCCACGCUUCUUGCCGGAUCCCUCGGCACCGUCCUGAUCCUUCUCCUUGUCCCGCUUCUCAUACUCGGCCUUUUGCUUCUCAGCAAGCAGCUCGACUUGCCGGCAGUUCUGGAGGUAGUGGCCCUUGGUGCGGUGGAUCUUGCAGUACUGCUUGUCGGAGCCCCCUGGCUUGUCGGCAGCCGCCAAGGCCCGGCAAGCGGCGCACCCAGUGAUUUCUUUGCCGGGGUCGUCUGCCUUGGCCUUCUUGGCGGCACCGGUGCUGUCGGAUCCCUCGACGGUAAGCACGGCCUUGCCCUUGCAUUUCCUGUUGCGACGCCGACCCUUCUUCCUCGGGGUGGCAGUGUCUUCAUCUGUAGAGUCGGUUUCCGCCCCGGCGUCUUCGCCGGGGUACUUCCUUCCCUCUUCAGCCCGGGCGCACCUAUCGGCCAGAACAUAGAGUUCGGCCACAUCCUUAACCUUGGUCAUCACCAGCUCUUCGCGCAUCUUGCGGUUGCGCACAUUCUGAUGGAACCCGCUGAUCAUGGCGGUGGGAUGAACGUCGGGGAUGUUGUACUGCACCCGGCUGAAUCUCUGGAUGUACUUGCGCAGGUUUUCCCCUUCCUUCUGGGAAAUGAUAUGCAAAUCACUAGCCUGGCCAUGAGCUUGGUGGCCUCCAGUGAAGGCGCCAACAAACUCGUGGCACAAAUCCGACCAAGAAGAAAUGAAGUCCGCCGGCAAGUGCAUCAACCAAGACAUGACAUUGGGCUUCAGUGCCAACGGGAAGUAAUUGGCAAGCACCUUGUCGUCGUGAGCUCCGGCAGCCUGCAUCGUGAUGGUGUAGAUGCUGAGGAUCUCUGACGGAUGGGUCUUGCCAGUGUACUUCUCGCCGACGUCGGGCUUGAACGUGCGGUGGGACGGCCACUGGAACUGCCGCAGCUCACGGGUAAAGACUGGCAGCCCACCUUGUAAGGUAGGCCUCCGGAGCCCCCCGGUGUUGGGUGGUCCAUAGCGGGUCCCGCCCGCUUGUCCGACUGGUGGCGUGUAUCACGCCAGCGCUCGAUAGUGGUUCGAGCAUCUUCCUGGGCUCGUUCUCGAAGAACUUGGCGUUGGUCGCGGUGGGUCCGUGGGUCGGACGAUGCUAUGGAAAUAAUAUCACAAGCAUCAUCGCGACGGACCAACACCCGCGGUGGCUGGCGCGGAGGAGGAGCGUGCACCGUGGCCGCAGCACCCCCGGCCCCUCCACUGCUGGCAUGCGGUGGUUCGAUGGAGCACCAGCCCGAAGGCCCCGCCGGUCGCGGAUCGUCUUUAUUGGCGACGGCGACGAGGCUCCGGAUGGUGGCUCUCCACUCGUCGAGCUUCUCCGUAGCAGGAGGGAAGUCGAGGAGCAGCUGCGCGCGCGCCAAAGCUUCUGCUGGCAUGGGUGGUGGUGACAGUUGCGUGGACCGCGGAGCGCUUCGACUUCUAACUACGUUAGGAGGAGCUCUACCACGGCCCAACGGCUGUGUGCCAUUUUCGCCAGCACUUCGGCGAGCAUGCUGGACUCCUUCGUCCCGCGGACGAUGCACAUGGCUCUUCCCACGGCAUUGUCCGGGGUCUCCAGCGUGGUGGUGCUGCUCGUCGCGCGCACCCUGGGAAGAGCGCGCUGUGGGCGCCGGCGUGGGCGUCAUGGAGGUUGCUGCGCCGCCCGUGGGUGGCACAACGACACUCUUGGAGGACCCCGCACCGCCUGCGGGGGCCCCUGUCCAUCUUUGGAUUUGGUGGCGUGCGAACCGUCGCCUGGCGCACGAACGACGCCGCUCGCCAGGCUCUGACUGCCAGAGCGAUGCUGGUGCUUGCGGACUGCGGCCUGGGUCCUGUCCGUGACCGGCCCGCUGUUCGCCCACACUGGCACGGGCCGUUCGGCUCCCGACGAGCCAAUUGCUGCGAUCGUCUUCUUCUUUGGAGCCAUGGCGACGAAGAACUGCUAGGCUAAUUACUAGACCAGAUUCUCACAAUUGCGCCAAAGAUGUCGGUGGGAAACGACACCUAUGGGAUCACAAGAAUCCCUACUACGGUUGCCGGGGCGCGGGGUUGUGAGAAGAGCAGGAUUAAUAGUCAGCACAAGGAUCGUUUACGCAGGUUCGGGCCGCAAGGAUGCGUAAAACCCUAGUCCUGCUUUGGUGGAUGUAUUGAAUGUUCCUGAGCUCUCGAACUAGCUAUGGGGGCUGCGUAGUUCAAAAGAGCCGAAUCCCUCUCCAGUAUGCCAAGGGCCUCCUUUUAUAGUCGAAAGGGGCUGCCACAGUGGCACACAGGAGGUGGAAAGGCCUACAGUGCUGCGAGCUUAUCGCCCGUGUUACAGGACAAGGCACAUUUAAUGCGUAGCUUAGGUGUCCCUUAGCUUUAUUGGGGACGGGAACGAGGCCCGUCCCGUCCGUCGCCGCCUCGCCUUGCUUCGACACGCGCCCAUGCCAGUGGUGCAUGCGGUGCCAUGCAGGCAGGCAGGCAGCUGAGGUGGCGCGGUGGUAGGGUCUUCACGAAGAUCUGCAUGCCACCACGCAGGUGCUUGCUGAGUUGGCGUAGAGGCUGCCCGUCGCCACGCAGGUGCCUGCCCAGCUGGUUGAGCUAGCAGCUGCUUGGGAACGGCGGUGGAGUCUUGGAAGACGCGGGCCUGGCUGUGGCCCCGCGGACGCCCUCGGCAAGGGCCUUGCCCGGGGCUCAGCAAGGGUCUUGCCGUGGCGUCGCAGACGUGCCCGGCAAGGCGCUUGCCGAGGGUCUUGUGGAUCUCCUCGGCAAGGAUCCCGCCGAGGGUCGCCGUCUUCUGGUUCCCAUCUGAUCUCAUAUCUCUAUGGUCUUGACAGAGAUUUGCAUGCUACCACGGAGGUGCCUCCCGAGCCCUAGUUCCAAUGUGGUUGGUUGAGUUGGAACCCGUGGGCUCAAGGGUGGGUCGCUCUGUUAGCAUCGGGCAAGUUGCCCCGGCAAGGGCCUUGCCGGGGGAGUCCACCUCGCCCUCUCGCUCUUUGGUAUCUUUGGUCUUGGCGUUGCCUUGUUUGUCUCGGGCUUCGGCUUCUCUCCGGCUUCCCUCCCUUGCCCUGCUAAGUGCGGCCGUGGCGCAUGGCUCAGACUGCCCGUGCACAAGUAAAGGGGUACAAAGGAGUGCCCCUACUUUUGUACACCGACAGGGAUCAAGGGAUACGCCGUGGGCCGGAUGACUAAGAGUCGUCGCGGCAAGCUCUACGUCGACGACGCAGGCUGGGGCCCCGAGGCCGGCUCAAUUGAGUACAGGUACCGGGUCCCCUUUGGCGGAAUUCACGUCUUCAUCGGCAAGAUCGGCGAGCCGGGCCCAGAGCUGGACAUCUGCACCGAAAUCGUCGAGACGGCUCAGCGUGCAAGACCCGCCCGAGUUCAGCCUGCCAUGAAUCGUGCCUUCGUGGGAUUCAUCCAUGGAGCAGAAUCUGUGGAUAGAUCAGUAUCUGGUGAUGAGACGGUCGUCUACUCUGAUGGCGAGUCAUCCACCAGUGAGACCGGAUCAUUGUAUCAACUGCAAGAUGGCCGGCUUGGGGGUUGUUCCGAUGGCGACAGUAUUCCAGACCCCUGUGAUCCGCCGAACAGGGUUGCGAUCUUCAUGGCCGGUACGCAGCCCGUGCAGCACUCGUCGACUGCAGCAGAGAUGAUUUCCGGGUCAGCAGCGGCAACGGCUGCCGGGGCAGGAGGCCCUGUGCGCCUGCCGGUUCUGGUCUUAACUGACUUGCUGGAUAAGCUACAACAUUCUUAACAGCUGUGGUUAACCCGGCGGAUCAGGAUCAACAUAAUGCGGCGGUCGCAAAAGUGCGUGAUGAGAUAGCACAAGCCAAGGAGGAGCUGAACGCAGAAAACACUAGGAUGGCCGAGGAGCGGGCUGCUUUGGAUGCACAGGCACAGCGGAUUCAGUCAGAGUCCUUCCGGCUCAUGCUGGAUCAGAACGCUUCAAAUGAAGUCAUGAAGAGGAGGCAUCAGACUCGCCUGCCUCCGGUUUACGAGGGGAGAAAUCUCUUUAACACGCCCGGAGCAGGGACCAGUAACCAACCAGUUAUAAACCGGGUUGAAACGCCUGGGACGGGAGCGCCGGCUCAGCCGCGCACAACGGAGCCGCCUCGUCAGGACAAUAUCCCACCGCAGCACGUGCCGACGCCACCGGGUCAUUAUUCGAACCCCUUGGAUAACAUGAUCGCUGCAGCAUCACAAUUGGCAGCCUUCCCAGUUGAAGGCGAGUCUCCAAAGGCGGUUGAAACGCGAAGGGCUAGAGAGCUAGUUCAGACAGCAUUGAUGCAGCAGCAGGCUUAUUCUUACAGUCGUGACAUGAUUCAUUCAACCCCUCGCCCAAGUUGAAGUUAUAGCAGGCAUAUCAAGGAACCAACCGUGUCAAGCAGUGGGCGGAACCGCAACCCGCCCCGUGGACAUAACCCGGCAGGUGGUGGGGGGAAUGCCCAGAACGUGGUGGAUCAAGGAAGAGCGCGCCGGGAGGCCGAGCUGGCGGCUCAAUAUGCGUCUCGCCAGCAUUCCCCGGUUCGUUCGACAACUUCGGUGGAGACAGGUAUGACUUUCAGGACUUUGGGUGUGCCGUGUUUGGCACCGGCUCUGCUUAACGUACGUUUACCCAAUGAUUUUACGAUUCCCUGUAAGGUGCCCAACUACACUGCCGACUUACCCCCUGAAACAUGGGUCGAGAGUUAUGAGAUGGCAAUGGAACUGCUGCAUGUUGACGAUGCUGCAUGUGCGAAGUACUUCACCAUGAUGUUGGAAGGGACAGCUCGUACUUGGUUGAAAGGGUUGCCCGCCAACUCCAUUGGGCCAUGGGCCGAGUUAAAAGCCCGGUUUAUCCAGAAUUUUAAAGAUACGUGCAAGCAGCCCAUGUCAAUUGUGGAUUUAGCUUCCUGUGUCCAAGAAGAAGGUGAGUCGACAACCCAUUGGGUGCGCCGGGUCUCAACAAUCCUGCACUCGUCGGAUCGCAUCAAUGCCGAUUCAGCAGUCUUAAUGUUGGAGAACAAUUGUCAUUUCACGCCCCUAAAGCAGAAAUUAGGACGGCUCAAAUGUCACUGCAACGACAUGGGGACACUCAUGGCGGCUCUGGUUAAGUACGCUGACUCUGAUGGUACCAUGGACCCCGAGUCUGAUGAUGAAAAGCCAGGAAAGGGAAAGAAGAGCAGCAGCACCAGAGGGCAGCAGCAUAACCCGGCGAAUCAGGGAGGUAGCGGUAAGCGCAAACCUGAUAAUAGUUUGGAAUUUGUGGCUAACACCAAUGCACAGAAUAAUGGUCAGCGUCGUAAGGGUAAACCGCCCCCACAGACUGGAGGAUCGGGCUUUAAUCUUGAGCAGAUGCUAAAUCAACCCUGCUCGAGGCACGGGACGCGAGAAAGACCGUUCGGCCACCUCUGGAAGGAUUGCUUCAUUAUGAAGGAGUACAAAAAUUCCAAUAUUUUUCAAUACAACCUUACAGAGAUUGUUUUAUGAGCUACCCGUUAUAAAGGAUCCUAAAUCUAAAAAGUUAGCUACCCUUAUUCUUAUGAAUGAAUUUGACUACAUAGUACGGGAAGCUAGGGAAAUUUUUGAUUUUUAUGGUAUGAACCGUGAAAAACCGGUGAUAAAUGAGAUCCUUUAUAAUCACGAUUACAUGUUGAGACAUUUGCUUGGAAAUAAACAAUUUUUUAUGAGAAUCUUAAAAAGGAAAUCCCCAUUUUAGAUAUAAUCCAACAAGUUUUUAAUGAUGUUAAUCGACAAUAUUCUUGGAUUGUUGCCGGAAAUCAAAUAGGAUACGUAGAUGGGCAACUUGACAAUGCUAAAAUUUCUAUGGAUAAUGUGUUUCAACUUAUUUCUGCAAAACCUCCUGACAAGAACACAUCUAUGGAAAAUGAGAAGAAAGAUGAUAACACUUGAAUCUAUGCAUUAUGCCUAGAUAGGGGCAUAAAACGAUAGCGCUUGUUAGGAGGCAACCCAAUCAAUAAAAUUUCUUUUUUCUUUUUCUUUAUGUUUUUCAGUGUUUGCACAAUUAUGCUACUGUUAUGAUUGUGUUUUUUAUGUUUUAAUUAGUGUUUGUGCCAAGUAAAGCCUUUGGGAUCAUGUUGGGAGAUAGUUGAUUUGAUCUUGUUGAAAAACAGAAACUUUUGUGUCCAGUAGCACAAUUUUGUAAAAUCACAUAAGCGACGAAUUUUUUUGAAUUUUCUACACAAGAUUAAUAUACAAAUUUCCUACUUUUUCCUAAUUUUUCAGAAUUUUUGGAGUUACAUAAGUAUGGUUAGAGUACAUAUUACUACAGACUUUUAUGUUUUUGACAUAUUCUAUUCUCGUUGCAUUGUGUGCUUAUUUUGAUGAAUCUAUGGAUUGUAUCCGGGGGUAUAGGCGAUGCUAAAGUUGGAAUACAGUAGAUAUAAUGCAAUUAUAAAAUAUGAAUGGGUUUGCAACAGUACUUAGAGUGGUGAUUUGCUUUAUUAUACUAACGGAUCUCACAAAGGUUUUGUUAAGUUUUGUGUGAUUGAACUUUUCAUGUUUUGGGUGAGAUCACGAUGGAUGAAGGAAUAAGGAGUGAAAAGAGUCUAAGCUUGGGGAUGCCCCAUGGCACCCCAAGUUAAUACUCAAGGAGAACCAAGCAACUAAGCUUGGGGAUGCCCUGGAAGGCAUCCCCUCUUUCUUCUAACGACCAUCGGUAUUUUACAUGGAGCUAUAUUUUUAUUCGUCACAUAUCACGAGUUUUGCUUGGAGCGUCUUGUAUUAUAUGAGUCUUUUCUUGUUUUGCUCUUUAGUUUGCCACAAGUAUCCUUGCUGGACACACCUAUUUGAGAGGGCCAAAAUUAUGCUAUGAUUUGUUAGAAUUGCUCUUUAUGCUUCACUUCAAAAUUUUGAGCUAUGGAAUUGCUCUAGUGCUUCACUUAUAUCUUUUUGAGCAUGAUGUGCUUUAAUAAUUUUUGAAGAAAUGCUCUCAUGCUUCACUUAGAUUAAUUUGAGAGUUGGUAAAAUUUUGAAGAAAUUCUCCCAUGCUUCACUUAUAUUAUUUUGAGAGACGAAAAAAUUAUACUCAUGUUCUUCACCUAAAUUUCUUUGAGCUAUUCAAAAGCAAUUGCAAUAUAUGAAACUAGUCCCAAAGUGAUAGAUAUUCAAGAGGGAUAUAAUAAAAACUUUCAUCAAGAUCAUUGGACAAAAUAAACUUGAUUCUUUGUAAUAGUUUUGAGAUAUGAUGAUAGUGAUAUGUGAGUCAUGUUGGUGAGUAAUUAUCCUUUAGUAAGAGUAUUGGUGUUAAGGUUUGUGAUUCCCUAUGCAAGCACGAAAGUAAAUAGUUAUGCGAUGAAAUUACAUCCUACUUGUGGUGCAUUAUUCGGUGUUAGUUAUGCUUAAGACUACUGCAGGAUGCUACUAACGCGACACUACGAUCAGAGUCCCUUUGACGAAACUGUGUGCGAUGCCAUAAUCGCAAACGGUGGUGUCAAAAAGGUGCAAAACGUUUGCGAUGACGGAGCCAUCAAACACGGUUCAUAUUUUAGUUGCGUGUGCGAUGCAUGGCAUACGGUUCAGUUCAAUUAACUGUUUGCGAUGAGGAGGAACAAAAGAAACGGGCAGCCAGAUGGAGGUGUGUGCGAUAUACAGCAUACGGUUCACUCAGAUGAACUGUUUGUGAUUAGGCAACACAAAAGAAACUGUCAGCCAGAUGAAGGUGUCUGCGAUAUACGGCAUGCGGUUCACUCGGAUGAACUGUUUGCGUUGAGACAUGAGAACAGAAACGGUUCAACUUAACAACAUGUGUGUGAUACGCGGCAAACAGGUAUGUAAUUAGAAAUGUGUGUGAAGACCGGUAAUAACACAGACGGUUGAUGCUAAUAAGACAUGUGUGUUGUGUGAUGGGAUUGCAUACAGAACAACAACAUAUAUAUAUAUAUAUACACACACACUUAUAAGGACAUGCAUUCGUAUUUUAUUAGUUAAAUCCUACUUAUAAACCAAGACGGGGGUAUAAUAGGUAAUUAAAUCGCAAACAUUUUUUUAUUAACUGUAUGUGUACGUGUCCUCUCGUCCUCCUCUCGCACGUCUUGUCACCCCGCUGCCGCAGACGGCUUACAGCGCAAGCUUGCCCAGUGCCCGGGGGCGUUCUUUUGGCCAAAUGGUGGCGCCAAUGAAUCGUCGGUGAGCCCGUUCCCACGCAACCUCGCAGGUUCCCGCGCAAGCUUCCCGCCCAACUCGGUGAAAUCCCCCAAAAUCCCAAUGCUUCCCGGCCUGCUAUAAAAACCCUCACGGCCAGCGAGUCCUGCGUCGCAUUUUCCCCUCCCUUCGUGUAGCUUAUCUCGUCUGCUUCUCCCACAAUCGCCAAUGGCAUCGGUCCGUCAUCAUCGCUUAGCCACUCUGCCAUCAUCAGAGGACAGCUCCAGCUGGGAGGCUACACCGCGGCGGCGGCACAGUCCCCGGCGUAGUGUAGUUCGCGUGGCGUCCCUGUUGGGUGUGCGUGGAACACCCACCACACGCUCCGGCGCUGCUACCCGUCGGCAGCUGUUGUCGGCCGCUGUUGCCGCCACACCACCGUUGAAAGCCAGGGCCAUCUCCGCUCUACCGCCGCGGCCCGAAGGCGGGAGGUGGCCGUCGUUGCCGCCACCCCACUGCCGGCCACCGUGGCCAUCACCCGCUCCGCCACCGCGGCCCGAAGGCGAGAGGUGGUGGUCGUGGCCGCCACCCCAUCAUCAGCCGUCGUGGCCGUCAGCCCACAGUCGACCGCCGGGAUCAUCACCCGCUCCGCCAUCGCCGCCCGAAGGAGGGAGGCAGAGGUGGAGGCCCGCACGUGCGUCAGCGACCUUGUGGGCUACAUAGAGUUCCUGUGGGAGGAGGAGGAGCGCCUCGUCGAGCAUGCAAAGAGCCUUACCACAGCCGUGGCCGCAGCACACGCCGACGCAUAGGCGAGGAAUCAGGAGAUCUAUGAGCAGUCCGACCACUUCGAGAGGGAUCGUCUGAAACGGCAGUGGGCGUUCGAGCUGGCGAGCAUCGCUGAACGUGCAGCAGCGGCAGGCACCAUAUUGCAUUUGUCCAGCUCGUCGGUAGACUCCUCCUCCUCCUCUGCCUCUUACUGAGCGCGCUCGGCAGAGGAGAGGCUGCCGGAGGUAGCACAAAGCCCCUCCGUGGUAGUAGUAGUAGUAGUACUAGUAGUAGUAUUUAGGGCCUAUUUUGUUCAGUUCAUCUGACUAUAGAUGUGUGGUCGAACUGUACAACGUACUUAAAAUUAGCUAGUAUAUAUAGUUGAACUAGCUAUUUCAGUACGUGGUUGGCAACAAUUGGGGAGAAGUUUGGUCGGUUCAGCUGUCGAGUUGAACUGUUUGUAUAAAUUACGAAUGACUACUUAAUCUAUGAAUGAAAUCUAUGCUUAAUUACUGAAUUUUAGUUGCAAAAAUUACAUAGUGCUAAUGAUUUCUAGCUGCAUAUUUUGACAAAUCACAAUGUUACAAGGAUUGACAAAUGGCAACGUUACUAGAUCAACAAAUGUAAAUCUUUCCAGUUUGACAAAUGGCAACAUACCCAAUAUGACACAUGCAAAUCUUACCAAAUUGUUUGUACGUGGUUGCACACGGGUCAUCCAGAACAACCAUUUGCGUUGAAGGGAUGCACAAAUCCUGCGCUGCUCUCACUUUGCAUACGGGUGUUCUAUCUAAAUCGUUUGCGAUCAAGAGCUGCAGAAAUUCUACUCGGCACAUUUUCUCUUGGCUUCCUGGGGAAGCUGUCGGUUUGCAUACGGGUGUUCUAACUAAAACAUUUGCGAUGAGUGUUUUAUAUCUAAAAAGCGAAUUAAACAACGGCUUGGGCUCCAUUAAUGGAGAGGACGCGAGCAAGGCGGGCGGCCAUGGAAAUCAAAGGGCUCGCUUCCCAAUGAGCCUACGUAGCGUACAGCUCGCACGCUUCCCGGUGAGCCUGCGCACUCGAGGACAGCUUGCACGCCUCUCGAUCAGCCUGCGCACCGGACGGUGCUCGCACGCCUCCCGUUCAGGCAAGGUCAAGUAGCUGUCCGCACGGCACCUCCUACAGCCAUUAAAACCAAGGCACGUGGCGUCACGUGAAUGGUUAACAGAAUUUUGGAUUUACUACAAUUUAAAAACCAGACAUCUCAAUGUUUUGCCGGCAAUCAACGGUGCCCUGGUGUUUGAAAUUCAUGCCCAUUUCUUGCAUGGGACCUAAGCAUGCACCGAUGGACACAUAUUUGAUUUUUCAACCAAUUUAUAUGCACGGGAGCAUGUACAUGUAGUUCAAAUUUGAAUUAUGCACAUAAAUGCAUUGAAAACUCAGUUAAUGCAUAAAAAUGUCCAAACGAAUCCCUAAAAAUCACAAAAAUUCACACAAAAAUCCUGUUGUUCUAUAUUGCACGAGAAAAAAAUUUGAAAGCAAUGAGAGGCAAUGGAUAUCGUUUCGUCCCCGAAGUUGGGACGUUCCCUACCAAAAACCAUCAUGCUUGUUGUGAGAAGCUCUGGUUUGUGAGAAGCAUAUACCCAAACCUGCCCCAAAUGAGACAAAAUUUGUACCACGGCAUGUUGAUGCAGCUCCAUGAUAGCAUGCCAAGUUUCAUGAAUUUCAGACGAGUUUUGGAUUUACUAGAAUUUAAAAACCAGGCAUCUCAAUGUUUUGCCGGCAAUCAACGUUGCGCUGGUGUUCGAAAUUCAUUCCCAUUUCUUGCAUGGGACCUAAGCAUGCACCCAAGGACACAGAUUUGAUUUUUCAACCAAUUUAUAUGCACUGGAGCUUGUGCAUGUAGUUCAAAUUUGAAUUAUGCACAUAAAUGCAUUGAAAACUCAGUUAAUGCAUAAAAAUAUCCAAACGAACCCCGAAAAAUCACAAAAAUUCACACAACACUCCUGUUGUUCUAUGUUGACACGAGAGAAAAAGUUGAAAGCAAUAAGAGGCAAUGGAUAUCGUUUCGUCCUCAAAGGUGGGACGUUCCCUACCGAAAACCGUCAUGCUUGUUGUGAGAAGCUACGGUUUGUGAGAAGCAUAUAUCCAAACCAGCCCCAAAUGGGACAAAAUUUGUACCACGACAUGUUGAUGCCGCUCCAUGAUAGCAUGCCAAUUUUCAUGAAUUUCAGACGAGUUUUGGAUUUACUAGAAUUUAAAAACCAGGCAUCUCAAUGUUUUGCCGGCAAUCAACGGUGCGCUGGUGUUCGAAAUUCAUUCCCAUUUCUUGCAUGGGACCUAAGCAUGCACCCAAGGACACAUAUUUGAUUUUUCAACCAAUUUAUAUGCUGGAGCAUGUGCAUGUAGUUCAAAUUUGAAUUAUGCACAUAAAUGCAUUGAAAACUCAGUUAAUGCAUAAAAAUGUCCAAACGAACCCCGAAAAAUCACAAAAAUUCACACAACACUCCUAUUGUUCUACGUUGACACGAGAAAAAAAAUUGAAAGCAAUAAGAGGAAAUGGAUAUAGUUUCGUCCCCAAAGGUGGGACGUUCCCUACCGAAAACCGCCAUGCUAGUCGUGAGAAGCUACGGUUUGUGAGAAGCAUAUAUCCAAACCUGCCCCAAAUGGGACAAAAUUUGUACCACGACAUGUUGAUGCCGCUCCAUGAUAGCAUGCCAAUUUUCAUGAAUUUCAGACGAGUUUUGGAUUUACUAGAAUUUAAAAACCAGGCAUCUCAAUGUUUUGCCGGCAAUCAACGUUGCGCUGGUGUUCGAAAUUCAUUCCCAUUUCUUGCAUGGGACCUAAGCAUGCACCCAAGGACACAGAUUUGAUUUUUCAACCAAUUUAUAUGCACUGGAGCUUGUGCAUGUAGUUCAAAUUUGAAUUAUGCACAUAAAUGCAUUGAAAACUCAGUUAAUGCAUAAAAAUGUCCAAACGAACCCCGAAAAAUCACAAAAAUUCACACAACACUCCUGUUGUUCUAUGUUGACACGAGAGAAAAAGUUGAAAGCAAUAAGAGGCAAUGGAUAUCGUUUCGUCCUCAAAGGUGGGACGUUCCCUACCGAAAACCGUCAUGCUUGUUGUGAGAAGCUACGGUUUGUGAGAAGCAUAUAUCCAAACCAGCCCCAAAUGGGACAAAAUUUGUACCACGACAUGUUGAUGCCGCUCCAUGAUAGCAUGCCAAGUUUAAUGAAUUUCAGACGAGUUUUGGAUUUACUAGAAUUUAAAAACCAGGCAUCUCAAUGUUUUGUCGGCAAUCAACGGUGCGCUGGUGUUCGAAAUUCAUUCCCAUUUCUUGCAUGGGACCUAAGCAUGCACCCAAGGACACAGAUUUGAGUUUUCAACCAAUUUAUAUGCACUGGAGCAUGUGCAUGUAGUUCAAAUUUGAAUUAUGCACAUAAAUGCAUUGAAAACUCAGUUAAUGCAUAAAAAUGUCCAAACGAACCCCGAAAAAUCACAAAAAUUCACACAACAUUCCUGUUGUUCUAUGUUGACACGAGAAAAAAAAUUGAAAGCAAUAAGAGGCACUGGAUAUCGUUUCGGCCCCAAAGGUGGGACGUUCCCUACCGAAAACCGUCAUGCUUGUUGUGAGAAGCUACAGUUUGUGAGAAGCAUAUAUCCAAACCUGCCCCAAAUGGGACAAAAUUUGUACCACGACAUGUUGAUGCCGCUCCAUGAUAGCAUGCCAAUUUUCAUGAAUUUCAGACGAGUUUUGGAUUUACUAGAAUUUAAAAACCAGGCAUCUCAAUGUUUUGCCGGCAAUCAACGGUGCGCUGGUGUUCGAAAUUCAUUCCCAUAUCUUGCAUGGGAUCUAAGCAUGCACCAAAGGACACAGAUUUGAUUUUUCAACCAAUUUAUAUGCACUGGAGCUUGUGCAUGUAGUUCAAAUUUGAAUUAUGCACAUAAAUGCAUUGAAAACUCAGUUAAUGCAUAAAAAUGUCCAAACGAACCCCGAAAAAUCACAAAAAAUCACACAACACUCCUGUUGUUCUAUGUUGACACGAGAAAAAAAAUUGAAAGCAAUAAGAGGCAAUGGAUAUCGUUUCGUCCCCAAAGGUGGGACGUUCCCUACCGAAAACCGUCAUGCUUGUUGUGAGAAGCUACGGUUUGUGAGAAGCAUAUAUCCAAACCUGCCCCAAAUGGGACAAAAUUUGUACCACGACAUGUUGAUGCCGCUCCAUGAUAGCAUGCCAAUUUUCAUGAAUUUCAGACGAGUUUUGGAUUUACUAGAAUUUAAAAACCAGGCAUCUCAAUGUUUUGCCGGCAAUCAACGGUGCGCUGGUGUUCGAAAUUCAUUCCCAUUUCUUGCAUGGGAUCUAAGCAUGCACCCAAGGACACAGAUUUGAUUUUCAACCAAUUUAUAUGCACUGGAGCUUGUGCAUGUAGUUCAAAUUUGAAUUAUGCACAUAAAUGCAUUGAAAACUCAGUUAAUGCAUAAAAAUGUCCAAACGAACCCCGAAAAAUCACAAAAAAUCACACAACACUCCUGUUGUUCUAUGUUGACACGAGAAAAAAAAUUGAAAGCAAUAAGAGGCAAUGGAUAUCGUUUCGUCGUGGGACGUUCCCUACCGAAAACCGUCAUGCUUGUCGUGAGAAGCUACGGUUUGUGAGAAGCAUAUAUCCAAACCUGCCCCAAAUGGGACAAAAUUUGUACCACGACAUGUUGAUGCCGCUCCAUGAUAGCAUGCCAAUUUUCAUGAAUUUCAGACGAGUUUUGGAUUUACUAGAAUUUAAAAACCAGGCAUCUCAAUGUUUUGCCGGCAAUCAACGGUGCGCUGGUGUUCGAAAUUCAUUCCCAUUUCUUGCAUGGGAUCUAAGCAUGCACCCAAGGACACAGAUUUGAUUUUCAACCAAUUUAUAUGCACUGGAGCUUGUGCAUGUAGUUCAAAUUUGAAUUAUGCACAUAAAUGCAUUGAAAACUCAGUUAAUGCAUAAAAAUGUCCAAACGAACCCCGAAAAAUCACAAAAAAUCACACAACACUCCUGUUGUUCUAUGUUGACACGAGAAAAAAAUUGAAAGCAAUAAGAGGCAAUGGAUAUCGUUUCGUCGUGGGACGUUCCCUACCGAAAACCGUCAUGCUUGUCGUGAGAAGCUACGGUUUGUGAGAAGCAUAUAUCCAAACCUGCCCCAAAUGGGACAAAAUUUGUACCACGACAUGUUGAUGCCGCUCCAUGAUAGCAUGCCAAUUUUCAUGAAUUUCAGACGAGUUUUGGAUUUACUAGAAUUUAAAAACCAGGCAUCUCAAUGUUUUGCCGGCAAUCAACGUUGCGCUGGUGUUCGAAAUUCAUUCCCAUUUCUUGCAUGGGACCUAAGCAUGCACCCAAGGACACAGAUUUGAUUUUUCAACCAAUUUAUAUGCACUGGAGCUUGUGCAUGUAGUUCAAAUUUGAAUUAUGCACAUAAAUGCAUUGAAAACUCAGUUAAUGCAUAAAAAUGUCCAAACGAACCCCGAAAAAUCACAAAAAUUCACACAACACUCCUGUUGUUCUAUGUUGACACGAGAGAAAAAGUUGAAAGCAAUAAGAGGCAAUGGAUAUCGUUUCGUCCUCAAAGGUGGGACGUUCCCUACCGAAAACCGUCAUGCUUGUUGUGAGAAGCUACGGUUUGUGAGAAGCAUAUAUCCAAACCAGCCCCAAAUGGGACAAAAUUUGUACCACGACAUGUUGAUGCCGCUCCAUGAUAGCAUGCCAAUUUUCAUGAAUUUCAGACGAGUUUUGGAUUUACUAGAAUUUAAAAACCAGGCAUCUCAAUGUUUUGCCGGCAAUCAACGGUGCGCUGGUGUUCGAAAUUCAUUCCCAUUUCUUGCAUGGGAUCUAAGCAUGCACCCAAGGACACAGAUUUGAUUUUUCAACCAAUUUAUAUGCACUGGAGCUUGUGCAUGUAGUUCAAAUUUGAAUUAUGCACAUAAAUGCAUUGAAAACUCAGUUAAUGCAUAAAAAUGUCCAAACGAACCCCGAAAAAUCACAAAAAUUCACACAACACUCCUGUUGUUCUAUGUUGACACGAGAGAAAAAGUUGAAAGCAAUAAGAGGCAAUGGAUAUCGUUUCGUCGUGGGACGUUCCCUACCGAAAACCGUCAUGCUUGUCGUGAGAAGCUACGGUUUGUGAGAAGCAUAUAUCCAAACCUGCCCCAAAUGGGACAAAAUUUGUACCACGACAUGUUGAUGCCGCUCCAUGAUAGCAUGCCAAUUUUCAUGAAUUUCAGACGAGUUUUGGAUUUACUAGAAUUUAAAAACCAGGCAUCUCAAUGUUUUGCCGGCAAUCAACGUUGCGCUGGUGUUCGAAAUUCAUUCCCAUUUCUUGCAUGGGACCUAAGCAUGCACCCAAGGACACAGAUUUGAUUUUUCAACCAAUUUAUAUGCACUGGAGCUUGUGCAUGUAGUUCAAAUUUGAAUUAUGCACAUAAAUGCAUUGAAAACUCAGUUAAUGCAUAAAAAUGUCCAAACGAACCCCGAAAAAUCACAAAAAUUCACACAACACUCCUGUUGUUCUAUGUUGACACGAGAGAAAAAGUUGAAAGCAAUAAGAGGCAAUGGAUAUCGUUUCGUCCUCAAAGGUGGGACGUUCCCUACCGAAAACCGUCAUGCUUGUUGUGAGAAGCUACGGUUUGUGAGAAGCAUAUAUCCAAACCAGCCCCAAAUGGGACAAAAUUUGUACCACGACAUGUUGAUGCCGCUCCAUGAUAGCAUGCCAAUUUUCAUGAAUUUCAGACGAGUUUUGGAUUUACUAGAAUUUAAAAACCAGGCAUCUCAAUGUUUUGCCGGCAAUCAACGGUGCGCUGGUGUUCGAAAUUCAUUCCCAUUUCUUGCAUGGGAUCUAAGCAUGCACCCAAGGACACAGAUUUGAUUUUUCAACCAAUUUAUAUGCACUGGAGCUUGUGCAUGUAGUUCAAAUUUGAAUUAUGCACAUAAAUGCAUUGAAAACUCAGUUAAUGCAUAAAAAUGUCCAAACGAACCCCGAAAAAUCACAAAAAUUCACACAACACUCCUGUUGUUCUAUGUUGACACGAGAAAAAAAAUUGAAAGCAAUAAGAGGCAAUGGAUAUCGUUUCGUCCCCAAAGGUGGGACGUUCCCUACCAAAAACCGUCAUGCUUGUUGUGAGAAGCUACGGUUUGUGAGAAGCAUAUAUCCAAACCUGCCCCAAAUGGGACAAAAUUUGUACCACGACAUGUUGAUGCCGCUCCAUGAUAGCAUGCCAAUUUUCAUGAAUUUCAGACGAGUUUUGGAUUUACUAGAAUUUAAAAACCAGGCAUCUCAAUGUUUUGCCGGCAAUCAACGUUGCGCUGGUGUUCGAAAUUCAUUCCCAUUUCUUGCAUGGGACCUAAGCAUGCACCCAAGGACACAGAUUUGAUUUUUCAACCAAUUUAUAUGCACUGGAGCUUGUGCAUGUAGUUCAAAUUUGAAUUAUGCACAUAAAUGCAUUGAAAAGUCAGUUAAUGCAUAAAAAUGUCCAAACGAACCCCGAAAAAUCACAAAAAUUCUCAGAACACUCAUAUUGUUCUAUGUUGACAUGAGAAAAAAAUCGGAAGCAAUAAGAGGCAAUGGAUAUCGUUUCGUCCCCAAAGGUGGGACGUUCCCUACCGAAAACCAUCAUGCUUGUUGUGAGAAGCUCCGGUUUGUGAGAAGCAUACACCCAAACCUGCCCCAAAUGGGACAAAAUUUGUACCACGGCAUGUUGAUGCUGCUCCAUGAUAGCAUGCCAAGUUUCACGAAUUUCAGACGAGUUUGGAUUUACUAGAAUUUGAAACCAGGCAUCUCAAUGUUUUGCCGGCAAUCAACGGUGCCCUGUUGUUCGAAAUUCAUUCCCAUUUCUUGCAUGGGACCUGAGCAUGCACCCAAGGACACAGAUUUGAUUUUUCAACCAAUUUAUAUGCACUGGAGCAUAUGCGUGUAGUUCAAAUUUGAAUUAUGCACAUUAAUGCAUUGAAAACUCAGUUAAUGCAUAAAAAUGUCCAAACGAACCCCGAAAAAUCACAAAAAUUCACACAACACUCCUGUUGUUCUAUGUUGACACGAGAAAAAAUUUGAAAGCAAUAAGAGGCAACGGAUAUCGUUUCGUCCCCAAAGGUGGCACGUUCCCUACCGAAACCAUCACGCUUGUUGUGAGAAGCUCUGGUUUGUGAGAAGCUUAUACCCAAACCUGCACCAAAUGGGAAAAAAUACCACGGCAUGUUGAUGCCGCUACAUGAUAGCAUGCCAAGUUUCAUGAAUUUCAGACGAGUUUUGGAUUUACUAGAAUUUGAAAACCAGGUACCUCAAUGUUUGCGGCCGAGUGACGGUGGCAGGGUGUUUGAAAUUCAUUCCCAUUUCUUGUAUGGGACCUAAGCAUGCAACCAAGGACACAUAUUUGAUUUUUCAAUAAGUUUAUAUGCACUGGAGCAUGUGCAUGUAGUUCAAAUUUGAAUUAUGCGCAUAAAACACCUGGAAAACCUAGUUAAUGUAUAAAAAUGUACAAACGAACCCUGGAUAAUUCCAAUUUUUUUUAACGACACACCUAUAGUUGCAUGUUCACUUCAGAUAAAAGUUCUAACAAUUCAAACACCAUCCUUUGUAGCUGUGACCCCAUUACGUAAUUCAAAUGAUCAAGACGAUAAAUCAAGUAGAUCGCACACAGUUUAUUAUCACCAACCGUGUGAGAUGCAGCACAAAAUAUCUUGGAGCACCGUCGGUGUAUUGUACGCCCAUGCCUUACGAGCGAAGGUGCGUCGGCUACAGUCCACAGCCGGCGUGUCAAGCACACUAGCUCACUCCCCAAAUAUCAUUUCACUGUUCAUUCGUCGCCGGUGAAAGAUGGGGACGUGGACCCACGUCGUGAGGGCAACUUCGGUGGCCCACUCGGGCGAGAUCGCGGCCGCAGCCGCCAGGCGCGUGCUAACAAGCUUCGUGAGGGCGACCGCAAUCUGUGUCUGGGCGGCCAAGGCAGCCCAAACGGCCGAUGUUGCUUCUCAGGCGGCGGUAGCAGCAUCUGCCUCGGGGAUAGCAACUGGCGAGAGCGGCACAGCAGCUGUCCGUUCUGCAGCGGUGGCUUUAGCCCUGCUGGAGGCCGCCCACUACCAUGUCGAGGCCGUCCACGCCCAGCUCGCGGAGGUCACCGCACAAAUCAAACGAAGCUUCUCCGACAACGGUCAGCAACCCAUGGUCGAAGAGCUGGCAAUCGCCGAGAGAGUUUGACCAGUCGUCCGUUCCUGCGCGGCAUACCUUGCCACGACGGAGCCCGCCAGAGCCCAGAUGGCGUCCGCCCACGCCCAGCUCGUGGCGGCCUUUUCCAAAGAUAUGGCGGAUGUGGAUGGCGAGAUGCUUGCCGAGUAUGGUGCAAUUGAUGCCAUGGAGCCCCUUCCCCAGGAGACCGUCGGGCGCGAGCUGGACAUGGAGGCGGCGGCGGAGAUCGACGAGCACUAGCCGUAGUAGUACUCUCUGUUUUGUUUAAUUAAGAGCGCCGGUCUUUAAUUUGUUAGAGUAAUGUUUAGGUCAGCUAGCUCUGUUUUAUUGCUGAACUUGCUCGAUUAAGAAGUUAGUCUCCUUUGUGUACUCAAAUUAUGCAAUGACGUGGAUGACCACUGUAACCAGGGAAAUUCGAACCAAAAUUUUUGACGUUCAAACUCAACACACACGGGUUAAGCUAUCUGAAUCGUUUGUGAUGUUCACAUAUCGUACACAGUUCUGAAUAAGGGACCGUGUUUGAUGACACUUUGCGCGCCAGUUUUUUGGCAGAAGCGAUUCCAAAUUUUCGCAUUCCGCGGAAAUAUCUACCUCCCCGCCCCCUCCCCCUUACCAAAAGCCACAUUUCCCCUCUUUUCGCCUUCCUUUCCAAGUUGAAACCUUCACUCCUUUCUUGCAGCGUCGCCGCCUCCUCACCGGCGACCCUCCUUCACGUUCCUCGGCCUCGCCUAUCCAGGCAGGUAAUCCACACCCGACCCCCAUCCUCCUCCUCCUUCCACAUCCCACAUGCCCCUACCACCGGCGCGAGCGCGACACCUUCCACCCAAAUCACCGACCCCUCCACCAAAUAAGCGCCGGCCUAAGCCAUGGUGCACGUAGUAUAGCCAGGACCUCAAGGAGCAUUUGGCAACGGAGAAGCAAAUCGCGGCCGCACACGCGGAUCAGGUCGCGAUGGCUGCCAUUCGUGCCGACCACCAGAUCUUGAAGGAGCACCUUGCCAUUUGCUAGCUACGCCGGUUAAGCAUGCUAGGUUUACCCGUUGCGUGUGCUGCUCCUGCCUUUCCUUCACAAAUUCUAGUGAAUUGUGCUAUCUAAUUUCACCAUGCAAUCUGCUGCUCUAGUGUAUAUGUUCUAUAUGUCGUGCAGUGUGGUGCUCACUUAUUAACUGUUUUGUUAAUUAGUUGUCGUCUUCAGUUAACUGUUUGGUUCAAUUCUGCAAAUGUGAUGUUCAAUUCUUCAGGCUGUAAUUUUGUAUUGUCUUCCAUGUGAGAAGUAAAUCGAAUUUAUCUUUACAAAAUUGUGGGUGCAUUCUGUUAUUGUAUACCAUGUGAGGAAUAAAUUGAAUUUGGCUAUAGUAAAUACAUGAGAAACAAAUACAAUUGCUACAAUUGGCUGUAGUUAACUGUUUGGUUAACUGUCUGAUCUUCUAUUAGCAGUAUGUUAUAUUGUGCAAUGUGGUGCUCAGUUAAUGUUUGGUUCAUUUGUUGUGGUGUUUAGUUAACUGCUUGGUUCAAUGUUAUAUUGUGCAAUGCGGUGCUCAGUAAUGUUUGGUUCAUUUGUUAUGGUGUUUAGUUAACUACUUGGUUCAAUUCUGCAAUGCGAUGUCCAAUUGUCGUGGGUAGAAUUUUGUAUUGUUGUGCAUGUGAGGAAUAAAUUGAAUUUGGCUGCACUUAAUACAUGAGAAACAUAUACAAGUGCUAUAUUUCCUAGUUCUUCAUCAUGCUUGGUUUGGAUAAAUGGGUUUUCCCUGUGGCUUAAAUUAAUCUGAUGAAUAUGCGAACCCUUACUUAACAUGAUGACUAACUACCUUAUAUGUGUUUCAGGGAAACAAUGGGAAGCACUGAGGUUUACAAUCGAGGUUAGCGCAUGCAUGGUCUGUUGUCUAAUAGAACAUUAUUGUGCAAUUGCAGGAACCAUUCUAAUAUUUAGGUUUUUAACAAUUUGGUCUUGCACAUGUAGGUCCUGCUAUCAGAGGUUUUGACCCACUGUUCGACCCUUUCUGCAUAUGGGGAAAUGAGUUGUCCAUGAAUAUCAGUCAAGUCAAAAAACUCAGAAAGAUUGUUAGGAUAAAGAAAUUAGCGACAAAAAGCAACAAGAUCUUUGUCUGCACAAUGAAGAAUAUAUCAGUUCACUACAGGAUGGUACUUACUAUUAUACCUUGCCUUUUUAAUUCCUUUGCCCCAUUUUCAAUAUAGAGAAGAUAUUUAUGCACAUCCUUGUUUUCAGGCCUUUCCAAAGCAGUUCACUGAUGAUUACCUCUCAAACCACUGUAUGGUCAGGAGGCGAGGAAGGUAUCCAUACAACACCCACGGUUCAAUAUUGAAGUGUUCCUGAAGAGGACGAAGGAUGGACGGUCAAUCAUCCACAGGCACUGGCCUAAAGUUACAAAGACCUUCAACAUCAAUGAAGGCUCAAUAUUCGCCUUCUGCUUCAGCAGUUUUCCAGAUGAGAUACAUCUGUCUAUGUACCGUCUAUGAUGCUAAUUUCGAAAGGUUAUAGAUGUUGCAUGUGAAACUUGGUCCUGGUGUAGUUGUGUAAUGGGGUAGCUGAGUGCUGAAUCUAUAUGAUGUUGUACUCUGAUGUAUUUCAAUUAUGAAAAUGAAAUAUAUUGUGUGCUUAAUAUGAACUGUCAAUUAGAUUAAUAAAUGGAUUAUGAAUAAUCGGAUAAUUAUCCUGCUAGUGGCGAAUAAGCCUGCUAAUUGGUUUUGCUAUUGCAAACGGUUGUUGAAAAAAUACCGUGGGCGAUGACCUUAGGCAACACACACAGUUUCUAGGAAUAAACCGUGUUGGAUCAAUGAACAAUCACACACGACUUUCUCUUGAAAACUGUUUGCGUUAGGCCACCUUGCGCAAACGUUUACCACAUGAAAACUGUGUGUGAUGGACAACCUUUGCCACACAAUUUCUUCCACGGACCGUGUGUGAUAUAUUCAAUAACGCAAGCGAUUUAACGGGAAAAAUUGUGUGCGAUGUACCUGUGAACGGAAACGUUUUCCUUCGAGCGACUGUGUGGGAUGUACAUACGAACGAAAACGUUUAGCGGGGACUGACUGUGUGGGAUGUACUUGCGACCGGAAAUAAUUUCGCCGUAUAAUUGUAUUUUUUUUAGCUCUACUGUAUGUAUUUCCGUAUUUGAGCGCUCGUCGGUCGCACACGACCUCAUUUCGCCGAAUGUGUGUGCCAGGAGGGCAUAUCCCCCAUGGUUUUUGGGUCGUGUGGGAAGGACCCCCCCUAUCGCCCACACUCACUUGGCGACGGUUCCAAUUGCUGUCGCGGAAAGGGGUUAAAAACCAUUUGUUUAGGAGCUCACUGUACUAGUGUAAUGCUCGCUUAUGUGAUUUUUUGUUUUUUGGUUGGCUGCUUCUCCAUCAAUUUGCUAACCUCCACUUGUACUAAGUAGAAAUACUACUUGUGCAUCCAAAAUCUUUAAACCCAGUUUUGCCAUAUGAGUCCACCAUACCUACCUAUAUGCGGUAUUUCCAUGCCGUAAUAAGCAAAUUUAUAUGUGCCAUCUCUAAUUUUCAAAAUGAAUUUCAUGUUUGUGUGCUCGUACCGCUCAUGAAGCGGCAGGGGGUGGCCAAUAUUUUCCAUGCUAGAUGUGUUAUUCUCAAGAUGAGUGUUUAUCCACUAGUCAUUGCACGAGAGUAUGGCGGUAAUAGGGAUGCCCAGUCCCGAAAUGAAAAAGAAAUUUACUUUAUGUUGUCAAGUAAUAAAAUCCUUGUAAAGUGUUGGUAUGGAAGGCACCUGUGGAUAUGGCUAGCCAUGGAUUGUGAAAGAAUGGUGGAAAAAGGAACAAACUUUAUUUUCUUUUGGGAACCGCCUAUGAUAGAUCUAGCAUGGAAAGUGUUGGGAAUUACUCGGUCGCUUUCGUUGACGGGAAAAGUAUGCCUCUCAAAAGAAUUUUUCUCUCAAUUUAAGCUUUGAGCUGUGGCACCUCUACAAAGCCCUACUUCCCUCUGCGAAGGGCCUAUAUAUUUACUCUAUAAAAUUUUUAUUUUUAUUUGAGUCUCCAUCUUCUCUUAUAAAGAACCAACUAAGGUGCACUAUGAUGGUACUUGAGCAUUGGAUGUAGCUAAUAUGCGAGUGUGUCUCAUGAAUGGAUCAAUGAUUGGCAUGAUGGGCUAGGGAUAACUUUCUUUAGUGUUGAUAUUUUGAAAGACAUGGUUGCUUGUUGAUAUGCUUGAGUAUUGAAAUCUUCGUGUCAAAACUAGACUAUUGCUUUGAACCAUAUAUCCAUGCUAUAAAAGAAAAUAAUAUGUGAUGAACAUGUUAGGCAGCAUUCCACAUCAAAAAUUCUGUUUUUAUCAUUUACCUACUCGAGGACGAGUAGGAAUUAAACUUGGGGAUGCUGAUACGUCUUCAACGUAUCUACAAUUUUUGCUUAUUCCAUGCUAUUAUAUUAUCAUUAUUGGAUGCUUUACAAUCAUUUUAUAGCAACUUUAUAUCAUUUUAUGGGACUAACCUAUUGGCAUAGUGCCAAGUGUCAGUUGGUGUUUUUUGCUUGUUUUUUACUUCGCAGAAUAUCAGUACCAAAUGGAGUCCAAACACAGCGAAACUUUUUGGAGAUUUUUUCUGGACCGGAAGACACCCUGUGGGCCAAAGAAAUACCGGAGGGGAGGAUCGAGGUGGGCAUAACCCACCAGGGCGCACCAGGAGGCCCAGGCGUGCCCAGGGGAGUUGUGCCCCCCUCGGUGACCUCCCGCACCGCCUCUUCACCCUAUAAAUUUCCAAAUAUUACAGAAAUCCUAGGGGGGUCGACGAAACACAAUUCCAGCUGCCGCAAGUUCCAGAACCACGAGAUCCAAUCUAGACACCAUCAUAGAGGGGUUCAUUAUCCUCAUUGGUGCAUCUCCGAUGAUGCGUGAGUAGUUCAUCAUAGACCUACGGGUCCCUAGGCAGCCGCCAGAUGGCAUCCUCUCUCUCUCUCUCUCUCUCUCUCUCUCUCUUGAUUCUCAAUACAAUGGUCUCUUGGAGAUCUAUUUGAUGUAACUCUUUUUUGCGGUGUGUUUGUUGGGAUUCGAUGAACAUUGAGUUUAUGAUCAGAUCUAUAUCUAUGAAUAUUAUUUGACUCUUCUUUUGAUCUCUUAUAUGCAUGAUUAUUUAUAGCAUCGUAUUUCUUCUUCAAAUCUUUGAUUUAGUUAAGCCAACUAGAUCAAUUUUUCUUGCCAUGGGAAGAUGUGCUUUGUGAUGGGUUCGAUCUUGCGGUGUUCUUUCCCAGUGACAGAAGGGGUAGCAAGACACGCAUGUAUCGUUGCUACUAAGGAUAACAAGAUGAGGGCUAUUCCUAAAUGAAUAGAUCUCGUCUACAUCAUGUGUUCUUAUUGCAUUACUCCGUUUCUCCGUGAACUUAAUACACUAAAUGCAUGCUGGAUAACGGUCGAUGUGUGUACUAAUAGUAGUAGAUGCAGGCAGGAGUCGGUCUACUAAUCUUGGACGUGAUGCCUAUAUAUUGAUCGUUGCCUUGGAUAUAGUCAUAAUUAUUCGAUCUUAUAUCAAUUGCCCAACAGUAAUUUGUUUACCCACCGUAUGCUAUUUUCUCGAGAGAAACCACUAGUGAAAUCUACGGGCCCUGGGUCAAUUCUCUAUCAUAUUUGCUUUGAGAUCUAUUUUUUCGCUUUUAUUUUCAUAUCUAUUAUCCCAAAAACCCAAAAAUACCUUGUUGCACUUUUGUUAACUUCAUUUCACGUUUUGUCGAGAUCUAUUUAUCCAAUCUACACAAAUUUUAUCCCGUCAACUUGACAAUUUUUAGCGCCGUUACCCGUAGAGGGAUUGACAACCCCUCAUAAGCGUCCGGUUGCAAGCAUUUGUUCUUUGUGUGUAGGUACCGUUUAUAUAGUGUUGCUUGGUUCUCCUACUGGAUUGAUACAUUGGUUACAUAACUGAGGGAAAUACCUACCAUAGUUGUGCUGCAUCAUCCCUUCCUCUUUGGGAAAUACAGACGUAGUUCAAGCGACAUCAGUCUUGUCUAUGCGGCGCAUUGUGGGGCUGGUGAGGGUUGUUGGUUCCCUGCCGGCUUACCUCUGGCGGCACAAGUCUUCAUGGCAAGGCUCGGCGUGGUCCCCGCCAGCUACGAGAUCGGGGCGACGCGGCUUUCCGUGAAAAUCACGCCUACUGCGGUCAUGCUGGAUGAUGGUAGUGUCUCUGACGCCGUGACCUUCUCGAGGCAUCGUCGUUGCAAGUUGCGUCAACAUGAUCGGGAUGUUCUGAGGGAAACCCUAGAUCUGAGUCUCUUGGAUCGGACAAUGACGGCACCUUGUACGUAUUGUUCUCCCUCAUGGGGGCAUCGUUUUGGAGCAGGAGCUGACUGGAGGGGACAAGAGAGGGGUGGUGUUAAAAUUAUCGCAAGGCCGACGACGGGACAUGGCAGCAUGGUGCAGCGGAGUGUCACCGACGGGCGCGUGUGGUUGGACGUGUUCAGGCUGGUGCCGCUGUCUGGCAUCGUGGUGACGUCGACGAUAGAUGGGACUGGCAAGAUCUAUGCAUUGAUCCCUCCUGAAGAUGGGACGGCGGCGGAUCCUAGAGUGUGCGCAUGGGGUGUGCAUUUUGGGAUGCGUAGACUGGUUAGUACUCUCAACUUGUCAGGCGGGUGGCUUCUUGAAGCCAUUGGAUUAGAUGGUGUCCAUUGAUGCGGUCAAGGCGCAUUUUUAUACUCGUACGUGUAGCAACUUUGUUCAUCUUAAAUGUGGCUUUGGGUUGAUCUUUGUAUUCUUUUUGUUAAACUCUGAUGAAUAAAAUAAUAAAGAUGGUUGCAUGCAUCAUUUUAUUAAACUUUGUCAUCCUUGUUGAAAAAAAAAGAAAAAAAAAGCAGCCAGCUCUAAUCGUAUGUUUCUUUAGUCUUCUGUAAAUCUUAAGAUGGAGACAUUAGUCGUUUCAAGGAGUAGAUUUAGAUAGAGGAAAAAUCAUAGGCUACUUAGAUUAACAAAACUAUGCUGAAAUUAGAUGCAAUUACAAUGUUCUCCGAAAAGAAGGAGCACAUAGUGUGUGUCCUUGCUUGGGUGCCUCGUCAUCCGGCGUGGCAUAGUGGCGGCUCUAGGCACAAUUUCAGGUGUCAUUUGACAUCACAAAAUUGUGUAAACCACUCUCGAAUUUUUAUAUAUACAUGAAAUGGUUCAUACACUAGGAAUUUAAAUUGAUUGACAUCACAGGAUCGUACGGGGGUAGCACCGCCACUUGUACAUGCCGUGUCACAAAUGGCGCAAAUCAGAUUUGCCCGUGACUUGUUUGCAUGGUUGGAGACGGACACUCAACUUCGAUAGGGGAAAAUAAUACGUACUAUCUCUGUGUCAAAAUAUAAGACAUUUUUUCCCUCAAAAAAAUAUAAGACAUUUUUAUAGAAAAAAAACCUUGCAAAAAAGUGUAUAGACUAAACUGGCCUAAAAAAAUCUUAUGUUUUGAUACUUGUCAGACGUGCACUUGGAAGAGCAGGAGAUCGAUCGAGAGCACUACCAUUCAAAGGAAAGGAGGUACACCGUACACGUUUAGUCGUUCGGCGACAGACGGUCAAUCCUUCGGCCCGAUCGGUCGGGCACGUACGCGUCGUUUGUUUGACCGUCGGUCUAUAUACGCGUACAAGAUACACCUACUUCAGCGUCCAGCAAAGCCAGGUGACGUACUAGGCAACGGCCGGCCCAGCGGGAUCAAGGCAGGAGUGAAAUGUCAAGGCAGAGGUGCAGCAUGAAUGCCUGCAUGGCGCGUUGGCGAUGAUUUGAUAACAAACUGACCGAGACGCUAGCAGCAAAAAGUAGGAUGCACGAUGAUGUCGACAGUAAAUGUUAAUGGAAUAAUGGGGCAUGGCGUUCAUAUUUCUCAAGUCGGAUUCGGUUCACAAACCGACUGGAGCAUCAUAGUCCUCAUGUGCGGCUCAUCAGAUAAAGAAAAGGAAAAUGUAUCCCGUGUGCAUGACGAUUCAUGAGAUCACUAAACUAACUGUUAUGUUAGAGCAUCUACGGCCUGACCCCUCGUAUCCCCCUAUACGUUCACCGCUCACACAAAUAAGUCCUAAGCAAACCCCUCAAACCGAUCCUAUAUGUCUAGGUUGUCCGUCACACCCAUACCUAGCCGAUAUUUGGCGCGGAUAUGGGGAGGUCCAGACACGCCUGGACGCGUCUGUCACGUCGGACUGACGGUCGGGAUCGACGUGAAAACAUGCAGAAACCCACCAGUCCAAGGUGAGCUCACCGGUUCGCAUUCAUGUCACUCAGCGCACUACUCGAGGGCCAGACUCGGCUAUUUAAGUCGGACGGUGAGUCUCAACCCUAGCCUUCCCCAUUUCCUCCCUCUUCCUUCCACCGACGCCGCCACCGUGACCUCGUCGCGCCCUAUUCCGCUCCGACCUCGCCGUCCGUCGGUAGCCAUGGUCCGCCAUAGGAUUACCUACUACAAGAUGUUGACCCUGCAAUCCCGGGCGAAGAUUCACGGAUGGCGCUGGUUGAGUUCGAGGUCGUCCAAGUGGUGGAGGCGGUGGAGCUGCAUGCCAUUCUCGAGUCCAUCUAGUCCAAGGCGGAGGAGGGUGGUGAAUCGCCACUUUCUCUAGGAGGUGGAACUAGAGCGUGAGCAGCUCUUCGAAGACGAGGAGGACGCACCGGAGUUUCGCCCCGCCGCCAAUGACCAUGAGGUCGAUGGCUCCAGCAAGGGCAUCAUUGACAUUUUCGAUGACGGUUAGAUUGUUUCCUUAUUUUUAGCUAUGUACAUGGAUAAAUUUUGCGUUGCAUGUAGUAGUAUGAAUAUGAGGAUCAAGAAAUGAGUACUAUAAUUGAAAUGUCUAAGAAAUGAAGGGUGGCCGAUCACUAUCGGCAGACGUAUAGGGGUCUGGAUUUGUGAAGUCCGGUUGUAGAUGCUCUUAGCCCUGGUCAAUGGCAGGGUGAGUAGGAAAACAAAAUGGCUCUAUGCAUGAUCAUGAUAGACUGACUCUUCCGGCCCAGACGAGUUGAGGAAAUAGAGGAACACAAGUUGCAUGAGUGGCCUCCCAUGCUCAGCUCAACUUGAAAUGUCAGCGUGGAGAACACGAGCACUCAUGCAUGUAUCCAUACACUACACGCACACAUGGUCCAUUAUUUUCUCGGGAUAGUUAGGGCGCAAUCAAUGAACAGUGCGUUACAACGCCUGGACUUUCUUCUUCUCUUCUCUCUGCACCCAAUAUGGUGCAGCGGCUGCAGUAGCUUUUGUACUUACUCCAAGCACAAGAAAGUCAUGAGCUGCACAGUUGCCCAACAAGUGAUGAAUUCUCUGCAGACAAUCACCACACAAUUCUUGUCAACCGCCGAUCUGUCGACGAAACCCUCUCGAAGCUAGCCACCAUGCAUGCACGUGUGUCUCGCCGCAAAUUGACAAGGUGUGCACUGUGCAUGGCUAUAAGAGAGGAGCAGGUCGAGCGGGCAGGGGGAAAAGCUUGAUGAAGUCUUCAAGAGCAAGCCCCGCGCAAUCAAUGGUUCGCCGUCAAUCAAUGCAGGGUUGGUUCCCGGUUGACAUUUAAGCUCAAGACGUGGAAGUGGAUUCAAUUCGGCGAGGUGACGUAGUACUCCACGACCAUUUGCAGUUGAAGGAUUGGAGCAUCGAACAAAAAGACAUUGCACGUUUAUCUACUUGUCCAAUGCGACUGGUCCAUCGUUGGUCUAUCUGCUGCCCCGUGUAGUACCUAGUAGCGUGUGUCAGACUGGCCAUAGUGGGAGUAACUUCAAGAAUAACAUAAGUGCCAACUUAACAAAAAAAAUUAUGUGACAUUGAGUUAAUGAGGCGAGAGGCAAAUUGAGUAACUUAGCUAGUUACCGCAACAUCACAUAUCUCAAUACAAUAUGAGUCUGUAACAUACUCCCGCUGUCCCAUAAUGUAAGACGUUUUUCGACACUACACUAAUAUCAAAAAAGUCAUACUCCCUCCGUUUUUAUUUACUCCGCAUAUUAGUUUUGGUCAAAGUCAAGCUUUACAAACUUAGACAAAGUUUAUAGCCAUUAGGUUCGUUGUUAUAUGUACUUCCACACCAUAGAGAUUUGUUAUGCUAAAUAUUUAUAUUAUUUUCUAUAAAUUUGGUCAAACUUUACAAAGUUUGACUUUAGUCAACUCUAAUAUGCGAAGUAAAUAAAAACGGAGGGAGUACAUUACAGGACGGAGGGAGUAAUAAAUAAUGGUUUGUAUGACACUAUAGUUACUCCCUCUUUCCAUAUAUAUAGGACCUGAUACAUUUUUUUAGGUUGCCGUUGACUAUUGAUAAGAUUAAUAAUAUAUGCGAUGUAUCACUAGAAGCUCCUUCCACGUACAAAUUUGAUGGUGUACUUUAUGUAUCUUGCAUGUCUAUUGCUCUAACAUGUGGUCAAAGUUAGCCUCGAAAAACGCAUUAGACCCUAUAUACAUGGAAGGAGAUAGUAUGUUAUUAUCCACUAUAAAGAUAGUAACAUAGCAUGGGAUAAUGUGUAUGUUACUUUUGAAAUUAGUCUUCACUAUGGCUAGUCUCAUCUUGCUGGGUGCAACUGCUCCCAAUGAAUGCGCGCGUGCCUUCAAUGGCCAUGCCUAUCGAUCUUUUAUACUUUCUCUGUAAUAAAGAAAUAUAAAAGCAUUUAGAUUAUAUUAGUAUUUAAAUGCUCUGAUGUUUUUUUUUACAAAGGAAGUACUAUUUUCUUCCUUCAUGGAAGAAUGAAGAAAGAAGAAAGGACGGGAGAAGAUGUGGCCUGGAGGAGCAUUGAGUUUGAUAAACGUGAUCAUGGAUGUACAUACAGUUGCACGUAGCUGUUUCGGGGCGAAUACGCGUACGCAUCAUUGCUUAUCCUGCAGGUACGCAUUUACUUACACCCGUCGCCAUCCCAUUAACUGUUUUUCCAUAUAUAUUUUUAGAUAUAUACUCCUUUAUAAGGAAACUUCUGUAUCUAGCAGAAAACAACGUAUUUCUACAAUUUUUUUAAUUUGUUUCUUUUUUUUUAAUUUGUUUCUUUAAUCUUGAGAAAGAAAAAACUUGUAUUUCGACGAAACAGUAGAUGAUUAUUUUUUUGCAUUAAACUUAUCAUUGUACUUACGCGCAAAAGAAACUUAUCAUUUUCUUUGACAAGUUUUUUUCUUUUGCAUGAAGAUACAAGUUUUUUUUUGUGUGCGAAGAACUUACCUAUAUCGACCCAUCGAUCCCUCAUAAAAAAACGACAUGAAACAGAAACCACUAACUCCUAGAUCUUGACAGGCCCAUUUCCCCAGCGCAACGCAGCUCAACCUUCCCAGCCCAACCCAACCUAUGUAUGCUACCCUCUCCUCCGGCACUAGAGGCGCUGCCGCUGACUCCCCUCCUCCCAUCCUCACUCGAGCACACUCCGCCGCCGACGACCCCGAGNNNNNNNNNNNNNNNNNNNNNNNNNNNNNNNNNNNNNNNNNNNNNNNNNNNNNNNNNNNNNNNNNNNNNNNNNNNNNNNNNNNNNNNNNNNNNNNNNNNNNNNNNNNNNNNNNNNNNNNNNNNNNNNNNNNNNNNNNNNNNNNNNNNNNNNNNNNNNNNNNNNNNNNNNNNNNNNNNNNNNNNNNNNNNNNNNNNNNNNNNNNNNNNNNNNNNNNNNNNNNNNNNNNNNNNNNNNNNNNNNNNNNNNNNNNNNNNNNNNNNNNNNNNNNNNNNNNNNNNNNNNNNNNNNNNNNNNNNNNNNNNNNNNNNNNNNNNNNNNNNNNNNNNNNNNNNNNNNNNNNNNNNNNNNNNNNNNNNNNNNNNNNNNNNNNNNNCUGUUGCCGAGCGUAUUUGAUUUGAGCUCGAAUUUUGGUGCAGCCACACAGAGAAUCUAAUCCACAAAGGUAGCCACUUCAUCCUGCAAAAUAGGAUUUGAUGCUUGAAUAGAGACAAGCACAUGCUAAUACGAAGGUGCAAGCCUACUAUAGAAUUCCACAUACGUGAAUUCAUAACCGCAAUAUUGACCACCCGAGUUUGUGUGCCACCCUUGAUGACAGGGUAAAAUCCGUCUAAGAUCACCAUAAAGCACAACCACUGCAAUCGAGGAUAAAAUCACCGGUUGGGCUCCCUAGUGUAGGAGUUUGCGGUAUGCAUCAAAUUUUCCUCAACAAGAAAUCAAGGUAUAAUUUCCGUGGAGGUAUUGGUACCCUGCAAUAGUUGAAUGUUGUGCAACACAAAUAAAACUUCACUUGUUUCCCUAAUAGUUCUAACAGGGGUAUCAACCUUGCUAGUCUUGCUAGUUACAAGGCUAAUAAAAGAUAAUAUGUGAUAAAUAUUAUUGGUAUUUUCGGAAUAAAACAAAACUGAAAAUAAAACAAAGUGUAAAAGUUGUUAGAAGGUGAUUCUUAUGCUCAAAAUUGGACCGGGGUUCAUAGGGUCAACUCUCCAAAGCAUAAAAACGCGAUGAAGUAAUUCAAAUACUAUUAAACCAAGAUCCUCUGUGCAUCCAGUAGCUAAAUAACCCGUCCAUAGAUCGAGACCCUCUCUGCACCAUCUGAACAUUAAGUGUAAAUACAACUAAUUGCAUUUAGCAACAUGGCAUAAUGUUAUGAAUAGGGAACUAUUAAUCCUCUAGUAAACCUUAACCCUCAGUGACAACAAUCCAGUACAAUCAUUUUGCACAUUCUAUCACUGCAGUAGAUUACUUGCAAGAUUAAACCCAACUAAUGCACAUCACUUCUACUAUUCAUUACCGAUCUAAACUGGCUAAGAGUAGACAAGCAAUCGGAAAGAAAUAUGCAUCUAUAUAUCAAACAUAUGGCAUACACAAAUCUAAACAUAAAGAUAUAAUUCAUCGCAUGAUCAACAUCACCGCUAUGAAUACAUCAGAUAAACCAUAACUGGUAAUCUGUAAAUGCAUAAAGUACAAUUGUGGCCUUUUCAAAGUAAGAGUAUCUAUCGAUCCCACAGAGGAGCACAUAAAAUGAUCUUUGCUUCUUGUAGAGGUUUACAUGGUGUGAAUCAGUCUAGUCAAACCCGCACACUAUUAUUGCCAGACCAAGGCGAAGAAUUUGCGCCCAAAUACUCAAAUGUAGGGUUGUUAAAGAAGACAAUGCCCACGAUGUUACACAAAUGAACAAAAAAAACACAUAAUCCAUGAAAACAGGUAGAAACCAAUACUCGCAUGCUAUUGGCAUCGACGACACAAAAGGCCACCUGCCAGUGGGAGACGAAAAUUCUCUCCCCUACACCUACGGUUCCAAAGCGGUGGAGAGGAUAGCAGCGAUGACAUAUGAAGGGUGGUGUCUAGGGUUGAGGACAUAAGAGCAACUCUAGUAGAUCCCUUGGCCUAAAAGUUCAAAGGUACAGUUAUCGCAUUUUCUUAAUUUUUAGGGAAUUAAAUGUUUCUUCUUGAAGAUCCUCUAAACUUAAUACCUCAAAAGAAUUAAAAUAAAAAAAUGUACACAAACUCAUUCGAAACACACAUUAAAACUAGUUCAUCGCAUAAUUCAAUGUAUGUACCACGUUAACAUCAUACAUAGCAUAAUUGAACAGCUCAGCGCUUACUAUAUUAACACUACAUUGACAUCAAACUUGGUCAAGCAUUAAGAUAAAACAUAUUAAAAAAUACAUUCUAGUUAACUCAGCUCGUCGUCACCUAAAGUAAGAACAUCAUCAGUGCAGUGAUUUCCAUAAAAAGAAUUGUUACUGUUGAUCCAGUGAGUAUGAACUAAAUGAUUACAACAACUCGAAGUGCAAGGUAAAGUUUCUUUCUUUGAGCUUGCUUCUCCACGAUUUGGGCUUGCAUCUUGUUGAUUUGGACUUGCUUCUCGUGUGCGUCUAUCAACGCACCAUCUACUUCUCUCUCAGUAAUCGACAAUAGUAGGUUAUCAUUUGGUUUACAUAAAACUUGACAAGACCAACCCAUAUAUACGUGUUGCAAACAAAUCCUCUCUGCGUGUGUGUAAUGUAGUGAGCAACGGGAUUCAUAUACCAAAUUACAAACAUAAAAGGAUUUGUGUUAUACAUAUACUCCCUCCGUCCCAUAAUAUAAGAGUGUUUUUUACACUAGUGUAGUGUAGUGUCAAAAACGCUCUUAUAUUAUGGGACGGAGGGAGUACAUCGCUUUUGUGACCUCCACAAGCUAAAAAGUCUUGAUUUAGAUUCCUAGGUGUGUGAAGUUUCUUAAACAACAAGGCGCAAAGAAGCACCGGGGGCAGGCCGGAUUUGGGGCGGCGGCGUCGCCGGUGCAAUGGCGGACCUGAUGGAGGUGCAGAUGCAACAAAUGACUCACCGGAGUAGGUACGCAAGGUCGGGGACCUCAUGGCCAAGCCGAGGUGGAUCUCCACCACGGCGGCGGUGAAGAAGAACAUUGUAGCGUUGUCAGCCGGCGGGGCUCCUUCCGCUUCGCCAACCAAUUGAUGACUUGAAUAACUUUUCCAAAAAGAAAAAAUCCAUCUGUCUUUCAUCUUUUGGCCUUACGAAUUAUGAUCAUAAUUUUCUGAACAUGUAACUGCUUCUGAUGAUAUAUUCUAAGAAGUAACAAACUAAUGACUGGACAAAACUUUUCCAUAAAGGAAAAAAUUCCAAUUGUCUAUCAUCUUUUCGCGUUCACUCGGUCUCAUCGGCGUCAGCAUUCAGGUCAAUCCUAGGCUUCUUCCCGCUGCUGUGGGCAGCGGGCUUAC
RNAcentral lists this long non-coding RNA (354030 nucleotides) under Triticum aestivum (bread wheat). Its description in RNAcentral is "long non-coding RNA (TAES_LNC024636)". The stretch from base 353375 to 353466 matches the Rfam family "MIR1120/MIR1122 microRNA precursor family". Lineage: Eukaryota; Viridiplantae; Streptophyta; Magnoliopsida; Poales; Poaceae. The record is from RNAcentral.